This 191133-nucleotide long non-coding RNA is filed under the name Populus tremula. RNAcentral's name for it is "long non-coding RNA (PTRE_LNC002051)". The record is from RNAcentral. Lineage: Eukaryota; Viridiplantae; Streptophyta; Magnoliopsida; Malpighiales; Salicaceae.
UAUGGUUGCCCAAAGGCACAUAACAAACAACAAUAUUCUACGUUGUAGUAAUUCAUAGAAUUAUCUAAGAUGAUGAUGAAAAGAAUUGGGGCUUGGAUGUUGUUAGCGUUAUUGACUCUGGUUGGCGAAUGGCAUGGUCGUUGUUAUGGUUGUUUGGAGGAAGAGAGGAUUGGUCUCUUGGAGAUCCAAUCUUUGAUCGACCCAGAUGGCGUUUUCUUGGAAGAUUGGGUGGACAACAAUAGUAAUUGUUGUGAGUGGCGUGUGAUCGAGUGUGAUCCGACUACAAGACGAGUGAUCCAACUCUCUCUUAGUGGUGAAAGAGAUUACCUUGGGCGAUUGGGUUCUCAACGCAUCUUUGUUUCAGCCUUUUAAAGAAUUGCAAAGUCUUGAUUUGGAAUGGACUGGAUUGGUUGGUUGCAUGGAGAAUGAAGGUUAGUUCAAUGUUUCUGCACUUAAUUAUAAUCAUAAAAUAAAUGAAGGUUGGUUGGUGUUUAAUGUCAAUUAUCUUGCUUUGAUGAUUCUCUUUCCAGGCUUCGAAGUCCUAUCAUCAAAACUGAGGGAACUUGACCUAAGUUAUAACCGAUUUAAUAAUGAUAAAAGCAUUUUGUCAUGUUUCAAUGGUAACCUUUCCACUCUCAAGUCUUUAGAUCUAUCAGAAAAUGGGUUGACAGCUGGAUCAGGUAGCUUCUAUGGUAACCUUUUAAUUAUUUGGCUUCGAAACCUUUUCUUUUCUACUUCUCAUAUCAUUUUUUUCUACGCAUUUAAUUAUUUCCUACCAAUAUGCUCUUGAGGAACAUCAUACAGGUCUCAAGGUCUUGUCAUCAAGGUUCAAAAAGCUGGAGAACCUUCAUCUAAUUAGGAAUCAAUACAACGAUACCGUUUUUCCAUCUCUAACUGGAUUUUCAUCUCUCAAGUCUUUGGAUCUAUCGUACAAUAUGUUGACAGGAUCAGGUAUAAUACACAGUUUCUACCUCAAUGCUUCACAUGACAUUCUCUAAAACAGGAAGAGAUUAAAGAGAUCAAAACAUUACUUGCGAUCUAUCUUCUUCCGUAUAUUUUUUUUAUGUAUAUCUUGUACGUAGGUUUUCAACUCCAACCGAUGAGGCUGGGAAAGCUGGAGAACCUUGACCUGAGUUGGAAUCAAUUGAACAGUAGCAUCUUAUUAAUUCUGAGUGGGCUUUCAUCCCUCAAGUCUUUGGAUCUAUCAGGCAAUCAGCUGACAGGAUCAGGUAUAAUACACAGUUUCUACCUAAAUGCUUCACAUGACAUUCUCUUAAUUAUAUUGUUUCUUUAUCAACAAAAAUGAGGACUUUAUAUCAAGAAAAGAGGCACUUGGAAUGAGGUCCAAGAGGCAUAUAUUUUAUUCUCCUAUAAAUAUAUAUUUUAUAUUUAUCUUUUUAAAUAAAUAUAUUUUUAUAUAUGUUUUUUCUGUCUUGAGAUACUUAGUCAAACACAACUCUUAAGUUUUUUUUUUUUAAUGCAUUUGAGUUUGAAUGGGUUUUGAAUAACAUAAUAAGAAGCUCUCUCCUAGAAUAUUAUAAUUAAGAAGAUUGUAAUAAUUAAAACUUGGAUCUUAACAUCAAUUAAACAAAAAAACUCUCCAAUACAAAUCACAAGUGUUUUAUCAAUAAAGAGAACAACAUAAAACCCACAUAUUUGAUAUUUAAUUCUUGUUUGUAACCAUUUAUUAUUUCCUCUCUUUUUAAUUAUGGUUUUAUAUUAUUUUGGACCAUUUUUUAAUCAAAAUAUUAUUCUGUGUUGGAGGAUAUAUUGCCUUAUGGUCGUGGUGAAUGGUGAAAUAUUUGGACUUUGAGAAAUAAAACGUGAAAAAGUUCAUAAUUCUUUAAUGCCAUUGAUAAAACUGGGAAAGUACUUGCUAGAAAACAGAGGCAGUUAGGAACAAAUUAUAAUUACUAAAUUAGUGACAACUAAGCAUCUUACUAACUAAAUAGAUAAAGGAAUUAAGUUAUGAUUAUUAUUCUUGUUUAACGAUUAUUUUUCUUGUUUUAACUAUCGAUGAGGUCUUAAUUAUAAGUUUUUUAUCUUGUUUUGUAAGUCUAUCAUAAUUUAGCUUCCAUCUUUUUAUGUAUAAUUUGAGAAUCAUAUAUCAAAUGAACAACAACAUCUCAUCAAUUCUAAUUAUCUUUAGUUUCUAUCUAUUAUGCAUAUCGUGAGCUCAUAAUUAUGACUUACUCUUAGAAACAACUCUCUUGCAGGUUUUGAGAUCAUAUCAUCACAUUUGGGGAAACUCGAGAACCUUGACCUGAGUUCUAAUAAUAUAUUCAACAACAACAUUUUCUCACAUUUGCGUGGACUUUCUUCUCUCAAGUCUUUAAAUUUAUCAGGCAAUAUGUUGCUAGGAUCGACGACUAUCAAUGGUAAAGUUGUGAAAUCUCUGGAUUUUUUAGGCAAUUUGUUGUUUAUAUCCAAAAAUCAUCUCACUACAAAAGUAUCAGUUCUUUAUCAUAGGUUUAAGAACUCAAUCAAGAUAACACUUAUUUCACUACUUACUUGAUUGCCUGUUUUCAAUUCUACACAUCAUAGGUUUAAAGACACUGGAAUUCCUGCAGUCAUUGCCAAUAUCCCUGAAGACCCUUUCUCUCAAGGAUACUAAUUUAAGUCAAGGUUAAUCAUAGUUUAGUUUCUUAAAAUCAUAAUUAAUAAUAUUGAAUGGAAUGGGCAUUCUGUACCACCACUAUUUUCAUCAUAUCUUUUUCUUCUUCUUCUUCUUCUUUUCACAGGGACUUUCUUCAAUUCUAGCACCCUAGAAGAAUUGCAUCUAGAUAAUACUUCUCUCCCAAUAAACUUUCUCCAAAACACUGGAGCAUUGCCUACUCUAAAAGUUUUGUCUGUUGCUGAAUGUGACCUCCAUGGCACCCUACCCGCUCAAGGUAAAUUAACAACUCUCCAUCCGCCUAUAAUUACAUCAUCAAUAAAAGAUUCUUUCAACAUUGUUUUGACUGUUUCGAGAUAAAUUAUACAGGUUGGUGUGAAUUGAAGGAUCUGAAGCAGUUAGAUCUCGCUAGAAAUAAUUUUGGAGGUUCACUCCCAGAUUGUUUGAGGAACUUGUCAUCUCUACAACUAUUAGAUGUUUCUGAAAACCAAUUUACUGGAAAUAUUGCCUCCAGUUCUCUUACCAACCUCAUAUCCCUUCAAUUCCUCUCACUAUCAAAUAACCUCUUUGAAGUUCCCACCUCAAUGAAGCCUUUUAUGAACCACUCAAGCCUCAAGUUCUUCUCCAGUGAGAACAACAAACUUGUAACAGAACCUGCUGCCUUUGAUAAUUUGAUUCCAAAGUUCCAACUAGUCUUUUUUCGCUUGUCAAAAACAAUGGCAGCACUCAAUGUAGAAAUUCCUGACUUCCUCUAUAACCAAUAUGACUUAAGACUCCUUGAUCUCUCCCACAACAACAUCACUGGAAUGUUUCCAUCAUGGUUGCUUAAGAACAAUACACGAUUGGAACAACUAUAUCUAAGCGAGAACUCCUUUAUUGGUACUUUGCAGUUGUCAGAUCAUCCAUAUCCGAAUAUGAUGGAAUUAGAUAUAUCCAACAACAACAUGAACGGUCAAACUCCAAAAGAUAUUUGUUUGAUCUUUCCAAAUCUGUGGCUCUUAAGGAUGGCUAAGAAUGGAUUCACAGGUUGUAUUCCUUCUUGUUUAGGAAAUAUAAGCUCUUUGGAAAUUUUAGAUUUAUCCAACAAUCAAUUGUCCACAGUAAAACUAGAACAACUAACAACAAUAUCGUUUCUCAAGCUGUCAAACAACAAUUUGGGUGGGCAAAUACCGACCUCGGCGUUCAAUUCUUCUACCUUGGGAUUUCUCUACCUAGAUGGUAACAACUUUUGGGGCCAAAUAUCAAACUUUUCAUUACAUAAGCGGAAAAUAUGGAUUGUAUUGGAUUUAAGUAACAAUCAAUUUUCAGGCAUGCUUCCAAGGUGGUUCGUCAAUUUUACACAAAUUAGAGCAAUUGAUUUGUCCAAAAACCAUUUUAAAGGUUCGAUCCCAAGAGACUUUUGCAAGCUUGACUACCUUGAAUAUUUGGACCUUUCUAAGAACAACUUGUCUGGAUAUAUACCAUCUUGUUUUAGUCCACCACCUUUAACCCAUGUGCAUCUAUCCGAAAAUAGAUUGAGUGGUCCAUUAACAUAUGGAUUUUAUAACAGCUCUUCCCUGGUUACGAUGGAUCUUCGAGAUAAUAGCUUCACCAGCUCCAUUCCAAAUUGGAUUGUCAAACUUUCAUCAUUGAGUGUUCUUGUUUUGAGGGCUAAUCACUUUGAUGGUGAGCUCCCUAUUCAGUUAUGCUUGUUAGAACAAUUAAGCAUUUUGGAUGUUUCACAAAACCAGCUCUCUGGUCCACUACCCUCCUGUUUAGGCAAUCUUCCUUUCAAGGAAAGUUCCCAGAAAGCAUUGGAUAUCCGAGUUUUUUAUCAUGUCCAUAGAAAAAGCUUAUUAUGAAACAAUGGGUCCACCACUAGUGGAUAGUGUCACACUUGGAAAAUGUUUGGCUUAACAAAAGAAGUGAUAGAAUUUACAACUAAAAAUAUAUAUUAUGGUUACAAGGGGAAAGUUCUCAGCUACAUGUCUGGUAUUGAUCUCUCCAAUAACAACUUCAUAGGAGCAAUCCCACCAGAAUUUGGAAACUUAAGUGAGAUACUGUCAUUAAACUUAUCACACAACAAUCUCACUGGAUCUAUCCCUGCAACAUUCUCAAACCUAAAGCAUAUUGAGAGUUUGGAUCUUUCUUACAACAACUUGAAUGGUGCCAUCCCUCCACAACUUACUGAAUUACCACACUGGAAGUUUUUAGUGUGGCGCACAAUAACUUGUCAGGUAGGACACCCGAGAGAAAAUAUCAGUUUGGGACCUUUGAUGAAAGCUGUUACGAAGGAAAUCCUUUCUUGUGUGGACCUCCAUUGCAAAACAAUUGUAGUGAGAAGCAGUGCGUCCAGCCAGUGCCUAAUGAUGAACAAGGAGAUGAUGGUUUCAUAGACAUGGAGUUUUUCUACAUCAGUUUCGGUGUAUGUUACACAGUUGUGGUGAUGACGAUUGCAGCAGUUCUCUACAUCAAUCCAUAUUGGCGACGCAGGUGGUUGUACUUCAUCGAAGACUGCAUAGAUACUUUCUACUAUUUUGUGGUGGCUAGUUUUCGCAAGUUCUCCAACUUUAGAAGGUGAAUUUGUUAUUGGGGAGACGGUCGUUCCUAGUUUGUGAUGAUUGUUUGUCUAGCUAUUGGUAAUUUGUAGUGUACUGUCUCUAAGCUCAGCCUUUCUAUUUGAUUAGUUAUUUGAGCUAAAUAUAUAAGCUGGACUUCUCAUUCCUGAAUCAUUAGGAAGGAAACUGAUUUGGAUUGGUCAUUGACUCUGGUGUGAUUACUCUUUCAACUCUCAAGACUUGUCUGAAAAUAAAUUGCCAAAACCACUACUAAAGUAUAAACAAAAUAUUCUAUGCCUUUGUUUCAAGGGCGACCCCACCUCAGUUAUUCAAUCAAAGCAUUGAAAUCAGAGCAAGAAGAUCCACCUUCUUCAACAGCCUUCCUGGCCGUUUCUUUGCUCUGCUACUCAUUUCCUCUGCUUCUUCACCCAUCAUAAUUUGAGUGAUUGCCUUCUCUACAGCUUCACUUUUAACAUGAUCUCCAUGCACUCUAAGCCAUUCCUUAACUCCAGUUUUUAAAACAUCAGUCACUAACUUUUCAUUAUAGAAUUGCUCAGCAAAUAUUGGUCUCCUAAGCACAAAAAAAUAAAAUUGUCCUUCUCAAACAUGCAGCUGUGACUUGAGACAUUCAGAAUUUCAACCUCAUUUUCUAUAAAAUUCAACAAUACUGGAUAUGGUCAUGAUUCAAUGGAAUAAUCCCCACUUAUUUUCUUGAGACCUUUUUCCAUUGAAAUCUUGCAAGACUAUGGCAUAAUGAACUCCAUCUAAUGAACAGUAAAUCAAAGAAAUUACCUUCUGAUAGAUCUCCUCUUGCCAAUCAGCGCCUUUUGCAUGUCCAGUCUGCUGUAGAAUCUAGGGAUGCUACAAAAAUUUCAAUGCAGUGUUAGAAUUCAUGUAUUUUUGUGUGUUUUCCAUCUACAAGGGUAUUUCUGUAAUUUUAACACUUGCUGAAAAUUAUGAAAUAUUGCAAGUCUCAGUUUUAUUUUCCAUUUAGUAUUUAAUUAUUCCCAAAGUAUAGCGAGCUUCAUUAGGUUUUUCCUAUUCUAGAUAGGUCUAUUAGUAUUUUCCUAUAUAGGAAUAAGAGUCCUUUUUGUAUUAGGAACUUCAUCUAAAUGUUAUGUAAUCAUAUAAAUGCAGAAUCAGAGGGUGAACAGCUGGUGCAAUGCACUGGAGGGUAUGAUGUGGUAACAAAUGCGUGUGUGAUUGCAAUGGUUUCAAUAGCAGUGGCAUUACUAAUGCCACAAGUGGCAGCAGUGGCACAUAAAGCUACCUAAAAGAGUAUUGCUGACUUGAACCAUUAUGAGAGGUGAACAGUUGGUGCACCGCACUGUAGGGCAUCGUGUGGUUACAAAUGCAUGUGUGAUUGCAAUAGUUCCAAUACCAGUGGCAUUUCUAAUGCCAUAAGGGGAAGCAGUGGCACAUAAAGCUACCAAAAAGAGCAUUACCUGGCAUUUGUCUCUGAGAAUUGACAAACAUAGUGGAGGGAAUCCCUUGUCCCACUGAAUUCCCCACUGAGUUCUGUGAAACACCAGGGAUACUCUGCAUGUUAGGAUUCUGGACAACAGUGUUGGGGAUAGUCUGGGUUACACCAGAGACAGGAGGCAGUGCUGCUUGUAAACCAGCAUAACUUUGAACUCCAUUAGAUGCCAUGCAAUUCUGCAUGUUCUGUGAUACCAACGUGCUUGAGACUGAUCAGUGGACAAUAGGAUAGGGAGAAACAGCCCUUGAUUCUGAACUUCAGGGGACAUACUAUGGGAUACUGUUCAAGAUAAAAGGCAAAAGGGAAAACCAUGUCACAGAAAAAAAGAAGGCAUUGAACAAGGAAGACAAAUGAAACAUCGGCAGUCCACACAUAAAGUUAUGAGCGAAAGAAUUGGGAUGGAUUGGAUUCAAAGCAUAAAAGUGUCCUCUGAAAAUUUUCGGGGAUGGGGGAAGAACAGGCGGCUGAAAACAAAAACAAUAUGACAAUUUUCAGGGUGGGGGAAAGAAAAGGAGGAGGCAGAAAACAAAAACAAUCUGUAAUAUUCUUGCAUAACAUUCAUCAAUUACUCAACUUUUUGAUGAAAGCAUGCCAUACACAUAGCAAUAUGUUGCAAUAAAAUGGAAAAGAGUUUGUUAACAAUGUGACAAACAAAACAAAAGGUAAGAUGUUUAGAAAUUCAAUGCUCGGCAGCAUUAUUAUAUAUGAAAAAAGGAUCAAAUACUUUCUCUCGGAAGAAAAGCAAGAAAGUGACGUCUUACCUCCUAAACAAUUAUAAAAUAUAAAAUACCAUGCAUCACAGUCCUUGUUGCUUAACAAGUUAAGGGUGAAACACUUCACAUGCAUUAUAGAAUUAGCAUCGUGGAGGUGAUCAUGAGAUUUUUCCAGCAAGGCGAUAUACAUAGCAAUAUGCAGCAAUAAAAUGUAAAAGAGUUUGAUAACAAUGUGAGAAGAAAAACAAAAGGUAAGAUGUUUAGAAAUUCAAUGCUCGGCUGCAUUAUAACUUGCUGGAUCCAUGGGGGCAGUGGGCAUGGCAUUUUGAGACCUGAUCUCCAUUGAAAGCAUCUCCAGAGAUAUUUUACGCAGAUAAUCAGACUGAAAUCAGAUAUUAAUAACAAAACAUUAGAUCUCAGAGCAAUCUAUGUUACAAGAGGAGGAAAAUGGACAUAUGCUCUAUCAUUUCAUCUUUUGUGAGGAUAUACUAUUGUUUCCUCUCUUUUUAUUUAAUUAUUUAUGUAUUGAUUCACUAUUUUCUUUUUGCACACUUUCCUUGUACUUGAACUUGGUCACUCUAAAUAAAACACUUGUCAAGAGAAUUAACAAAAACAUGCGAACUCCCAAUCAGCCUUGCAUACAGAAUGAACGGUGAGGAAGUGUAGGCACACUACACACACAUUUGUACAUGCAUAAUGCAUGUAUAUAUUCAUGUCAAGGGAAUAUCAUAAUUAUUGAACCUCGCAUUAAGCAAAUACCUGAUUGGUGGUGGUAAUAUAAAUCUUUUCCUCAAAACGUAUGGCAAAUUUCUUGAGUUCUUGUAAUCCCUCCUGACCAGAAAACAGAAGAUGCCUCUUUAAUGUCUCCAUUCUGCACAUGCAAAUCAUUACGUUUCAUUUUUCAUGACCAGGAAUGUAUAGAGAAGUUAGCAGCAGCAAGCAAGAACCCUGAAUUCAUAAACCACACCAAUAUCAGAAAUGUGUGGAAUCUUUAGCAAAAAGUAAAAACAAAUUAUGAGAUAAGCAAGAGUUUGUCAAGUAUUAUAAGACAUCAAAAUACAUAGACAUCCUUUCCCUGUAUUAUUCCAGAGGUACAGAUUUUAGGAGUUUACUUGGCCACCCUUCUGUCUAAAAGUUCUAGCUACGAGCUUCAUAUAUUAGUGACUGAGUUGCGAAGCAGGGGAGUCUGUGAAAACAUUACAAUAGCAUUUACUCUGAGUAACUUCUAUGCAUGUGCUGUAAUUGACAAAGAAAAGAAGAGAAAUCCUUUCAAUAUAUGAAAAUGCAACGAGUUAACCUUAUGUUCCCUCAAGUUUGCUUCUCGUGAGAAACACAUGAAAAGAUGAAACAAAAAAAGAAAAAGAAAGAGGUGUGUGAUACUUGAGGUUGCCUCAUGGCAAUCCUGCAGAUUUUAAUUAACCCUUUGCCAUUCUCCUUUUCUUUCAUAAAAAUAAAAAAAUUACUAUUUUGCAGCACUUGCACAUACAUUUUGUCGACUAUUCUUUUCCGUGAGUCAGGCCGCAAUUGAAUUCUCCAAUCACCCGUGUCCAUGACAGGUUCUCCGCCUGGCUUAGUGGGCCAACCAAAAAGAAAAAAAAAAAUCAUAUUGCUUUAUUCAGACUUGAAUAGACCCUAAAAAGAAAGUCAGGAACGGCAAGAAGAGCAAAAGCACAUCAAGAACAUGAAAAAUGGAAUAUCAGUUUAUUCAGACUUGAAUAGAUUUAAUAGGAACUUCCUUCUAAUAUCAUGUACUUUAUUAAAGAAUUCAGCCAAAUAUGGAUGCAUAACAAUUAAGAAGAAGACAAAACAAAGUCAUAAAACGAGGCCUUUCAAUUCCCAAUGAAUAUCAGCAGACUAAAUACCACAGCACAAAUAGAAGAUGAAGAGGCCAGAAACACUAAACCAUCCCAAAGAGAUUGUCUAGGAUGUUUUAAUCUAGGAAAAAGAAGAAGAAAACAACGAGCAUUAACAAUGAAUUUCAUGUUAUCAAUUAACUCUAAAGAGCAGACGAUAAGAAUCAACUUAACAAAUUUACAGGCAUCUUUCUUUGAAUAGACAACACAUAUCCCUGACCUACUAAAUGCUCCACCCACAGUAAAUCGGCUGAUUGCGCCUUUCUUCGAGUUGCGUUCACGAUCAGCGAUUUCAUUCGGGCCCGUUAUAUAUCUUUUUAAUUUACUUAUUAAAAUCGAAUUUCUCUCUCUGGAUAGUAAUUUCAAUUAAAUAAUGGAAACGCAGACGUAAAUCUUUUUUUUAAAAAAUAACAUAAUAGAAAUGAAGCACCUGGUGGAGAUUUGAAAGCCUUAUUGGUUGGGGGGCGGCGGCGGCGGUUUCCGAGAGCGGAGGAAAGAGAGAGAGAGCUCAGGUGGGAGAGGUGAGGAAUGUCGGCCCAAAGUGAACAGAGCUUGACAGAUGACUUUAUUCUUUUCCAGAUUCGCUAACAAACUAAAAGAAUUGUAUUCUGGUGCUGCUUCACUGUUCAUAACUAACAAACUAAAACUAAAACUAAAAGAAUUAUAUAUAUAAGAGUGCUCAUUAAAACACGGUGCACUGUGUGUGAAUCCUGUGGCUUCACGGUCUUUACCGCGCUCCCUCUCUGUUUUUCGCCAUUCUUCUCGCGUGGUGGGUGUUCCCGCGCUUUCUUCUCGGCUGCUGAGGCUCCCUGGUGUCUUUCCAUCGACUUUGUCUGGUGCAUGUUCAGAUUGAGGCGGGGUGCUAGGCGCGCGAGGAGAUGUCAGCCGACGGGAAAUCACCUGCAUCGGCUGGGAUGGCUUCAUUGAAGCUGUCCUCUUGGUCUGUGGCGGGCCUGCUCAUUAAUGAAAAAAUUAUUCUAACUGAGACAUUGUUUUUGUUUUUGUAAACUCUUUUCUAUUAUUUUUUUUAUCCAAAUUUUUUUUGAAAAUAUCAUAUACAUUCUGGUGUGAUAUUUAUUCUUGGUUGUGCUAAGAGUAGAUAAUAAAUUGUUUUAAAACUAAAGAAUUAAUCAUUAUCUCAAUUUAAUUUUUAUUUUGAUUAUUGAUUUAUGUGCAUGUUUUGUAUUAGGUGGAACUUGAUCAUUAUAGUAAAAAGGAACAAUAAUUUUAUGAAUUAUUUAAAACAGUUUAUUUGUUCUAUGCAUAUGUAUGAUGAUCUGGUUAUAAAUGAAAUAGAUAAUUUGUCAAGAACAAAUUGAUUAUAUGUUUUAGAUUAAAAAAAAGUUUAUUUUAAUAGGAAAGUAAAGUGUAUAUAUCUUUUGUUAUCUAUGUACUUAUAUAUAUUGCCUUGAUUCCACGGGAAAUAAUUUUAUGUUGCUGGUAUUUUCCUUUGUUGCGUUUGAUGGGGAAAAAAGAGAAAACAGAAGAUGGGAAAAAAAAAGUUGCAUACUGGAUAAUAAUUACCGGUGAAAUAAUUAUGUAAAGUGAAAUUCUAUUUAACUGGAAUUCUUUUGUUUAUGUUGCUAUAUAUUAUUAUAUAUAUAUAUAUAUGAUUAAAGAGAGAUUAACAACUAAUACUCCUAGCAUUGGUGAUGUAUUGUAACCAAGAAAAAAAAAUUAAAAACAUCUUCAAGUUGUGUAAUUUCCCAGUGUGGAUUCAUCAAAGACAUUGUAUUUUUCACUUUGAUUAGUAAAAAAGUACAAUACUCAAAUAUAGUUAGUAUUUGAGAUGUGGAUGUAGGCCUACCGAAUCACAUUAGAAAAUGAAUUUGCAAUCUCUCUUUCUUUAUCUAUUUACUUUAAGCACUUUAAUUAUAUUGUUGGUUAUUGUAUUAUAUGUGUUUAAUGUAUUUAUUUGCAUUAUUUUGAUAUAAUUACCAGGUCAGAAUUACUUAUAAAUAGAGACAAUUCUAAUAUGGUUUUGACAAUAAAAAAAACUUCUAAUCUUUUUAAAACUUAUCUUUACAUUUUUUCAGUUAAAAUUAUUAUAGAGAGUAAUAUAAAAAUUAUAGUUCGCCAUUUGUUCUUAGUAGUGCUAUUAAAAAUCAGAGAUUGAGUAAGCUUGAAAAAUAAAAUUACAAUUACAUUGCUAGCACCAAAGAGCAGAUAAUAAAUUGUUUUAUAAUAAUUUUUAGUCAAUAUUUUAAUUUGUGGCUAUCCGGUACAAAAUAGAUCUCAUAGGCUUAUUAAAAUUAAAAAUGGUAUUGAGAUUUCUAAAACUUCAAGUUAUUAUGAAAAAUGAUAAAAAAAUUACUUUUUAUGGAUACUAAAGCCAUGGAUAUUUUAUAUCAUACAUUGGGCAAAAGUGAAUUUGAUAGAAUUAUAUUAUAUAAAAAUACUUAGAGAUAUAUAGCAUGCCUUACAAGUAAUUCAUAAAGAACUAACAAUUAAAAAAAAUCUAAAAUUAAUAUGUUAAUUUAUCAUUAUGAAUUUUUCAAAAUGUUGGUGACUUCAUAACUAAAAUUUUUAAAAUGACUAAAAUAUUAAUAUUAUUAGUUUGGAUGUUUUAGUAAUGUUGAAAUUAUAGAGAAGUAAUCAUUAAGUUGAAUUUUUUAUAUGAGUAGAAAUCAGGUCAUUAUAAAUUUAAUAAACUAUUUAAAGUGUUCCAUUAGAAGAAAUAGGUGUUGUGAAUUUGAGUCUGCAUUUUUCUCUACUUUCUUUUUGGUUUUUUUUUGUUCGUCCCUUCCUCAAAAUUUUAGGGUAUUAAAUUUCUUUGUUUCUUCGCGAUGCCUUACUCUUUGUUGAUUGUCUCUCUGUUUUUUAGUUGCACUGUUUAGGCUAUAUGUGUGUUUAUUGAGGCUUUGGCUGUCUUAUUUGCUACAGUUAUGAGGUUUUGGGCAUAGUGUUUUAGUUAGCUUCAGCCCUCUAUUACCAUUCUUUAUAGAGGUGGUGUUGUCUUUGUUUCGCACAAGGCGGCAUGUGUCUUGAAAGGAAGUUUACUUGGUUUUCUUUCCAUGUGUUUCUUGCAUGCUACUUGUUUGGCAAAAGUCUUCUGAGAGAUCGACCUUUUUUCUUCGAUUGUUUUGGUUAGGCUGGGUGCUUGAUUUGUGUUAGGCUGUUAAAGUUUUUUCCCUUUCUUUAUAAGAAAAAAAUAUUUCUUUUGUGCUUAGGAACACACCUUUGUAGCUUUAGAGAUGAUAGAAAGCUUUGCUUUUAAAGGCAACAUUGUUCUUUACGGUUUUUUCAACAUGGGUUUCCUUAACAAAAAUUAAGUUUUGCAUGCUUAUUUAUGUUGCUCAUCCAUAUAUAUUGCAACAGGUCUUUCUAGAGGUAACUUGGGUGAGGAAAAAACUUUAUGCCACGAAAAUAAGAGGCUGGAGUUUUAUUUUGCUUUAGAUUCUUCCCUUAAUUCCAACCUUGGUUUGUUUUCAAUUCUUUGGUCUUUCUUUUCAUUAGUCUAUGAUUUUUUGUUGGAUUCUUGCUUUGUGUUAGGUUGUAUGAGGAUUUUCCUUUAAAAAAAAAAUCAUCUUGUGUUUGGGAACACAGCUUUGUACCUAUGGAGCGCUUUGAUUUUGAAGACAACACUUUUUCUUUAAGUUUUUUCGACUUGGGUUUCCCUGAAAAAUGUCUUCUUUUUGCUUGUUUGUUUGUGUUGAUCAUACAUAUAUGUUACAGCAGGUCUUGUUUGUGGCUUGCACAUUGGUUGCUUAUGUUUAUUGAUGAUAUCUUUUAUUGUCUUUUUUCUUUUCGUUUGUAAUUCACAACAAUAGAUUGGGUCUGAAUAUCUUGGUCCGGAAUUGACAUGAAAAAAAAAAGAGAAAGAAACUUACAUUCUCUACUUUAGAUGGCUUGAGCAUUGUUCGCUAGAACAACAGACUGGGUUUGAUUAUCUUGGUCUGAAAUUGGCAGGAAAAAAAGAAAAGGAACUUGCAUUGUCUGCUUUAGAUGGCUUGAGCAUUGUUCGCUAGAACAACGGAUUAGGCCUGAUUAUCUUAGUCUGGAAUUAGCAGGAGAAAAAAACAGAAACUUGCAUUGUCUGCUUUAGAUGGCUUGAACAUUGCUUGCUAGAUGUUCAUUCAUUUCUCUUUUUGCAAUGAACUCUUGCAUAGUUGACAGAUCAUGCUACAUUAUUCACGCUAUUAUUGUUCUCUUUUGAACUGCCAAGAUUAUUGGUUGGAUAAUAGCCACUGUGAUUAGAGAAACUGAAAUAAUUUAUAGUCUGCAAGUCUAUAUAUUCAUUACGGCAGUCAUGUUUUUAUCCAAACAUUGCCAAGAGUCUAGACCAAAGUUAAUCAAUAACAAAAAGAUGAAAAAAAACCCCGAAGAUAAAAGUGACAAAAUUCAUAAAACUCAAACGCCAAUAAUGUAAUUAAUGCCAAAUAAUAAGAUUAAAAAAAUCAAUUAAAGAAAAAAUUGAAUCAACCCAGGUUAAUUUAAGUUAUCCACGAUCUGGGAUAUGAAAUAGAAAUAAUCAUACAAAAAAAAAAAAAACCAGAACAAAACAAAGUUUAAAGCCUAAUAACUCGAGGUUGAUGAUAAAAAUUUUUUUUCAAAAAAAACUUAAAAAAAUACCAAACUUAAAACGAGUUGAUAUUCAAAAUUGAUAGAGUUAUUAGAGUAGAAUUACUGUAUUCAUACAGUUUUGACUUGUCUUUUUUUAUUGGUUUUUGUUUUUAGUUUUUUCAUUCAAUGUUGGAUAUGACUUUUUUGUUACUUUUUAUUGAAGCAUAUGGUUGUUUCAUAAAAAAAAAAAAAAAAAACUCUAGGAAACAUAGUUGUUAAAACACAACGAAGCACAUGACAUAUGUCAUGAUAUCAAAUAUCUUAAUCUUAAUUACCUAUUUAUUAAAUAUUGAUCUAGUUACUAAAUACAUGUAUAGGCAUUUUGAUUUGUGAUUGAAAAAAAAAAACUUAUAUUAAAAAGCACAUUAUAAGAGCCUGCUUAUUUUUUUUACUUAAAAAAUAAUCACCUUGCCACGGAGCGCCAAUACAAAACUAGUUACUUAUAAUAUAAAAUAUGUGGGGUGAACACUCUUUAGCCACUCUCUUCACCUCCUUCCGUUUUAUAGUGGACACAAUGUUCACUGGUUUUUUGUUAGGUUUUGCUAUAAAUUUAAAGGAAAAAUAUUUAAGGUGAAUAUUAUACAACCAUAUUGUUCAUCCCCUCAUGUUUGAUGUGCUAAGGAUAUAAAACCAAGUAAUUGUUUCUUCCUUUAGACUAAGAGUCAAUGCGUAGCAGAAUGAGCCUUCCUUCUCUCAUUCUUAUCAAUCGUCUUAGAGAGCCUAUGUUCUUGCCUUGAUCAAGAAUCCUAUCUUAGUUAUUCAACACAUAUGAAGAAAUUUUCCAAAAUCAUUUCUUGACAUAACUCUAUUCUUACUAGUUGUUGUCUUUGGACCCAUAAGUUAUCGGGUCAUAUCGGUUCAACUCUCACUUUUUUACUUGUGUUUGAAAUUUAAAUUGUAUAAUUUCAAGUUAGUUUAUAUUUAAAUUUGAAUUGAACUUAUGUUUAUUGAGUUUAAUCUUGAAUAUAUAUAUAUAUAGUAUAAUCUUGAAGAAGCACGCUGAAAUGCUCUGAAACCAAAAUAUACAGUUUGAAUUAAAAAAUAAAACACUAUCCGGAACGAGAUUGAUAACCUGACGUGAUAUGUUUAAAAUGAGCAUCAUCGAAUCAUUUAGAGCAACCGUGUACAUAACAAGGGCGUCCCCUUCUCCGUCCAGAGAUUAGGCACUGAAUCUUUCGUUACAGUUAGAGUAGGCGAAGCUUGUCAAUCUUACAAAGGUGGUAGUUUGAGGAUUUUUAUUGUUCUGUCUCAUUGUUUGAAUGAAACUGUACUAUCUUACAUAAAAUUUAAAACAACACUGAGAAUUCUCUGUUAUUAUUACUGGCUUAAAUGGAAGGAGCAUGGAGAUUUGAAAUUACAAUGAUUGUUACAAACCAAACUUUUAAAACCGACAAUUGUUCGUUCCUUCCAUUAAGCCCACGUGAUUCAGAUGGGAUGCAAUCAAUCCAGUUUACACCCAAAGGUGGAGCUUUUAUUCUCUUUCAAUGGUAUAAGUCUUCAGCGGGUGGAGGAUGAACGUGAGGUGGAAUCACCAGGUUCACUGGAUUCUAGAAUCAGAAAAGGGAAUCUUCGUUAUAUCAUAACUUACAGUUCUGCUGCAACUGCAGAAUGUAUUGUUGAAGAUGAGGUGCAGAGGAUGUUGUUUGCUGGGCAGGCUUUGGGAAUGCUGAGGACUCGACAGUUUUGACAGCAGACAUUAGAAGCCAGGUGGAUAUAUAGGAAGAUUGCAGAUCGGAAUGCAGCCCAAUAAUUCCAAUUUGGAGUAUAACUUGGUAAGGUUUAAAAUCAUUUAUCAAUGAAGAUUUUAUUCUGGAAUAGUUGUGGUUGGGUAUGUCUGCUAAGAGGGCCUCUGUUAGGAAUACAAUAACGCAGUGAUAUUGAAGUGUGUUUCUUGCUUGAAACCAAGAGGUAACUAGGGAUAAAAUAUUACGUGUUGAAUGUCACGUAUAAUGGGGAAAGGAAUCAUGAACCUUGAGAGGAAAAACAUAUUGAAAUUCUUUCAAAACCACACUUAUUUCUUCAAGUGCUUUCUCUGAAACUUUCUUAGCCACUAAAGCAAAUGCAACAAACUGUUCAUGAACCUGAUUCUCAAAAUCAUUUGGGCUUAUAAGAUUAAGUCCUUUUCCUUUCAUUUAUUGGAGUCACAUCACACUCUCAUCAUGGUAAAAUGAGAAAUUAAUAGGAAAAAUAUAUAUAUCUUUUUUUGAUUGCUAUGGAAGUGUUAUUAACCCAUGAUUUUUAUCAAUAAUGUAGUCUAUACCCAGCCCUUUCUGUUUUUUUUUGGAGGAACCACCGAUGACCAAGCAGUCACGAGUUUGAAUUUCAUCAUCCCUAUUUAUUAGCUUUUUGAGAAUUUUAGAUUUAUCUAACAAUCAAUUGUUCACAAUAAAACUAGAACAACUAAAAACAAUAUGGUUUCUCAAGCUGUCAAACAACAAUUUGGGUGGGCAUUUACCGACCUCGGUGUUCAAUUCUUCUAUCUUAGAAUAUCUCUACCUACGUGGUAACAAUCUUUGGGGUCAGAUAUCAAAUUUUCCAUUAAAUGAAUGGAAAGUGUGUAUUGUAUUGGAUUUGAGCAACAAUCACUUUUCAAGCAUGCUUCCAAGGUGGUUUGUUAAUUCUACAAGCCUUGGCGCAAUUGAUUUGUCCAAAAACUAUUUUAAGGGUCCGAUCCCAAGAGACUUUUGCAAGCUUGACCAACUUUUAUAUUUCGACCUUUCUAAGAAUAACUUGUCUGGAUAUAUACCAUCUUGUUUUAGUCCACCACCUCUAAUCCAUGUGCAUCUAUCCAAAAAUAGAUUGAGCGAUCCAUUAACAUAUGGAUUUUAUAACAGCUUUUUCCUAGUUAUGAUGGAUCUUUAAGAUAAUAGCUUCACUGGCUCCAUUCCAAAUUGGUUUGGCAAUCUUUCAUCAUUGAGUGUUCUUCUUCUGAGGGCUAAUCACUUUGAUGGUGAGCUCCCUGUUCAGUUAUGCUUGUUAGAACAAUUAAGCAUUUUGGAUGUUUCACAAAACCAGCUCUCUGGUCCACUACCCUCCUGUUUGGGCAAUCUUACUUUCAAGAAAAGUUUCCAGAAAGCGUUGGCGUAUCACAGAGCUUAUUUUCCACUAGGGUCCAUAGAAAAAGCUUAUUAUGAAACAAUAGGUCCACCACUAGUGGAUAGUAUUUACAGCUUGGAAGAGGGUUUUCUGCUUGACUUCACAGAAGAAGUGAUAGAAUUUACAACUAAAAAUAUGUAUUAUGGUUACAAGAGGAAGACUCUCAGCUACAUGUCUGAUAUUGAUCUCUCCAUUAACAACUUUGUAGGAGCAAUCCCACUGGAAUUUAGAAACUUAAGUGAGAUAGUGUCAUUAAACUUAUCACACAACAAUCUCACUUGAUCUAUCCCUGCAACAUUCUCAAACCUAAAGCAGAUUGAGAGUUUGAAUCUUUCGUACAACAACUUGAAUGGUAUCAUCCCUCCACAACUUAAUGAAAUUACCACACUUGAAGUUUUUAGUGUGGCGUACAAUAACUUGUCAGGUAAGACACCUAAGAAAAAAUAUCAGUUUGGGACCUUCGAUGAUGAAAAUUGUUACAAAGGAAAUCCUCUCUUGUGUGGACCUCCAUUGCGAAACAAUUGUAGUGAGGAAGCAGUGCCACCACAGCCAGUGCUUAAUGAUGAACAAGGAGAUGAUGGUUUCAUAGACAUGGACUUUUUCUACAUCAAUUUCGGUGUAUGUUACACAAUUGUGUGAUGACAAUUGCAACAAUUCUCUACAUCAAUCCAUAUUGGGGAUGCAGGUGGUUGUACUUCAUCGAAGACUGCAUCGAUACUUGCUACUAUUUUGUGGUGGCUGGUUUUCGCAACUUCUCCAACUUCAGAAGGUGAAUUUGUUACCGGGGAGAUGGUCGUUCCUACUUGCUACUUUAAGCUCAGCCUUUCUAUUUGAUUAGUUACUUGGGUUAAAUAUAUAAAGCUGGACUUCUCAUUCCUGAACCAUUAGGAAGGGAACUGAUUUAGAUUGGUCAUUGACUCGGCUGUGAUUACUCUUUCAACUCUCAAGACUUCUCCGAAAAUAAAUUGCCAAAACCACUACUAAGUAGAAACAAAAUAUUCUAUGCAUGUGUGACAACACUUACAUCUGCCUCUGUUUCAAGGGCGACUCCAACUCAGUUAUUCAAUCAAAGCAUUGAAAUCGGAGCAAGAAGAUCCACCUUCUUCAACAGCCUUCCUGGUCGUUUCUCCUAACUUCUUUGCUCUGCUACUCAUUUCCUUUGCUUCUCUACAGCUUCACUUUUAACAUGAUCUCCGUGCACUCUAAGCCAUUCCUUUAACUCCAGUUUCCUUUUCACCAACUUUUUAAAACAAUCUUCCUUGUCUUCUUGACUCUUUUUGUUUCUUCUAACUACCUGCUGCAAUCUCCUUAAGCUGAGAGGCAGUGAGGUUUGCCAUGCUUCCAAAGCAAAUAUAAACAACUGAAUUUGUUUUCUUUGAGUCGAGCCACUUCAAACACUCAUGUUGAGCGAUUGAGGCUUCUUUUCUCUUCGUACUUUAUCUUCAAUGUCUCUACUGCAUAGUGAAACCGGGCCUACGUUAAUUCACACCAUCUUUAAUUGACCCAACAAGACUAUAUCCUAACCAUACAGCUUCUUCUUCUACAGAUUCAUGGAUCACUUUAUGCAAAGCAGAGGAAUGAUUUUCUGGAAAAAGAGUGUCUAGGGAACUUACAGUAGAAUUUAUUGGAACUCUUGUCUCAGGACAGUAGCAUAGCUUCUUGAAUCUCUGUUUCUAAUCGAACAGGGGAGCCACGAGAAUCUAGGAGUGUAUAUAUCUUCUGUUAAAUUCCAUGACUAUGUUAAAUUCCUUAUCGUUUGUUAUUUGUGUACUUGUUGCAUUGAUUGUACAGGGAAAUAAAUUUUACGUUGCAUGGUAUUUUCCCUUGUUGUUGUGUUGAUAUGAAAAAAAAUAGAAGAUUGGGAAAAAAAAAAGUUGCAUUAAUAUAAAUAUAAUCCCAAGGAUAGAAUUAAAUUUUUAAAGGCUCAAUGUGAAUACUAAAACAUAAGAGAGAAGAUGGGGAGGGAAAAAAUACUUUGUCGCCACUGAACCAACGCGAAUAUGGCAACACGCGCCACACCAUCAACUACACCUUCACAUUACACGUUGAACUAUCACACGUCUCCUUGAUAACGUGGUGGCCUAUCAUGCGUUGGCAUGUGCUAUGCACAUGUCAAUCUUUUUAUUGAUUUAUUAAUAUUUUAAUACUUUAAAUUACUAAAUCGCUCUUAAAAGCAUAUAAAUAUUACAAAAAAAAAGAAGCCAUAUUGCAAGGAUGAAAAUGUUAUCCCAAGCCAACUUUAGAUUUUUUUUAUUCUAAGGUUAACUUAUCAUUUUACAGUACACAAAACAUGAAAAAGACUAAAAAACACCUCUUGUCAAGGUCAAUAUUUUUGAACUCUCAAGGGUAUUGAUGUCAUUUUACUGUCUAAAUAAAAUAAAAUAGACAAAAAUAGACCCUAACCAAAAGGUCAAUUGUUUUUUUUCUUGCAAGGACGACGAUGUAGUUUUAGUGUGCGAAAAAGGAGUAAACCUAUUAAAUUAUCCCCAAUCAAUUUACAAAUAACCUUUAGAUCACUUGAAAAUAUAACUUUACCUCGUUAGUAAGUCAAUUGUUUUGUAUAGAGAAGGGCAAAAGGUAAAUAUAUUGUACUAAUCCACACUUUCGAGAUAAUCCUUACCUUCAAAAUAAUCCUUAUCUUUAAGUUAAUCCUUACCUUCAAGAUAAUGAUAGUUGUCUGCUUUCGAAUUCGAUUCUAAUUCGAACUUCAAAAAAGAGAAUGAGUUUGAUUGAAACUUUACUUCUUGCAAGUGAUGAGACUCUUGCACUAUAAAUACUGAUCCCAGUCUAUGCAAAAAAAAAAAAAAAAUGGAAGGAGAGGAAAAACCCUAAAAAAAGAGACCCUAGAGGAGGCCAUUACUAGAAACCCUAAUAGAGAGAAACAUAAAAAAAGAAGGGGGCGGCGAACCCUAUACUAGCCCCCCCCCCCUCUUUAACCCUUUAUUUUUUAGCCUAGUCUCACUCGACUUCGCCUCCAGCAGCCGCACGCCUAGGUAAGUUUCCUUCCUUCCUUGCUAAAAUAAUUAAUUGGUUACUGUUGCAUACAUUUUUCGAUAGCAGAAAAUUCCAAAAAUAUUUGGGGCCUUCGUUGAUUUAUUUGUGAGCCCCUCGCACUUUGUUUUAUUUUUUUUUCCUUGUGUUUGUAUUUUUUAUAGAGGUGAUCAAUAUGUGGACUAUUACUGUUAAAUGCAAAUAUGUCAUGCAAUGUUUUUUUUUUUUUUUUUACUUCCAUCUAAAAAAACAGAAAAAUAAAAAAGGUUGAAAAAAAAAUAAAAAAUAAAAAAUGUGUAUGCACGAAUAAAAAUAAUAUAAAUUUAUUGGUUUAUCCACUAAUGCUAGAGUCCGGAAUAAAAAUACCGGUUUAAAUUUAUAUUAUUUUUAUUUGUUGUAUUUUAUUUUAUUUAGCUAGAAAAAUAAAAAAUAUAUAUGCAUGUGUAAAAAUAAAUUUAUUUUUAUUUAUUAUUCACUGGCGCUAGAGUCGGGAAUAAAAAAUAUUGAUCUAAUUUAUUUUAUAGCUACGUGAUAUUUACCAACACCAGAGUUGGAAGUAUCCGUAGUUGAAUAUUCACUGGCGCUAGAGUCAGGAAUAUUAUAAGCAAAUUAUCAUAGCGUAAACUAAUAAACAUUUAGCAAUUUAAGACGAAACUAGCAAUGCAGCCUGCCUCAGGCAAGACGUUUAAGAGGUGAUAAUAUCUUCUCUUUUACGUAACCAGUCUCGAACCAUAGAAUCUUUGUUGACCAGUUAGGGUUUCUAGUGACUAUAAUACUAGGUGGCGACUCUUUAAACAAGACUUUUUCCCUAAAAGAACAAGAUGCUAAAAUUCUGUUUCUAGUGAUAAUUUUUUAAUUGGUCGCCGCGAUAUCGGGUGCGACAUAUAUUUUUUGGAGUUUUAAGAAGCCUCGCUCUAUGUAGGCACGCAUAGAAUUUCCCACACCAAAUCAUAAUCAAAAUCGAUCCCCUUUAGUAAUCUAUUUUAUUUAAACAUGCAGUUUGCCAAACCCAAUCCAGAAUACCAAGGCAUCCUCUUAUUAAUUCACGUUGAAACUACUAGUCCUAAGUUUAUAAAUCCAAUCAUAGAGCAAUCAGUGAAGAAACUUCAUUAUUAUAUAUCAUACAGAAGCUAAAAACAAAAACAAAACUCAAAUGAAAAUCAAUAUAAACUUAUUUAAAUCUUGAAACUAAAAUCCAAAACGAUGCACCAAGGAUUCGUACCAUCAAGAUAAAAGGCUAUGAAAAUCCAAACUUAGAUAAAAUGGGAAGAUUGUUCACCAAAAAAUAAUACUAAUUAUUAAUGCUCACCUCAAUAAAAUAAAACCAAGCUUGUCGUCAAUAUAGAUUUAUCUACAGAACCACCUAUCACCAACAAUACCAUGAUGUAUGUAACCCCAAAGCUCUCAUAGAAAACCGACAUAUCCAUGAAGCCAACAUUAUCUUCAUUGUUCAUUGAAGUUGGUAUUGGUGAUGGUGGCAUAGCCACACCACGUAUUUUGGGUAGCGGUUCUCUACAAAGAAAAGGGAUGUCCUUGUAGCAGCUAUCUUUAAACGUGGCAAACUGUGCAAUUCUUGCAAGAGUCUUGCUAAAUCUUUUAAAUAUAUUAAUCUUUCCGGUCUAUUCUAAUUUAAAUUUAGUGAUUUAAGAGAUGAAAAUCCCUCCACAAAUGAUAGAAUAUUGUUAUCGAAACGAUUAAAAAAUUUUAUUUAUCAAAUUUAAUUUUUAUUUUUUAUCAAUAUUUAUUUUAUUUGAAAUAAUUUAUAAAAUUAUAAUUAUUUUUUUAAUUUUAUGGACUUUCAGUUUUAACUUUUUUUUAUAUGUCAUGUACAUCUUAGGUACCCAUCCCUUUGUAUAAAAACUGAUUUAACGGUGCUUGGAUUGGGUUUAUGCCUUCAUACUUAGUUUUCUAAAUAGGCCUUGAGCUUUAUUUUUUUUUUCUAUGUAGUGUUAGUUUUUAAAAUCUUAGUAUAUUAUACAAUUGGAUUUAUUUUGAUGUUUAUCACACGUGUAUUAAUUAUAUACUCAAUUCUUUAAUAGUUAGAAAAUACAAAGAGUUAAUGACACUUACACAAUAUUUUAUAUCUUGUUUUUUCUAAUUAAAAACUUGUAUUAAUUGAUUUAUUUAUUUUAAUUUGAAUACUUGCUGUUAAUUAAGACUUUUUUAUCUAUCAAGUCUCUACACUAGUUUUGUUGCCAGAAUGCAAAUAACACGAUUAAUAGUAUUUUAUUUUAAUUUUUUUCAAGGUCUAUAUUUUUCACACUUAAUUUUCAUAAAGAAAAUAGCGAGUCUUUUAUAUCCAUCAUCAUCAUAUGCCUAGCAUUAACCUUUUAUUCAUGUUUUAAGAAGGAAUAUAGGUUUCGAUGAACAUGAUUUUCUUAAGCUAGUUGUAGUAUAUAGAGAUUUCUUAUCACAUUUUAGAAAUAUAAUUCACAUCUCAAUUGAUAAAUUCACAAAUUAAUAUAAUAGGUUUUAAUAUUUAUUUUUAAUAUAUAUUUUGAAUUUAAUAUUAAUAGUUAUAAAGUUUAUUUAGUUAAUAAAGAAUGUUCCACUUUUGAUCUCUCUCUAUCACUUUUCCUUUUAAAGGGUUAUGUACAACCUUGCAUAUUAUUUAGAAGUUUAUUUAUUUUGAAUUUAAUAUAUAAAAAUCUUUUGUAUAGAUGAAUUUUAUUUUUGAAAAUAAAAAAAAUUAUUUUCAAAUGAUAUUUCUAAUAUGUGCAGCCUUGCAUAUUAUUUUUUUCUUUUAUUUUAUUCAAUAAAUUUAUAAUGCGUAUCUAUUUUUAUUAUCGUUUGAUCGAAUAAAAAAAUUAUUUUAAUUUGAAUUUUUAGAAAAUAUAUUUGCGUAAAUGUAAUGUCUUGUGAAAUUAAAUAUUUUGAUCUACAACUGUCUCCCGAAUUUUUUACUCUUUAUUUUGAGUCAUAAUUUAUGGUUUUUUUCAUUUAUUAAAACAUAUAAUUCUCGAUUUAUUUGACUAUAUUUAUAUAUAAAUUUUUAAUUUUCACUUAGAUUUUUUUAAAUAAAAAAUAUAUUAAAUAAAUCUAUAUAUAAAUUUUUUUAGUUAAAAAGAAUUAACUUGAGGUGAAGCUGUGGUCAAAUAUCUAAGUCUAUGUACUUGUCGCACGUCGAAAAAAAUCCACGCGCGGCAUCCGCUGGCGAUUUAAAUCUCGUUGUGUGGUUGCGUUUGAAUUUGGUUCGUUGGAGUCGCCACCUAGUAAUUGAUUUCGGGCUACUAGGAAACCGGAUGUACUGGUCUUGUCAGAGAUUCGCGGGUAAGGGACUGGUUGUGGUUAAGGAAGGUAUUAGCACCCCUAACACACCCUACCUGAGGUAAGCUGCUUUGUAGCUUUGACGUGUUAAAGAAGUUUUAAUAAUUGUCUUUUCAUCGAAAAUUAGAAAUAUCACUUACGUAUAAGUUAAUAAUUCUUAACCGUCAUCCGAUCAAAAUAUUAAAUUCUUCUUUAAUAUAUUUGCAAUUUUAUCAUUAAAAAAUAUAUACAAAUAAAUAAAUAAAUAAAAAAUACAACCACACACAUACAAUUUUCACUAUAUUUUUGUUUCUUUUCUUUUCUUUUUCUUUUUUUUGUUUUUGUUACAUCCACAUUUACAACAUACAAAUAAAAAUUCAAAUUAAACAAAUAUUACAUCAAACAAUUAAAAAAAAUUACAAAAUAAACCCUAAAAAAAUCCAUAACAGUGCAGGGAUAGUUCUGUGAAGACAAAGGAUAGCAGGAGCAUGGGCGGCGCGUCUUCCCACGCGCCACCGUCACUGGCGUCGCAUGGGUUCACGCGCCGCCGCUGAUGAAGGGCAAAAAACCAGUGGAUCGGGAACGCCUUCUUCCCCCCUUCCUUCCUCCACCGGCGGUGAGGAGUCACGUCACCUGCAAAGAGAAAAAAAACGCAAUCCAGUUGGUUUUAGUUUUAUUCUUGGUCACGGAUCUGCUUUUUUUCUCCUUUGUUUUGGGAUCUGUUUUCGGGGCUUCGCCGUCUUCUUCUCCGCUGCAAGUAGUUGGGCAGCGGCGGCUGGUUGAGGGUGGAUCUGUGACCGUCGGGUCUGUUCGGUGACCCUGUGACCGCUGCUGGGUCGGUACUGGUGUGCUGCGGUUGGCGGUGAGCAUGGCGUUGAGAGGCAGAUCAAAGGAAGAGACGCUGGACGGUGGUCUGUCGGUGUCCGGAGGGAAGGUCUUGGUUGGCUGAAGGAGGAGGAGGAUGAGCAGCGACUGGGUUUCUGUGGGUGCCACCGAUUGGGUGCUGUCGGUUGGUUCACGGUUUCUGAGGGAAAGGGGCCAAGAGAGAGGAAGAUCAUGGACGGAGGAGAAGUUUUGGCCGGCGAUGGGGCUGUUGGAGUUGGCUGUCAGAAGGAAAAAAAAAUGGCUCUGGGGGGAGAAGAAAAGAAAAAUAAAAUCGGAUCCUAGGGGUUGGAGGCGACGGCUGUUUGGGUGAGGGAGGAGCAAAAAUUCACAAACCUGGUGGGGGAAUUAGAUAGGUUUAGGGUUUUUUGUGGUUUUGGGUUUUUUUUUUGUAUUUUUCUGAUAUUUCAAAUUCCCCCCACUUUUGUGUAAGUUAAAGACCAGUAUUUAUAGGCAAAAAUGUUGCUAGGUUUUUCAACUUGGUCCCUCAACUUCUUUCUUUUUGUAAAUUUUGAUUUUUCUUAUUUUUUUGUAUUUUUUUGAAAACGAGCAAUACCAACGUCGACUCGAUGAGGAAAAUCAAUGAUUUAAAAACUGACGCGUGAAAAGUCGAACACGUUGGAAAAUCUUUUAAAAAUUUAAAUUCUCUUUUUAGACGACGUUGAAAAUGCUAAAAUGACGAAAAUAUAUUAAAAAACAUAUUUUUUUGGAUUUUCUUUGUUUUUUUGCUAUUUUUGGAUUUUUCGAAAAUUUUAUAAAAAUAUGGGUCAAAAAUUGGGUAGCAACAGUUGCCCCCUCUUUACAAUGCUUACGAAGCAAAACUCCUCAACAUUUUGCAUAGUAAGCUUUGUAAAGAAAACAAAAGGAAAAUGAUUUCAUUAUCUUGGGCGACCUGCCCACACACUCACACUGAUCUAUUUUCACGGGCGACCUGCCCACACAUACUGACACUGAUCUAUUUUCACGGGCGACCUACCCACACAUACUCACUCUGGUCUAUUUUCACAGGCGACCGGCCCACACAUACUCACACUCGUCUAUUUUCACGGGCGACCUGCCCUUUUAAUUGGGUUUACCUGAGAUCCCAUCUGGCGACCUCAUUCAACUGGAACGAAAAUAUUGUAUAACUCGGUUAACCUGAAAUCCCAUCUGGCGAUUCCCUUUAACCAAAGCUACAUGAGAUCCCAUCUGGCGACCUUAUUCAAUUGGAACAAAAAUAUGUGUAACUCGGUUAACCUGAAAUCCCAUCUAGCGAUUCCCUUUAACCAAAGCUAUAUGAGAUCCCAUCUGGCAACCUCAUUCAAUUGGAAUUAAAAAACUGUGUGUAGCUCGGUCAACCUGAAAUCCCAUCUGGCGACCUCAUUUAACCAAAACAAAAGAAUGUGAAAAAAACGGUCUCAUUGUAAUGGGUGACCUACCCAAGUGGAAAGAAUAUGAAGUGCGGUCUCAUUAUGAUGGGUGACCUACCCAAAAAAUGGAAAAAAAAAUGAAGUGUGGUCUCAUUGUAAUGGGUGACCUACCCAGAUGGAAAAAAUAUGAUGAAGUGUGGUCUUAUUGUCAUGGGUGAUGUGAAGCCCGAGAAUAAAGUAUACAAAGAGGGGGAGGUUUAUAGUAAUUCCAAAUGUUGUUAUAAUAUAAAAUAAAGCAAUAAUAAUAAUAAUAAUAAUAAAAUAAUACUGAAAAAAAAGGGGUGAAAGAUGUGGCCAAAAUGGAAUUAAGAAGAGAUGGGACUAUAAAUACCCAUCCCUUCUCUCAUCCAUGGCCGGCUGAAAAUAAGAAUAAGGAGGGGGGAGAAUUUCAGAUUUUUCUUUCAUCAAAACUUGGAGUAAACACCUAAAAUCAGUAAACCCAAAUAAGCCUUGGAAUUAUUAAGUGGAGGAGCACAAUCGGGUGGAAGAAUUAACAAGAAGAAAAGUGAAGAAUUGGUGAAGAAAAGAGGGGGAAAAGUGGCUGACAACAUACAAGGAGAAGAAGGCUAAGAUUCUUCUAAAAUUUGUGAAGUAAAGUUUAGAUUUCCAUCCAAGGAGUUCUAAUUCCAAUUUCUAUGAAAUCAACUUCAAUUUGAUUAUAAGUUUAAGGCUUUCUUGAUUUGGGAAUUAGGGUUCUUUAACAUAAAAUGUUGGGAAAAUGCAGAAAUGAGUGAGGUUAAAUGGAUUAGAAUAAUCUAAGUGCCUUAAAGAAAAAAAAGAAGAAGAGAAAAACGGAUAGAGAGAGCUGCAGAUUUUGGAGUAAAACCAAUAAUACUCCGGUGGCCAUAUCUCAGGACUCCACCGUUGGAUCAUGCUAAGUUUUGGAUAUGUUGUUCUCAUUACACUUACCGACUAACGGACCGGAGGGAUUGGAAGGAACACACUCCAUUGGACAGAAAUCAUCAUCGGGAACGCUUGGUUCCCUUGGCCACGUUCUCUGCUGGAUACUGCAGAGAGGAAAUGAGAAGUUGUGAUGUGCUUAAUUAAUUCGUUUGGUACCAGUGACCUUAAGAGGACAUAAAAUGAGACGGGAAUGCCAUGAAUAAAGGGAAGGCAUGGCUGUGACUGAUGAGGAAGCAGGGAUUUAAAAUGAAUUGGAGAUACCUUCUCCAUUAGCAAAACAGGGCAGGUUCGUUGCCCUGUUUCCUGGGGGGAUUUUGGACCUGAAAACUACAAAAUUCAGGGAGGGUCCCCUCAUAUAAGUGUAGCUAGGAGUGUUAACUUUCCAACAAAUCUGACCUCGCCUAAUUUGGAGUCCUAGAACUCUAGAUACAAAUAAAACACUGACGAGAGGUCGAGCUGCCACCCCUGUUGGCAGAUUCGGCCAAGUUGAUAAAAUGGCAAAAUUUAGCCAUAUCAAGGGUAGAAUUUGUUUUCUUGCCUUUCAUAAAGUGUGUCUUGAUCUUCAAAAAGAAUAAAAUGUAAUCAAAAAUUGAAUUUAUGAUGUCCACUUGGACUACUAAUGAGCUGAAAAGUUAAAAGAUAAUAAUGGGGAAUGUAAGUGAUGAGAAAGAAAAGAUUUGGUUAAAGAGAAAUGAAUAUUAUUUUCAAUGUUGAUGUUGCGUGUGAUAUGUGGAUUAAUAUGGAAUCAUGAUGGGUGUUUGUGGUUUCAGGAGGAACCGCAGGAGGAGUACAGCAACCGCAGGGGAACGCAAGUCGAGCAUCCACAACAGGUAGGUACUUGGUACCUAUAUCUCCUUUAGUUAAUAAUUAUUUUAACUAACUUUUGAACUAUACAAAUUUGGUGCUUAUUGAUGAGGAAAAAAAAAAAGGGGAAAGGAAAGGUUAAAUGACGAAAAAUAAAAUGGAACGGAGAACUAGAUUUAAUUUAUGGGUUCUUUUGGAGGAAAUAGAUUGUAACAAGGAAUUUUGGUAAUGAUUGUUUCUCGAAUUUGAUUUAUUUGUCCCUGAUAUGGGAGGCUAAUGAUGUUAACCAAGCUUGAUAACAUCGGCAUUACUGGUACGUGAGAGGAAAAAUAUAAACUUGAUUAACUAUUCGGUUUCAGAAUAGUUAAUGAUAUCGGCACGUGACGUCGAUAUCGGCAAAAUUUAUAAACUUGAUUAACUAUUCGGUUUCAGAAUAGUUAAUGAUAUCGGCACGUGACAUCGAUAUCGGCAAAAUUUAUAAACUUGAUUAGCUUUCCGAGGUGAAAGUUAAUGAUGUCAAGAAUUUUGACAUCGGCAUACCCGAGAACCCCCCAAGGUAAUAUGGAACAAUGAAAACUAAGAAGAAUAAAGAAUUCUUAUAUAACUAUUAAAAGGGGUUUAUGGUUGUAUUUAGAAUCUCAUAUGAUUUAAGUAGAUAUAUAUGCUGUUUAAUUUUAUUCUGUAAAUUGCUUGUAUUUUAAUUAUUUGUUUUUAAUUAUAUGGAAAAUUUAUAUUUUUGCAGGUUCCUCCCAUUCAUGUCAGGAAUAGAUUUAAAGUUUUUUGAUCCCUUUUUGUAUAAGUUGGGAACUUAGGGAUUUGUGAUGUAAUUUUGUCAUGCAGUAAACAUGUAACCUAUAUGGAAUAUUCUAUUCAUAAUAUUUUGUUUCUGAAAUAUUAAAUGUAUUAACCUAUGCUUGGGAUAUUAGAAUGUACUAGACUAUGUUAGAAUAUUCAACUGUGUUGUGUGUGUGUGUGUGUAUAUAUAUAUAUAUAUAUAUAUAUAUAUAUAUGAAAUUUCGUGUUGAAAUUGGCUCUUUUCAUUAUUAACUUGUGUAUGUGAUGUAAGAUGGAGUUUGGGAAUGACUAUGGUCCUGAGCAUAAUUUAGAAUGAGUUAUGCAGUUGAUUGUACUAAACAUGGAUGUGAUUGUGGAUGAGAUGUGAUUCAAAAUGUGUGCAGGUACAUUGUCGAUAACUUGGGAUCUCCCGGUAUAGAACGAAAUUUUGGUGAGUAAAAAAAAAAAAAAAAUUUGCUUCAUCUACCCUUUAUAGGGGGAGAGAUUAACGAAUAAAGUAAUAGAAAAUUAGAGGUGUUACAGUUGGUAUCAGAGCAUUUGGUUGCAGUUUCAGGGAUUGAAAUACUAAUGUGAUUUUGGAAAAAUGUUGUAGGAUGGCUCAUACACGGCAAGCCGCCAGGGCUAUUCCGUCCCCUGUGCAAGGAAGAGAGUAUGACUCACUUUCUAGGGAUGAAGCCGAAAGGGACCCAUUAAUAGGCACUGCCUCCCAUCAAUCUGUGGCGUCAACCCAUUCAGAGAGGGGAGAUUCAGGGGGGCAUCAGGGUGACCCUAUCACUUCUCGGACACAAGUGUCGCCAGCUGAAACACCAGGUGACCCUAUCAGAAGACAAGCCACCGCUAGUGACAUCAACGGUUACCCCAAAUCCCUAUUCAGACCCCACAUUUCUCGAGCAAUGGGUCAAGGCAGUAGCAGCAAGGAUGGCUGCAGGUGCAUCCAAUUCUACUACUCGGGCGGAAAGAGUAAUCACCUUGGUCCAAUGGGUGAAGGGCAUGCGAGAAAUGGGUUGCACGACCUAUUCAGGGGAAGAAGACGCCGAAGUAGCAGGGCAUUGGUUGAGGAAGGUAGAAAGGGUUAUAGAUCAGAUGCAGGUGCCAGAGGAAACUCGAGUAGAUUGUGUGACCCAGCUGUUAACGAAGAGUGCCCACUCCUGGUGGGAGACCAUUAGAGAAAGAAGGGCAGGAGAAGAUUUGAGAUGGGGAAACUUUCGAGAAGAAUUCGAGGAACGGUAUUACUCCUGGCAGCACCGAAAAAAGAAAGAGCAGGAGUUCCUGGAUCUGAAACAGGGGAAUAUGACUGUCUUGGAGUAUGAAAGGAGGUUCCAGGAUUUAUCUAUCUUUGCCACCACCCAUCUUUCCACUGAGCAUCAUCGAGUGGAACGGUUUCGGGAUGGACUCAGGCAGGAGCUGAAAUUAAUUUUGGUGGCUAUGCAGUUUCAGUCGAUUCGAGAGUUAGUGAGAGCUGCUCAAGGUAUAGAAAGAGUAAUGAAUGACACGCCAAGGCAAACAAGUGAACAGAGUCAGACCACGGGAUUCAAAAGAAGGGAUUUCACACCUCCUAUAGGGAGGAAUCCUCCUCCAAAGAAAGGAAAGAGUGGGUCAUCAUUUGGGCCAUUACCGAAAAAAGGGGGGAGUUUUGUUCAUAGUGGGAGUUCAGGAGGAGUUAGACGAGUUAAUGUUGGGGGAUCCGUGGGAGGUCAGACUCGCCAAGGGGCAAGUGUUAUAGGGGAUUCCAUGGAGCAUAGAGGACCUGUCUACCCGAUAUGCAUGAGAUGUCAUCAGAAACACCCGGGGAUUGUUCAGCCACACUAGGAAGAUGCUAUAUUUGUAGAGGGGAAGGGCAUCGAUGGAGGGACUGCCAGUAUUUGGGAAGAGGUUGUUUCCAUUGUGGGGAAACGGGUCAUAGAAAGAAAGAAUGUCCAUAUAGAGUCACUGAAGGAGUACAUGGACAGGGGAUGGCUACCCAAAGCCAGCAACAGUCAGUGACAGUUGAUCGGCCUGUACGACCUACUCAGUCAGGGACAAGUGGUAACAAAGGCCGACCCAGAUUCCAGGAGGAAAGGACUCGGGGCAGGAUAUACCACAUGACCCAGGAAGAUAUAGGGGCAAUGCCAGAUGUUGUAGCAGGUACACUACAAUUGAGUUUAAUACAAGUUUAUGCUUUAAUUGAUCCUGGGGCCAGUCAUUCUUUUGUGGCCCACCGAAUUACUAGAAAUUUAAAUGUGUUACCAAGUAGAUUGAAUGUGGGAAUGGUAGUUAGUACACCUUUGGGAAAAAAUAUAAACAUUGAUGAGGUAUACAAGGGAGUGAUACUAAACAUUGAGGGGGCAGAACUAAAGGCAGAUCUCAUGCCUUUAGCAUUAGAUGAUUUUGACUUGAUACUGGGAAUGGAUUGGUUGAGUAGACAUAGAGCACGAGUAGAUUGUUUCACAAAGACUGUAAACCUCCAAGAUGUGAGUGGAAAAAGGUAGUAUUCAGGGGAGAGAGGAGGGUAAUUCCAAACUCCAUAAUCUCGGUCAUGACGGCCGGAAAACUGAUUAGAAAGGGAUGCCCUGCCUGGUUGUCUCAUGUGAGAGAAUUAAAGAAGGGAAGCAUAGAAUUAACAAAUAUCCCUAUUGUAAAAGAAUUUCCAGACGUGUUUCCAGAGGAAUUACCAGGACUACCUCCGAUCAGGGAAAUUGAGGUUUCCAUUGAGACUCUUCCAGGAGUCAACCCUAUAGCACAGUCCCCUUAUAGAAUGGCCCCUAUUGAACUAGCUGAAUUGAAGAUCCAGCUUCAGGAGUUGUUGGAUAAAGGAUUCAUACGGCCGAGCAAUUCACCUUGGGGAGCCCCGGUGUUAUUUGUAAAGAAGAAGGAUGGUACAUUCAGGUUAUGUAUCGAUUAUCGUCAACUGAACAAAGUGACGGUAAAGAACAAGUAUCCGCUACCACGGAUAGAUGACCUGUUUGAUCAGUUGAAGGGCGCAAGAGUAUUCUCGAAGAUAGAUCUAGAUCGGGGUAUCAUCAAUUAAGAAUCAGAGAACAGACAUACAGAAGACUGCCUUCAGAACUCGCUAUGGCCAUUAUGAAUUCUUAGUAAUGCCAUUUGGGUUAACUAAUGCCCCUGCAGUAUUUAUGGAUCUAAUGAAUCGAGUGUUCCGGUUUUAUUUGGAUAAAUGUGUGGUAGUGUUUAUUGAUGAUAUACUGGUAUAUUCGAGCUCUUAUCUGGAGCACGAGAAGCACUUGAGGAAGGUAUUAGAAAUAUUAAGAGAAAAUAAAUUGUAUGCGAAAUUGGAUAAAUGUGAGUUCUGGCUCAAAGAGGUGAUAUUUUUGGGGCAUGUUAUCUCAGCUGGAGGAAUAUGUGUGGAUCCAGGAAAAGUAGAGGCAGUUCUAAAGUGGGAGAAGCCCAUAAAUGUGACCGAAAUUCGAAGUUUCUUGGGCCUCGCAGGGUAUUAUAGGAGGUUUAUUGAAGGAUUUUCUACAAUAGCAUCGCCUCUGACCAAGUUGACUCGUAAAGAAGUAAGGUUUAAUUGGUCAAAGGAAUGUGAUGAGAGUUUCCAGGAGUUGAAAAGAAGGCUUACAUCAGCCCCGUUUUGGCCCUUCCUUCUGGAACAGAAGGGUUUAUUGUUUGUGAUGCCUCCAGCAGGGGUUUGGGAUGCGUAUUGAUGCAGCAUGGGAAGGUGAUUGCAUAUGCUUCUAGACAACUAAAGCCGCAUGAAGUGAAUUAUCCGGUCCAUGACUUGGAACUUGCAGCAGUAGUAUUUGCCUUACGAGUAUGGAGGCAUUACUUGUAUGGAACACAAGUGCAGAUUUUCACUGACCAUAAAAGUUUGAAGUAUUUAAUGUCGCAAAAGGAAUUAAACAUGCGGCAGAGGAGGUGGGUGGAAUUGAUAAAGGACUACGAUUGCAUAAUUGAUUACCAUCCUGGCAAAGCCAAUGUAGUGGCAGAUGCAUUAAGUCGAAAAGGGAAAGCAGUGAUGGGUGAUACAGAAACUUCGAAACAAGGGAAUGUGAGGGAAUUAAAAAGGAUGGGAAUACAAUUAAGUGUGGGUCCUGAAGGGUCACUACUAGCUCAUAUGAAGAUCAGAUCGGUGUUACGAGAUAAAGUCUUAGAAGUUCAAUUGGCGGAUGAGGGUGUAAGGAAAAUCAAGGAAAAGAUAAAGCAAGGCAAAGAGUUAUUCCUUCAAGUGUUGCCAGGAGGGUUGGUGGCGAUGGGAAAACGAGUUUACGUACCUGAGAAUAAGACCUUAAAGGGUGAGAUAUUGAAGGAAGCUCAUGAAUCUCGGUUUGCAACCCAUCCUGGGAGCACCAAGAUGUAUAGGGAUCUCAGGGAGUAUUACUGGUGGCCAAAUAUGAAAAAGAGAUAGCAGAAUAUGUGUCAAGAUGUGGGAUAUGUCAACAGGUGAAGAUAGAACAUCAAAGGCCGGCAGGAGAAUUACAACCACUACCAAUUCCAGAAUGGAAAUGGGAAAAUAUAGCCAUGGACUUCGUAACCGGAUUGCCAAAGGGGAAAAAGGGCAAUGAUGCUAUAUGGGUAGUGGUAGAUCGACUGACAAAGUCGGCUCUAUUCUUGCCCAUCAAAAUGACGACCCGUAGAUAAGUUAGCCAAAUUAUAUGUGAACGAAGUGAUUAGACUACACGGAGUACCCAUAUCAAUGGUGUCAGAUCGAGACCCGAGAUUUACCUCGAGGUUAUGGCCAUGCUUAUAACGAGCUUUGGGAACUGAGGUGAACCUGAGCACGACAUUCCACCCCCAACAGAUGGCCAAUCGGAAAGAACUAUCCAAACACUUGAAGACCUUCUAAGGUCAUGUGUGCUAGAGUUCGGGGGAAACUGGGAAGACUUGUUACCGUUGGUAGAGUUCACGUAUAAUAAUAGUUACCAAGCUACUAUCGGGAUGGCUCCAUAUGAAGCCCUUUAUGGGAGAAAAUGUCGCACUCCGAUAUGCUGGGAUGAAAUUGGAGAAAGGAAACUCCUAGGUCCUGAAAUGGUACAAAUAACAACUGAUAAAGUAAGGAUGAUCAGGCAAAGAAUGAAGGAAGCCCAAGAUAGACAGAAGAGUUAUUCAGAUAACCGGAGGAGACCUUUAGAAUUCCAAAUAGGGGAUAGAGUAUUCUUAAAGGUGGCACCAUGGAAGGGCAUCAUUCGGUUUGGAAUGAAAGGAAAGCUUGCUCCGAGGUACAUUGGCCCAUUUGAGGUGAUAGCUAGGAUAGGGCCAGUUGCUUACCGCUUGACGCUACCAGCACACCUAGAGAAGAUUCACAAUGUAUUCCAUGUAUCACUAUUACGGAAGGCGGAAGUGGAUCCUUCCCGAGUGUUACCUCCAAUUCCUAUGGAAGUAAAAGAAGAUUUGACACUCGAGACCAGGCCAGUCAAGAUCAUGGAUCGGAGUGAAAAAACAUUGAGGAAUAAGAGAGUAUCACUAGUCAGAGUGUCGUGGAGGAACUCACAAAUUGAGGAAGAAACGUGGGAGAGAGAAUCAGAGAUUAAGGAAAAAUACCCCCACCUAUUCCUUGAGUCAGGUAUGCAGUUUAAAUUUCGGGGACGAAAUUUUUAUUAGGUGGGAAGAAUGUGAAGCCCGAGAAUAAAGUAUACAAAGAGGGGGAGGUUUAUAAUAAUUCCAAAUGUUGUUAUAAUAUAAAAUAAAGCAAAAAUAAUAAUAAUAAUAAAAAAUAAUACUGAAAAAAAAAGGGGUGAAAGAUGUGGCCAAAAUGGAAUUAAGAAGAGAUGGGACUAUAAAUACCCAUCCCUUCUCUCAUCCAUGGCCGGCUGAAAAUAAGAAUAAGGAGGGGGGAGAAUUUCAGAUUUUUCUUUCAUCAAAACUUGGAGUAAACACCUAAAAUCAGUAAACCCAAAUAAGCCUUGGAAUUAUUAAGUGGAGGAGCACAAUCGGGUGAAAGAAUUAACAAGAACAAAAGUGAAGAAUUGGUGAAGAAAAGAGGGGGAAAAGUGGCUGACAAUUAUACAAGGAGAAGAAGGCUAAGAUUCUUCUAAAAUUUGUGAAGUAAAGUUUAGAUUUCCAUCCAAGUAAGGAGUUCUAAUUCCAAUUUCUAUGAAAUCAACUUCAAUUUGAUUAUAAGUUUAUGCCUUUCUUGAAUUGGGAAUUAGGGUUCUUUAAUAUAAAAUGUUGGGAAAAUGCAGAAAUGAGUGAGGUUAAAUGGAUUAGAAUAAUCUAAGUGCCUUAAAGAAAAAGAAGAAGAAGAGAAAAACGGAUAGAGAGAGCUGCAGAUUUUGGAGUAAAACCAAUAACACUCCGGUGGCCAUAUCUCAGGACUCCACCGUUGGAUCAUGCUAAGUUUUGGAUAUGUUGUUCUCAUUACACUUAUCUACUAACGGACCGGAGGGAUUGGAAGGAACACACUCCAUUGGACAGAAAUCAUCAUCGGGAACUCAUGGUUCCCUUGGCCACGUUCUCUGCUGGAUACUGCAGAGAGGAAAUGAGAAGUUGUGAUGUGCUUAAUUAAUUCAUUUGGUACCAGUGACCUUAAGAGGACAUAAAAUGAGACGGGAAUGCCAUGAAUAAAGGGAAGGCAUGGCUGUGACUGAUGAGGAAGCAGGGAUUUAAAAUGAAUUGGAGAUACCUUCUCCAUUAGCAAAACAGGGCAGGUUCGUUGCCCUGUUUCCUGGGGGGAUUUUGGACCUGAAAACUACAAAAUUCAGGGAGGGUCCCCUCAUAUAAGUGUAGCUAGGAGUGUUAACUUUCCAACAAAUCUGACCUCGCCUAAUUUGGAGUCCUAGAACUCUAGAUACAAAUAAAACACUGAGGAGAGGUCGAGCUGCCACCCCUGUUGGCAGAUUCGGCCAAGUUGAUAAAACGGCGAAAUUUAGCCAUAUCAAGGGUAGAAUUUGUUUUCUUGCCUUUCAUAAAGUGUGUCUUGAUCUUCAAAAAGAAUAAAAUGUAAUCAAAAAUUGAAUUUAUGAUGUCCACUUGGACUACUAAUGAGCUGAAAAGUUAAAGGAUAAUAAUGGGGAAUGUAAGUGAUGAGAAAGAAAAGAUUUGGUAAAAGAGAAAUGAAUAUUAUUUUCAAUGUUGAUGUUGCGUGUGAUGUGGAUUAAUAUGGAAUAAUGAUGGGUGUUUGUGGUUUCAGGAGGAACCGCAGGAGGAGUACAGCAACCGCAGGGGAACGCAAGUCGAGCGUCCACAACAGGUAGGUACUUGGUACCUAUAUCUCCUUUAGUUAAUAAUUAUUUUAACUAACUUUUGAACUAUAAAAUUUGGUGCUUAUUGAUGAGGAAAAAAAAAGGGGAAAGGAAAGGUUAAAUGACGAAAAAUAAAAUGGAACGGAGAACUAGAUUUAAUUUAUGGGUUCUUUUGGAGGAAAUAGAUCGUAACAAGGAAUUUUGGUAAUGAUUGUUUCUCGAAUUUGAUUUAUUUGUCCCUGAUAUGGGAGGCUAAUGAUGUUAACCAAGCUGGAUAACAUCGGCAUUACUGGUACAUGAGAGGAAAAAUAUAAACUUGAUUAACUAUUCGGUUUCAGAAUAGUUAAUGAUAUCGGCACGUGACGUCGAUAUCGGCAAAAUUUAUAAACUUGAUUAACUAUUCGGUUUCAGAAUAGUUAAUGAUAUCGGCACGUGACGUCGAUAUCGGCAAAAUUUAUAAACUUGAUUAACUAUUCGGUUUCAGAAUAGUUAAUGAUAUCGGCACGUGACGUCGAUAUCGGCAAAAUUUAUAAACUUGAUUAACUAUUCGGUUUCAGAAUAGUUAAUGAUAUCGGCACGUGACGUCGAUAUCGGCAAAAUUUAUAAACUUGAUUAACUAUUCGGUUUCAGAAUAGUUAAUGAUAUCGGCACGUGACGUCGAUAUCGGCAAAAUUUAUAAACUUGAUUAGCUUUCCGAGGUGAAAGUUAAUGAUGUCAAGAAUUUUGACAUCGGCAUACCCGAGAACCCCCCAAGGUAAUAUGGAACAAUGAAAACUAAGAAGAAUAAAGAAUUCUUAUAUAACUAUUAAAAGGGGUUUAUGGUUGUAUUUAGAAUCUCAUAUGAUUUAAGUAGAUAUAUAUGCUGUUUAAUUUUAUUCUGUAAAUUGCUUGUAUUUUAAUUAUUUGUUUUUAAUUAUAUGGAAAAUUUAUAUUUUUGCAGGUUCCUCCCAUUCAUGUCAGGAAUAGAUUUAAAGUUUUUUGAUCCCUUUUUGUAUAAGUUGGGAACUUAGGGAUUUGUGAUGUAAUUUUGUCAUGCAGUAAACAUGUAACCUAUAUGGAAUAUUCUAUUCAUAAUAUUUUGUUUCUGAAAUAUUAAAUGUAUUAACCUAUGCUUGGGAUAUUAGAAUGUACUAGACUAUGUUAGAAUAUUCAACUGUGUUGUGUGUGUGUGUGUGUAUAUAUAUAUAUAUAUAUAUAUAUAUAUGAAAUUUCGUGUUGAAAUUGGCUCUUUUCAUUAUUAACUUGUGUAUGUGAUGUAAGAUGGAGUUUGGGAAUGACUAUGGUCCUGAGCAUAAUUUAGAAUGAGUUAUGCAGUUGAUUGUACUAAACAUGGAUGUGAUUGUGGAUGAGAUGUGAUUCAAAAUGUGUGCAGGUACAUUGUCGAUAACUUGGGAUCUCCCGGUAUAGAGGAGACUCUGCCAAAAUUUCGUUAGAAAUUUUGGCGAGUAAAAAAAAAAAAAAAUUUGCUUCAUCUACCCUUUAUAGGGGGAGAGAUUAACGAAUAAACUAAUAGAAAAUUAGGGUUGUUACAGGUGACCUACCUGGAUGGAAAAAAUAUGAAAAAGCAGUCUCGUUGUGAUGGGCGACCCACCCAAAUAGAAAGAAUGUGAAGUGCGAUCUCAUUGUAAUGGGCGACCUACCCAAAGUGGAAAAAAAACAUGAAGUGUGGUCUCAUUGUAAUUGAUGACCUACCCAGAUGAAAAAAAUAUGAAGAAGUGCGGUCUCAUUGUAAUGGGUGACCUACCCAAGUGGAAGAUGUGAUAUGACAAGUGUGAAAAAUAGGACUUACCUGGCGAAGUCCUGAGGGGAUGACAGAAGAAGGGCUGAAAAACUUGGUGCUUCUUGAUAAUUCCCUAUCAUAGGGUUUGAAAACUCGAUGUUUCCUGGCUGCAAGGGUUGAAAACUCGAGGCUUCCCGGUUGCAAGGUUGAUCUAUUCAUUUCUUUGGGAUUUUCCUAAUGGUAGGGUUCAUCCCAUCGUCCUUUUAUUCCAUGAUCAAAACCGAUUCUUUAUUAUCAUCACCACAAUGCUUCUUUCUCUUUCCACCAUCUUGCUGGACCUCAUUAAGGAUUUUCCUGUAACAAUUCAAAAAUAUGUGCAUAUGGUUUUUUUUUAGGUUAGAUUAUAUGCAUGCAUCCUUACCUGAUUUGAAACAUAGGUCCCCACCUCUUUGAUGCUCCAUCGUCAUAGGGUGCUCUUGUUUGUAUCCCAAAGCUUUCUUUGUUCUUCCGAUGCAUUGGCUCAUUCAUGUGUUAGCCAUCCACUCAGUUGUAAAUGCAGUGCCCAUCCCGGGCUGUCUUCGACAAUUACUGCUUGCAUCGUUCAUCAAGCUUGACCCUGCCCCUAAGUGUGGUAUUGCUUGAUUCAUCAUGAAGGAUUUUCUCUCUGGCUUCUUCUGAGAAUUAUCCUCUGAUUGAUUGUGUGCAUCAUGCUAACACCCAUCAAGAUUGUUAAUCAGUCAUGAACUUGCCUUCGGUUGAAACACCAUUCAAGUAUGUAUGAUCACCAGCCUUCAUGGAACUGCCAAGUCAUCCAGACAUGGAUCUCAUGCUUUGCAGUAAACAGCUCAUCAUUGUAAGCGCGAUGUAUUUCUCUAUGGAUUCCUCUUAGCUUGUCAAAUCAAAUUGUGAACAUAACUGCUUUGGCAUCAUCAAUGAUGUUCAUGUUAUCACCCAUAUUCAUGCGGUGAAGUGCGCAUUUGAGCUUCAGAAUAAAUGGUCUCAUAGUCAAUCUUAGUGGUAUGCAUAUGUUCGAUGUUCAUUCAAAUGCACUCACCCGAUAACAUCUGUCAAGAGUCAUAGCCAUGUUUUACAGGGUAACCCAAGAUGAAGAUAUGAAAAUAUCUUUGAACAACAUUGCCCCAGCAAUGAUAUGAAUGCUCGUUCAUCAGUUUAUACUCAAGGAUGUUUUCCUUUGUCAUUGUCAGAUGCUAAACAUAACUUUUCGGGACUUUGAUGACUCAUCAUAUGAUUCUUUCUUUGCCCCCAGCUGAUCAGAAUGUUGUUUGUUUUUCUUCUAAGGGCCCACUGUAUUGCCCCCAGGUGGUCAACGUUUCAAAGAGUGUCGAGAAAUGUUGAUGUCAUUUUUGUCAAGGAUUUUGCAAACUCAAUUGAUGUUCUUGUUUGAAAAUCUUUCUUGUUCUGGAAUCAAAUCUCACAUUUCAUCGAUCAUGUCUAUUCAAGUCUAAUUGUUGAAAUGAAAUCAGAGCGAUGUCUGUUUUUGAAAUUAUUUUUUUUUCUUUUGAAAUUCAAAUUUCUUUCGUCAAAGACCCAACACACUAUUCAAUGCAGUCCUUUGAUUGUCUUGUAUUUGGAAACAGAAAUGACCCGUUGUAAGAUUUAAAAUGACUUUUUCAUGGUUCUUUGUGUCCACUUUAAACUCUGAUUUUGGGUAUAUCUUUUGAUGGUAUGUGAUGAGGUGACAUUUUUGUGAACUUCAAAUGACUAGAUGCUCAGGCUUGAUAAAAAAAAGUUGUUUCCUUUCUCAGUAUUUAUUUUAUCAGCAUGCAUAAUAACCAGUAGCUUAAUUCAUGAAGUCACGACCCUAAUGGAAAAGCUCUUCAAGUUUUGAGAGCGUUCAUUUAUCGGUUCAAGUUGCUUGCUUGAUUAAAAAGGGCUUUUAAAAGCACGUAAUGCAGGCUAUGGUUCAUAGCUAUGAAAGAAAAGAAUUUCAAAGGCUCAACAGGUGUUUGAGGAUUUCAACGACUUAGGAUCAACAUUAACUAUUCAUCGAUUCUCUUUCUCUUGUCGUCAUUGUAGAGAAAGUGACAUAUAACCUUGUUAAUCUCAAAUAUUAGAAUUCUCUUAACAUAGGUCAUAGUGCAAAUCCAACUUUUUCUUUGAUGAAUAACUAAUCUAAUUUUGAAGACAUUAGAGGCUUUAUCCUAGACACACCAAAAGAUAUGAAGCAUCGAUUUUUCUAGUGUUGACUUUUGGCAUUUAUUGUCUUUUCUCAAUUGAAAACUGUCUUGCCUCUCUUAGAAUUGAUAGGCAUUCUUUUUCCAUUUCUUUUUUACUUGCCUUUAAGUGAAGGCAAAUUCAACUCAUAACCUUCCUCAAAAUUUUCUUAUAUGCCCCCAGUCUAUGUGUUUUCUUCUCGCGCUCUCUCAAUCAUUAGACUUUUGUUCUAAGCCUUCCCCUUUAUCCAUUAAUUAUAUCAACGUCUUCAAAAUAUCUCUCAUUUGCCCCCAGUGUGGGGUGUGAUCCUAGUCAGGGUUUUAUGAAAAAAUAUUCUAUCCAGCUCAAAAUGGGACUACAAGGGAGAUAAUUUUUAGAAAGUGAAGGGAUAUCAAAGAUGGCCUUUUCUCAUUUCAAGCAAGGUCGGUUAGAACCGAUAAAUUUUGACCUCAUCUAGUGUAAUGAUUUGGACUUGUAAGAAUCAUGAUUCACGAGUCCAUAACUACCAAAUCCACUACAUGUCAUUAUGCAUACUGCUAAAACUUAGCUAUAUGAUGUGUGGUUCAGUUUUAAGUGUGAGCUCAAAAUUGUUUGGUCACCUCAUGUCAUUUCAACAAGAAUCGAGUCAUUUCUGCAAUCAAAACACUUUUAAUCUUCCGGAUUGAUUAACCUUUAUCGCAUGUUGGAGUUUGAUCAAAAUAUUUUGUCAGAAUAAAAUGUUAAACAUCUGUUGAUUUCAAAACAACAAAGAGACAAAAGCAAGGCAUGUUUCGUUGAAGGAUGAGAUGUGAUCCCAAAACAAAAUGCAGAAUUCCAUAACAAUAUGAUUGACUUUCAUCACCAUUCUUGAAUCAGCUUUUCUGGCAAUAUUGUGUUUUGCCAAGCACUUUCGAUCAACAUGUCAUUCUGAAGAUGUUCGGGGACAAUAUAGCCAAUGACACCCUCCUUCACCGACUCCACUUGUCUCUUGCUCACCAACUUUCAGACUCAAUUCUUGCAAUUCUUGAAACUGUUCACUUGAAAUGGUUGAGGACCCACCAUGACAUCACAUCUCUUAUCUGGAUUAUACCACCUAGAAAUUGGUGGUUGCAUGGGAUUUGUCGGAGUCAAGCAAAAUUCUAGAAUCUGGCAGAUGCUGGUCGACAAACUUAAACGGCAGAGGAAUGUCCCAUCUUGGCAAAGACAUUUGAGCAAUUGAUGCUACCGUGAGACCUGGCUAUACCACAUAAUUAAGGGUUCACACCGUCGAAGUCAUCUCCUGAUUCACCUCUCAUCAUUGUUCUGGAAUCCAUGGCAGAUCCUUCAAUCUUUCCUCUCUUCAUAGCUUGUUCAAUUCUUCGGCAAAUCCUCACAACAUCAUUUCAAUCUUCCAAUGUUGUUAUGGUUGGUUGAGGAUUGUUUAGAAAACUUUCCAACAACUUGGUAAUCUUGGCAGCGCCCAGAAACUUGUAGUAUCGCCACUACCGACGUGUGGAAUCACACAUUGUCUCUAUUGGAAGAGCACCUGAUGAAUCUAAAACUCCUUUGUCCCCUCUUCGAUUUCUCACUGACAGUGCAGCAAACAAACACCUAUAGAGGAAGUCCUGCUCUGUUGAAGUUUCAGUAUUCUUCAUGUUUUUCAGUCUAGGCAUGUCUCUUCUCUCUACUUUUGCUUUUAAUACUGACACUGUUGGAGGAAAAUCAUAGAUGACUGAAACUACUGUAUUCCUUCUUGGAUUUCCCACUUGCGGAUCCACAAACAGAUUCCUGAGAGAGCUCUGCUACGUUGAAGUUUGAUGUCUGCUCAUAUUUUUCAGACCAGGUCUGGCUCUUCAACCUACUAAGAGGUCUUCGUGCUGAAACUGAUGAGAGAAAUAUUUGUAGCGUAUGCAACUUAUAAAUCCCCUCUUGUAUUCCCAAUUUGCAGAGCCAUAAAUGGAUUUUUGUAGAGAGAGCUCUGCCACGUUGGAGUUUGACGACUACUCAUAUUUUCAGACCAGGCCUGACUCCUCUGCCUAGUACAAUGUUUUGCUCAUUCCACUGGUGGGAAAAAGUUUCAAAGCAUAUGAAAUUAAUACAUCCCCUUUUCCAUUUCCCAUUGGCAGAUCCACAAAUAAAUCUCUACAGAGAGAGCUCUACCACGUAGAAGUUCAGUGUCUGAUCAUGGUUUUUCGGACCAACAUCUUGUGCUGUUGAACUGAAAUUGAGCUCAUAAUUGGGGUAGCUCCAAAGAAGACUAAUGCACCAUGUACAGGGGGCUAGUAGUGGUUUGGUUCCAUUAGAUGAUGUGGAGGCGAUGAACACUUAACAGUGCAACUGGACAAGAACUAGAGUUGUCAUUAGUUGAUGACUGAAGGCAUUGCUGCUGUUGUUCAUGACUGAAAAGGAGAGGCAGCUUCAAUUGGACAUGGACAAGCAGUGUUCCCACAGAAGACUGUGCAGACAUUCUCUUUCCAUUUGAUGCUCAACACUUGUUCGAGUAGAUCUGAGUCCAGCUAUUUCACCUUUGAUUCUCUCAAACUCAAACUGAUAAUGAGCCUCUAUCUGACACCUUUCUUCACCUCCAUCAUUUUUCUUCAAUCACGUGCAACACAGCUUGUGCGGGGGACCUACCUUUCAACCCGGUACAUGUAUGUAAUCUAUAUGACGAACUCACCCUUCGAGGGGUGACAAUAUGGUCGUAACUCUUGUAUGAUGGAACAAGAAUCAUGAUUUUUUCCCAACCUCUACAAUGAAAAUUUUCUGAGUGACGACCAUUGUGUCACCCACAAGUCUUGAGUUCAAGAUGCUUCAAGAAGGGUUUGCUCGGAUGCAAAACAAUAGCACAUACAUCCUAAAGACAAGCUCUAUUCAUUUUACGUGAGACAGGGUAGGUUUGCUACUUGGUCUCUAAAAGGGUCUCUUGUUGUCCCAGUGAUCGCCCUCGUAAAGGCAAUAUAGGGGCCCAGUAGGUAAUUGGUUGGCACGUGUCCAACUAUUACCAGUCUAAGCACUCAACAAAGAGUUGGGGUUUACACAAACUUAAACCUUGACUCAAGUCGUAAGGUAAGCUGCUAGUCCCCCACCUAACCUAAAGCUGGUAUGUGCUUUAAAAAAUUAAAACUUGUGAUGCAUGAGAGAAAUAUAUACAAUGCAUGAAUAAAACACAAAUAAACAAAACAAAGCACAAAAAAAAAUUGAACACAUUAAAACACAAAGCUUAGUCCGAUAAAGUUGAAAACAAUACCUUCCCUAGUGGAGUCGUCAUUCUAUCGCACGUCGAAAAAAAUGCUUAUCAAGAAGAGAUAAGAAAAGCAUUAGAUGAUGUUCUUUUCUGCGGCUAUAAAUGGAUGAAGAGAUUAAUACCAAAAACAUGGACAAAAAUUGAUGUGGACCCACACUACUUUGAUUAUUUUUCACUUUCUUUGCUUUUCUUGUGCUUCACUACUUGAUGAUUCAAAAGUUAUCUAUGUAAAACAAUUAUUUUUUGUAAAUAUUCUUAAAAUACAAAAAUAAACAAGUAUUAUUAUGUCAUGCAACUAAAUUUAUUCUAACGUUAUUCACGCAAGAAUUAUAUAUUCAAUUUGUUAAGUUUUAGCAAUGCAAAAGAGAUAAUGACAAGUACAAAUUAUAUUUAUUUUAUAAUGUUUUUUAAUAUAAAAGCUUGUUUCAAUGUCUUUUUUUUCAAUUUGAAUACUUAUAAUCACGAAAUUUAAUCAAUAAAAUAUCUUUAUUAGUUUUAUUAUUAGAAUAAUGAUGACAUAGUUAAUUCUUUUUAGAAUGAUGAUGAUGAUAUAUAUAUAUAUAUAUAUAUAUAUAUAUAUAUAUAAUUGAAAAUAUUAAUUUAACAAACAUAAUUUCUAUUUAAAUUUAAAGAUAAACUAACUUGAAAUUAUGCAAUUUAAAUUUUAAAUAUAAGUAAAAAAAUAAGAGUUGAAUCGGUAUGACUCGAUCGAUUCAAUAAGCUCAAAAAUAGUAUGGACGACUAAUAAAAAUAUAGUUUUACUUAAAAAAGUUCAAGAUGACAUAUAUUUUUUUAAGAAAUAUAUAGAUAAUAACAUAUUAGAUCGAUUUGGGUCAACAUGGGUUAACCUUUAAAAUCCAUGACUCGGGUCAUGAAAUCAUAAUAACCUCAAAUAAAAUAAAUCAAAAUAAAUUAUGAAUCUUAAUUUUCAAUAAACCUGUUGUUGAAUUAUGAAAUUGAAAAAAAAAAGAUGAUCUAAAAAAAUAUAUAAAAAAUGACUUUUCAAAACAAAAUUAUUAAUUUGAAUAUUAUAAAAAUAUUAUUGACAAUUUCGCAAAGUUUUUCUAAACUUUGAUUGCCUUAAAUAUAUGUUAGGAGAUUUCUUGUAAAAUUUCAAUCUAAUUUAACAAUCAGAUUAAAAACAUAUGAUUGAUAUAGUGAAAUUAAACUUUUUUUUUUAAUAAAAGCAUAACAAAAAAUUAAUUGACCAUAAUAGAAUGCCUGGAUAAGACCGAAACAUUCCAGCCAGAAUUUAGGUGAAAUUCAUGGAAUGAGAUAAGAUUUUAAACAAGAUGAAAUAUCUUCUAAUUUAUUCAGUUUUUUAAAUUGAGUUAAAAUAUACCUGUCAGAUAUAUACACACUCAAUGAUCACUUAAUAUCUUUAUAUUAGUUUUCAAGUUUUGACAUAAAAGUUCAUAGCUCUUAAAGACAAGAAAUAUACCACAAGAUUUAAAACUAUUUUAUAUUUCAUUAAAAUAAAUAAAUAAAUUACUUAUAUUUUUUUCUUAAGAGAAUAAAUUGAUUUCAUGUGUUAAUAACAUUUAAGGAUCUUUUCCAGUCAAAUAAUUAAAUUUAUUUUAAUUAAAAAGUUUCCAAUCAAUAACAGCAUUGCCAAUUAAACCAAAGUUUUUCCACAAACCCAUUUCGUGGAAAAAAACUCAUGAUGGUUGGAAGAGGAAAAAUGCAUGCCGGCAAAGUACUUAUAAAAUACUUGUUUUGUGUACUAUUGCGAUAAUAGGAUUGCCUAUCGUAGAAAAAACGCUUGAUAGCAAUGCUCUUAUAGACCAUCCCACUAGCCUAUAUUGUGCAUCUCACACUGCAAAUUCCUAUCCAUCAUACUUGUUAACCUAUAUUAUGCAUCUCACACUGCAAAUUCCUAUCCAUCUUACUUGUUAAUUGUGUUACAAAAAAAUAAACAGAUAAGUACUUUAGAAAGAAAAAGAAGAAGACUUGUUAUCAUGACAAUGACAAUAAGUAUUUUAGAAAUAGUAUCAUUUAUGGUUCAUUUUAUCAACGAUACUGUUUGAUUUUGUCACCAUCUUCAAAAUUAAGGCAUGAUUUUCCACACGUUAUUUCCAUAAAGAAUGUCGUACCCGACAUCGCGGCGGUCCUAAAAAUAAUUCUCUUGAAUUAUGGAAAAAGAACAUAUUUCUGGCAUCUUGUUCUUUGAAGGGAAAAGGUCUGGUUUGAGGAGUCACCACCUAGUAUUAUGGUCACUAGGAACCUUAAUUGGUCAAUAGAGAUUCUAUGAUUCGGGACUGGUUACAUAAAAGGGAAGAUAUUAUCACCCCUUAAAUGUUCUGCCUAAGGCAAACUACAUUGCUGGUUUUGUCUUAAAUUGCUAAAUUUUUUAUUGGUUUAUGCUCUUAUGGUUUAUUCGCAAUAUUCUUGACUCUGGCGUUAAUGAAUAUUCAACUAUGGAUAAUUCCAACUCUGGCGUUGGUAACUAUUACGUAGUUAUAAAAUAAAUUUAUAUCAAUAUUUUUUUAUUCCUGACUCUAACGUUAGUAAAUAAACAAAUAAACUAAAUUUAUUUUAUUACGCAUUCACAUAUUUUUUAUUUCUUAUGUAGUUAAAUAAAAAAAAAACAAUUAAAUCAGUGUUCUUAUUCCUGACUCUAGUGUCAGUGAAUAAUCCAAUAAAAUAAAUUUUAUUUUUCAUACAUGCACACAUAUAUAUUUUUUUAUUUUUUCUUGUUAAAUAAAAUAAAAUAUAACUAAUAAAAAUAAUAUAAAUUUAAACCAUAUUUUAUUCCCGACUCUGGCGUUGGUGAAUAAACCAGUAAAUUCAUAUUAUUUUUUUCACGCAUACACAUAUUUUUCUAUUUCUUUUUUAUUAUUUUUUAUUUUUUCUAUUUUUCUAUUUUUUAUUACUUAUGUUUUUUGGGCUGGGCCCAGCUCAGCCCACAUGGGCCAGCCCGAUCACGAUUCUUCGACCCAUCCUGAUUUGGAUCCGAAUUUGUGGAUGGAGGUAGGAUCAUCCGAUGGACUCGGUAAAAAUCAGGUUUACGAGCUCUCCAACACUACGGCCGAGAACUUGUUGGUGACCCGUAGUGUCUCAACCGUUGCGAGCUCUUAAUCAAUAUCGAGCACCCAAUCUAAGGAGUUUAUGGCCUUGUAGAAACACACGACUCAUCUCACCGAAAAAUACAAGCAACUAUCGGUGAAUUAUGAACAAAACACGGCUCACACGGCUCAUCUCACCGAGAAAUAUAAGCAACUCUCGACGAAUUAUGAACAACUUUGCCAAAUGGUCAUGAAUUUGACAUCACAUAGUGGUGAUACAUGUGCGCCCCCUUUUUGGCCAUAUGGUUUCGGGAACAACCAACCUCCUCCUCUAGCUCUGUCAUUUUGCUAAUUUAAUAUUUUUUUGGAAACACAUUCAAUUUGUAAUGAAUAUUAUUUAACUUUGUUUUAUAUAUAUAUAUAUAUAUAUUAUGUUUAAUAAAGUUUUAUUUGUGGUUUGUUUUACUAUUAAUUUAUAUAAUUGUUUUUAUUCUAAAUAAUUAAAAAAUAAUUUUAAAAAUACAAACCAACGGAUUUAUAGACGGAAUAUGUCCGUUGGCAUUUCAUAAAGAUGGAAAUGACAGACACUCACUGACGAAUUGACAGAUAGCUACAGUCAGUUGGGAAAUGCACACUCACCAUCGACGGAUAUAGUCCAUUGGCAUUUUACCGAGAAAUGAAACAUAUUUACUGGAUAUGCCACUAUCAUUGAUGGAAUAAAAUUCGUUAGUAUAUUUCCAGCGGGAUUUUUUUUGUGUGCAUUUUCUGUUUGUAAAACCAUCGACAAAAUAUUUUUUUAUCGACAUAUUUUGCAACAGAAUGUUGUAUUACCAACAAAAGGGAUGCCGAUGGACUCUUUCCGUCGGUGAGGUAGUUUGUAAAAAAUUUACCGGGGAAGUCUUACUCUUACACCGAUGGAUAAUAUCCAUUGGUAAAACUGUGACAUCUUGUAGUGUCUUGCUUACCAUCGUUUAUUUUAGAAUAAUAUUACCAACAUAUUAGUUUUUUUUAUUUUUAUGAUCACUUAAUACCUUCAUAUUAGUUUUCAAGUUUUGAGAUUAAGUACAUAGAUCUAUUCUUACCAAGAGAUUAAAAAUGAUUUUAUAUUUAAUUAAAAUAAAUAAAUCAGUAAUAUAUUAUAAUAUUCCUUCUUAACCAGUUAACACAACACAACGGCCUAGCCUUACCACAUCGAAACUAUGCCUACCCCUAUAACUUCAGCCUAAACAAUGACAUGAAUUCGGUAAGCAAUAUCACCUUUCUUUCUUUUAACAAAUACUACUUAAGGGAUUGAGAUAACACAAAGAGAGGAUGUAAUCUUUAUAAAUCAAAAUAAGUUUACAAAGGAGAUUCUUAGGAAGUUCAAAAUGAAAAAUUAUAUAAAAAUAAAUACUACAAUUGAGAGUGGAGUAAAGAUGUCAAACAAUGAUGAAGAGAAGAAGAUUAACUCUACAACAUUCAAAAGCUUGGUUGGGUAUUUGAGAUAUUUGACAUGCACUUGUAUGAAUAUUCUUUUUAGAGUAGGACUUGUGAGUAACUAGGUUUAAGGAGACACCAACUAUGACUUAGUUCAAAGCUUUGAAGCGAAUUCUUUGGUAUAUUAAAGGUACUGUUGAUUUUGGUUUAUUUUAUGUAUAUUCUAAUAGCUUUGAUCUUUUGGGUUAAUUAUAGUGAUAGUGAUUGAGUUAGAGAUAUGGAUGAUAAAAAGAGUAUUUAGGUUUUGUUUUCUACAUUGGAGAUACAUCAUUCACAUGGAGUUCAAAAAAACAAUUUAUAGUCAUUUUGUUAACAUGUGAAGCUGAAUAUAUAUCUAAUACAUCAUGUGUUUAUCAUUCCAUAUGGCUAAGAGGAUUAUUGAAAGAAUUGUGUAAGCCAUAAAAAAAGCCUAUGAAGAUUUAUGUGGACAAUUGUCAAAACCUCUAAACAACAUCAACCUCAAAGCAGCUUGCUUUAUGUAGGGUGCGUUGGGGUACUGAUACCUUUUCUAGCAACAACUAGUCCUUUACUUUUGAAUCUCUAACAAGACCAGUACAUCUGAGUUUUGUUAACGACCUUAAACCAAACAACUAGCUGAGUGGCGAGUUCCAAUAAACCUCCCGACAUUGCAUGUCCUCGUGCGACAGGGAAGGAGUAGAUGCUGAUGAGGUGAAGCUAAACACUGUUAUUGCAGUUAAGGCCGGUGAAGUUAUACCAUUGAUGGAGUUGUUGUUGGUGGUAACUGUGUAGUGGAUGAGAAAGCUUUAACUGGAGAGUCAUUUCCGGUUGCCAAAUAAGUGGAUUCCGUAGUGUGGGUUGGAACUAUUAACUUAAACGGUGUCAAUACUUCUCUGUGACACUAUGAAUUGUUUUUAAUCUUAUUAUAAGUUUUUUCUUAAUUUUUUUUAUGAUAAUUGAGGAAUAUAUUAAUACGAAAAAAAACCUAAGUUUAAAUGACCGGCCAUUAAAAUUAAUCAAUCGGUGGUUGCAUUCCAACACACUACAUUAAGAUUUAUUUUUUAUACAAGUUGAAAUUAAAGCGCAUAUAUAUAUAUAUAUCAUCCCUUGUCAAGCUGUGGAACAAACCCAUCUCUUAGAAAAAACGCAGAUGGCAAUAAGUUAUACCAUUUAAAAUUAAAGGAUGGUUUUCUAGACGUGGUUCCCAUAAAGAUAGAAGGGAGGACACUGUAUCCAUCAUCUUCAUGGAGUGAGCUGGCCAACGUAAACCUUUUAUUCAUGUUUUUCCACAGAAGACUUUGACUUGGGGUCAACUUUUCGCUUAAUUACUUUUAUACAUGCAAUUCAAUUUUUUUUACAAUGUUAGUAAAAUCACUUUAAUUAUUCUUUCAAUCUUCCCGUGUGAUUCACUGCUUGGUGAUUCUAAAGUCACCUAUUUAAUCUUUAGUACAUUAUACAACUAAAUUCUAUCAAGAGGAAUUCUUUAUUUAUUUGGGAGGCCAGCAAAGUCAAAAGGGAGUGGUAGCUCAUCAUUUCUAAGAGAAUUCUAUCAAGGAACGAAGAUACUUUCGGAGAAUAACAGAAAAUAAAAUUUGUCUCAAUUUAUUUGGUAUCCAACCAUAUUGGGAAGUGUAUUUUUAAAUAUUUAAUUUUUUUAUUUUAAAUUAAUAUUUUUUUUUUGUUUUCGUAUAUUUGAUGUGUUGGUGUUACAAAUAAUUUUUAAAAAAUAAAAAAAUAUAUUUUUUAAUAUGUUUUAAAAUGAAAAAUAAUUUGAAAAGCAAUAACUAUUAUACUCACAAAUACCCUCUAAUAAUUGCGAGAACAACAAGGCACAUUCACCGACAUAUCUAGAAACGAUACAAAGUUGAGUUGUAACUUAUUAAUUCACCUUAAAAACAUACUGAGCCUCUCAGUUAUGGAAAAGACAGAUAUUUUAAAGAAGGUGGUGCUCAAGGGUUUCAAGGGAGUUUUCUCCGAAAAACGAAGGUCCAUAAACAACAUUUCUAAGGAGCUCAAAAUUCUCAUUUACUUAAUUAAUUAUAGACCGGUUAACUUUCGCACGGUUUAAGUUUUUUUUUUAAUAGAAAAAACAUUAAAAGAAUCUACAUAUUACCUUUUAUAUUGAAAAAAUAUACGAUCCGAUUUAUAGCAUAGCAUGAACUAAAAAUAUACGAUCCGAUAUAUUAUGUUAUUACUUCCUCCCCCUGUCUUGUAUAUAUUGUCAUCUGUUUUUCUUUUAUGCUGGCUAGCCUUUAAUUUUGGCUCUAGCACCUUUCUAUAAUAAUACUCGACUAUUAUACAGAAGAAGAAGAAGAAGAAGAAGAAGAAGAAGAAGCAGAAAUAACUCGACAAUUUCUCUAAUGUGCAAAGGAUAUAGAGCCUUCCUUCUCUCCUUCUGGUCAAUCGUCUUGGAGGGCCUAUGUUCUUGCCUUGUUCAAGACUCCUAUCUUAUCUUAGUUAUUCAACAAAUAUGAAGAAAUUUUCCAAAAUCAUUUCUUGACAUAACAUCUCACCCACCCCUCAGCCCUUUGUCAAGUCCACCGUCUUGGAGAGCCUAUGUUCUUGCCUUGAUCAAGACUCCUAUCUUAGUUAUUCAACAAAUAUGAAGAAAUUUUCCAAAAUUAUUUCUUGACGUAACCCCUCAGCCCUUUCUCAAGUCCUCCGCCACUCUCGGUAAAUUAUUCUAUAACAUCAGUCUGAGGAAUCGAACAAAGAGGGCGAUGAUUGGGCAUCAGUCUUGAAACCACAAUGAUCCGAUGGACGAGAGCCGCUAGUGGAGAAGGAUUCAUGCAUCUUUGUUUUUGUGUAUUUCUCAUGCUCUUUUUCACUGUACAACAGAACUUUUGCCUUUUCAGUAUUUCCUCUUAGACGCUCUUCAAUCAAUGGAAAGAGGAAACACCACAGAAAGGUGUAAACUAAAAAGAAAUUCAAUGCUCACACUUUGAAUUUUAAUUUGCAUGUAUCAGGUCAUUGACAGCUAUCCAUUAAAAUUACAGAGUAAAAUCUCAUUUAUCAAGAUGGUCUUAAUCGGGGAUCAAAAAUUUGAUGGACAGAUUGUUAAAUAGGAAUUCUCUGUAUCUAGAGAAGAUACAGAGAUGAGUUGAAACUUGUUAAUUCAUCUUAAAAAGAUACGUAGCCCCUCCGUUAUGGCAAAGAUAGAUAUUUUCGAGAAGGUGGUGCUCAAGGGUUUUAAGGGAGUUUUCUCAUGAAAACAAAAGUCCAUAAACAACUUUUCUUAAGGAGCUCAAAUUCUCAAUUAAUUAAUUAAUUAAUUAUAGAUUAGGUUAACUUUCACACAGUUUAAGUUUUUUUUAAUAGAAAAAUAUUAACAAUACCUACAUAAUUUUUUUUUACAUUAAAAAAAUAUAUAAUCUGACUUGUAGCGUAGCACAUGUUAAAAAUAUAUUAUUUUCACUAUUAGAGACAAGAAGUAAUUUGUUAAAUCUUUUUAAAUACACUAGAUGGAGGUGCAUCUUUAAAGUUUUAAAAUAAGAAUUUACUUUAGAUUAAUAUACAAUCUAUUCUAACCAAUUGAUACAAUAGAAUAUAAUAAAUUUAGAGUAGAAGUUCUAAAUAUGGUGACUGUAAAUUAGUGGCAUGAGUUGUUCCUCCAAUAUGCUACUUCUCUUCAACCAAGAAUAUUCAUUAACUUUGUCGCCCGUCCCCGCGCGGCGUCAGUGGUGAUUUUUGCUUGUUUGUUCGAUUGUUGGAGUUACUACCUAGUAUUUGAUUAAGGGUUACUAGGAAACCCGAAUGUAUUGGUCUUUGUCAGAGAUUCAUAAGUAAGAGACUGGUUGUUUUUAGAGAAGGUAUUAGCACCCUUAGCACACCUUACAUGAGAUAAGCUACUUUGCAAUUUGAUGUGAUUUAAAAGAAAACUCUUACUAUGUCUGUCAUGACUAGCUCUUUCAACUUGUCUCAAGGUGAAUGCACCAUAAAGAUAUCCUUUAAUAAUGAAAACUUGUUACUUGGAUUAAAACUUUAUAAACAACUUUUUUUUUAGUAAAAGCUAUAUCGAUGAAAAGAUGGUGAAUUAUAUAUUGGUGGUUAAUGGUUCAACUAUUAAUAUACUACCUCUUAAUAUUAUAAAAGAGCUUGAGAUUCAUAUUUAUGUUUAUAUAUAAAAAAAAUGUCAUUUUCACACAAACAUAAAUUUACUUAUAUGCGAUAUUUGUGAAUGUAUGGUAUAUAAUUUUUGUAAGAAAGUUUUAUAAACUGAUUUAUGAAACAAAACUGAAGAUGCGUCUUUAAUGUCUCUAUUCUGCUCUUGUAAUUAAAUCAUUAAGUUUCAUUUUUAAUGACCAGGCAAAGUAUAGAGAAGUUAGUAGCAGCGAGCAAGAACCCUGAACUCACAAACCACACCAAUAUCAGCAAUGUGAGGAAUCAUUAGCAAAAGGUAAAAACAAAUAAUGACAUAAGCAAGUGUCGGUCAAGUAAUAUACAUACAUCUAUUUUUACUUCUUCCAGAGAUACAGUGUAUAGGAGUUUAUUGGCCACCCUUCUGGCUAAAAAUUAUAGCUACGAGCUUCAUGGUUAAUUUUCUUGAACCGGAAGAACCCUUCGUUUAUGGCCAUGUUCCAAGAUAUAUAAGUGAAUUAGUUGCAAAACAGGGGAGUCUCUGUGAAAACAUUAUAAGAGCAUUUACUCUAAGUAAGAACACCUCUAUGCAUGUGCUGUAAUUGACAAAGAAAAGAAGAGAAAUCCUUUCAAUUUAUGAAAAUGCAAUGAUUUAACCUUAUCUCACACUGCAAUAUAUACUCUACAGUAUUCAUGUAUGAAAACAUUUGAACGGGAAUAAAGAAAAUAAUUCAUCAAACAAUAUGCAUAAGGAAAUCACCAGGAAAUUACUGGAUGGUUGUGUUUAAAAAUCAAAAUGGUACACAGCAAGUCAAGCAUCCGCGUUCAUAACCUUAAAUGAUUUUCACACCCUGCUUUUCUUUCCAGUCACGCAAACAGAUAGUGCAUAAAAGCACUACGACCAUAAUUGACUCCCAGUCAAUACGGUCAACGCAAAUUGUUUAGCGAACUAUUAAAUUGUUUGAUGAGGUUACAUGCCAACAAAACUAAUUUGAAUAUAGCUAACUCCAAAAUUAUAAACAUAUUUAAAAGUAUAGGGAUUAGUUAAAACAACAAGUUAUCAUUGUCUCUGAGAAUUAAUAUAAAGCUCAGCAUUUUGUUGAUGGUACCUGCUGCUUGUGGGCAGAGGUACAUUUAUUUCUGUUAACUUUCUAAUAUUAGAUCUUGCAUAAUUUAUUAAAUUUAUUUUAAUAUAUUAAAUAAUGUAAGGCACAAAACAGAUCAUAAUAGAAGACAAUAAAAACAAGUGAUAUAUUUGUUGCACAUGGCAAGUUAUAAAAUGUUUGAUAUACACUUUAGACAUCACAAAGGUUGAUCAUUGUCUUGUACAUAGUUUUUCUUUUUAUAGGAUUAUCUCAAUCAUGUGCUCAUGAUCAUGAGAUUAGUGUAUUUAUAUAAUUUUGACCCGUUUCCUUUUUCAAUGUUUUUUUUUUUAAGUUUCUUCAUUUAAUAUUGGGUAUGACUUUUUUGUUCCCUUUUAUCAGAGCAUAUGGUUGUUUCAUAAACAAAAAAAAAAACUCUACACUUAUCUCUUGAUAUUUUCAAUUUUUAUUUUGAGUCAUAGUUUAUGGUUUUUUUCGCUUAUUAACAAAUAUAAUUUUCGAUUUAUUUGACUAUAUUUAUAAAGUUUUUGAUUUUCACUUAAAUUUUUUUAAAAUAAAAUGAGUGGGCACUCAAAGAUUCAUAUACCUUAUCUUCCAAGCAAGAAGAGACAAGAAAAGCAGUAGGUGAUGUUCUUUUCUCCGACUGUAAAUGGAUAAAGAGAUUAAUACCAAAAACAUGGACAAAAAUUGAUGUGAACCCACUCCACUUUGAUUAUUUUUCUAUUGAAGUACUUGAUAAUCUAGUGUAUGUCCAUAAAUUUGUUUGCAUUGGUUUCUCUAAUAAAAGUAUAUAAAAAAAUAUUCAAUAAAACUAUAUUUUUAUGUUUUUUUUCUUUAAUUUAAUCUCUUGAAUUUGUUUAUCCUGAUCUCAUGAUUCAGGUCAUAAACUUGAUGGGUUAACUCGAGGUUUUUUAAUAUAUAUAUAUAUAUAUAUAUAUAUAUAUAUAUAUAUAUAUAUUAUGUUAUGUUAUUACUUCCUCUCCCUGUCUUGUAUAUACUGUCCUCUGUUUUUCUUUUAUGCUAGCUAGACUAUAAUUUUGGUUCUAGCACCUUUCUAUAAUAAUACUCGACUAUUAUUAAAAAAGAAAAAGAAAAAGCAGAAGCAGAAAUAACUCGACAAUUUCUCUAAUGUGCAAGGGAGUGUUUGACGUGCUAAGGAUACAGAGCCUUCCUUGUCUCCUUCUGGUCAAUCGUCUUGGAGAGCCUAUGUUCUUGCCUUGAUCAAGACUCCCAUCUUAUCUUAGUUAUUCAACAAAUAUGAAGAAAUUUUCCAAAAUCAUUUCUUGACAUAACAUCUCACCCACCCCUUAUCGCUUAUCCCAUCUUAUCUUAGUUAUUCAACAAAUAUGAAGAAAGAGGGCAUCAAUCUUGAAACCACAAUGAUCCGAUGGACGAGAGCCGCUAGUGGAGAAGGAUUCAUGCAUCUCUGUUUCUCUGUAUUUCUCAUGCUCUUUUUCACUGUACAACAGAACUUUUGCCUUUUCAGUUUUUCCUCUUACGCUCUUCAAUCAAUGGGAAAGAGGGAACACCACGGAAAGGUGUAAACUGACAAGAAAUUCAAUGCUCACACUUUGAAUUUUAAUUUGCAUGUUUCGGGUCAUUGACAGCUAUACAUUAAAAUUACAGAGUAAAAUAUCAUUUAUCAGAGCUCAGUCACAGACAUAUCUAGAGGGGAUACAGAGUUAAGGAUAUGUUUAUAAAAAUUAAUUUUUUUACGACCCUCCUUUUCAAUUGAAAUCUUGAAGGAUAUAACACAAGAAGUAUAUUGUAUCAUUUUCUGACAAUAUUAGUGUAAGGUAAAACUAUUGACAAAGUGAAGAAAAUAUUAGAGCAAAAGACGACAUUUUUCCAACCCACUAAUUAAUUCCUUCAAAGAGGAAGAUUUUCUAUUUCUUGAAAGGCUAAUCUUGCACUAUUUUUCUCUUGCGUUCAAAGAGGAAGAUUUUCUAUUUCUUGAAAGGCUAAUCUUGCAGUAUUUUUUUCUUGCGGAAUGCAUUCACACUACAUUUAAAAUUUAGGAAAACUAAAUCUAUGAUUUUUUUUUAUAAAUUGAUUUUAUUUUUUUAUCAUCCCAUAUAUACCUUAAUUAAACCUUGCUUUUAAUUAUUUCGAUGAAUAAAACAUUUAUUUUUAAUCUUAUUAUUAGUUUUUUCUUAAUUUUUUAUGAUAAUUGAGGAAUAUAUAUAUUAAUACCGAAAAAACACCCAAGUUUAAAUGACCAGCCAUUAAAAUUAAUCAAUCGGUGGUUGCAUUAUUCUAACACACUACAUUAAGAUUUAUUUUUUAUACAAGUUGAAAUUAAAGCAUAUAUAUAUAAUCAUCCCUUCUCAAGCUUGAGGGGAAAUUGUGGAACGGACCCUCUCUUAGAAAAAACGCACAUUGCAAUAAUAAUGUUUGAUUUUGCCAACACCAUUAAAGUUAAAGCAUGAUUUUCUAGACGUGAUUUCCAUAAAGACAGAAAGGAGGGCUCUGUAUCCAUCAUCUUCAUGGAAAGUGAGCUGGCCAGCGCUAACCUUUUAUUCAUGUUUUUCCACAAAGACUUUUACUUGGGGUCAACUUUUCAGUUAAUGUUUUUUAUAAUGUUAGAAAAAUCACUUUAAUUAUUCUUUCAAUCUUCCCGUGUGAUUCACUGCUUGGUGAUUCUAAAGUCGCCUAUUCAAACUUUAGCACAUUAUACAACUAAAUUUAUUCUUUCACUCGGCAUUUAUUAUAUAUUCAAUUCGUUAAUCGUUAGAAAACUUAGUGAUUAAUAAAUUAUCUUUGUCAGAGUUAACUGUUUUUAGAUGAGUCUGGAUCAUUAUUUCUGUUUUAUUUUUAAUUUUUGAACUAUCAAAAUAUAGAUAAAUUUAAAAUAAAUAUCUUUUUACAAUAGUUUUUGAGUGAAAUUGGAGUAAAAUUUAUACUUUUAAAUAAAAAAUAUAUAAAAACAUGUUUUCUAUGUUCCCACUAUUUUUGUAUUUUAUAUCAUGGUAAUUAAAUGUUGUCUGGUUAACAUAACACUAAAUCAUAAUUAAAAAAAAUAAUUGUGAAAUGGCAUGGUAGUUGGAUCUAUUUUUUUUUUUUGUGAUUAAAUUAAGUUUUUCGAUAAAUGACACAUGUAUUCGGGGACAAAUAAAAAAAUAAUCUUAUUGCUAGAGAGGCAUUGGAGCCUUUAAUAUUUUGCAAAGGCAUGGAACACGAUGCCAAGGGAAUGUAAGAUAGUUGUUGACAGCUGGCGUCAACCAGAAAAUUCUAAAAUAUUCUCAUCAUUUCAAAGAAAAUUCUAUCGAGAGGAAUUCUUUAUGUAUUUGGGAGGCCAGCAAAGUCAAAAGGGAGUGGUAACUCAUCAUUUCCAAGAAAAUUCUAUCAAGAAACGAAGAUACUAUCAGAGAAUAACAGGAAAUAAAUUUGUCUCCAUUUAUUUGGUAUCGAACCAUCUUAAUGGUUGUGAGAAAAUCUAGAGAAGAUACAAAGUUAAGUUGAAACUUGUUAAUUCACCUUAAAAAGAUACUGAGCACACAAGUUUAUUUUAAAUUUAGGUUUUGCUAUAAAUUUAAAAGAAAAGGGAGUGUUUGACGUGCUAAGAAAUUCAAUGCUCACACUUUGAAUUUUAAUUUGCUUGUUUCGGGUCAUUGACAGCUAUAUAUAUGUAUAUAUAUAUAUUUGAAGUUUUUGUAUAUAAUACUGUAGCCACACAAUCCAUAGGGUUAAGAUUUAUAAUUAUUCCGAGUUUAUUAUUAUUGAUAAUUUAUGCAUUUAAUUAUAUAUAUGAUAGUGAUGACACCAUGCAAAUACUCCUAAAUGAUUCUAAAUUGUGACGAGAGAACUACAAUUAUUAAAGUAAAAAAAAUCAUACGCGGAAUCACAUGGAGUACUGCAACAAUAUUAAUUUUUUUUUAUAUAAAUUGGAUAAUUAGUAACCCUAAAUAAUAUUCAAAUCUAGAAUAUUCUAAAAAGACAUAAAAUAAUAUUCAAAUCUCAAAACAUGAAACUCUUAAUUAUGAUGAGAGAAGUACAAUUAUAAAGUAAAAAAGAUUUUACACGGAAUCACACACGAAUGUCGAUAACAAUGCUGAAGUACUACAACAAUUUAUUUUAUUUUAUUUUAUUUAUAUAAAUUGGAUAAUUAGUAACCAAAAUAUGAUUUAAUGUAAAUAGACUAAGUGCUAAACAAUAAAUUAAAAUAAUAUUCAAAUCCUAGAAUAUUCCAAAAAAAAAUAAUAUUCAAAUAUCAAAACAUGAAACCCUAAAUUAUGACGAGAGAAGUACAACUAUAAAGUAAAAAAGAUUUAACACGGAAUCACACACGAAUGUCGAUAACAUUGCUGAAGUACUUCAACAAUUAUUUUAUUUUAUUUUAUUUAUAUAAAUUGGAUAAUUAAUAACCAAAAUAUAAUUUAAUGCAAAUAGACUAAGUGAUAAACAAUAAAAUAAAAUAAUAUUCAAAUCUAAGAAUAUUUCAAAAAGAAAUAAAAUAAUAUUCAAAUCUCCAAACAUGGAACCUGCACACAAGAUAUGCAGAUAAAGUUAAGGAAAUUAAAUGGCCAAAGUGUAGUAUAAAUAGGACCUCUAUGGUUGCCCAAAGGCACAUCACAAACAACAAUAUUCUACGUAGUAGUAAUUCAUAGAAUUAUCUAAGAUGAUGAUGAAAAGAAUUGGGGCUCGGAUCAUGUUGCUAGCGUUAUUGGCUUUGGUUGGCGAAUGGCAUGGUCGUUGUUAUGGGUGUGUGGAGGAAGAGAGGGUUGGUCUCUUGGAGAUCAAAGCUUUGAUCGACCCAGAUGGCUUUUCCGUGAGACAGUGGGUGGACAGUAGUAAUUGUUGUGAGUGGCAUGGGAUCGAGUGUGAUAACACUACAAGGCGAGUGAUCCAACUCUCUCUUCUCGGAGCAAGGGAUUUGAACUUGGGCAACUGGGUUCUCAACGCAUCUUUGUUUCAGCCUUUUAAAGAAUUGCAAAGUCUUGAUUUGGGAUGGAAUGGAUUGGUUGGUUGCAUGGAGAAUGAAGGUUAGUUCAAUGUUUCUGCACUUAAUUAUAAUCAUAAAAUAAAUGAAGGUUUGUUGGUGUUUAAUGUCAAUUAUCUUGCUUUGAUGAUUCUCUUCCAGGCUUCCAAGUCCUAUCCACUCUCAAGUAUUUAUAUCUAAUUGGAAACCAAUUUAAUAAUGAUAAAAGCAUUUUGUCAUGUUUCAAUGGUAACCUUUCCACUCUCAAGUCUUUGGAUCUAUCAAAGAAUUGGUUGACAGCUGGAUCAGGUAGCUUCUGUGGUAACCUUUUAAUUAUUUAGCUUCGAAACCUUUUCUUUUCUCCUUCUCAUAUCAUUUUUUUUCUAUGCGUUUAUUUCCUUCCAAUAUGCUUUUGAGAAACAUCAUGCAGAUUUUAAAGUCUUGUCAUCAAGGUUGAAAAAGCUGGAGAACCUUGAUCUAAGUUGGAAUCAAUGCAACGAUAGCAUUUUUCCAUCUCUUACUGGAUUUUCAUCUCUCAAGUCUUUAAAUCUUUCAUACAAUCAGAUGACAGGAUCUAUCAAUAGUAAGUUACAUUCUCUAAUCAAGAAAAUUGAGGACUUCAUAUCUAUUUAAUAAUCAAUUGUUUCUAACUAGGAUCGAUACUUGCUAUCUAUCUUCUUCCUUAAAAAAAUUAUAUUUAUUUAAUAAUCAACGCUCUUUUAUUUAUAUUUAUUUAUGGAGCUUUCAUCUUAUCCAUAAAUUGUUUUUCUAUUAAGACAGGAAGAGAUUAAAGUCAUGAGCUAGCUAGAUCAAAACUAGGAUGAUUAAAAAUUACAAGUAUAGAUCAAUGGAUACUUGCAAUCGAUCUAUCUUCUUCCUUAAUCUAUGCACUGUAUAUUUUUUAUGUAUAUCUUGUAGGUUUUCAACUCCAACCGAUGAGGCUGGGAAAGUUAGAGAACCUUGACCUGAGUGACAAUCAAUUGAACAAUAGCAUCUUAUCAAUUCUGAGUGGGCUUUCAUCUCUCAAGUCUUUGGAUCUAUCAUAUAAUGAGUUGACAGGUGGAUCAGGUAGCUUCUAUGGUAACCUUUCAAUUAUUUAGCUUCGAAACCUUUUCUUUUCUCCUUCUCAUAUCAUUUCUAUGCUUUUGAGAAACAUCAUGCAGGUUUCAAAGACUUGUCAUCAAGGUUGAAAAAGCUGGAGAACCUUGACAUGGGUUGGAAUCAAUGCAACGAUAGCAUUUUUUCAACUCUAACUGGAUUUUCAUCUCUCAAGUCUUUAAUUCUUUCACGCAAUCAAUUGACAGGAUCUGCUAGUAUCAUUAGUAAGUUAUAUAUAAUUUAUACCUAACUGCUUUACGUGACAUUCUUUUAUACGGUUUCGUAAUCAACGAUAGCAUUUCAUCAUGUUUGAUUGCGCUAGCUUUCAUCUAUGAAGAUUUAUAUCUAUGGAGCUUUGAUCUUAUCCAUAAAUUGUUUUUCUAACAAGACAGGAAGAGAUUAAAGUGAGCUAGCUGGAUCAAAACUAGGAUGAUAAAAAAUUACAUGUAUAGAUCAAUGGAUACUUGCAAUCUAUCUUCUUCCUUAAUCUAUGCACAAUAGCAUCUUAUCAAUUCUGAGUGGGCUUUCAUCCCUAAGGUCUUUGGAUCUAUCGUAAAAUAUGCUGACAGGAUCAGGUAUAAUACACAGUUUCUACCUAAAUGCUUCACAUGACAUUCUCUUAUUAUAUUGUUUCUUUAUCAACAAAAAUGAGGAGUCGUGUUAAUCAAUUUUUUCUAAAUAUCAAUUUUUUCACAACUCGAUUUCUAGGUCCAUAAUCAGCAAUGUAGGAAUCGUGUUAAAAGGACACCCUAUAUAUAUGCGAAGCUCCAUGAAAAACAUAUUAAAAAAAUAAAUUAUUUAAAAAUACACAACAUUUCAUAAUUUUAAAAAAUAUUAUAUUAUUUAAAAUUAAUAAAUCCAAAUGAUUGUUCAAAACUUCUCAUUGAUAAUUAAAACAAGAACAAUAAUGAAUAACACUCAUUAUAUUAUCAUGAAAAAUGAGGACUUUAUAUCUAUGUGAUGAUCAAUAUAAUGAUAGCAUUGUAUCAUGUUUGACCAUCUUUAACAACUUUAUAUCCUUAAAUUGUUUUUUUUUUCCCAAUAAGAUCAAAAUUAGAAUGAUUAAAAAUAUUUCUUAAUCUUUGAAGUGUACACAACCUAUUAUAUAAUUAAAUAUGCGUUCGUGAGCUCAUUAUAAUUAAAUAUAGCAUUUUAUCAUUCUUUUUAUGUGUAAUUCGAGAAUCAUAUAUCAAUUGAACAACAACAUCUCAUCAAUUCUAAUUAUUUUUAGUUUCUAUCUAUUAUGCAUAUCGUGAUUAUGACUUACUCUUAGAAACAAUUCUCUUGCAGGUUUUGAGAUCAUAUCAUCACAUUUGUGGAAACUCGAGUCAUUAGAUUUAUCACACAAUCAGCUGACAGGAUCUAUCACUAGUAAGUUACAUUCUCUUUAUCAAGAAAAUUGAGGAAUUUAUAUCUAUAUGCUUUCAUGUAUCAUUUUAAUAUCUAAAAGAUACUUUCAUCACUAUUCUGACUGUUUUGAGAUAAAUUGUAUAGGUUGGUGUGAAUUGAAGAAUCUGAAACAGUUAGAUCUUCUGGAAAUAAUUUAGGAGGUUCACUCCCAGAUUGUUUGGGAACUUGUCAUCUCUACAACUAUUAGAUGUUUCUGAAAACCAGUUUACUGGAAAUAUUGCCUCUGGUCCUCUUACCAACCUUAUCCCUUAAAUUCCUCUCACUAUCAAAUAACCUCUUUGAAGUUUCCACUUCAAUGAAGCCUUUUAUGAAUCACUCAAGCCUCAAGUUCUUCUCCAGUGAGAACAAUAGACUUGUAACAGAACCUGCUGCCUUUGAUAAUUUGAUUCCAAAGUUCCAACUAGUUUUUUUUAGCUUGUCGAAAACAUCGGAAGCACUCAACGUAGAAAUUCCCGACUUCCUCUAUUACCAAUACGACUUAAGAGUCCUUGAUCUCUCCCACAACAACAUCACCGGAAUGUUUCCAUCGUGGUUGCUUAAGAACAAUACACGAUUGGAGCAACUAUCUGAGCGAGAACUCCUUUGUUGGUGCUUUACAGUUGCAAGAUCAUCCAUAUCCGAAUAUGACCGAAUUAGAUAUAUCCAACAACAACAUGAACGGUCAAAUUCCAAAAGAUAUUUGUUUAUCUUUCCAAAUCUGAGAGCUUAAGGAUGGCUAAGAAUGGAUUCAAGGUUGUAUUCCUUCUUGUUUGGGAAAUAUUAGCUCUUUUAAUUUUAGAUUUAUCCAACAAUCAGUUUCCACAGUAAAACUAGAACAACUAGCAACAAUAAGUUUCUCAAGCUAUCAAACAACAAUUUGGGUGGGAAAUACCGACCUCGGUGUUCAAUUCUUCUACCUUAGAAUAUCUCUAUCUAGGUGGUAACAACUUUUGGGGUCAGAUAUCAGAUUUUCCAUUAUAUAGGAGGAAAGGUGGAUGUAUUGGAUUUGAGUAACAAUCAUUUUUCAGGCAUGCUUCCAAGGUGGUUUGUCAAUUCUACAGGCCUUAGCAGUUGAUUUGUCCAAAAACAUUUUAAGGGUUCGAUCCCAAGAGACUUUUGUAAGCUUGACUGAAUAUUUGGACUUUUCUGAGAACAACUUGUCUGGAUAUAUACCAUCUUGUUUCAGUCCACCACUCUAACCCAUUGCAUCUAUCCAAAAAUAGAUUGAGCGGUCCAUUAACAUAUGGAUUUUAUAACAGCUCUUCUUUGGUUACGAUGGAUCUUCGAGAUAACAGCUUCACGGUCCAUUCCAAAUUGGAUUGGCAAUCUUUCAUCAUUGAGUGUUCUUCUUCUGAGGGCUAAUCACUUUGAUGGUGAGCUCGUUCAGUUAUGCUUGUUAGAACAAUUAAGCAUUUUGGAUGUUUCACAAAACCAGCUCUCUGGUCCACUACCCUCCUGUUUGGCAAUCUUACUUUCAAGGAAAGUUCCCAGAAAACAUUAUGAUCUAGGUUUUUCCAUCAUGUCCAUAGAAAAGCUUAUGUUGAAACAAUGGGUCACCACUAGUGGAUAGUGUGUACAGCUUGGAAAGGAUUUUGGCUUAACUACAGAAGAAGUGAUAGAAUUUACAACUAAAAAUAUGUAUUAUGGUUACAAGGGGAAAGUUCUCAGCUACAUGUCUGGUAUUGAUCUCUCCAAUAACAACUUCAUAGGAGCAAUCCCACCAGAAUUUGGAAACUUAAGUGAGAUACUAUCAUUAAACUUAUCACACAACAAUCUCACUGGAUCUAUCCCUGCAACAUUCUCAAACCUAAAGCAUAUUGAGAGUUUGGAUCUUUCUUACAACAACUUGAAUGGUGCCAUCCCUCCACAACUUACUGAAAUUACCACACUGGAAGUUUUUAGUGUGGCGCACAAUAACUUGUCAGGUAGACACCCGAGAGAAAAUAUCAGUUUGGGACCUUCGACGAAAGUUGUUACGAAGAAAAUCCUUUCUUGUGUGGGCCUCCAUUGCAAAACAAUUGUAGUGAAGAAGCAGUGCCGGCCCAGCCAGUGCCUAAUGAUGAACAAGGAGAUGAUGGUUUCAUAGACAUGGAGUUUUUCUACAUCAGUUUCGGUGUAUGUUACACAGUUGUGGUGAUGACGAUUGCAGCAGUUCUCUACAUCAAUCCAUAUUGGCGACGCAGGUGGUUGUAGUAAAAAACGUACGCAGAGUUUUAAAAGGGAUUCAAUUGUUUUAUUUUCACUUAGAGCUUCCUCUGUUACAAGCAGAAUAUAUAUAGCUACUCUACAUAAUAAUCCCUACGUAUCAGAUCCUAUAGUUUAGGACUGAUUUGCUAAUUACAUGGAAACCUAUUUCUACUAGGAUACAAUCACGUAUUUACUGGGAUGCUGGAAUAUAUCUUUCCAGCUAAUAUCAGAGACAAUGUAGGACUUGAAUGCUGCAAAUCCAACUUGGAGAUAAUUACCGCAAUUGUUAACACUCCCCCUCAAGUUGGUGCGUAGAUGUCACUCAUUCCAAUUUCGCUGAGAAUUGCACUAAACGCGUGGUUUGACAGUGCCUUGGUUAGUAUAUCAGCGAGCUGGUCUUGAGAUCGAACAUGAGGAACUUCAAUUAGCUUUUCUUCUAGCUUUUCCUUGAUAAAAUGCCUAUCAACUUCAACAUGUUUAGUACGAUCAUGUUGAACAGGAUUAUGAGCAAUAUCACAUGCUGCCUUGUUGUCACAAUACAACUUCAUAGGAUUGACUGGCUUAAUAUGUAAAUCUAUCAUCAGAUUUCUAAUCCACAACAAUUCGCAUAUAGCUUUAGCCAUCCCUCUAUAUUCAGCCUCAGCACUUGAUCUAGCAACUACCUCCUGUUUUUUACUUCGCCAUGUAACCAAGUUUCCUCCUACAAACGUGAAAUAACCAGAAGUAGAACGUCGAUCUUGAAUAGAACCAGCCCAAUCAGCAUCUGUAUAACCAUUAACAUCCAAAUUGUGUCCUUUUGUGAACAAAAUUCCUUUUCCUGGAGACGACUUCAAGUAGCGUAAGAUACGGGUGACAGCAUUCAUGUGUUCUUCGCUUGGAGAGUGCAUAAAUUGACUGACCACACUCAAUGAAUAAGCUAAAUCAGGUCGAGUAUGUGCAAGAUACAUUAACCUUCCAACCAACCUCUGAUAGCGUUCUUUGUUAGUCGGAACUUGAUUGGAAUCACCAUGUAGUUUCAAGUUCUCUUCCAUAGGAGUGCUAGCUGGACUGCAUGCUGUCAUACCUGUUUCACUUAGUAAGUCUAAGGCAUAUUUUCUUUGUGAAAGAAAAAUACCUUUAUCUGACCGUGACACUUCAAUGCCCAAGAAAUACUUCAACUCUCCAAGGUCUUUCAUCUCAAACUCACGGGCAAGGUGCUCGUGUAAUCUCUUCCUCUCUCCUGGAUCAUCUCCGGUUACUAUUAUAUCAUCAACAUACACAAUGAGAAUUGUAAUGUGUUUUUCAUUAUGCUUCAAGAAUAAAGUGUGAUCGAGUUACUUUGUGUGUAACCAACUGUCUUCAUAAAAUUUGUGAACCUUCCGAACCACGCUCUGGGAGACUGCUUUAAACCAUAUAGGGAUUUUCUCAACCUGCAGACCUGUUUAUUACCUUCCGUUUGCUGUUUACAGCUAGGAGGUAAUUCCAUAUACACUUCUUCUUGGAGAGUUCCAUGUAGAAAUGCAUUCUUUACAUCAAAUUGAUGUAGCGGCCAGUCAAGAUUAACUGCUAGAGAUAGUAUAAUACGAACAGUAUUAAGUUUGGCCACCGGUGAAAAAGUCUCCAUAUAAUCAAUUCCAUAUGUUUGAGUAUAUCCCUUGGCUACCAGCCUUGCUUUGCACCGUUCAAUAGUUCCAUCAGCUUUGUAUUUAAUGGUGAAGACCCACCUACACCUAACAGGUUUCUUUCCUUUCGGCAAGUCAACAACGUCCCAUGUUGAGUUUUGUUGAAGGGCUUUCAUUUCUUCAUUCAUUGCCUCCCUCCAUCUAGGAUCAGCCAAGGCUUCCUGCACAUUGUUAGGAAUAGAUACAACGGAUAAUUGAUGUACAAAUGCCAUUUUUUCGUUUGACAAUCUAUGAUAGGAUACAUAGUUAUUCAUAGGGUAUUUGAGUUUUGAGUGAAGGGUUGGUUCAUAGUUCACCUUGGGUUUACCUCUUGUGACUCGAUUAGGUAGUUCUUUUAGGGACUCAACUGGAUGAAUAUCAUGAGACUCAAGUCUGGAAUCAACCGGGGAAGACAAUUGGUUAACUGGUACACUGUGGGAAGCUGUCGGCCCCUCCAAGGUAUCCUGGUUACCAUCAACGAUUUCUGGACCAUUUUCACUGGUAUACUCUUCCCUGUCCUGGUGUUCCUCUGUGUUCUCAUUAACUGGACAUUCUUCAUUAGUCUCCAAGCUAUCCAAAGUAUCAAUCAGUUGGUUACCAUGUGCAAUGAUAUCCACAUUGUCUGUAGGCUUAGUUGCUAUCUGCACUUCAUCGUUCUCCUUAGUUUGAGAUGAAUAAUACAUAGUAGUUUCAUGGAAGACCACAUCCAGAGUAACAUAAAGUUGGCGAGAAGGAGGGUGAUAACAUCGAUAGCCUUUUUGGUGCAGAGCAUAGCCAACAAACACACAUCGAAGUCCCCGAGGUUCCAACUUAGUUCUCAAACCUUUAUGAAGAUGUACAUAAGCUACACAUCCAAAAACUUUAGGAGGUAAGUUUGGCAUUGUAGGAGCACUUACAAGGCGAUGGAGAACCUCGAAGGGGGUUUGGAAUUGCAGAGAACUAGAAGGUACCCUGUUGAUAAUGUAUGCUCCGGUAGUAACAGCUUCUCCCCAGUAACUAGUAGGCAUGUGAGCUUCAAAUAAGGAGGCACGAACGACCUCAAGGAGAUGACGAUUUUUCCGUUCAGCCACCCCAUUCUGUUGAGGGGUGUAAGGGCAAGUUGUUUGAUGAAUAAUGCCAUGUGUGUUCAAGUAAUCUUUCAAGCUGUGAUUGAUAAACUCUCCCCCAUUAUCAGUCCUGAUCACCUGAAUAUUGGUCUGAUACUGUGUUGCUAUCAUUUUGUGGAAUUGCUGGAAUAAAGAACUCACUUCACUCUUUGAUUUCAUUAAGCAAAUCCACGUCAUGCGGGUGUGAUCAUCAAUGAAUGAAACAAACCAACGUGAUCCAUUUAGAGAAGGAGUGUUUGUUGGUCCCCAUACAUCCGAGUGAACAACCAUAAAAGGUGCAGGACUUUUAUUCAUACUAAUAGGAAAUGAAACACGAUGACUUUUAGCACGUUCACAUACAUCACACUUAAAAUCUGAAACAAUCAAUUGUGAAAAUAAUUGUGGGAAUAAUUUCUGUAAAUAUCCAAAGGAUGCAUGGCCUAAACGCCUAUGCCAUAGCCAAAUUUCAGACUUCUGGUGUUCAUUAGCUGUAUUAGUUGAGAAGACUUGUGCCAACUGAUUUGAGCUUGCCGGAAUCAGAUCCAGUAGUAGAGCUUCCCUCUCCUAGUACCAUAACCAAUUGUCUUCCGAGUUUGAAUGUCCUUGAAUAUGCAAAGGUUCGGCCAAAAAAUUACAACACACAUCAAGGCACAAGUUAUUUGAGCAACAGAUAAUAAAUUAUGAUCGAGAUUCGGAACAAUAAGAACUGACUCUAAACUCAGAUUUUUUUAAGAGUAACCGUUCCUUCUCCUGACACAGAAGAAGGAGUUCCAUUGGCUGUGAAAACUACAUGGUGGUUUGAGGGUUGUAUGGUCUGAAUAUUAUUGUUAAACGUCAUAUGAUUUGUGGCACCUGAAUCAAUUAUCCAUUCACUAUUUCUAACAGAAGUAGAGGUAUGAAGAGCCUUACCUGCAUUUACAGCAUCAUCACCUGUGUUCUCAGCAGUGUCGCGUGCAUUCCCAGUAAUAGCACCAGAAGAGGAGUCUUUCCCAUAUUUAUUGCCAAACAUAUGAUUUGGUUCUGCCACAGCAACAGACACAUGAGGAUUUGCCUUUAAGUUUCUCUUACGGGGUGCUUUGGAAAAAUCCCACCAUUCUGGAUAUCCAAUCAAUUCAUAGCAGCGUAGCUUAGUGUGUCCAGUUUCACCACAGUGAGUGCAUAUGCGUUCUGGUCGUGCAGCUCCUAUUUCAUAGCUGCGAUUUUGCGAUCCAAUUGAAUGAUUAUGAUUCAGUGAACCAGAAGCUCGAUCUGGUUUCAGGUUCUGUGGUCGUUGAUACUUACUUCGGCGAGCUAUCAUAGCAGAUGGCUCUAAGUGUCCAGGUUCCCCAUUCAGUGUGUUUCGACGGAUAGAGUCACGGCGAACAUAAGCAUAUGUUUCUUCAAGGUCUAGUGCAGAAUCUCUCCUUAGGAUCUCACCACGAAUUUGUUCAAAUUCUUCAUCAAGGCCAUUCAGAAAAAUAUGCACCCGCAGUCUCUCAACUGAUUUUUUGUAGGCAAUGACAUCAUCGGGAUCUUUCAUAACAAUCUUGUCACGAUGAUCUAGUUCUUGAAAUAUUUCUACCAAAUCACCAUAAUAGGUAGAGAUAGGAUGACCAACCUGUUUGGUGGAGAACGCACGUUGGUUCAAGGUAAAUAGCUGUGAUUCAUCUGCCCCGUCAUAGAAUGCUUUGGCUAGAGCAUUCCAGAUUUCAUGUGCAGUAGGCAGUCUAAGAUAGCGUUUCAUAAUUUCUGGUGACAUGGAGGUCAACAACCAUCCUUUAAUCUUUUGAUUCUCAGCAUACCAUUUAGCAUAGGAUGGAUCAGUUUUUUCUGGGAUUGUGUUGCUUACAAGGUAUUCAAGUUUCUCUCGUCCUGCAAUUUGCAUCUCCAUGAUUUGAGACCAGACAUCAUAGUUGCUUUCAGUAAGGGUGACAUUGGUUGAGAAACUGGAAUUCUCUGACUGAACCUGGAUAACUGGAACAGAGGAUGAUUCGGUUUUGUCACUGGCCAUGGUACGAGAAGGAGGAUUCGUAAGAUUUAUAAGGUUUGUGUGGUGAUAUAAAGAGCAGAUAAUAAACCUGCUCUGAUACCAAGUAAAAAACGUACGCAGAGUUUUCAAAGGGAUUCAAUUGUUUUAUUUUCACUUAGAGCUUCCUCUGUUACAAGCAGAAUAUAUAUAGCUACUCUACAUAAGAAUCCCUACGUAUCAGAUCCUAUAGUUUAGGACUGAUUUGCUAAUUACAUGGAAACCUAUUUCUACUAGGAUACAAUCACGUAUUUACUGGGAUGCUGGAAUAUAUCUUUCCAGCUAAUAUCAGAGACAAUGUAGGACUUGAAUGCUGCAAAUCCAACUUGGAGAUAAUUACCGCAAUUGUUAACAGUUGUAUUUCAUCGAAGACUGCAUAGAUACUUGCUACUAGUUUGUGGUGGCUAGUUUUCGCAAGUUCUCCAACUUCAGAAGGUGAAAUUGUUACUGGGAAGACGGUCGUUCCUAGUGUGUGAUGAUUGUUUGUCUAGCUAUUGGUAAUUUGUAGUGUACUGUCUCUAAGCUCAGCCUUUCUAUUUGAUUAGUUAUUUGGGAUAAAUAUAUAAGCUGGACUUCUCAUUCCUGAAUCAUUAGGAAGGAAACUGAUUUGGAUUGGUCAUUGACUCGGGUGUGAUUACUCUUUCAACUCUCAAGACUUGUCUGAAAAUAAAUUGCCAAAACCACUACUAAAGUAUAAACAAAAUAUUAUAUGCCUUUGUUUCAAGGGCGACCCCACCAUAGUUAUUCAAUCAAAGCAUUGAAAUUGGAGCAAGAAGAUCCACCUUCUUCAACAGCCUUCCUGGCCGUUUCUUUGCUCGGCUACUCAUUUCCUCUGCUUCUUCACCCAUCAUAAUUUGAGUGAUUGCCUUCUCUACAGCUUCACUUUUAACAUGAUCUCCAUGCACUCUAAGCCAUUCCUUAACUCUAGUUUUUAAAACAUCAGUCACCAACUUUUCAUUAUAGAAUUGCUCAGCAAAUAUUGGUCUCCUAAGCACAAAAAAAUAAAUUUGUCCUUCUCAAACAUGCAGCUGUGACUUGAGACAUUUAGAAUUUCAACCUCAUUUUCUAUAAAAUUCAACAAUACUGGAUAUGGUCGUGAUUCAAUGGAAUAAUCCCCACUUAUUUUCUUGAGACCUUUUUCCAUUGAAAUCUUGCAAGACUAUGGCAUAAUGAACUCCAUCUAAUGAAUAGUAAAUCAAAGAAAAUACCUUCUGAUAGAUCUCCUCUUGCCAAUCAGCGCCUUUUGCAUGUCCAGUCUGUGCUGUAGAAUCUAGGGAUGCUACAAAAAUUUCAAUGCAAAUAACAAAAUGUUAGAAUUCAUGUAUUUUUGUGUGUUUUCCAUCUACAAGGGUAUUUCUGUAAUUUUAACACUUGCUGAAAAUUAUGAAAUAUUGCAAGUCUCAGUUUUAUUUUCUAUUUAGUAUUUAAUUAUUCCCAAAGUAUAGCGAGCUUCAUUAGGUUUUUCCUAUUCUAGAUAGGUCUAUUAGUAUUUUCCUAUAUAGGAAUACAAGUCCUUUUUGUAUUAGGAACUUCAUCUAAAUGUUAUGUAAUCAUAUAAAUGCAGAAUCAGAGGGUGAACAGCUGGUGCAAUGCACUGGAGGGUAUGAUGUGGUAACAAAUGCGUGUGUGAUUGCAAUGGUUUCAAUAGCUGUGGCAUUACUUGUUGUAACCCAUUUUCGGAUCCCCAAAUAAAUGAAAUAAAAUAAAUAGCCAAAGGAGGUUAGAAAAAUAACAGGAGGCAGAAGCGCUCAGCAAAUGGUCAUAAAAAUCGGUCAAGGAGGUUAAAAAAUACAAAGAUGGAUUUUUGAUUAUAUAUUCUUGAAUGAUGAGAGCCCUGUUGGAUAAGAAAAAUUGAUUUUUGAGGAGAAAAGUCCAAAUUUGGAGGUUUAUGGACUUAAUUGGAUUUUUAAUGGAAUUUAUAGAGGAUUUGAGUGAAAGAAAAAUUGAUUUUUAAGUCAAUUUGGGCUUUAAUUAGAAGAAAUUUAAGUUCUGGGGCCAAAAUAUAUUUUUUAGGAAUUUAUUGGGUCAAAUCAGGGGCUUAAUUGCAUAAAUAUUGAAGUUUAAUGGCCAAUUAGGGGUUUAAUUGUGAAAAACCAAAACCAGGGACCAAUUUGAAAAAACCGGGUAAAUAGAGGGGGCUGUUUUGCUUUGGAUCAGGGGCCUAAUUGAAGAAAUUGAAAAUUUAUUGACCAAUUGAGGGCUUAAUUGCAUAAAUCAGAGGCCAAGGACCAAAGUGAAAAACGCGGCCAACAAGAGGGAAGGGGAUCGAAUUGGGAGGGGACGCAAUUGAAAUGAUUAAAGAUGAUUAAGGACUGAUUCGCAAAAAGCAUAUUCGAUCCAAAACGACGCCGUUUCAUCAUAAAAAAAAAAAAAGGGGGGGAACCGAACGGUGCCGUUUUGAACGACACUGUUCCUCCUUCGUCUUCCCCUCUGCACUCGUUGCAGGGGAGAAGAAAAAUGGUUUUUUCUUCAAAAUCUUCCUGCCUCUCUCUCUUUGGACCCACCGACCAACCCGAAACACUGGACCACCGACCGAACUCAAUGGCCGACCACCGGUCACUCGCCCCGCCGAAAGCAAGGUGGCAGUGCUUUGCCUUGCAGAUGGUGGCCGACCAGCCGCCCGCGAAACCCGCUCCCCAGGCGCACUAAUGAAGGGCCCAGCACACUUUCUCCCCUAUAAAUAGAGAAGAAAACCGAAGGAAAGGAAGGGGGGAGAGACCCCGAAGGGAGGAGAGAGAGAGAGGAGACCGAAGAGAGAGAGAGAGAACCAACAAGAGAGAGGGAAAGAGAAAGGAAUAAACCGAAAACAAAAAGAAAACAGAAAACAAAGAGAAAGGAAGGAAAAGAAAGAAAUACCAAAAACGAAGAAGAGGGGAAGAGGAAGAAAAUCUUUUUCUCUCCACCGCCGUUCGAACCGCCACAGCACCGCCCGGAGCCGCCGUACGCGAGCCACGCCACCGCAGCUCCACCAGCGACCGCCUCCACGCCAGGUACCCGUUUCUUCUUCCCUGCAUUCCUUUCGUGGCAGCCUUGCCUCCUGCAUGUUGCAUAUAUAUUAUAAUAUGUUAUAAUAUAUGUGUGUAUAUAUGUAUAUAUAUAUAAAAUAUAAUAAUAAUAAAAAAAUAGUUUGAAAAAUCUUAAAAAAAUAUUGUUGAUUUUUCUACAUAUUUUUGUCAAAGUGGUUUAAUGUUGGUUUGUAUUUUUAUACCGUAAGGAUACAAAACCAGUGUUAAAAAUACCCGAUUUUCGUCAAAAUAUCAAAGAUUUUCAGAAUAAAAAAUGUUUUUGCUUUCAAAAAAAAUUCUAAAAACUCCCUAAAAAUGUUGUUGAUUUUUCUGCAUAUUUUUAUCAAAGUGGAUUAAUAUUGGGUUGUAUUUUUAUACCGUAAGGAUACAAGCUCAGUAUUUAAAAUACCCGAUUUUUGUCAAAGCAUAAAAAAAAAAAAAAAUUCAAAAAUUGUUUUUGUUUUAAAAUAUGGCCUAGUCUCUCCAAUAUAUAUAUAUAAAUAUUAUAACAUCAUAUUUUCACACAACUAAGAAAAUUUUCAAAACAAUAUAUGUAUUAGCAUGCAUUUCGGCUUUAAUAACCAGUUUAUUCAAGCCAUGAGAACUAGGCCAAUAUUUCAAAAAUUCUAAAAAAUCUUUUUGUUUUAUUUUAGUAGUUGGGAUUACGAAUUUAUACGUAAAACGUAUUCCUAAAUAUUAUUAAUAAAAUUUUGGUAUGGACGUUAGAACGGUUAGGAUUUUUACCCGAUAAGAUAAAGAUCUCCUUACCGAGGAGGAUUUUUCUUGAACCAUAGACAGACCAACAACUAGGAAAACACAAUAACACCUUAGUUUUUUUUAUCAGACAAUAAAACAAUGCAGCUUACUUUAGGUAGGGCGUAUUUGGGGUGCUAAUACCUUCCCUUUACGCAACCAGUCCCCGUACCCAAUCUCUGAGACCAGUUAGGGUUCCUAGUGACCAAAAUACUAGGUGGCGACUCUAAAGAACCAAAUCAAAUAAACAAAAAUAAAAAAAAAUUUCGCCAAUCGAAAACGCAAUUGGAUUUUUUUUUUUGGGGUACGACAUUACUAAUGCCACAAGUGGCAGCAGUGGCACAUAAAGCUACCUAAAAGAGUAUUGCUGACUUGAACCAUUAUGAGAGGUGAACAGUUGGUGCACCGCACUGUAGGGCAUCGUGUGGUUACAAAUGCAUGUGUGAUUGCAAUAGUUCCAAUACCAGUGGCAUUUCUAAUGCCAUAAGGGGAAGCAGUGGCACAUAAAGCUACCAAAAAGAGCAUUACCUGGCAUUUGUCUCUGAGAAUUGACAAACAUAGUGGAGGGAAUCCCUUGUCCCAUUGAAUUCCCCACUGAGUUCUGUGAAACACCAGGGAUACUCUGCAUGUUAGGAUUCUGGACAACAGUGUUGGGGAUAGUCUGGGUUACACCAGAGACAGGAGGCAGUGCCGCUUGUAAACCAGCAUAACUUUGAACUCCAUUAGAUGCCAUGCAAUUCUGCAUGUUCUGUGAUACCAACUGCUGACGUGCUUGAGACUGAUCAGUGGACAAUAGGAUAGGGAGAAACAGCCCUUGAUUCUGAACUUCAGGGGACAUACUAUGGGAUGCUGUUCAAGAUAAAAGGCAAAAGGGAAAACCAUGUCACAGAAAAAAAGAAGGCACUGAACAAGGAAGACAAAUGAAACAUCGGCAGUCCACACAUAAAGUUAUGAGCGAAAGAAUUGGGAUGGAUUUGAUUCAAAGCAUAAAAGUGUCCUCUGACAAUUUUCGAGGAUGGGGGAAGAAGAGGCGGCUGAAAACAAAAAUAAUAUGACAAUUUUCAGGGUGGGGGAAAGAAAAGGAGGAGGCAGAAAACAAAAACAAUCUGUAAUAUUCUUGCAUAACAUUCAUCAAUUACUCAACUUUUUGAUUAAAGCAUGCCAUACACAUAGCAAUAUGUUGCAAUAAAAUGCAAAAGAGUUUGAUAACAAUGUUACAAACAAAACAAAAGGUAAGAUGUUUAGAAAUUCAAUGCUCGGCAGCAUUAUUAUAUAUGAAAAAAGGAUCAAAUGCUUUCUCUCGGAAGAAAAGCAAGAAAGUGACGUCUUACCUCCUAAACAGGAAAAUCUUUAAAAUCUACCAUCUCAAUCAUAAAAUAUAAAAUACCAUGCAUCACAGUCCUUGUUGCUUAACAAGUUAAGGAUGAAACACUUCACAUGCAUUAUAGAAUUAGCAUCGUGGAGGUGAUCAUGAGAUUUUUCCAGCAAGGCGAUAUACAUAGCAAUAUGCAGCAAUAAAAUGUAAAAGAGUUUGAUAACAAUGUGAGAAGAAAAACAAAAGGUAAGAUGUUUAGAAAUUCAAUGCUCGGCUGCAUUAUAACCUGCUGGAUCCAUGGGGGCAGUGGGCAUGGUGUUUUGAGACCUGAUCUCCAUUGAAAGCAUCUCCAGAGAUAUUUUACGCAGAUAAUCAUACUGAAAUCAGAUAUUAAUAACAAAACAUUAGAUCUCAGAGCAAUCCAUGUUACAAGAGGAGGAAAAUGGAUAUAUGCUCUAUCAUUUCAUCUUUUGUGAGGAUAUACUUCUGUUUCCUCUCUUUUUAUUUAAUUAUUUAUGUAUUGAUUUGCUAUUUUCUUUUUGCACACUUCCCUUGUACUUGAACUUGUUCACUCUAAAUAAAACACUUGUCAAGAGAAUUAACAAAAAGAUGCGAACUCCCAAUCAGCCUUGCAUACAGAGUGAACGGUGAGGAAGUGUAAGCACACUACACACACAUUUGUACAUGCAUAAAUGCAUGUGUAUAUUCAUGUCAAGAGAAUAUCAUAAUUAUUGAACCUCGCAUUAGGCAAAUACCUGAUUGGUGGCGGUAGUAUAAAUCUUUUCCUCAAAACGUAUGGCAAAUUUCUUGAGUUCUUGUAAUCCCUCCUGACCAGAAACAAAAGAUGCCUCUUUAUUGUCUCCAUUCUGCACAUGCAAAUCAUUACGUUUCAUUUUUAAUGACCAGGCAAGUAUAGAGAAGUUAGCAACAGCGAGCAAAUAAUGAGAUAAGCAAGAGUUGGUCAAGUAUUAUAAGACAUCAAAAUACAUAGACAUCCUUUCCCUGUAUUAUUCCAGAGGUACAGAUUAUAGGAGUUUACUUGGCCACCCUUCUGUCUAAAAAUUCUAGCUACGAGCUUCAUUUAUUAGUGACUUAGUUGCAAAGCAGGGGAGUCUCUGAAAACAUUACAAUAGCAUUUACUCUGAGUAACUUCUAUGCAUGUGCUGUAAUUGACAAUGAAAAGAAGAGAAAUCCUUUCAAUGUAUGAAAAUGCAACGAGUUAACCUUAUCUCACACUGCAAUAUAUACUCUACAGUAUUCAUUGACCAAUGCAAGUGCCAGCAGAAGCUGUCUAUAUGAUUUUGGAUGUAGAGAGGUCAACAAAACAUUCAACUUUAUGCUGAGAAUCUAGGAAACCAUGCACCAUUGUGGCUAAUUGAUUUUUGUCUACUGCUUUUCAACUUUAAGAUCACUAUCAUUUCAACCCUGUAGAAGUUAAAACAAAUAGAAGGCCCAAAUCCAACACCAUUCAUUUAAGUUCAGUUGCAACUCGAGUUUUAAAUUGAAACACGUAUGCUCAUAGCAAAAGAUUAACCUUGAAAUUAAAAGCAGAACAAGCUUCAUGCAGCCAUCCAAGAGGUCAUCAUCAAAAGAAGAGAUUACACAAGAAAUUCCAACAAAAAUUACUUCCCAGCACUUUAUGUUCCCUCAAGUUUGCUUCUCGUGAGAAACACAUGAAAAGAUGAAACAAAAAAAAAACAAAAAAAAGAGGUGUGUGAUACUUAAUGUUGCCUCAUGGCAAUCCUGCUGAUUUUAAAAAAUUUACUAUUUUGCAGCACUUGCACAUACAUUUUGUCGACUAUUCUUUUCCGUGAGUCAGGCCGCAAUUGAAUUCUCCAAUCACCCGUGUCCAUGACAGGUUCUCUGCCUGGGACAGUGGGCCAACCAAAAAGAAAAAAAAAAUCAUAUUGUAUGUUAGAAUACACCCUAAAAAGAAAGUCAGGAACGGCAAGAAGAGCAAAAGCACAUCAAGAACAUGAAAAAUGGAAUAUCAGUUUAUUCAGACUUGAAUAGAUUUAAAAAGAACUUCCGUCUAAUAUCAUGUACUUUAUUAAAGAAUUCAGCCAAAUAUGGAUGCAUAACAAAUAUACACAACCAUUCAGGUCAAGGUGCUAGGAUCCUGGGUAUUCGGCCAUUCAAAGCAAAGAAUCUUCAUGGUGCUUCUAAACCAAAGAAGCAUUCCCAUCUAAGCAAAUACUUACUGUCAAACCCCACUCCACUUCCCCUCCUGUUCGUGUUAUUUAUGCAUAUAUUUACUUCUCUGAAAGAAUAAAUAUUGUAGGGAGCAAAUAGUGUAAAUAGAAAGAGGAAAAUACCACAUCCCCAAAAGAAUAAAGAAAUAAGAAGAAGGCAAAAUAAAAGUGUUAGACAGAUUGUGUAAUACGGCUGUAAAAUCUCCUUAACAAUGAGAGGAGAUGUCUUGGCAUUAUAUAACAGAGUUACAGCUCAGGAGUCCUAUAUAAUAGGAUUGGAUAAGUACACGUGAACAAACUGAUAGAUACAAUGAAUUCUAAGCUAAGUACAAUUGUUCUCAAGGAUAACUCUUAUCAUCCCCCUGCAAGGUAAGCGUGGGAGACGGAAGAACGCGAAGCUUGUUUCGAAAGAGAAAGAAUUGCGGUUUGGACACACCUUUUGUAAGAGAGUCAGCAAGCUGCAGGGAAGAGGGAACAAAUUGUAACUUCAGAAAUCCAUUAGCAACAAGCUCACGGAUAAAAUGGUAGUCAAUGGCAAUAUGCUUGGACCGUGGACGAGUAACAGGAUUACCAGCCAUGAAGAUGGCAUUUGAUUGUCACAGCACAAAGUGGGGGAAGCUGGUAAUGUAACAUGAAGGUCUCUGAGUAUUUGAACAAUCCAAGCAAUAUCAGCAGUUGCGACAACUAAGGAGCGAUACUCAGCUUCUGCACUGGAUCGCGAGACAGUGCUUUGUUUCUUGGAAGACCAUGAAAUUAAAUUGAAACCAAGAAAGAUUGCAUAACUAGUGGUAGAUCUACGAGUGUCAGGGCAACCGGCCUAGUCAGCAUCCGAAUAAGCAAGAAGUGCAUGAGUAGAUUGUUUCUGCAGCUGAAGACCAUAGUGAACAAUGCGUUUAAGUGCACGAAAGUGAUCCUCUGUUGGAGAGUGCAUAAAUUGGCAAAUGGAAUUAACACUGAAUGACAAAUCAGGUCUGGUGAUUGUCAGGUAUUGUAGUGCACCGGCCAAAGAACGAAACAAGGUAGGAUCAGUAUACAAAGUUCCUUCAGCUGUCAAAUGUUGUCCCACAACAAAGGGUGUAGAGAUUGGCUUGGCAUCAACCAUGGAAGCUCGCUGCAAGAGAUCAAUAGCAUACUUUGUUUGGCUGAGGAGGAGACCCUGAGCAGUAGGCUGAACUUCAACACCAAGAAAAUAAUGAAGAACACCUAAGUCUUUCAGUGAGAACUCCUUGGAAAGAGAAGCAAUAAACUGAUGAACUAGAGAUGUGUUACUGCCAGUAAUUACGAUGUCAUCAACAUAGAGGAGUAGAUAAACUAUCCCAAGAGUAGUGUGAUAGACAAAUAAUGAUGAGUCAGCUUUGCUGGAAAGAAACCCAAUCUGUAGCAGAAAAGAGCUGAAGCGAUGGAACCAAGCUCUAGGUGCUUGUUUCAAGCCAUAUAGUGCUUGUUUCAAGCCAUAUAGUGCUCGUUUGAGACGACAGACAUGCCGAGGAAACAAAGGAUCAGUAUAGCCUGGAGGUUGUUCCAUGUAGACUUCAUAAUGAAGGAGGCCAUGGAGAAAUGCAUUAUCAACAUCAAGCUGAUGUAAACGCCAGCCAGAUGUAAGUGCCAAUGAGAGAAUCAGGCGAACUGUAGCUGGGCGAACAACCGGACUGAAUGUGUCAUCAAAGUCAAGACCCUUAAUCUGAGAAAACCCUUGAGCCAUGAGACGUGCUUUAUGACGCUCAAUUGAUCCAUCAGAUCGAAGCUUGGUCUUAAAAAUCCAUCGGCAACCAACCACAUUGUGUGAUGCAGGACGGGGUACCAGAGUCCAAGUGUCAUUCCUCUGCAAGGCUUGAAUUUCAGAGUCCAUAGCAGACGGCCAUUCAGGAUUUUUGGCAGCUGAUUUAAAGCCUCGUGACUCCUUGAGUGCAAGCAGAGUCUGAAAGGGCUGCAAAGAAGAGCAAACGGUCAUAGCAUGUUGGACUCGUGGUUUAACGAUACCAGCCUUCCCUCGAGUAACCAUAGGAUGGCUGUUAGUGAGUAGAGAAGGUUGGGAAGACUCGAGAGGUGGCAAGGCUACAUUGGAAGAAGAGGGAAUAGACAGUGGAGUGGAGGAGUCUGUAGAAAUGGGAAACAAUGGCUCUAGAUUGUCACUGCAAGGCAAACAUGAGGAACUGGAUGAUAAUGGUGAGAUGACAGAGUCACUAGCUGAAAGAGAAGGACUAGACACACAUUCUGCACAUUCAAAGAAAGUACUAUAGUCAUUGGUGGAUGACAUGUUAGUGACAGAACCAUCGAUAUAGGGAAAAACAGUUUCGAAAAACUUUACGUGACGAGAGACAUAGACACGAUGUGUUUGUCGAUCGAAGCAUCGAAAACCCUUAUGAAGGGUACUGUAACCUAAAAAGACACAUGGAGCAGAUUUUGGAGAUAAUUUAUGUGGUGAAUAAUCACGUAAAUAAGGAAAGCAAAGACAUCCAAAGGUGCGAAGCAUGGAAUAAUCAGGUUUCUUACCAAACAGUAGAUCAUAAGGAGUCUUACCACCAAGAGACGGUGAAGGGAGUCGGUUUAUGAGAAAAACUGCCGUAGAGAAUGCCUCAACCCAAAAGGAUACUGGUAGACGAGCAUGAAACAUAAGAGUAAGGCCUGUUUCGGUAACAUGCCGAUGUUUGCGUUCUGCAAUACCAUUUUGGCUGGGAGUAUAUGGACAUGCUAGAUGCUGAACAAUACCAUGAGAUUGUAAAUGAUUUCGAAACUUGGUAUUGGUAAAUUCAGUCCCACCAUCACAUUGAAAUGAUUUUAGUUUUGCUGAAAAUUGUGUGGUAAUGUAAUUUUGGAAGUUGAUGAAUGUAUCAAAAAAAUCAGAUUUAUGUUUCAAAGGAAACAUCCAGCUGAAUCGAGUACAGUCAUCGAUAAAAACAGCAUAGUAACGAUAACCAUUAACAGAAGAAAUUGGUGAUGGCCCCCAUAAAUCACAAUGUAAACGAUCAAAGGGAAGGGCACAACGUUUGUCAUUAAGAGAGAAUGGUAAACGAUGACUUUUACCAAGUUGACAACCAUCACAAUGUGAAUAAUAUGUUUGAAUUAAUUUGUCACUACAAGAAAUAGAUCCUAUUCUAGAUAGUGAUGCAACUAAACGAAAAUGUGGAUGACCUAGACGUGCAUGCCAUAGUCGAAUCGUGGCUCGUGGCUUAUUGGAAGAAAGAAUUGAAGCAAGAGCGCAGUGAUGUUGAUCAAGAACGUAGAGACCAUUCUCACAUCGACCGACCCCCAGUACUGUUCUGGUAGUUAGAUCCUGUAUCACAAACCCAGAAGAAUCAAAUAUAACCUGACAGUUAAGUUGUUUUGUGAGUUGACUAAUAGAAAUAAGAUUUUUUGUAAUGUCUGGAACAACAAGAACAUUAGACAAAACAAGGGAGCUUUGAGGAACAAUAUUAGAAACAGAACCUUUGUGAGAAAUUGGAAGAGAUUGUCCAUUACCAACCAGGACACGUUCAUUACUAGUGUAAAUAGUGGAUACAUCCAAAUUGUCCGAGUUAUUUGUUAUGUGAGAGGUGGCACCGGAAUCAGGAAACCACUCCUGAUUAUUGAAAUCUUGGACUGUGCAUGCGGAAAAGGCUUCAGCGAUGUUAGCCGACUGUUUCUUUUUAAACUUCAGGAAAGUCCAGCAACGUUUAGCCAAGUGACCCUCUUUGUCACAUAGCUGACAGUAAACCGCAGUGUUGGAUGAUGGUUUAACACUGCCAGAGUAUGUAGAGGUCUUUCCUCGCUUUGGUUCUGACCUGCGUGAAGUCUGUUGUGUAUAGUAAACAGAAGUGGAUGGUGAGUGGGAAACAGAUUUCGCAAAUAUCUCAUGACUCAAUGCUUUUGGAACAAUGUCAGAGAAGGAGGGUAAUGGAAGCUGUGAGAUCAUUGUGGUGGAAAAAAUCUUGUAAUCUGGUCCCCAAAGCUCGUAAAUACCAAUGGAUUUUAUCUGUGUCAUCAACAGGACGACCAAUGGCUGCCAGUUGAUCACAAAGUCUUUUGAAAAUUCUGGAGAACUCAGCAACAGAUUGAGAUCCUCGCUGCAUUAGCUGAAGUUCAUCUUUGAGUUGCAAUUCCCGAGUCUUUGAUCGGUGUGAGAAGGAAACUUCAAGAGCCUGCCAAGCCUCAUGUGAGUGUCAUAAACCCAACACCUCACUCAUGGACUCUUCCGUGAGGGAAGAAAAUAACAAACUCAGAAGCAUUUGAUCUGUAUGUAGCCAAGAAUUAUGAGCAGGAUUUGGCUUUGUGACUCCACUGGAAUCAGUGAUCACAGCACAUGGAGCAACAACGCUCCCAUCCAAGAAGCCAAAGAGUUCUUGACUAGUUAACAGAGGAACAAACUGAUUUCUCCAUAGUAGAUAAUUGGAGGAGGUCAAUUUAAUGGUAAGCAUGUGCACCAUUGUGUUGAGCAGAAGAAAAGGGUAUGAAGAAGAAGAAUCUGCCAUAAUUUCAAUCUCCAACCAAGGCUCUGAUACCAUAAAAGUGUUAGACAGAUUGUGUAAUACGGCUGUAAAAUCUCCUUAACAAUGAGAGGAGAUGUCUUGGCAUUAUAUAACAGAGUUACAUGCAGCUCAGGAGUCCUAUAUAAUAGGAUUGGAUAAGUACACGUGAACAAACUGAUAGAUACAAUGAAUUCUAAGCUAAGUACAAUUGUUCUCAAGGAUAACUCUUAUCACAAAACAAAGUCAUAAAACGAGGUCUUUCAAUCCCCAAUGAAUAUCAGCAGACUAAAUACCACACCACAAAUAGAAGAUGAAGAGGCCAGAAACACUAAUCCAUCCCGAAGAGAUUGUCUAGGAUGUUUUAGUCUAGGAAAAAGAAAAAGAAAAAGAAAACAACGAGCAUUAACAAUGAAUAUUUCAAGCUAUCAUCAACUCUAAAGAGCAGACUGAUAAGAAUCAACUUAACAAAUUUACAGGCACAUCUUUCUUUGAACAGACAACACAAUAACCCUGACCAUACUAAAUGCUCCACCCACAGUAGAAUCGGCUGAUUGCGCCUUUCUUCGAGUUGCGUUCACGAGCAGCGAUUUCAUCGAUCCGAUUAUAUAUCUUUUUAAUUUACUUAUUAAAAUCGAAUUUAUCUCUCUGGAUAAGAAUUUCAGUUAAAUAAAUGAAAACGCAGACGUAAAUUUUAAAAAUAAAAAACAUGAUAGAAAAGGAAGCACCUGGUGGAGAUUUGAAGCCUUAUUGGUUGAGGUGGCGGUGGUUUCCUAGAGCGGAGGAAGGAAAGAGAGCUCAGGUGGAGAGAGGUGAAGAAUGUCGGACCAAAGUGAACAGAGCUUGACAGAUGACUUUUUUUUUUAAUACGAAUAUUCUAGUUAACUUACAUAUACCUCUAAUAAUUUUACAAACCCUAAAAUUUACAAUCAUAUAAAUAUCUAAAAUAUUUUAAAACUCAAAUUAGUGAGACGCAGGUAGCAAUAUUUUAUUCUUUCCAGAUUCGCUAACAAACUAAAAGAAAUGUAUUCACUGUGCUGCUUUACUGUUCAUAACUAACAAACUAAAACUAAAAGAAUUUUAUAUAUAUAUAUAUAUAAGAGUGUUCAUGAAAACAUGGUGCACUGUGUGUGAAUCCUGUUGCUUCACAGUCUUUACCGCGCUCCCUUUCUGUUUUUCGCCUUUCUUCUCCCGCGGUGGGUGUUCCCGCGCUUUCUUCUCGGCUGCUGAGGCUCCCUGGCGUCUUUUCAUCGACUUUGUCUGGUGCAUCAUGCAUGUUCAGAUUGAGGCGGUUUGGCUGGUGCUAGGCGCGCGAGGAGAUGUCAGCCGACCUGCAUCGGCUGGGAUGGCUUCAUUGAAGCUGUCCUCUUGGUCUGUGGCGGGCCUACUCAUUAAUGAAAAAAUUAUUCUAACUGAGACAUUGUUUUUGUUUUUGUAAACUCUUUUCUAUUAUAUUUUUUUUAUCCAAAUUUUUAUAGAAAAUUAAUCAUUAUCUCAAUUUAAUUUUUAUUUUGAUUAUUGAUUUAUAUACAUGUUUUAUAUUAUGUGGAAACUUGAUCAUUAUAGUAAAAAGGAACAAUAAUUGAUUAUAUGUUGAAAUAGAUUUAAAAAACAGUUUAAUUUUAAUAGGAAAAGUAAAGUGUAUAUAUCUUCUGUUAUCUGUGUACUUAUUGUCUUGAUUCUACUGGGAAAUAAAUUUUAUGUUGCAUGGUAUUUUCCUUUGUUGUUGCGUUGAUAGGAAAAAAAAAACAAAAGAUGGGGAAAAAAAGGUUGCAUAUCUGGAUAAUAAUUACCAGUGAAAUAAUAUAUGUAAAGUGAAAUUAUAGUUUUCAAUUCUAAAAUCUACUAUAUGAAAGAGUGAAUCUUGUUGUAAAUAAAUUAUAAUUGUAAACACUUGUGAGUUUAGAUAAAUUCCUAGCAUCGAUGAUGUAUUGUUACCAAGAAAAUAAAUCUUAAAAAAGAAAAAUCUUCAAGUGGUGUAAUUUCUUAGUGUGGAUUCAUCAAAAACAUUGUAUUUUUCACUUAUAUUAGUAAAAGAGUACAAUACUCAAAUACAGUUAGUACUUGAGGUGUGGAUAUAGGCUUACCGAACCACCUUAGAAAUUAAGUUUGUAAUCUCUCUUUCCUUAUCUAUUUACUUUAAGUACUUUAAUUAUAUUGUUGGUUAUUGUGUUAUAUGUGUUUAGUGUGUUUAUUUGUAUUAUUUUGAUAUAAUUAAUGCAACACCUAAUCCAUCCCUCUUAGAUGUUAUUGUUGUUUUAAUCCUAACAACAUAAGUAUCAAUCAUAUUUUUUUUAUCAUAACUUUAGAAGAGUGCAUAAUGUUUUCUUAUGUUGAUGUCCAAAGAAAAAUAUUUAUAAUUAUUUGUAUUGUUAUAGUUUCUAUUGAAAAUUACAUUGUGUCUCAUAGAAAAACAAAUAAAUAAAUACACAAUUGCAAACUUAAAUUGUUUAUUAAAUUGUUUUUUGCAAAAUUAGUGUGUUAAAUUUUUUUGAUUCAUUUUAAUUAAUAUAUUUGAGAUUAUAUAAAUGUGAUAUAUAAUUGCAAAGUUAAUUUUAUUAUUGAGAUAAUAGAUGGAUAAAACUAUUGUUAAUGAUUUCGAUGUACUUGUUAACCUAGUAAUCUUUGUGGUAUAGAUGGCAAACCCGAUUUCUAAACAUUUUUCAUGCGGGGAAAAAACCAAAAUAAUUUGAGACACAAUGUAAUUUUCAAAUAUAAAGCAUGAUGAAUUAAAUUCUCUCAAGAGUCCUAAUGGUAGUGGUGUCUGCAGAAAGAAGUUCAAAGAAACUUGUUUUGUUUGUAAAAAGUAAAGACAUCAUUGUAAGGACUAUUGUCACUGUAAAGGAAAAAAUACACAAAGCAAUACUAAGAAAUUAUAUUCUAAAUAAAACAACUUAUAAGAAAAUUGGGCAAGAUAUGGUAUGAGUUGUUGAAUGUUCAAUCAUCAUCCUACAAAUACAUUAAAGUGUGGGGGUGUCUAGAAAAAAUUACAUUCCUCCACCAAAAAAAUUUAAAAAUAUGGACUUUAUUAUAUAAGAUAUGAAACUAUACUUGAAGGGUAUAGCGAUACUAAUUAGAUAUUCAAUAUUAAAUAUUCAAAAUCCACAAAUAGAUUUAUCUUUGUUAUCGGAGAAGCUAUAGUCUCUUGAAAUUUUUUUAAACAAAUAUGCAUAUCCAUAUCCAUAUCCAUGAAGGAGUUUGAGUUUACAACUUUAGAUAAAGAAAAGAAAUAGAAUAGCUUCUAAAACCUUACUGAGGAUAUUCGAAUUUACAAUUGAAAGGGCAUAAUAUAUAUAUAACUACAAGUAUUGACAUAAUUGUCAAUAUUAUAAGAUAGUUAAUCUAAAAUGAAAUUAUUUUUAUUGACCAUAUAAAGUUAAAUGAUAAUAUCAUGGAUUCGCUAAUAAAAUGCUUAACAAUAAAGCAAGUCAAUAAUCAUCGAGGGGAAUGAGAUUAAGACACAGUUCAAUGAAUUGUCAUGAUAGCGACCCAACCUAGUUUACUGGAGAUACCAAAUUUAGGUUCAAAGAGGCAACCAAAUCAUGUGUCAAUUCAAUAAUAUCCCUCCUACCCAUUCAUAUGAUAUAAAGUGUUAUCUGCAGCGAAAAUAGGAUAAGCUAAGCUUUUAAUGACUUUUAUAGCUUGAGAAAUUCAAGUGAGGUAUUACAUGAUACUCUUAAUAAGAAUCACCUAUGUGAAUGUGAAAACAAGGCCACUUCUAUGAAAAUUGAAAAUGCAAAUUCUCUAACGCUCUCUAAAAUCAAGACAUAUUUGAGGCUAAAAAGAACACAACCGUGAGAACCAAAACUGUAAGAAAACAAACUGUGUAAUCUCUAUUAUCUGGUUUCAUACAAAAGGUUAAACAACUCAAGACAUUAUGUUCGCUAGUUAGCCAAGUGAAUCCAAUAGUUUUAAUUAUGGAAGGUUCAAGGCUAAAAACUAUCUUGCUCGAUGCAAUGACUUUUCGCUAUUAGUCUCUAUUUUUUUGCCUACUUUGUAUUUUAUCCAGAUCAAACAAUUUUUAUCAUGUGGGGGGAUUGCUAGGGUGUGAAUGAAAAGUUGUGUUUGCUAAAAACUCUACUUGAAAUAAAAUCGUGUACUUUUAAACUAGAAAGUUGUAACCUUUUGUCUUAAAAGUUAUGUUAAAAUUAAAUGUCAGAAUUACCUAUAAAAAGAGACAAUUCUGACAUGAUUUUGAUAAUGAAGAAACUUCUAAUUUUUCUAAAACUCUUCUCUUUUAUAUUUCUUCAGUCAAAAUUCUUAUAGAGAGUAACAUUCAAAUUAUGGUUCAUCAUUUAUUCUUGGUUGUGCUAUCAAGAAUUAGAGAUUGAGCUUGAAAAAUAAUAUUACAAUCACAUUGCUAGCACCAAAAAGCAGGUAAUAAAUUGUUUUAUGAUAAUUUAUCGUUAAUUUAUUGAUUUUAAUUGGUGACUAUCCGUACAAAAUAGAUCUCAUAGACCUAUUAAAAUUGAAAAUGAUAAUGAGAUUUCUAAAACUAUAAGUGAAUAUAUGGAAAAUAUUAAAAAAUUACUUUUUAUGAAUGUUAAAGCCAUGAAUAUUUUGUAUUAUACAUUGGGUAAAAGUGAAUUUGAUAGAACUAUAUUAUACAAAAACGCUUAGAGAUAUAUAGCAUGUUUUACAAGUAAUUCAUGAAGGAACUAAGAAGUCAAAAAAUUUAAAAUUGACAUGUUAAUUCAUACUAAAAUAACUAAUAGUUUAUUAGUUUGGAUGUUUUUAGUAAUGCUGAAAUUAUAGAGAAUUGAUCAUUAAGUUGAUUUUUUAAUAUACGUGGAAAUCAUAUCAGUAUAAAUUUAAUAUACUAUUUAAAGUGUUCCAAUGGAAAGAAAAUGGGUAUUGUGAAUUUUAGUCUGCAUUUUUCUCUACUUUCUUUUUGGUUUUUUUUGUUUGUCCCUUCCUAAAAAUUUGCGCUCAGUUUUUGUCUUCUGCCUGCUGCUUAGUUUGGGGUAUUAAAUUUCUUUGUUUCUUCGGAAGAUGCCUUACUCUUUGUUGAUUGUCUUUCCAUUUUUAGUUGCAUUGUAAGGCUAUAUGUGUGUUUAUUGAGGCUUUGGCUGCCUUUUUUGCUACAGUUACGAGGUUUCUUGGGCAUAGUCUUUUGGUUAGCUUCAGCCCUCUAUUAUCCAUUCUUUAUAGAGGCGGUGUUGUCUUUGUUGCGCACAAGGUGGCAUGUGUCUUGAAAGGAAGUUUACUUGGUUUUCUGUGUUUCUUGUAUGCUACUUGUUUGGCAAAAGUCUUCUGAGAGAUCGACCUUGUUUGGCAAAAUGUCCCGGAAAACAAUCUCGAUAGGGUGCCCCAAUGGUGAGGACCAUCUGUAGCCAGUGUGCACUAUUUCUUUAGCCAAAUUAAUACAAUUACAAAUGACCCAUCAAAAGUUACCUUCCGAAACAAGGAGGAAACUAUUAUUUGUCACUUUAAACUUGAUUGUUUCAUAAAUAAUUUCAGUUUUGGGACGAGAUUUACGAAUGAACUGAAAAGGGUACCUCAAUUGUGUUACUCAAAUGAGAAAAUACAAAAAAAAACAUAUCAAGUCUGGUCCAAUUGCUUAACAUGCCUCAUAUUUUUGCACAUGAACCAGCCGAAUACUUUUUUUCUUUAAUGUUCAUAUCACAAAAAAAAACGAAAAACGAAAAAAAGCUUCUCCUCUCCCUUAUGCUAUAAAAUCUAAAGUGUUUUACGAAUUAGAUCUUUUAUUUUGCUUCACUAAUAAUAUCAGGCUUAACUUACUGACCCUAUAGCUUAUGUUUCAUCACAGCAGACUAAAUAAGGUUCUAGAUAACAGGAUAUAGGAGUUUACUUGGCCACCCUUCUGUCUAAAAUUCUAGCUACGAGCUUCAUGGUUAGUUUUCUUGAACCGGAAGAACCUUCCAUUUAUAGCUAUGGCUAUGCUCCAAGAUAUAUAAGUGAAUUAGUUGCAAACCAGGGGAGCUCUGUGAAAACAUUACAAUAGCAUUGACAAAGAAAAGAAGAGAAAUCCCUUUAAUUUAUGAAAAUGCAAUGAGUUAACCUUAUCUCACGCUGCAACAAAAAAUUACUUCCCAGCACUUUAUGUUCGCUUCUUGUGAGAAACAAGUGAAAAAUGAAAAAGACGAAAACAGAGGUGUAUGAUACUUGAGGUUGCCUCAUGGCAGUCUUUUGCCCUUUUCUUUUUCAUUCAUUUAAAUACAAUAUUUACUAUUUUGCAGCACUUGCACAUAUUAGGAAACAGAUACUUACAUUUUGUUGACACUAUUCUUUGAACACAUGGAUAGCUUCUAAAACCAAGGAAGCAAAAAACUAGCCAACUAGUUCAUGACUUGCCGCACCAGUAGAUGGUGAACCAAGCCAUAGAGAAACUCAUGGUGUUUCAAUUUUAACAAGUUCUUUCUUUCAAUAUAUGGUGCUUGGACCCCUCAAAGAACAUUAGCGCUUAUUCAAGAAAAACAAAUAAAGUUGUCAGACAUGAGAGACUAUAAUUAUUAUUAUUAUAAGAAAAACUAAAAUAUACAAGGAAAACACUAGAAUUUUUCUCACAAAACACUACAGAUUGCUACAAUAUUUCCUUACAUGAUUUGUGUUUUUUUUUUCCUUGAACACAUGAUUUUUUCCUUUUUCCUUUUUAUUUUUUUCUUAUAUAUGAUUUUUUUUCAAAAUUAUUUUUAUCGAUUUUAUUUUAAUAUUGAGAUGGUUAAAAAUUUAACUUUAAUUUUUUUUUCUUUUUAUUUUAUCUUUCUAUGUUGUUUGCGAUUUUAUCGAGGUAACACAGGGUGCCCCAGUUUAUGGAUUUGGUGAGGGUUUUUAUAAUUGAACUUGCCUUUUUUAUAGUAUAUUUUUUUUUCUCAUAUUGUUAAAAAAAACAGUUUUAGAAAAAAAUCAUGUUAUUAAAUUUUAUGAAGUAACAAAAAUUAAAGGAUGUAGGGGAAACUAUUGUUCACCUAACACACAUUAGACUAUGGAUUACAAUAGUAAUCUACCGUGUUUUGCUUCUUCUUUUUUCUUUUUAAAUUUUUGUCAAGGUUUUUUUUUUCAAAUCUAUUUUUGUCAAUAUUAUCUUUUAAAGUUGAAAUUAUUGACAAAUAAGCUUUGUAAUUUGUUUUUUUUUUUUUUUAAUUUUUCUUUAUAUGAGAUUAGUGUAGUUUAUAGGUUUGCCAAAAUAACCUAUGGUGCCCUGAUUUACGAGUUUGGUGGGUUGUAGUUUAAAAAAAAAAUUGAAUUUGACUUUUUUAAUAGUCUAUUUUUUUCUCAUAUAAUUAAUUUUUUUUAGAGAAAUGUCAUGUUAUUAAAAUUUAUAAAGUAACAAAAAUUAAAGGGUAUGAGAAAAUCAUUGUUCACUCACACACAUUGUACUAUGAAUGACAAUAAUAAUCCAUAAUAUUUUGCUUCCUUUCAUUUUUCUUUUUGUUUUUUAAUUUUUGUUAUGAUUUCUAAAACUAGAAGUGAAUAUACAGAAAAUGAUAAAAAGUUAUUUUUUAUGGACGUUAAAGCCAUGAAUAUUUUAUAUUAUACAUUGGGUAAAAGUGAAUUUGAUAGAAUUAUAUUCUAUAAAAAUGCCUAGAGAUAUAUAGCAUGUUUUAGAAGUAAUUCAUGAAGGAACUAGUAAGUCAAAAAAUCUAAAAUUGACAUGAUAAUUCAUCAAUAUGAAUUGUUCAAAAUGUUUGGUGAAUUCAUAACUAAAAUGUGUAUUAAAAUGACUAUAAUAGCUGAUAGUUUAUUAGUUUGGAUGUUUUUAGUAAUGCCGAAAUUAUAGAGAAUUGAUCAUUAAGUUGAUUUUUUAUAUGCGUAGAAAUCAAAUCAUUAUAAAUUUAAUAAACUAUUUAAAGUGUUCCAAGGGAACGAAAAUGGGUGUCGUGAAUUUGAGUCUGUAUUUUUCUCUAGUUUCUUUUUGGUUUUUUCCGUUUGUCCCUUCCUGAGAAUUUGUGCUCAGUUUUUGCCUUAUACCUGCUGCUUAGUUCAGGGUAUUAAAUUUCUUUGUUUCUUCAGAAGAUGCUUUACUCUUGGUUGAUUGCCUUUCUGUUUCCAAGAUAAAUAAGUGAAUUAGUUGCAAAACAGGGGAGUCUCUGUGAAAACAUUACAAUAACAUUUACUCUGAGUAAGAAUAGUUUUAUACAUCAUGCACUGUAAUUGACAAAGAAAACAAGAGAAAUCCCUUUAAUUUAUGAAAAUGCAACGAGUUAACCUUAUAUCAGUGCUCAUUGGCUCCUGCAAGUGCCAGCAGUAGCUGUCUAUAUGAUUUUGGAUGUAGAGAGGUCAACAAAACAUUCAACUUUAUACUGAGAAACCAUACACUAUAUAUUGUGGCUAAUUGAUUUUUGUCUGCUGCUUUUGUACUUUUAAGAUCCUCGAUAGAAGGCCCCAAAUCCAACACCAUUCAUUUAAGUUCAGUUGCAAGUCGAGUUUCAAAUUGAAACACCAAUGCUCAUAGCAAUAGAUUAACCUUGAAAUUUAAAGCGGAACAAGCUUCAUGCAGCCAUCCAAGAGGUCAUCAUCGAAAGAAGAUGUUACACAAGAAAUUACAACAAAAAUUACUUCCCAGCACUUUUUAUUCCCUCGAGUUCCCAUCUUGUGAGAAACACGUGAAAAAUAAAAAAGACAAAAACGAAAGAAGAUGACAUCCUGUCAUUGCUACCAAAUCCUCACCAGCUGCAGUUCUAGAUCCAUUACCAGCUGCAGAACCAGCAAUUCUGUCAAUCAUACUGACAACGGAGCCAAUGUCACCGACAGAUGCACUAAGUGCUUUGGGAGACAGAGAUUUCACCUGGGAAAAAAAAUUACAACAUCACCAUCUCAUUCACAAAGAAGUUUCUUUCUUUUUCAGAAACCUCCAAAAUAAGGGUGGGGUGGAGUAAAACCAAAAGGAGAGCAUCACUAACCGCUUCAAUCAAGUACUCAAGUGGUUGCUCUGUAACAUUUGACUUGCCAGAAACAGUUGUCAAAGCACCGCCAUGAGCACCAUCAGGACUGGUAAAGUCUGCAAGCAAAGGUGAUGCAGAUAUCCCAGGAGUGCCAAUUGCAAGGGAUGGUGCCGGUGCUUGUGCAACAGAUGGUUGGUGUACAAUAUUUCCAGUAUUUAAGAGUGAGGAAAUACCAGAAACUGGUUUGUCAGAAUCUCCUGGCAUAGGAGAUGGAGCUAAAGGAGUUGAAGGAGAUGCGACAACAAAAGGCGAGUUCGCAGAUUGCAGAGGUGUUGCAGUUUUGGUUACAGAAGACGGUAGAUUUUGCUGGUCAAUCUGAAGAGAUGAAUGUUGUAAUUGAGGGGAAGCAUGCUGAGGUAGUUGAGGUGAAGAAAUAGGAUAUGAAGGUGCUGUUUUCAUGUGUUGACGUGGGAAAGCUGUGCGUUGACCUGUUGGGAGAUGUUGUUGGUAGACUGCUGGCUUAUUUUCAAUCCCCUGUCUCAUCUCAUUUACAUCAUUCAUCUGUUGCAGCUGUGGAAUUUGGUGUGUCUGCAUCUGUGCAGGCAACUGCUGCUUGGCUUGCUGGUGUAAUUGCUGCUGCUGUAGCAUCUGUUGAUUCUGCAUUAAAUUCUGGUGUUGCUGUAAUCGUUUAAGCUGUUGUGUUUGUAGCAUCUGUUGUUCAUGCUGCUGCUGCUGCUGUUUUAGAUGCUGGUGUUGAAUCAUAUUGGAAUUCGACUGAAGGGGAAUAUUUGGCUGCAGCAUACUCACCCCACUUUGUGUUGACAUUGUGUUAACAUUGGUUGGUUGGGAAAUGCUCACGAGAUUCUGUUGUACAGAUCCUACAGGUGUCUGCUGCAAUGAGCUCAGUGCAUUUCCUUGUCCACAAUCUAAAUUGGAGCCUGGUUGUAUUGGAUUCAUCAUGUUUGAUUGUGACGUCGAAUCCCCAGAUAAAGUUGAAAGAGAAUUAUGCAGCAAGCUUGACAUAUUGCUCUGCUGCAUCUUUGGUACAGAACCUUGCAUAUUCAUUGAUUGCAACUGGGGAUUCAGUUUAUUUUCAUGGGACUGCAAUUGAGGAACUUGAGAUUGGGGUUGCUGCAUAGGUUGAAUAUGAGGUUGGGGAAGUUGUCCUUGCUGUAGAUUAGGAAUAGGCUUCCUGUAUCUGCUUGGGUUUAGAAAACCUACAAUCUGCUUCUCAUAGAAACCCACUUUCUCCUUGAAAUUAGGUGUGAUGUUGUUUUUAGAGACCUGUAAGAAUUGUAUCAAGCGCUCCAACAUGACCUUGAAUACCUUCAGCUUUUCAAGCUGUUCUGACUUCGGUUGUUGCGGAAGAGGGUCAUGCUGGAAAGCAAAGUUAACAUACACGAGAAUUAAAAAUUGCAUUGACCCUUUGUAGCAAAACUAGUAAAACAUAAGUGAAAAAAAUGUUUCUAUUCCAAUUCUUCUGUGUCAAUGCAUGGUUGUGGGGUGGUUGGGGGUGGGGGGGGGAAUUAGUGCAGAUGAUACAGUGACAAGCAAUGCUGAUGGGGAAAACAAAUUAAUCAAAAGCUCAACUGUGGGGGUUUAUGAAUCAUGUGUGAGCAAAUAAAUCAGAAAAAAUUACAAAGACAAUUUACCUGCUGUAACUUGGUAGCAAUUCUCUGGUACAUUUCAUUUAUUUCAGGCAAAUACGUUUCCUUCAUAACUUUGAUCUAGGAAGUACAUAUAACCAGCAAAACAUUAUCAAUCAUAUGCUUGAUUUCUUCAGGUGCCAGAGUCAGAAAGCAACAUAAGCAAACUUGAGAGAAUUGAUAAAUAAAUAAAUAAAUAAAAUGGCAGAGGACAGCAUAUAUUGUUUGAGAUAAAAAUAGCAGAGUGGAAUCAAUGCUGAAAACUCAAUAGAGAAUAUAGUUAUUGAUUGCAUGCAAAGAUGCAAAGGAUUGUGUAGUUACCCCUUCAGACAAGAUUCAGGGGUAGGUCAAGUUCAGUUACUUUGUCUCACGGCAACCUAUUGUUCUCACUCAAGUCAAUGGAUGUCACGACUUUGGUAAACACUUCUUAGCUUUAUAACUUUAGAUUUAUAACCCUUAUAUCCUAAUUACAACCACUCCUAUUCCCGUUUUAGUACCCUCCCAGGCACAAAAAAAUUGACCUCAUCAAAUAUGCAGUUAUGAGUUGCAACUACAGCCAUUAAAUGAUUCAGAAUUUCAACCUCGUUUUCUAUAAAAUUCAACAAUACUGGACAUGGUCAUGAUUCAAUGGAUUAGGUCCACUUAUUUUCCUUUCUUCCAUUGUCACAUGUUUCAGAACAAAUUUGAUUGUAAUCUUGAAAAUAACUGUUCACUUAACCAAAUAAACGAUGACUAUUCAGAAACAGUUCACUCUUGUUUUCAAGUCUGUCUAUUAUAGUAAGAAGUAUUGUCAAUUGGACUUAUUGGAAAUAAUAAAAUAAUAAUUCACCACACAAUAAAUGUAUGGAAAUACAGGGAAAAAAUUGAAAGGGAGAGAUUUGCAAUAGAAAAAAUUGUCGUGUCAGUACCAAGAAAAUAACCCUCUUGACCUAGAAAUCUGAAUAUUUACCUUUAAUCAUCUUAUCAGUAAUUUAUCGUUUCUUAGUUGCUGCAAUCAUGGAACUUACAAUGCUUCCUAACUAAUCACAACCAUAGCUGAAUAAAACUCCCUUGUACCAAAUUCCAGGAGACCUUUUCCAUUGAAAUCUUGCAAGACAAUGACAUACAUGAACAGUAAGCUAAAGAAAUUACCUUUUGAUAGAUCUCCUCUUGCCAAUCAGCACCAUUUGCAUGUCCAGUCUCUGCUGUAGAAUCUAGGGAUGCUACAAAAAUUUUGAUACAGCCAACAAAAGAUUAGAAUGCAUGUAUGUUUUGAAUGUUUUCUGCACACAAGGGUAUUUCUGUAAUUUUCACACUUGCUGAAAAUUAUGGAAUAUUGUAGGUCUUGGUUUUAUUUCUAUUUAGUAUUUUAUUGUUCCUAAAGAAUAAGGAGCUUUAAUAGGUUUUCCCUAUCCUAGAUAGAACCAUUAGUAUUUUCUUACAUAGGAAUACAAGUCCUUUUUGGACUUGGAGUACUAGGAACUCCAUCUCAACGUUAUGUAAUCAUUCAAACAGACAGAGAGACCCCCUCCAACAAGUGAUCAUUAUAUAUUAAAAAAAAAGGCUCAAACAAUUUAUCAUGGAAGAAAAGCACAAAAGUGACGCUUUACCUCCUAACCAGGAAAAUCUUUAAAAUAAACCAUCUCAAUCAUAAAAAUAGAUAGCCAUGCAUCACAGUCCUUGUUCCUUAACAAGUUAAGGAUGAAACACUUCACAUGCCUUACAGAAUUAGCAUCGAGGAGGUGAUCAUGAGAUUUUCCAGCAAGGUGAUGAUUUAUCAGCACACCAAACCUUAAGUGCCUCAGAGUUAGUCCACUUGCUAAUUUCUUUCUUCCCAUAAAAAUCAAUUGGCUGAUGAUUAGUUACCCUAGUGUCAAAUGCAUUGUCCAGUUAUGCAUAUAUUUUUAAAAUUCAUGUCCGUUAAAUUCAAAAUGAGAGGUGAACAAUUGGUGCGAUGAGCUGGAGGGUGUGAUGUGGCAACAAACGAGUGUGAUUGCAAGGUUUCAAUAGCAGUGGCAUCAGUAGCACAUAAAGCUACCAAAAGAGCAUUGCUGACUUGAACCAUUAUGAGAGGUGAAGAGUUGUUGCAAUGCACUGUAUGGCAUUAUGUCGUAACAAAUAUAUGUGUGAUUGCAAUGGCUCCAAUAGCAGUGGCAUUUCUGAUGCCAUAAGUGGCAGCCAUAGCUCAUAAAGCUACCAAAAGGAGCAUUACUGACUUGAACCAUUAUUGUAUUUUCAAGAAAUUUAAAUAAAUAUGUUAUAAUCUAACAUGAAAGCACAAAGCUGCAAAAUUAAAGUUGGAGCAAGGUUAGAAAGCUGCAAGGAUGAGAAAAACUUACUUGAGGACGUUUCUGGAAGGGCUCUUUGAGGUUGAUAUAACUGCCUUUGCUGAUCAAUCACAUUUGACUGUUGAAGCAAGGAGCCUGAUGCUUGAAGCCUUAGCUGCAGAUCAUGUUGUAAUGGAUUUGAUUGCUGUUGCUGAGCUCCAAGCAACUGCUGUUGCUGUAAACCAGUGACAUUACUUUGAGAGCCCAACUGUUGCUGAUGCAUGCUUGAGAGGUUAUUCUGUUGAGCCAUUAACUGCUGCUGCUGCUGCAGAUUUUGAAGGUUAUUCUGCUGCCCUAGCAAUCUCUGCUGCUGCUGCUGCUGCUGCAAGUCCCCAACAAUGUUUUGCUGUCCAAUUAACUGAUUUUGCGACAUGUUAGUCGUAAUUGAUUGUUGCCCCAUUAGCUGCUGUUGUGGAGGCAAUAGUGGCUGCUGCAUCAUUGGUGUUUGCUGCUGAUGAAUACCAGCAGACUGUUGAGGUUGUUGCUGCUGCUGCCUAAGGACUGAUUGUGGAUGUUGCUGGUGCAUUGGUUGUGUUGACUGUUGAACAGAAGAUGGUUGGUUCUGUUGAAGGCCAGAGACAGUUUGCAUCAUUGAAGGCUGCAUAACAGUUGAUGUUGGCAAACCAGAUUGCUGAGAAGAUUGCAACUGAUUUGGCUGUAACAAGUUUUGCUGCUGCUGCUGGUGGAUGUGAGAUUGCACAAGUGAGUGUGGAUGAUUUCCCUGUUGAAGCUUCUGCUUUAAAAGCUGUUGUUGUAUCUGCUGCUGAUAAAGAUACUGCUGAGGAUUUUGGGACUGCUGCUGUUGCUGUGGAGGAACAACCUUUUGCCUGCCUGGCAUUUGUCUCUGAGAAUUGUGGAGGAACAACAUAUUGGAGGGAAUCCCUUGUCCCAUUGAAUUCCCCACUGGGUUCUGUGAAACACCAGAGAUACUCUGCAUGUUAGCAUUCUGUCCAACAGUGUUUGAGAUAGUCUGGGUUAAACCGGAAACAGAAGGCAUUGCUGAUUGUAAACCAGCAGAACUUUGAACUCCAUUAGAUGAUAUACUAUUCUGCAUGUUCUGUGAUAACUGCUGACAUGCUUGAGACUGAUUAGUGGGCAAUGAGAUAGGGAGCGACUGCCCUUGGUUGUGAGCUUGAGGCGGCAUACUAUGAGAUGCUGUUCAAGAUAGAAGGCAAAAAGGAAAACCAUGUCAAAGGAAAAAAAGAAGGCAUUGAGCAAGAAAAACAAAUGAAACAAUGACAGUUCACACGUAAAGUUAUGAGGGAAAUAAUUAAGAUGGUUUUACCUCAAAGCAUAAAGUACAAAAAUAAUCUGUAAUUUUUUUGAACAUUCAUCAAUUACUCAACUUUUUUAUUAAAGCAUGGUAUAUACAUAGCAAUAUGAGCAAUCAAAUGUAAAAGUGUUUGAUAACAAUGCGAAAUAUAAAAAAAGGUAAGGAUGUUUUAGAAAUUCAAUGCUUGGCUGCAUUAUUACCUCCUGGAUCCAGGGGUUUGUUACCAUUGCCAGUGGGUAUGGUAUUUUGAGACUUGGUCUCCAUUGUAAGCAUCUUCAGAGAUAUUUUACGCAGAUAAUCAGACUGAAAUCAGAUAUCAAUAACAAAAUAUUAGAUCUCUGCGCAAUCCAUGUUACAAGAGAAGGGGGAAAAGGGAUUUAUGCUCUUUCUAAUAUGCUAGGCUCUUUGUAUUUGCAUCUUCUGUGAGGAUAUACUUCUGUGUCCUCUCUUUUUAUUUAAUUAUUUAUGUAUUGAUUCGUUAUUUGCAUUUUGCACACUUCCUUUUGUUGGUGGGAGAAACCACUGGUGGUGGCUUUGAAACACUCAGAGGGGAUAAAACACACUGGUUUUAUUACAAAAUCCGAAGCUUACAAUUAACACAAAACAAAAGCUUAAUACACGCCCUCUCUCUCUCUCUUUCUCUUUCAAGUGUUUCUCACAAUUCUCUCCACACAAAUAAACACAAGCUGGGCACUCUAUUUAUAGACAAAAAACAGAAUACGAAAAUCUAUUGUUCCAGGUGUGAAGGCGGCUGUUGACCGGUGGUGUGAAGGCGGCUGUUGACCGGUGGUGUGAAGGCGGCUGGCGGCUGGCGGCUGCGGCUGGUGGUUGGCGGCUGCGGCUGGUGGGUGGUUGCCUUCCUUGACUAUCUAGGUGCUUCUAGAUUGAGUUUAUUAUUCUACAAAUCUCCCCCUUAAACUCAAUCGAGGGAUGUCAUGCCAAGCAUGAACACUUCUCCUUUCAAUGCCUUCUUUCUGCUUGUAAACCCUUUUGACACCUAUUGCUUUCUUCUUUUCUGGUGGGUCCUUAUCUGCAUGGAAACAAAACAGAGUUGUAUCUUCCAUGACCUGAGUGGUAUCGUACAACUCUUCAAGAUUCCUCAUCCUUCUUGGUCCUUCUAAUGAGGAUGCUGAUGGUGGUGUUGAUGAUGAUGCUCCUGGUGUGUUCCUCCUGUUGAAUACAGGGAAUCUGUGUACCGGACUUUGUGGUUCAGCUGCUGGUAUAAACACCGGACUUUGUGGUUCAGCUGCUGGUAUAAACACCGGACUUUGUGGUUCAGCUGCUGGCACAAUUGGUUCUUCUGCAGGUACAAUCGGUUCUUCGACAAGUACUGUUGGUACUUCUUCACCUUCAAGGAUCAAAUCAGUGUUGAUCCAUCUGACUGCUUCUUGAUCACCAUUCCAUUCCCAAGAUUUAUCUUCUUCAAAGAUAACAUCUCUACUCGUAAUCACCUUCUUCGUGAUGGGAUUAUACAGCCUGUAUCCCAUCCUUCUUUCACCAUAUCCGACAAAGAUGCAUUUCUCGCUCUUAUCAUCGAGCUUUCUCCUUCUUGCAUCUGGGAUCUUUGCAUAUGCCACACAACCAAAGACUCGUAGAUGAGUAACACUUGGUUUGUGACCACUCCAUGCUUCUUCUGGAGUGACUCCUUGCAAACUUCUGGUUGGGCAGCGAUUCAACAGAUACACUGCACAUGAUACAGCUUCAGCCCAGUAUUGCUUGGGCAGCUUCUUUGCUUUGAGCAAACUUCUAGCCAUGUCAAGAAUCGUGCGAUUCUUCCUUUCUGCUACACCGUUCAGCUGUGGUGUAUAAGCUGGCGUCGUCUGAUGUCUGAUGCCUUGUUGUGUACAAUAGGCUUCAAAGUCAUUGCUGUAUAUUCUCCACCUUGAUCAGAUCUCACUGUUCUGAUCGUGUAACCAGUUUGCUUCUCCACAAUUGCUUUAAAAUCUUUAAAACAAUUGAAUACUUCUGACUUCCUCUUCAGAAAGUAUAUCCACGUCUUUCUACUAAAAUCAUCAGUAAAAGUGAGGAAGUACCUAUUUUGUCCAGUCGACAUAGGCGUAAUUGGGCCACACACAUCUGUGUGUACUAACUCCAGUGGCCUCUUUGCUCUCCAGUUGACUUCUUUGGCAAAACUGGAUCUGUGUGUUUGCUGAGGACACAACUCUCACAGACUUCUUGGAUGAUCAAUGUGAGGCAAACCUUUGACCAUCUUCUUGCUUGCUAGCAUCUUCAUACUCGUGAAAUUCAGAUGUCCAAGCCUCAGGUGCCAAAGCCAUUCUUCACUGUUGGUGAUGGCACUCAAACACCUUGUUGCAUCAUACUGGAUGUUCAAAGGAAACAUCCUAUUCUUGGACAUUUUCACGUAGGCCAUUAAUCUCCCAUUGUUGUCUCUAAUUGUCAGAUGACAAUUCUUCGAGUAAAAACUAUAUCCUCUCUCCAAAAGUUGGCCUAAGCUGAUCAGGUUCUGCUUUAUGGCUGGGACAUAAUACACAUCGGCGAUGUAGCUGGAAUCGCCAUUCUUCAACUUGACUGGGAUGUUGCCUUUACCUUUGAAUGGAACCUUUGUGGUAUCUCCAAAAGUAACUAGACCUUGCUUGGUCUCAUCUAGAUCACCAAAUAACUCUCGGUAACCGCACAUGUGAUUGCUGGCUCCAGUAUCUAGAUACCAUAUAUUUUCUUGUUUCUCGCCAUGUCCUUGUUGGACAAGAAAUGCAGAUGCUUCUCCAUCAUGCUUCUCUACAUAGUUGGCUUGCUCACGUAUCUCCAACGGAGCUUUCCAUCGGCAUUCAGUGCUAUAGUGCCCAAAUUGAUUGCAGCUAUAACAUUUGAUAUUUCUCUUGUCACGGUUAUUGUAACCGCCUCCUCUUCCUCUAGGAGUGAAUGCUUGUUGUCCUCGGCCUCCUCUGGUGGUGUUUCUGCCACCUCUUCCUCUAAAGCUUGUAUUCCAAGAACCUCUUCCUUGGAAUCUCUGGAAUCCUCCUCUGGAUUGUUGACUUCCUCCUUGAGUGGUGUAGCCACUUGAUGAAGUCUCCCCUUGCUCAUAUCUGUCCUUGAGGGACAGCUUUGCUUGUAAGGCAUGCUCAAUGGCCUUAUCUUCAUUUCGCAUUACAAUCUUCUGCUCAUGAGCUUGCAAAGAACUCAUAAGCUCAUCCACUGUCAACUUGUCCACUUCCUUGGACUCUUCAAUUGCGACAACAACAUGAUCAAAUUUUGGAUCUAUGGAUCUCAAAAUUUUCUCAAUAAUUCGAGUAUCAUGAGGCUUCUCCAUUUCUUCUCAUCUGGUUGACUAUCACCAUAAUCCUUGUAUGAUAAUCAGAAAUAGAUUCUGAGGACUUCAUUCGUAAUAAUUCGAAUUCUCCUCUCAAAGAUUGAAGACGAAUCUUCUUGAUUCUGUCAGCACCUUUGUAUUUCUGUUGGAGAGCCUCCCAUAUAUCAUGUGACGUUUCAGCGGAAGCUAUUAUCUCGAAUGUAUCUUCAUCAAGACCUUGAUAGAUGAUGGUCUUUGCUUUGUUGUCCUUCUUUCUGUUGACUUUAGGGCUUGCUUCUGUGCCUCUUGUAAAGCAUCUUCUCUUUCUUUGGACUCUGGUUCAUCAUAACCAGUUUGUACAAUAUCAAAACACUCUUGUGACCCAAGAAAUGCCUUCAAUCUGAUGCACCAACUAUCAUAGUUGUCUUUGGUCAGCUUCGGGAUGAGUGUAUGUGUACCUUCUGUAGUCAUUUUGCUCUUUUAAUGACUAUAUCGCCUUCUGGGAGCCGAAUUUGACCAAACGGACACUGUAGAUCGAUCCGGAAUGGUCCAAAUAGUCGGGAACCGGUCUGACUUUGUUGAAAUCGGGUCAGAAAAUGGGUGAACCGGUCAAAAAACCAAUUCUGUACGGCGGGCGGUUCGCUGGGUUGAACCGGGAAUAUUCUGUGGAAUAUUCUGGGGAAUAUUCGGGAAUAUUCUGGGAAUAUUCUGGGAAUAUUCUGGCUCGGCUUGCUGGAACGCGGCUCGGCUCGGCUCGGUCGGUCGGGUACGGCUCGGCUUGUGGCUCGGCUGGACUCGCUUGUGGCUCGGCUAGGCUCGGCUUACGGCGCGGCGCGGCUCAAUAUGGCGCGCGUGUGGCUCAGUCGUCUUCAACCUCGGGGCGCGUGGGAUGCGCGUGGGCGAUCUGGCUGAAUAUUCAGGCGGCGCGUGUGGGCUACCCCGGACUCCGAUGGGCUGAUUUUUGCGGCAGUGAGUUCGUCUUGAUGAGCUCUACACUGUGGAAUGAUCAAAACUUGUUUUUGACAACUUUGAAAAUUCGGAUAUACCCCAAAACUCUUCUGUUUUCCGACGAACGGGGCUCUGAUACCAAUUGUUGGUGGGAGAACCACUGGUGGUGGCUUUGAAACACUCAGAGGGGAUAAAACACACUGGUUUUAUUACAAAAUCCGAAGCUUACAAUUAACACAAAACAAAAGCUUAAACACGCCCUCUCUCUCUCUCUUUCUCUUUCAAGUGUUUCUCUCAUUCUCUCCACACAAUAACAAAGCUGGGCACUCUAUUUAUAGACAAAAACAGAAUACGAAAAUUCAACUUUCAGUGUGAAGGCGGCUGGCGGCGGUGUGAGGCGGCUGGCGGCUGGCGGCUGGCGGCUGCGGCUGGUGGCUGGCGGUUGCGGCUGGUGGGUGGUUGCCUUCCUUGACUAUCUAGGUGCUUCUAGAUUGAGUUUAUUAUUCUACACCUUUGUACUUGAAAAGGACCUUGGUCACUCUAAAUAAAACACAAACUUAUGCAUGUGUAUAUUCAUGUCUAGAGAAUUAACGAAAAGAUGAGAACUUCUACAAAAUGACCAGUGAGGAAGUGUGGACACACUACACACACGUGUACAUGCAUAAAUCCACAAACUUAUGCAUGCGUAUAUUCAUGUCUAGAGAAUAUCGAAAUUAUUGAACCUAGCAUUAGCCGAAUACCUGAUUGGUAGCAGCAGUAAUAAAUCUUUUCCUCAAACCGUACGGCAAUUUUCUUGAGCUCUUGUAAUCCCUCUUGACCAGAAAACGGAAGAAUGCCUCUUUAAUGUCUCCAUUCUACACAUGUAAACAUUUACAUUUAGUUUUUAAUGACAAGGCAGGUAUAGAGAGUUAGCAGCAGUGAGAAAGAACCGUGAACUCAUACACCACACCAAUAUCAGAAAAUGUAUACAACGGAAUCAUUAGCAAAAAGUAAAACAAAUAUGAUAUAGCCGAGUGUCGAUCAAGUAAUAUAUGGCAUCAACUCCAGACAUCUAUUUUUACUUCCUUUCCCCGUCUAAUUCCAGAGGUACGGGUAUAGUAGUUCAGUUGGCCACCCUUCUGUCUAAAAUUCUAGUUUACGAGCUUCAUGGUUAAUUUUCUUGAACUGGAAGAACCUUCAUUUAUGGCUAUGGCUAUGCUCCACGGUAUUAAGUGCAUUAGUUGCAAACCAGGGGAACUCUAUGAAAACAUUACAAUAGCAUUUAGUCUGAGUAAGAAAACUUUUAUACAUGCACUGUAAUUGACAAAGAAAAGAAGAGAAAUCUUUUAAUUUAUGAAAUGCAAUGAGUUAACCUUAUCUCACGCUGCAACAUAUACUCUACAGUGCUCAUUGGCUACUGCAAGUGCCAACAGUAGCUGUCUAUAUGAUUUUGGAUGUAGAGAUAUCACCAAAACAUUCAACUUUAUACUGAGAAACUAGGAAACCAUACACUAUUGUGGCUAAUUGAUUUUUGUCUGCUGCUUUUGUACUUUAAGAUCACUAUCAUUUCAAUCCUGUAGAAGUAAAGCAAAUAGAAGGCUCAAAUCCAACACUAUUCAUUUAAGUUCAGUUGCAACUCAAGGUUGAAAUUGAAACACCAAUGCUCAUAGCAAUAGAUUAACCUUGAAAUUUAAAGCAGAACAAGAUUCAUCAAAAGAAGAUGUUACACAACAAGUUCCAACAAAAAUUACUUCCCAUCACUUUUUAUUCCCUCAAGUUCACUUCUUGUGAGAAACAAGUGAAAAAUGAAAAAGACAAAAACAGAGGUGUAUGAUACUUGAGGUUGCCUCAUGGCAGUCCUGCUGAUUUUAAUUAACCUUUUGCCCUUCUCUUUUUCUUUCAUUUAAAUACAAGAUUGUUGGAAGAUUGCUUCAUGAGCUGGCAAAGAACCAGUCAAAGAAGAAGUAGUCAAAGAUUUAUUUAUGCUCUGUAUUUCCUGUUUUCAUGCAAAUAAUUAAUUGCAUCCUAGUCUCUAGGAAUUAGGUGAUCUGUUAAUAUGUUAACAGAUUGUAGCAGGAUUUUUAUGCUUUAUUGUAGCAUUUCUGUUUCGUUUUACAGUAUAAAUAUAUGUAAAGAUUGCAACAUAAAGUGUAAUCACAUUCUUCAAUUCUCAGCUAAUAAAACAGUAAAAACUUCUACUGUUCAGAUCAAGAUUUCUGGCAAUUCUCAACAGUAACAAACUGUUACUGUAAACAUCAAACUUGUCCAUUCUUUCUAAGUUUCAUUUUUCUCUUCUAAACACUGUCAAUUGGUAUCAGAGCUGAUUUCUUAAAGGACCUGUGAUGGAUAAUGAAGCAAGUUUUUCUCACAUUUCUUCUCAAAUCUUUAAUGGAGAAAAUUAUCAACUUUGGGCAGUAAGGAUGGAAACCUACUUGGAAGCACUUGAUCUUUGGGAGGCUAUCGAAGAGGAUUAUGAAGUUCCACCACUGCCAACUAAUCCUACCUUGACUCAGAUUAAGAGUCACAAGGAGAGAAAAACCAAAAAAUCCAAAGCAAAGGCAUGUCUAUUUGCUGCUGUCUCAACAACAGUUUUCACAAGGAUCAUGUCCCUAAAAUCUGCCAAAGAUGUAUGGGAUUAUCUGAAGGAGGAAUAUGCAGGAGAUGAAAGGAUACGUGGAAUGCAAAGCCUCAACCUCAUAAGAGAGUUUGAGCUGCAGAGGAUGAAGGAGUCUGAGACCAUCAAAGAGUACUCAGAAAAAUUGCUUGGAAUUGUCAACAAGGUGAGAUUGCUGGGCACAGACUUUUCUGAUUGCAGAAUUGUGGAGAAAAUCCUUGUUACGGUGCCUGAAAGAUAUGAGGCAUCUAUAACUACCUUGGAGAACACCAAGGAUCUGUCCAAGAUCAAUUUGGCAGAAUUGAUAAAUGCUUUGCAGGCUCAAGAACAAAGGAGACUGAUGAGGCUGGAUCAUGUUACAGAAGGAGCAUUACAAGCAAAGUAUCCUGAUUCUAAGAGUCAUUUCAGGAAAAAUCAGGUUUCAAGCAGUAGUAACACUACUGCUCGUAAAUUCCAGAACAAAGGAAAAUUUCUCAAAAGAAAUUUUCCACCCUGUCAACACUGCAACAAGACAGGACAUGCACCUUUCAAGUGCUGGAAAAGGCCUGAUGCAAAAUGCAGCAAAUGUAAUCAAAUGGGACAUGAGGCAAUCAUCUGCAGGACAACAAUUCAGAGACAAGAUGUUGAUGCACAAGUGGCCAGUCAAGAUGAUGAAGAUCAAAUGUUCGUAGCUUCAUGUUUUUCAGUCCAAACCACCUCAGAUCACUGGCUGAUAGACAGUGGGUGUACGAAUCACAUGACCCCUGACAGAAGCCUCUUUCGAACCUUGCAAUCUACUGAAGUUGCAAAGGUCAGAAUUGGAAAUGGUGCUUGCAUAGCUGCAAAAGGAAAGGGGACAAUUGCCAUCACCACAAAGUCAGGUACAAAAACCAUUUCUGAAGUUUUAUAUGUACCUGAAAUAGAUCAAAAUCUAUUAAGUGUGGGGCAAUUGAUUGAGAAAGGAUGAAGGUUGUCUUCGAAAAUUAUUUUUGCUAUGUCUUUGAUGCUGCUGGACAAUUACUUUUGCAAGCUAAGAUGAAAGGAAAGAGUUUUUCAUUCCUACCAUUUGAGGAGGAGUAUUCAGCUUUUCAAACAAAGCUGACUGAUAUGGAAGUGUGGCAUAAAAGACUAGGCCACUGCCAUCAACAGAGGAUGAUAAGCAUGAAGAAACAUGACUCUGUAAGAGGAGUGCCUCAAUUCACUGACUUUCCAUCAAAUUGCAGUGCAUGUCAAUUUGGUAAACAAAGCAGGAAGCCAUUCCAGAAAUCAACUUGGAGAUCACACAGAAACUCCAAUUGAUUCACACUGAUGUUGCUGGUCCACUCAGCACACCUUCAAUCAAAGGUAGCCGAUACUAUAUUCUUUUUAUUGAUGACUUUUCUAGGAUGUGCUGGAUUUUCUUCAUGAAAUACAAAUCAGAAGUUGCUGGGAUUUUUUUCAAAUUCAAGAAGAAUGUGGAAAACAUAAGCAAUUACAGAAUUCAGGCCAUUAGGUCUGAUAAUGGCAAAGAGUAUACCUCAUCAGAGUUCAAUCUCUAUUGUGAGGAAGCUGGCAUCGAUCAUCAACUCACUGCCCCUUACACACCAGAGCAGAACGGUGUUAGUGAAAGAAGAAAUCGAUACAUCAUGGAGAUGGUGAGAUGCAUGUUGCAUGACAAGAACUUACCAAAGGAUUUUUGGGCAGAAGCAGCCAGCACUGCAGUUUUUCUUCAGAACAGACUGCCCACAAAAUUGCUGACGAGAAGACACCUUUUGAAGCUUGGUAUAAUUACAAACCUUCAUUAAGAUUUCUUAAAGUCUUUGGCAGUCUGUGUUUUGUUCACAUUCCACAUAUCAAAAGGGACAAGCUGGACAAGAAGGCUGCACCAGGAAUCUUUGUUGGCUAUAGUGGUGCAUCUAAAGCUUACAAGGUUUACCAUCCUCAAACACAAAAAAUGGUUGUUACCAGGGAUGUCCACUUUCAAGAAGAAGAUCAGUGGGACUGGGGACAAUCACAAAUGAAUAAUCAGCCUCAUGAAGAAGAGCAAUGGGACUGGGGACACUCACAAACAAACCAGCAACCUGCAGAUCCAUUGCUAGAUGAAACACUUGAUGAUCCACCAACAAGAGGCACUCGAUCACUUGAGGAUGUCUAUCAAAGGAGCAAUGUAGCCCUCUGUGAACCAGAAGGCUAUGAAGAAGCUAAACAAAGUCCAGAAUGGCAGAAAGCAAUGCAAGAGGAGAUAUCAAUGAUUGAGAAGAAUUGCACAUGGGAACUUGUUGACAGACCACCUGGAAAAAACAUCAUUGGCGUGAAGUGGAUAUUCAGGACUAAACUGAAUGCUGACAGCACCAUUAACAAGCAUAAAGCUAGGCUGGUGGUCAAGGGGUAUGCACAAAUCUAUGGUGUUGAUUAUUCAGAUACUUUUGCACCUGUAGCAAGAAUGGACACCAUUAGACUUUUACUUGCUGUUGCUGCUCAAAAGAACUGGAAAGUAUUCCAGUUAGAUGUCAAAUCUGCCUUCCUCAAUGGCAUAUUGCAAGAAGAAAUUUACGUUGAGCAGCCUGCUGGUUUUGAAAUUCAAGGGAAGGAAGACAAAGUGUAUUUACUGAAAAAAGCUCUCUAUGGGUUAAAGCAAGCACCUAGGGCAUGGUAUGGUCGGAUUGAUGAUUAUUUGACAGGUGUUGGCUUUCAAAAGAGCUUGUCUGAAGCAACUCUUUAUGUGAAGAGCAUCAACAAUGAUGUGAUUAUAAUUUCACUCUAUGUUGAUGAUCUCUUGGUGAUAGGGAGCAACACGGAACAGGUUGAACAUUUCAAGCUGAAUAUGAUGGAAGUUUUUGAGAUGACUGAUCUCGGUCUAAUGAGCUUCUUCCUGGGAAUGGAAAUCUUACAGGGCAAGGAUGAAAUCUUCAUUUGUCAAAAGAAGUAUUCAAUGGAAAUUUUGAAGAAAUUCCAUAUGGAAAGUUGCAAGCCAACAACUACCCCAAUGAACCAAAAGGACAAAUUCAGCAAAGAAGAUGGCACUGCCAAGGUGGAUGAAGAAAAAUUCAGAAGCUUGAUUGGGUGUUUGCUGUAUUUAACAGCAACUAGACCCGACAUACUUCAUGCAACAAGUUUACUAUCUCGAUUUAUGCAUUGUCCGAGUGAAAUUCACAUGAGAGCUGCCAAAAGAAUCCUAAGGUACAUCAAAGGGACCUGCAGCUAUGGAGUCAAAUUUCAGAAGUGUCAGGAAUUAAAACUACAUGGAUUUUCUGACAGUGAUUGGGGAGGAUCCAUUGAUGACAUGAAGAGCACCUCUGGUUUUUGUUUCAACCUAGGGUCAGCUAUAUUUUCAUGGUCAUCCAAGAAGCAAGACACGGUGGCUCAAUCUACAGCAGAGGCAGAAUUCAUUGCUGCCACAGCAGCUGUAAACCAAGCUCUUUGGCUUCAGAAAUUGCUACGUGAUUUACAUAUGGAAGGAGAGGAAGCAACUGAAAUUUCAGUUGACAAUCAAGCAGCUAUAGCAAUAUCACAUAAUCCUGUGUUUCAUGGGAAAACAAAGCACUUUAACAUCAAGCUUUAUUUUUUACGUGAGGUGCAGAAAAAUGGUGAUGUCAGGUUGAUAUAUUGCAAGUCUGAAGAACAAUUAGCGGAUUUGUUUACUAAACCAUUUCCAGUAAACAGGUUUGAAUUUUUAAGACAAAAGAUUGGAGUUUACAGCUCCUAAAGCAAGGAGGAGUGUUGGAAGAUUGCUUCAUGAGCUGGCAAAGAACCAGUCAAAGAAGAAGUAGUCAAAGAUUUAUUUAUGCUCUGUAUUUCCUGUUUUCAUGCAAAUAAUUAACUGCAUCCUAGUCUCUAGGAAUUAAGUGAUCUGUUAAUAUGUUAACAGAUUGUAGCAGGAUUUUUAUGCUUAUUGUAGCAUUUCUGUUUUGUUUUACAUUAUAAAUAUAUGUAAAGAUUGCAACAUAAAGUGUAAUCACAUUCUUCAAUUCUCAGCUAAUAAAACAGUAAAAACUUCUACUGUUUGGAUCAAGAUUUCUGGCAAUUCUCAACAGUAACAAACUGUUACUGUAAACAUCAAACCUGUCCAUUCUUUCUAAGUUUCAUUUUUCUCUUCUAAACACUGUCAAAGAUAUACUAUUUUUCAGCACUUGCACAUGUUAGCAAACAGAUACUUACAUUUUGUUGACUAUUCUUUGCCGUUUGUCAGGCUGCAAUUGAGUUCUCCAACCACCUGUGUCCAUCACAGGUUCUCCGCCUGGGGCAGUGGGCCUCCAAUUAUUGGCAUCCAUGGGGUUUUGGCCAACCAAAAAAAUCACUUCUAUCACCACAAAAAAAAUUAAUUAUAUUGCACGUUAGAAUAGACCCUAAAAAGAAAGUCAGGAACAGCAGAAGAGUAAGAGCACAUCAAAGUCCUGAAAAUUGGAAUAUCAGUUUUUUCAGACUUGAAUAGAUUUAAAGAGAACUUCCAUCUAAUAGCAUGUACUUUAUUAAAGAAUUCUACCAAAUAUGGAUGCAUAAAAUCUGAACAGCCAUAAUAAAUAUACACGACCAUUCAAGGCAAGGUGCUAGGAUCUUGUGUAUUCAGGUAUUCAGUUAUUAUAAGCAAGAUUUGGGCCUGAAUCUUCAUGGUGCUUCUAAAACCAAGGAAGCAAAAAACUAGCCAGCUAGUUCAUAACUUGCCGCACCAACACAUGGUGAGUGUUGGUAAACCAACCCAAGCCAUAGAGAAAAUCAUGGUGCUUCAAUUUUAACUUGAUGUUUUCUAGCAACACUUGUGAUACAUCAUCGAUGCAAUGUUUACAAUGACAAACUUGCAUGUCUAGGAUGUUUUAAGCUAGGAAAAAGAAGAAGAAAACGACGAGCGUUAACAAUGAAUAUUUCAUGUUAUCACCAACUCUAAUGAGCAGACUGAUAAGAAUCAACUUAACAACUCUUGUUGAAAUAAGAUUAAAUUUACAGGCACAUCUUUCUCGGAAAAGACAACACAAUAACCCUGACCAUGCUCGACCUUGAGGUGAGUUAUAAAUUGUUCUUCCUAACUAGAUGCACAGCUACGCCUUAGGGAGGGAGGGAGGGAGGGAGAGAGAGAGCUCGGGCGGGAAGAGGUGAGGAAUGUUGGACCAAAGUGAAAUACAUGACUUUAUUCUUUUCCAGAUUCCUUCUAAAAAUAUUAACGAGUGAACGCUCAACAUUUUACUAACGAAAAGUUAAUGAAGGGACCGAAUUGUAGACAUUUAAAAGUAUAGGGAUUAGUUAGAACAACUAGUUAUCACUGCCUCUUAGAAUUAAUAUACAGCUCAGCAUUUUGUUGAAGGGACGGGCAAAGGUACAUUUAUUUCCGUCAACUUUCUAAUAUUAGAUCUUGCUUCUGUACAUAUUAUUUUAAUAUAUUAAAUAAUAUAAAGCACAAAACAGAUCAUAAUAAAAUACAAGUUGUGAUAUAUUUAUUGCACAUGACAAUCUAUAAAUAAAGUGUUUGGAAUGAGGUAUAAACUGUGUUUUUUUAAUUUUUAAUUUUUUAUUUUAUUUAAAAUAAAAAUUUUUUAUGUUUUUAAAUCAUUUUGAUGCACUGAUAUUAAAAAUAAUUUUUUUAAAAAAAAAAUUUUUUUAAUACAUUUAUGAGUAAAAAGUAAUAAUUGCAAUUACACUGUCAACCACUCACAAAAUAUUUGAUAUACACUUUGGACAUGACAAGGAUUGAUCAUUAUCUUGUCCAAAGUUUUCCUCGCCACAAAAAAUUUGUACAAAAAUUACUUUUAAGAAAUUAAAGUUCUAUGAUCAAAUUAAAGUUCUAUGGUCAAAUUACAAUUUUUAAGAAUUGAUUUAGUCAGAUCAUGGGCUUAAUUGCAUAAUUAUUGAAGUUUGAUGGCUAAUUAGAGACUUGAUUGAAACAAUUCGAAACCAAGGACUAAACCAGAAAAGACGCUAAAAUCAAGGGAUUUAAGUACAAUUCAUCCGGGGGGGCAUGGUUACAAAAUUGUCAAAACAACCAGGGACCGUUUCAGCAACAAAUGCCACAGAUUAUGGGAAAGUUUCACAGCUACCGUUAGCACUGCAAUAAUGGUCCUGAACGUUUUCAUUAUAAAAAACGCAUGCAGUUUUGGCUAUAAAAGGGAAAGGGGGGCGGAGCGUAAGGGAGGAGCAAAGAGGGGAAAGGAAAGGAAAAAAAAAUAACAUGAGGGAGAACGGAGAGGAAAACAGGGAGAACAUGGAGAAUAAAAAAGAAAAAAACACGGGGAACAAGGAGAAUAAAAAAGAAACAAAGAGCAGCACUGCCAGCCAAUGCACGAGCAUCAGCUGCACCAGAGAGAAAAAACAGAGAGGAGGGAACGACUGGAGAGAAAGAUUACAGAGGACGAACAGAAGAAUAGAAACACAGAAACGAGAUCCACAAAAACAAAACACAGAAAUUAAAAAAAAAAAAAAAACACAAGGGGACGAAGGGAAAGACGGAGAGGAGGAGAACACAGGGGCUUCGUCAUUUCAAAAACCAGAGACGAAGAAGAAGGAAAAGAGUGCAGACAAGAAUUUGUACUGAAAAGGAGAAUCAGAAACGAAAACAGCAGCAGAGGGAAAGAAAGAAACGUCGCCUGAUCAGAGCACUGAUCACCCUCAUCUUCGUCUUCAUCUUUAGACACCAGCUCCAGGUACGCUCUUCUUCCUUUUCCCCCGCUUUGCAAAUUCAGCUGUUAGAAAGGCAAAUUAAUUACCCUGUCAAUGCCCAAAGCAUGCGUAACUAAUUCACGCACGCAUUCACAGUGACCAGCCGGAUCACUAGUUUGAGCCAGUGACGGGCUAGGCUGCUGGGUCUAGCCCAGCCCAUACGGGUUAAGUUAGACCCAGCUUAAAAAAUAUAUAAAAUUGUUUUUUGAAAAAGUUAUUUUAAAAAAUUUAUGAUUUUGCCAUAUAUAUAUAUUGCACAAUAUUAGUUUGUGUUUUUAUACUAUAAAGAUACGUAUCCGGUAUAAAAAUAUUUGAUUUUUGUCAAGACAUUAAGAAAUAAAAAUAAAAUAAAUAUUUUAUUUUUAUGGAUACAGCAGUUUCUCAAAAAUAAAAAUAAAAAAUUUGUAUCUUCAUACAACAAAGAAAAAAUUCAAAAAAUAUUUAACAUGUACUUUGGCUUUAAUAACCAGUUUAUUAAAGUAACGAGAACUAGGCCACUAUUUCAAAAAUUUUAAAUAAAUUAUUUUUUUUCUUUUAAUAUCUGGGUGCGACCUUAUACGUAACUCGUAUUCCAGAUAUUAAAUUCUUUUGUUGACAUUAAAACGGUUAAGUUUUACGCGAUAAGAUAAGGAUCUCUUUACCGAAGAGAACUUUUGUUCAACCGUAGACAGAUCAACAACUAGAAAACACAACAAGAUCUUAGAUUUUAUCAUACAAUAAAACAAUGCAGCUUACCUUAGGUAGGGUGUAUUUGGGGUCCUAAUAUCUUCCUUUUACACAACCAGUCCCCGUACCCGAUCUUUGAAACCAAUUAGGGUUCCUAGUGACCAAAACACUUGGUGGCGACUCUCAUUCCAGCUUUCCACACAUAAGAGAUAAGAAUUCCUUGUCUCCACAUAUUUUCUCAUUUGUAGAUAGGAUCGAUAGAACAUCAAAUAAGAUUUUGAGGGUGGAUGUAUUCGUCGCGAUGUCGCACAUGUGCGACAAGGGUUAACCUUUAAAAUCCAUGACUCGGGUCAUCAGACCAUAAUAAACCCAAAUAAAAUAAUUCAAAACAAAUUAUGAAUCUUAAUUUUCAAUAAACCUAUUGUUGAAUUAUGAAAUUGAAAAAAAGAUGAUCUAAAAAAAGCAUAAAAAAUGUCUUUUCAAAACAAAAUUAUGAAUUUGAAUAAAAUUAUAAAAAUAUCAUUGACAAUCUCGCAAAGUCUUUCUAAACUUUGAUUGCCUUGAAUGUAUGUUAGGAGAUUUCUUAUUAAAUUUCAAUCUAAUUUAACAAUCAGAUUUAAAAAAUAUGAUUGAUACAGUAAAAUUAGACUAUUUUUUUUAUAAAAAAAAUAAAAUAUUAUUUAACUAUAACAAAAUGCCUGAAAUAGACCGAAACAUUCCAGCCAGAAUUUAGGUGAAAUUCAUGGAACGAGAUAAGUUUCUAACCGAGAUGAAAUAUCUUCAAAUUUAUUCCAUUUUUUAAAUUGAAAUAAAAUAUACCUAUCAUUCUAGAUGUGACAUAGUGAAAUUAAAAACCAAUACGGCUCUAUUUCGUGGGAAAAAUUGCAUUAUAACAAUGGUAUCACUGACCCAUCUCGUGGUGGAUAAUUUAUUGCAAUGUUCUCUCCAUCAAAAUCCCUUUUGAUUUGAAAAGGAUUAUAUAUAUAUAUAUAUAUGCACACACUCAAUGAUUACUUAAUAUCUUUAUAUUAGUUUUCAAGAAAUAUACCACAAGAUUUUAUAAAAUUCAAAAUACUAAUUUAACAAACAUAAUUUCAAUUUAAAUUUAAACAUAAACUAACUUGAAAUUAUGCACUUUAAAUUUUAAAUAUAAGUAAAAAAAUAAGAGCUGAAUCGGUAUGACUCGAUCAAUUCAAUAAGCUCAAAGAUAGUCUAGAUGACUAAUAAAAAUAUAGUUUUACUUAAAAAAGUUCAAGAUGACAUAUUUUUUAAAAAACAAUAUUGAGAUAAUAACAUAUUGGAUCGAUUUUGGUCAAUAUGUGUUAACAUUUAAAAUCCAUGACUCGGGUCAUGAGACUAUAAUAACCCAAAAUAAAAUAAAUCAAAACAAAUUAUGAAUCUUAAUUUUCAAUAAAUCUAUUGUUGAAUUAUGAAAUUGAAAAAAAAAAUUAUCUAAAAAAAAACAUAAAAAAUGUCUUUUCGAAACAAAAUUAUGAAUUUGAAUAAAAUUAUAAAAAUAUCAUUGACAAUCUUGCAAAGUAUUUCUAAACUUUGAUUGCCUUAAAUAUAUGUUAGGAGAUUUCUUGUAAAAUUUCAAUCUAAUUUAACAAUCAGAUUAAACAAAUAUGAUUGAUACAAUAAAAUUAGACUAUUUUGUUUUAUAAAAAAAUAAAAUAUUAUUUAACUAUAACAAAAUGCCUAGAAUAGACCGAAACAUUCCAGCCAGAAUUUAGGUGAAAUUCAUGGAACGAGAUAAGUUUCUAACCGAGAUGAAAUAUCUUCAAAUUUAUUCCAUUUUUUUCAAUUGAGAUAAAAUAUACCUAUCAUUCUAGAUGUGACAUAGUGAAAUUAAAAACCAUAGCUUUUAUAGCCCCAAGCGUACGACCUCAUCUCGUGGGAAAAAUUGCAUGAUGAAAAUGGUAUCACUGACCCAUCUCGUGGUGUAUAAUUUGUUGCAAUGUUCUCUCCAUCAAAAUCCCUUUUGUUUUGAAAAGGAUUAUAUAUAUAGAUGCACACACUCAAUAAUUACUUAAUAUCUUUAAAUUAGUUUUCAAGUUUUCAGAUAUAGCUCUUAAAAACAAGAAAUAUACCACAAGAUUUAAAACUAUUUAUAUUUCAUUAAAAUAAAUAAAUAAAUUACAUAUAUGGUUACAAUAUCUUAUGUGUUAAUAAAAUUUAAGGAUUUUUUUUCCAAUUAAAUUUAUUGUAAUUAAAAAGUUUCCAAUCAAUAGCAGCAUUCCCAAUUAAACCAAAGUUUUUCCUCGAGCAAAAAUGCGUGAUGGAAAUGGUCUCAAGGGGACCAAAAUGUAGAUGAAAAUGGUCUCACGGACUCAUAAAUGUAUAAUGGUGAUUGUCUGUCGAACCCAUAUUAAGGAAAAAAAAAUACAUAACUAUUGUUGAAUUGAUAUGAUCCGAUCAAAACAAGUUAUGAAUCUUAAUUUUUAAUAAAUUUUAUUAUUGAAUUAUGAAAUUGAAAAAAAAAUCAAUCUAAAGAAAAAAGAAAAAAUAACCAUACUAAACAAAAUUAUGAAGUUGAAUAAAAUUAUGAAAAUGUCAUCGGCAAUCUUACAAAGUCUUUCUAAAGUCUAAAUUUCCUCAAAUUUUAAGUAGUGAUAUUAAUAUAUGUUAGGAGAUUCCUUAUAAAAUUUUAGUCUAAUCCAACAGUCAAAUUGAAAGAUAAGAUUGAUACCGUAAAACUAAACUGUAUUAUAUAUAUAAAAGCAAAACAAAACAUUAUUUGUUCAUAAUAGAAUGGCUGGAAUAUAACCAAAAUAUUCUAGCCAGAAUUUAGGUGAAAUUCAUGGAAUGAGAUAAGAUUCUAAACGAGAUCAAAUAUCUUAUAAUUUCUUACAUUGUUUAAAUUGAGAUAAAAUACACCUGUCAUUCUAGAUGUGACAUAAUAAAAUUAAAAUACAUAGCUUUUAAAGCUCGUACGACCCCAUCUCGUGGGAAAAAAAUGAAGAUGACAAUGGUCUCACAAACCCAUCUCUUGCUUGGUGGAUAAUUUGUUGCAAUGUCCUCUCCAUCAAAAUCCUUUUUGUUUUUGAAAAGGAUUAUAUAUACACACACACACUCAAUGAUCACUUAAUAUCUUUAUAUUAAUUUUUCAAGUUUUGAGAUAUAAGUUCAUAGCUCUUAAAAGACAAUAAAUAUACCACAAGAUUUAAAACUAUUUUAUAUUUCAUUAAAAUAAAUAAAUAAAUUACUUAUAUGGUUACAAUAUUUUUUUCUUAAGAAAAUAUAUUUAUUUCAUGUGUUAAUAACAUUUAAGGAUAUUUUCCAAUCAAAUAAUCAAAUUUAUUUUAAUUAAAAAGAUUUCAAUCAAUAACAACAUUCCAAUUAAACCAAUUUUUUUCCACGAACCCAACUUGUGGAAAAAAUGCAUUAUGGUUGGAAGAGGAAAAAUGCAUGACGGCAAAGUAGGAUUGCCUAUCCUAGAAAAAAAUGCUUGAUAGCAAGAGAAAAAACGCUUGAUAUAUAGCAAUGGUCUUAUGGACCAUCCCACUAACCUAUAUCGUGCAUCUCACACUGCAAAUUCCUAUCCAUCUUACUUGUUAAUUGUGUUAAAAAAAAAGACUGAUAAGUACUUUAGAAAGAAAAAAAGAGGACUUAUUGUCAUGAUAAUGACAAGAAGUAUUUUAGAAAUGAUAUUAUUUGUUAUUCAUUUUAUCAAUGAUAUUGUUUGAUUUUGCAAUCACCAUAAAAAUUAAGACAUGAUUUUUCACAUGUUAUUUCCAAAAAAAAAUAGCAAGUCUUCUAUAUCCGUCAUCAUCAUGCAAAUUGAGCUGCCUAGCAUUAACCUUUGGUUCAUAAUUUUCAUAAAAAAAAACUGACAUGGGUUCAACUUUAUGAGAAGGAAUACAAGUUUUUAGUUAAUUACUUUUAUGCAAUUUAUUUUGUUUGUUUUUUUACAAUGUGGUUUUAAUCAGCGUUAUUAAAUUUAAUUCAAGUCUAACAUUUUAAUCUGGAACCUAACUCAAUUCAGGUUUAGAAAAAACCGAGUGAGAGUUGACCCAAUCAAACCUAAUCGACAAGAUAAAUCAAUCCACAAUCUAUUCAACUCAGUUAAAAACUAGUUUUACUUUUUUUAACUAUGUAGUUUUGAUUUUUUCUAAAACAAAUCUUAAAAUGAUAUAAUUUUAGAGUAACACCAGUCAACAUAAGCUAACUUAUCCGAUCUAUGACCCAAAUCUUAAUCUGAGUAUUAGGCCAAUUUAUAACCUAAACUCUCAUCUGGGUAUUAAAUAUAAUCAUGUUUAAUAAUUUUGGUUGUAAUUAAUGAACAAGACAUUCUUAAAAAAAAAUGUCAUAUAUAAAACAUUUAUUUGCAUCUAAAUUGAAACAUUCAAAAAUUGAUAUAAUAGUUAUUAAUAUUUAUUUUUAAUAUAUAUAAAAUAAAAGAUUUUAAUAAUUGAUUAAUAUUGUUAAACAUGUAUUUUUUUAUGGUUUUUUCUUUAAUUUCAUCUCUUAAUAUUGAAUUUGCUUAUCUUGAUCUUAUUAUCUAGGUCGACGAACUGAGGAUAGCAUUGCAUCACCACCAUGGCAAACUCGAUAUUACCGAGGAGUGCAGCAAUGUGUAAAGGAGUGUUUCAUGUGCUAAGGAUAUAGAGCCAAGUAAUUGUUUCUUCUUUGAGACUAAGAGUCAGAGCGUAACAGAAUGAGCCUUCCUUCUGUCCAAUCUAAGUCAUGUUGCAAAUGCAUGAUGGUUGGAAGAGGACGUCUCAUGGCCUCUCCUCGAGGAAAAAUGCAUGAUGGCAACGGUCUCAGGGACCAAUAUGCAGAUGGAAAUGUUCUCAUGAACUCAUCUAGUAGAAAAAACGCAUCCGAGUAUAUAAAUAGAUUUUUUUUUCUUUUUUUCCGAUAAACAUGACUUUCUUAAGCUUGUUGUAGUAUAUAGAAUUUUUUUAAAAUAAAAAAAUAGAAAUAUAAUUCGUAUCCGAGUAAAUACCUCCACAAAUAUAAUUUCAUUGAAAGCUACGUCAUGUAUUAAUCUAAGGUUCAUUGUCCAUUAAUUAAUCGGUGGUUGCAUUUUAACACUUGAGAUUUAUUUUUCAUGCAUAAACAUUUAAUUUUUUUUCGCAAACUAAAUUGAAAUUAAAGCAUAUUAAUUAUCAAUUCCCAAGCUUACAGGGCAAUGGUCUCAUGGACCCAUCUUGUAGAAAAAACGCUUGAUAGCAAUGGUUUCAUGGACCAUCCCACCGGCCUAUAUCGUUGAAAAAAUAUAGAUGGCAAUACAUAGUCUCAAAGACCCAUUUCGCAUUGCAAAUUCCUAUCCAUCUUACUUGUUGAUAGUGUUACAUAAAAAUAAACUGACAAGUACUUUAAAAAGAAAAAGAAGAAGACUUGUUGUCAUGACAAUGACAAGAAGUAUUUUAAAAAUAAUAUCAUUUGUGGUUCAUUUUAUCAACGAUACUCUUUGAUUUUGUCACCAUCAUCAAAAUUAAGGUAUGAUUUUUGUAGAUUUUAGGUAAAGAUGAUGAUUUUAAGUUAUGGUUUGUUUAAAUAAUGAAUUUGAGUUAGAAAUCUUUAUAUAUUAAUAGGUGAUCUGAGUGUAAUUUAAUUAAAGUACAUAAAUUUAAUAUUGAAAUUUAAUUAAAGCCUCUCUUACAAUCCAAAAUUUAUUUUUAAUUAAAGUGCAUAAAAUUAACAUAGUUAAAGUUAUCUCUCUCUUUCUCUGUGUAUGUUAGACAGAGUUUGCAUUAGAUAAUCAAUAAUAUUUUAUAUUUUUUUUUGGUAGAAAGUAACUCAUUUCCACUUUGGUUUUAGAACAAGUAAAAUUUUAUAAGUAUUUUAAAAAAUUAAAUCUACUCGAGUGAGAUACCAAGUGGUUUCCAAACCAAUGCGAUUUUAUAAGAAUGGUAAAAACCCAAAAAGAAGUAAAACAAAAUAAAGAAAAAAAUUCAUCAAGCAUUUGAGUUUUUUACUUUGCUUUUAUGUUUUAGAAAAUGACGCUUUUUCGUCAAUGAAAAUUUUUAAUUUGAACAAAAUAAUUAAAAUACCUACCUAUAUAAUAUGUGAAAAACUCACAAACAACAGAUCGCACGAGUUCUCUUUUCCCUUCUUUCCAUUCCCUCCUCUCUCUUCAUCUCUUUUUUGGUUUCAACCCUUUAUCGAUUCAAUUGAAACUUGUGAAGAACUCCAGGCAAAUAGAUCGGCCGCCGAACUCUUCCUGGAAAAUGCUCAGAAAGUAUUUGAAAACACCCAUCAAGAAAGUGACCUUAUAAACAACAAAACUAAUCUUGAUUGAUUGCUAGCAGAAGCUGCUAACAAAUAAUUGAUGACUUUCAUCGUCAUUUAUCAAUCCAUGAAUUGCGUGAACCAGUCAAGAAUCCAUGAAGAUGACUUCUCCUUGCUGCAUUGUUCAUCACAAAAGUGAAUUGUGGACAAAAGUUAGCCCAAACACAAACCUACAUGCAAUGUGGCGGGAAUUUGUUAGCAUCAGCCCAUUAACCACUCCUUUUAUUUUUAUUUUUUUAUCAAUAUCUCUUCUCGGCAUCUUACCAAUGUGGCGGCCGAUCUAUAUGAAUUUUUAUCAAUCAAGUCUCUAUAUUAGUUUUGUUGCUAGAAUACAAAUAACACAAUUAAUCGUAUUUUAUUUUUAAUUUUUUUUCAAGGUCUAAAUUUUAUACACGUAAUUUCUAUAAAGAAAAUAGCAAGUCUUCUAUAUAUAUCCAUCAUCGUCCUAUGCCUAGCAUUAACUUUUAUUCAUGUUUUUUUUUUAAAUAAAAAUAAAAAUAAACUUGACUUGGGGUCAACGUUUUAAGAAGGAAUAUAAAUUUCGGUUAGUUACUUAAUUUUAUGCAAUUCAUUUUUUUUCUGUACUCUAUGGUUUUUAUGAACACUUUCUUAAGCUAGUUGUCGUAUAUAGAAAUUUCUUAUAACAUUUUAGAAAUAUAAUUCACAUCUCAAUUGAUAAAUUCAAAAAUUAAUAUAAUAAGUUUUAAUAUUUAUUUUUAAAAUAUAUUUCGAAUUUAAUAUUAAUAGUUAUAAAGUUUAUUUAGUUCAUAAAAAUUGUUCCACUUGUGUUAUAUCACUUUCCUUUUAAAGGGGUUAUGUACAGCCUUCCAAAUUAUUUUAAAGUUUAUUUAUUUUGAAUUUAAUAUGUAAUUUUUUUUAAUAGAUAUAUUUUAUUUUAAAAAAAUAAUUUUCAAAUAAUAUUUCCAUAUGAAGCCUAACAUAUUAUUUUUUUAUUUUAUUCAAACAAUUUAUAAUAUGUGUGUCUAUUUUUAUUAUCGUUUGAUCAAAUUAAAAAAUUAUUUUAAUUAGAAAAUUUAGAAAACACAACUGCAUUAAUAUCACGUCUUGUGAAAUUAAAUAUUUUGAUCUACAUUUGUCAAUUGAUUUUUCUAGUUUUUAUUUUGAGUCAUCAUUUAUGGUUUUUUUUCACUUAUUAACACAUAUAAUUCUUGAUUUAUUUAACUAUAUUUGUGUAUAAGUUUUUUAAUGUUCACAUAAAAUUUAUAAAUAAAAAAUUUAUUGAAGAAAUCUAUAUAUAAAUUUUUCAAAUUAAAACAAUUUAACUUAGGGUGAAGCUGUGGUCAAAUAACUAAGUCUAUGUACUAAAAUGAGUGGCACUCAAAGGUUCACAUACCUUAUCUUCCAAGAAAGAAGAGAUAAGAAAAGUAAUGGGUGAUGUUAUUUUCUCCGACUGUAAAUAGAUGAAGAGAUUAAUACCAAAAACAUGGACAAAAAUUGAUGUGGACCCGCUUCACUUUGAUUAUUCUUCACUUUCUUCGCUUUUCUGUGUUUCACUACUUGAUGAUUCAAAAGUUAUCUAUUUAAAAAUUUAAUUUUUUUAAAUAUUUUUAAAUAAAAUAAACAGUAUUAUUAUGUCAUGUAGCUAAAUUUAUUCUAACGUUAUUACGAGAAUUAUAUAUUCAAUUUGUUAAGUGUUAGCAAUGCAAAAGAGACAAUAAGAAGUACAAAUUAUAUGUAUUUUUAAUUUUUUUUUAUUUAAAAGCUUGUAUCAAUGUUUUUUUUCAAUUUGAAUACUUAUAUUCACGGAAUUUAAUGAAUAAAAUAUCUUCAUUAGUUUUACUAUCAAAAUGAUGAUGUCAUAGUUAACUCUUUUUAGAUUAGCCUGGAUUGAUUUCAUUUUAUUUUUAAUUUAUGAACAAUAAAGAUAUAAAAUGCUUAUAAUUUAUAUUUUUUAUUCAAGUACUCUAAUUGAUUUUAUUUUUCUAUUUAAGUACGUGAUAAACUAAUGUUUGUCCAUAAAUUUGUUUACCUUGAUUUCUCUAAUAAAAGUAUAUAAACAAAUUCAAUAAAACUAUAUUUUGAUUAAUAGAUUUGAACUUAAGUGUUGUUAUCCAUUUUUGGGACCCCACACAAAAAGAGAAAAUACAAAAAGUAAGAGUUGAAAAAAUUAAUUAAUAAUAAUAAUAUAAUAAUAAAUAAAUAAUAUAUGUGUAGUGAGAAAAGAUGUCGGACCGCCCAAAAUGGUCAAAAAUUUAUUGAGGAGGUUAAAAAAUGCAAAAGAUUGAAAUUUAACAGUAUAUCGUUGACUAAUGAGAGCCCUGUUGACAAAGAAAAUUCAUUUUUAAAAAUAUAUCAAAAUCAGAUGUUUAUGGACUCAAUUAAAUUUUAUUAGGUUUAAUUGAAUUUAUGGAGGUUUGAUUGAAAGAAAAUUGAGUUUUAUGUUGAUUUAGGCUUUUAUUGGAAAAAAUUAAAGUUUUAGGGUCCAAUUACAAUUUUGAAGAGUUGAUUUGGUCAAAUUAGGGGCUUAAUUGCAUAAUUAUUAAAGUUUUAUGAACAAUUAUAGACUUGAAUGCAAAAAUACAAAAUCAAGGACCAAACUGGAAAAGACGCGUUAAUUAAGAGGCUGCAAUUAACCAAGUCAGGGGCUAAAUUUAAGAAAGUAGAAGUUUAUUAAUCAAUUGAGGGUCAAAUCGCAUGAAUCUAGAACCAAAGAUUGUCUUGUAAAUGGGGCUAAAAUCCAGGGAUCCAAUUAAAAUUUAUUCGGGGGCUUGAUUAUAAAAUUGCAAAAAGUCCAAUGACCAAAUCAGAAAUAUUCAUUUUGAAUUUUAAAACGGUACCGUUUCCUUGACAAUUGUUCAUUACCUUCUUCAUUAACAACGGUUUCUACAGUAAAAGGCAGUGAAGACGUUAACGGUGCUGCUGCUUCAAUCAGGGGAGCACGUCUCACGGUUGAUAUCCCUCUCCACCAUGAUGCACUCCGCCCGUUACAAUCUUCCUGCAAUAAAUCCUGAAAAGCAUGCAUCCUCUGGCUAUAAAAAGCCAGAGGAGAGAUGGACAGGAAAAGAAAAAAAAAAAAAAAAAGGAGGAGACUGGGAGGGAGAGCGAGCAGGAGAAGAGAGAAAGUGGGGAGCAGCACGAGAGGGAGACAGAAACGAGCAAAAGGAAAGAAUGUAAGCAGAGGAAAUCGUUGAGACCAGAACCAGCGUUGCCAUCAUCUUUGUCAUUUCAAAAACCAGAGAGGAAGAAGAAGAAGAGUGCAAAUAAGAAUUGAACGAAAAGGAGAAUAAAAAACGAGAACAGUAGUAGAAGGAAAGAAAGAAACGUUGCUCGAUCAGAGCACUGAUCACCCUCAACUUCAUCUUCAUCUUCAUCUUCAGGCAGCAACUCCACGGGACGUUUGAGAGGACCAGAGAGGGAGAGAAAGAAUAAAACAGGGAACACGAGGAAGAACAGAGCAGAAGAGAAAAAAAGCAGAAGGGAAAUGCAGAGAAAGAAAGAAGAACCACCAGCCAGUCAGCGCCACGGUACUCAACCGCAACACCGUCCACCAACAGCACCGCUAGGCUGCAGGUCUGCUUCUUCCUCUUCCUCUUCUUCGCCUUCACCAGGUCUGCACCACUAUUCUUUGUUUUAGUUUUCUGGGCCAGAGAGUGCCGGCCCAGCCUAAAAUGGUUGGGUCGGGUCCGACCUAGUCAAAAAAAUUUCUUUAAAAAAAAUCAUUUUAAAAAAUUUAUGAUUUUCCCGUGUAUUUUUCAACUAAAAUUUUUUUAGUGUUGAUUUGUGUUUUUAUACCGUAAAGAUACAAAUCUGGAAUUACCCAGUUGUCAUCAAAACAUUGAAAAAUUUUAAAAAACAUAUUUUUAUUUUCAUGCAUACGGCCAAGUAUCUCAAAGAAAAAAAAUCAUAUCAUAUUUUCAUAGAACAAAAAUUCAAAAAUAUGUAUUAACAUGCAUUUUAAUUUUAAUAACCAGUUUAUUAAAAUCACGAGAACUAGGUCAAUAUUUUAAAAAUUCUGAAUUUUUUUUUUUACUAUCUGGGGUUACGACCUUAUAUAUAAGAUGUAUUCCGGAUAUUAAAUUCUUUUAUUGACGUUAGAAUGGUUAGGUUUUACCCGAUAAGAUAAAAAUCUUUUUAUCGAGAAGGAUAUUAAAUUCUGACAAAUCAUUACUAAAUUGCUAUUGGUAUAACUAUCUCUUGCAAAUGGCAGCAAGGAGUUUAGGCUUCAAUCAAGCAAGGUUGUCAAUUCCAUUUUAAUUGGUUUUUUUUAUUUUUUUAUUUUAACAAUAUAUUUUGGUUUUUGAGUAUUUUGACGUGUCAUUUUGGAUUGUUCUAUAUAUACUUUGAACUCAUCAAAUUGAUUGGGUCAUAUUGAUUUAACUCUUUAUUUUUACUUAUAUUUGAAAUUUAAAUUGUAUAAUUUAAAGUUAGUUUAUUUUUAAAUGUUAAUUAAAAUUAUGUUUGUUAAAAAUAUUAAGAUAACAAUAUAUUGUAUUGACCCAGGUUAAUUUUUUAAAUUCGUGACCCAGAUCAUGAGCAGUGGCGGAGCCACAGUGGGUCAAAAGGGGGCAAUUGCCCCCUUAGUUUUUUUUUUAAUGAAUUAUUGUUACAGCUUACAGAUAAGGAAAGUUGUUAUACAAUAGUUAUUGUUAUUGCUACAGGUAGGGGUGUUCACGGUUCGGUUCAGUUCGGUUUAGACUCAAAAAACCAACCGAACCAAAUUACAUUAAUUUUGUGAAAUAUUAACCGAACCAGAUCGAAAACCGGUUCAAACCGAACUGGUCUGGUUCGGUUAAAUCCGGUUUGUUUUUGCAAAAAACUGAGAAACCUAAUCCCAUCAUAUAUGUGUUUUUUUUAAAAUUGGUUUACAUUAAAUCGGGCUUUAAAAUUUUCUUUUCAAACCAGGAAACUGAAUUUUUCAUAUGGCAAGAAGAAAACACAAGCACAGAAAAAAUAUAGAUUUUACAGUAUUGAAUCCAUUUGUAGCAUCCUCUAGCUCUUUGUAGGUUAAACACCACAAAUUCAUUCCCAUGGAACUUUCUUGUUGGUGCUUUUCUGUGUGCUUCCUGUGAUAGAAGAAAGGACCUGAACAUAAGAGGCCAGCCAAUACGAACACGACAAUCACCGAGCCACCUAAAAGCACCGACACGAUAACGAUCAAACUGUCCUGGUUUUUCUCUGCAUUUGGAGGCGGACAAAGAGUGAUGUUGAAAAAUGUGAUCUUCUCAUUGAAAGCUCAUCCAACAACCCACCAGAGAGAAAGAUUGGGAAACUGGGAAAGGAAGAUUGAGAAUUAAUUGAGAGGAAGAUUGGGAAUUUUUCUAGGUAAGACGACGAUUUUUUGUGAGAGGCAGUGAAGUUAUGUUAACUGUUAGGGUUAGGUUACAAUUUAAUUAUUUAUACCUCAAAGAUUUUUGUGACUUUUGGCUUUUAUGGGUCCGGUUCGGUUUGUGCUGGUUUCUGGUUCAAAACCGAAACCGAACCGGACCUAAUAAAAUUUACGAUUUUGACAAUUGGUUUAAUCGGUUUUUCAUUUCGGUUCGGUUUUUUUGGUUAAUUUUUCUUCGGUUUUCUCGGUUAAUCGGUUAUUUUGAACACCCUUAGCUACAGGUAAGGAAAGUGUAUGUAUGUGUGUGUGUGUGUGUGUAUAAUUACAAUUUACAGCUCCCCAAUUUUCCCCCUUUUCCCUUUUGUUUAUUUAUUUUCCUCUGUAGGGUUUUUUUUUUCAGCAGUCGUUCCUACCUCUCGUAGUCUCCUAUAUGCAAAUUUAUCAUCAAUUAAGUUUUUUUGCCUUUUGCUUUAUACUUUAGGUAAAUUUUCUUCAUCUUUUCUAUUUGUUUUAUUGUCUAAUUUUAGUUUUAUUCUUUUAUAAUUAGUUAUUAAAAAUAUUAGGGUUUAUGAUAAUUUAUGGGUUUUGUUAUGAAUAUGUUCACCAUAAAUGUUUAAAUCUGGUAAUUUAAUCAAUUAAGUGUUUCUUUUUUCUUAUUAUAAAAAAAAAAAUAAAUUAAUAUUCAUGCAAAACCACUAUUCUUGACAUCUCUUGCAUUGAUAGAGUAGUUUAUUGAAAUUUAAUAUUUUCACAUGAUUUAUUUGUAAGUAAAAUAUCAAGUAGAAAGCAUGUUUUUCAAGUAUUGUUCCUCUUACACAUACACUAAGCAUUGUUCCUUAAUUAAAUGUCUAGAAAUAAUUAAGUAUAAUUUAAUCAACAUACUUAUUAUAUGCAUAUAGAUAUGAAUUGAAAUAGGUUUUGAUUUUGAUAAAUUGACAUGUAUUUUGCUAUUAAUUUCAUAUGGAAGAUUUAGAAUUAUUGUGUAACUCAAUUGACUUUUGUUUAAUAGUGAAUUAUUGUGUACUUGUGUUAAUUAUUAUGUAGACACUAAUGAUGAUAAAAAAUCCAGCAGGUUCAUAUUAAAUUAACAUGUCACUAGACAAGUAUUUCAAGCGUAAAUCCCUUGAGGAUGAGGAGUCAAUCAAAGCUUCAAGUCAUGUAACUCAAUCAAGUUCAAAGAAAAGUCAUAUUGAAAUCAACCCCGACACUCUCCUUGCUGACCCUGGCUUAAGAAGACCAAUUUAUGAGUACCAUAUAAAUGAUAGGGAUGCAAUCCGAAGAGCUUAUCUACAAAAAGGUCCUUGUCAACCUUCACACUAUGAUUUUCCUCAAAAACAAUUUGGGAAUAUAUCAACACUACGACGCUUUAAUCCGGCUUGGUUUGGUGCAUACCCAACAUGGUUAGAGUACAGUAUAGCCAAAGAUGCUGCUUUUGCUUGUAUUGUUACCUCUUCAAGUCAAAAGGGGUGUUGAUUCGUUUGUGGGUGAUGGGUUUUCAAAUUGGAAAAAAAGGGAAAGAUUUGAUCUUCAUAUUGGAAAGUCUAAUAGUAGUCAUAAUGCAGCUCGGAUAAAAUGUGAGAAUUUGAUGAAUGAAAAACAAAGUAUCAUGACUUUGUUGUCUGAGCAGACAGUAAAGAGUCAAAGUGAUUAUCGAACUCGAUUGAAUGCUUCAAUAGAGUGUGCUCGUUUUUUGUUGCACCAAGGACUUCCAUUUCGUGGCCAUGAUGAAUGUGAAUGUUCAAGCAACCAAGGAAAUUAUCUAGAGCUCUUGCAUUUCCUUUCCAGAAACAAUGAAGCUAUUAAAAGAGUUACUUUCAGUGAAGCUCCUAAACAUAACAAAUUGACUUCUCCAGAUAUUCAAAAAGACAUUACUCAAGCUGCUGCAGAGGAGAUUACAAAUGUGAUUAUCAAAGAUCUAGGUGACUCAUUAUUUUCAAUUUUAAUUGAUGAGUCACGUGACAUAUCAAUCAAGGAACAAAUGGCAGUUGUUAUACGAUAUGUAGACAACAAUGGACAUAUAAUUGAACGUUUUCUUGGCAUUCAACAUGUGUCAGAUACAACUGCUAGUUCACUCAAGGCAGCUAUUGAAGCUUUGUUUUCUAAACAUGGGCUAAGUAUAUCAAGAUUGCGUGGUCAGGGAUAUGAUGGAGCUAGUAACAUGCGAGGUGAAUUCAAUGGCUUGAAAGCACUUAUUCUAAAUAACAAUCCAAGUGCAUAUUAUGUACAUUGUUUUGCUCAUAGACUUCAAUUGACUCUUGUGGCUGUUACAAAGAAGCAUAAUGAAGUUGGAGAUGUCUUCAAUUUUAUUUCUAGCAUUAUAAACAUAGUUGGAGCAUCAUGUAAAAGGAUGGAGGUGAUUAGAGAAAAACAAUAUGCUAGAAUUAUUGAAGGACUUGAAAAUGGGGAAAUUUCUAGUGGACGAGGCUUGAAUCAAGAAACUUCUCUUAGAAGGUAUGGUGAUACUCGUUGGGGCUCCCACUAUAUUACAAUUAUUCGUUUACUUGCAAUGUUUUCAUCAGUUCUUGAUGUGCUUGAGAUUAUAAGGGAGGAUGGGAUGAACUCAGAACAGAGAACGGAAGCGAUCGUUUUAACAGGUAUUAUGGAAUCAUUUAAUUUUGUGUUCAUGCUUCAUUGUUUGAGAAGGAUACUAGCAGUUACUAAUGAGUUAUCACAAGCAUUACAAAGAAAAGAUCAAGACAUAGAAAAUGCUAUGAGUUUAUUGAAAACAUCAAAGGAACGAUUCAAAUUGAUGAGAGAGAAUGAUUGGGAAUCUUUACUGGAAGAAGUGUCAUCUUUUUGCAUCAAACAUGAUAUUGAUAUUCUAAACAUGGAUGAUGAGUACAAGCUUCGUGGGCGUUCAAGGCGAAAAUCUCAAGGGAUUACAAACUUACACCAUUUUCGUUAUGAAUUGUUUAACAAUAUCAUUGACAUACAACUUACUGAAUUGGAUGAUCGUUUUACUGAGACGAGUAUGGAAUUACUUCUUUGUGUGGCAUGUUUAAGCCCAAAUGACUCUUUCUCUACUUUCAACAAAGAAAAGCUUAUUUGUCUUGCUCUUUUUUAUCCUAGUGAAUUCUCUAUAGUGGACCUUAUGGUACUUGGUGACCAACUUGAUACGUAUAUUAUUGAUCUACGUGGUGAUGAUGAGUUCUCUGGUAUUGAAGGUAUUGCUAGUCUUGCAGAGAAAAUGGUAAAAACAAAGAAGAAUUUGAUAUUUUCAUUAGUAUAUAUGCUUAUCAAAUUGUCAUUACUUCUACCAAUUGCAACUGCUACAGUGGAGAGAGUUUUUUUUGCUAUGCAUAUUGUCAAGAAUAGAUUGCGGAACAGGAUGGGAGAUAAGUGAAUGAAUGAUAGUUUGGUUGUAUACAUUGAGAAAGAUAUCUUCGACAAGAUUGAUAAUGAAGCUAUUAUGAAGUGGUUUCAAAAUAUGAAAACUCGAAGAGAACAAUUAUAAUUUAAGUUUUUUCAUUUUAAAAGUAUUUUUAUAUUAAUUUUACUUGAUAUGAAUUAAUAUAUAUGUUUUGAAUUGAUUUUUAAUACAUGUCUAUAUAAUAUAGUAUUUGUUAAUAAUUUGCCCCCUCAUUUAAAACUCUGGCUCCGCCAUUCAUCAUGAUAAUCCCAAAUAUAAAAAAAAUUAUGAAUCUCAAUUUUUAAUAAAUCUAUUGUUGAAUUAUGAAAUUGAAAAAAAGAUCAAUCUAAAAAAAGACACAAAAAAUCACCUUACGAAACAAAAUUAUGAAUUUAAAUAAAAUUAUGAAAAUUUCAUCGGCAAUCUCACAAAGUCUUUCUAAACUCUAAUUGUUGUAAAAUUUUAACUUGCGAUAUAAAUAUAUGUUAUGAGAUUCCUUAUAAACUUUUAGUGUAAUCCAACAGUUGAAUUGAGAGAUAUAAUUAAUACUAUAAAACUAGACUAUAUUUUUUUUAUAAAAGCAAAACAAAACAUUAUUUGAUCAUAAUAGAAUGGCUGGAAUAGAACAAAAAUAUUCAGGCCAGGAUUUAGGUGAAGUUCAUGAAAUGAGGUAAGAUUCUAAACGAGAUGAAAUAUCUUCCAAUUUAUUCAAUUGUUUAAAUUGAAAUAAAAUAUACCUGCCAUUCUAGAUGUGACAUAAUGAAAUUAAAAACCAUAGCUUUUUAGAGCCCCAAGCGUACGACCCCAUCUCGUGGGAAAAAUUGUGUCGCACCCCAAAAAAAAAAUAUCCAAUCGCGGGUUCGACUGGCGAAAUUUUUUUUAUUUGGUUUGAUUUGGUUCUUUGGAGUCGCCACCUAGUAUUUUGGUCACUAGGAAUCCUAACUGGUCUCAGAGAUCGGGUACGGAGACUGGUUGCGUAAAGGGAAGGUAUUAGCACCCCAAAUACGCCCUACCUAAGGUAAGCUGCAUUGUUUUAUUGUCUGAUAAAAACUAAAGUGUUAUUGUACUUCUAGUCGUUGGUCUGUCUAUGGUUCAAGAAAAAUCCUCCUCGGUAAGAAGGUCUUUUAUCUUAUCGGGUAAAAUCCUAACCGUUCUAACGUCUAUACCAAACUUUAUUAAUAAUAUUUAGGAAUACGUUUUACGUAUAAAUUCGUAAUCCCAAAUACUAAAAGAAAACAAAAAGAUUUUUUUAAAUUUUUGAAAUAUUGGCCUAGUUCUCAUGGCUUGAAUAAACUGGUUAUUAAAGCCAAAAUGCAUGUUAAUACAUAUAUUGUUUUGAAAAUUUUCUUUGUUGUGUGAAAAUAUGAUGUUAUAAUAUUUAUAUAUAUAUAUUGGAGAGACUAGGCCGUAUUUUAAAACAAAAAAAAAUUUAAUUUUUGGAAAAUAUUAAUUUUUUAUGCUUUGACGAAAAUCGGAUAUUUUAAUACUGAGCUUAUAUCCUUACGGUAUAAAAAUACAACCCAAUAUUAAUCCACUUUGCUAAAAAUAUGCAGAAAAAUCAACAACAUUUUAGGGACUUUUUAGAAAUUUUUUUGAAAGCAAAAACAUUUUUUUUCUGAAAAAUCUUUGAUGUUUUGACGAAAACCGGGUAUUUUUAACACUGGUUUUGUAUCUUUACAGUAUAAAAAUACAAACCAACAUUAAACCACGUUGACAAAAAUAUGCAGAAAAAUCACAAUAUUUUUUAAGAUUUUUCAAAAUAUUUUUUUUUAUAAAUAUAUUUUUUAUAUAUAUAACAUAUAUACACACAUAUAAUAAUAAUUAUAAUAUAUUUAUAAUAUAUUUAUAUAUUAAAAGGGGCUGGGCCGGCCCAAACUAAACUCGGCCGGACCCAGCCCCAACAGUCGUUGGGCCGACCUCGGCCCAACAAACUAAUUAAACUCGGUCUGGGCCGGACCCGGCCCAGACCACCGGAUGGGGCCAGACCACUCUGGCCCGGCCCACAUAGUUCUGGGCCAGACACCAUCUGGCCCAGAGGAAUUAAAAAAACAACACAAGGGGGGAAUUAUUUCCCCCCCGUCCCCUGCAUGCAGAACGCCUCUGCAUGCAGGGGACGAAAUAUAUAAAUAACAAGAAAAAUGUGCAGGGGGGGAAGAGAAGCGUACCUGGCGCGGUGGAGACGGUGGUUUGCUGGCGGGGCUACGGUGGCGUGGCUCGUGGACGGCGGCUCCGGGCGGCGUUGCUGCUGUUUCUAACAGUGGCGAAAAAUUCUUCUUCCUCCCUUCUCCUUCGUUUUUUUUUUUCGUUCUCAGUGGCUGCCUAUUCUCGGUUCGGUUUUGGUUUUUUUUUGUUUCGGUUUCCUUCUUCUCGGUUUGUUUCUGUUCUUCUCUCUCUCUUCGGGUAGCUUUCUCUCUCUUUCUCUCUUCGGGUCUCUCGGGUUUUUCCUCCUUUUCUCUUCGGUUUUUCUUCUUUAUUUAUAGGGGCAGCACAGGUGGGGGGCCAUGGUUAGUGCGCCUUCAAUCACGCAUGGCUGGUCGGCUCUUUCGGUGGUGGUGGGGGCGAGGAGAGAGACGCGGGAGAAUUUUCGAAUUUUUUCGUCUUCUGUUCUGUUAAAACGGGGGGAAGGAGGAAGAUGAACAGUGUCGUUCAAAACGACACCGUUCUGAUCUUCCUUUUUUUUUUUUUUUAUAUAUAUAUAUGAAACGGCGUCGUUUUGGGUAAAACGCGCCGUUUCAUUUAAAUGGCUAAACUUCAAAUCAGUCCUCCAAAUUCGGUCCCCGCCCCUCUUGUUGGCCGCCUUUUUCACUUUGGUCCUUGGCCUCUGAUUUAUGCAAUUGAGCCCCUAAUUGAUCAAUAAACUUCCAAUUUCUUCAAUUAAGCCCCUGAAACAAUUCCAAACAGCCCCCUCUAUCUUUGCGCCUUCUCCAAAUUGGUCCCUGGUUUCGGAUUUUCACAAUUAAGUCCCUAAUUGGCCCUUAAACUUCAAUAUUUAUGCAAUUGAGCCCCUGAUUUGACCCAAUAAAUUCCUAAAAAAUAUAUUUUGGCCCCAGAACUUAAAUUUCUCCAAAUUAAAGCCCAAAUUGACUUAAAAAUCAAUUUUUCUUGCAAUCAAAUCUUCUAUAAAUUCAAAUAAAAAUCCAAUUAAGUCCAUAAAAAUCCAAUUAAGUCCAUAAACAUCCAAAUUUGGGCUUUUCUCCUCAAAAUUCAAAAUUUCCUUCUCAAUAGGGCUUUCAUCCUUCGGGAAUAUACUGUCAAAAAUUCAAUCCUUGUAUUUUUAAAUUCCUUGACCAAUUUUCUGACUGUUUCCCGAGCGCUUCUGCCUCCUGUUAUUUUUCUAACCUCUUUUGGCUAUUUAUUUUAUUUUUCAUGGGGACCCAAAAAUGAGUUACAACAGAAAGCAAAUAUAGCCUUUGGGUAGUGAUCCUCAGCGUAGAGCAACUGGUGAAUUAAACUAAAGAGAUAACACAGAUAGCACUUGGCAGGAAAACACCUGCAAGCUGCGAAAUUGCGAUACCUUGCAGCAUUUCUACCUAAUCUUUUGAGACUUUGAUCAUUUAAAAACAUGUUCAACCGUGUUUUUAAUUUUUUUAUAUAAAAAAUUAAAAUUUUUAUGUUUUUUUAUUAUUUUGAUGUACUGAUUUUAAAAAUAAUAACAUUUUAAUGUAUUUUUAAAUAAGAAGUUUUUAAAAACGCACGUAAUCCGAUUCUUGAAUGCUCCAUUUUAUUGAGAUAUCGGACGGCAUAGCAGGUUCUUGCACCGGGUCCAAAAGCUCCGAAAAGCAGCCAAAUUGCUAACAAUAUGGAAGAAAGAACCUGCAUUGUUAUAUGUGGCGAUGGAUGGAUAGAGAGUGUGUAUGCUGUGAAGAAACCCAGUUGUGUUUGUCUGCUAUUUAUACAAGGCAUGCAGAUGAUGGAAGAAGACUUUGAAGGUUUAACAAUUGCUAACAAUAUGUAGGCAGAUGAUGGAAGAAGACUUUGAAAAAAAAACAAAAAUAUUAGGCAUAAACCUUGUUUAUACAAGGCAGGCAGAUGAUGGAAGAAUACUUUGAAAAAAAAAGAAGAAAAACUACUGUGCCCGUCCAAUGAAGGGUUAGCUUGAUUAAAUUCGUUGUAGAAGAAUUACUUAGACUAAAGCAUAUAACGAAGGGACAUCUGAUGAUUUCUAACCAUGGUUUUAAUUGAUUUCUUUGAUAAUUUUUUUUUUCAAAAAUUGAUAUAUAUUCAGAUAUGAUUGAUUAAGAAUUGGUCAAUUGACUUUGUCAAAUUAAUAGACUUUCAUCACGAGGUAGAUGAAAGAUUAAGAUUACGUGCGUUUGAGAAGAGGACAAUUCCCGCAGGUGGGAGAUUUCCAGCUCCUGGUCCCAACAAAAUGCGACGUGGAAACGGAAAUUAAGAUCGAUCUAAAUCGUUUAAAUAUUGUGGUUUUCUCACACACUCCCAAACAGGCCCGAUCCAUGGGUGAGAGAGAGAGAUAAUUCUGGCAAUUUCAAAUCUGUACAAGUUUCUGCAUCCUAUGAGUUUGCAAAUACAAUGACAUUAUUGACAUCUGAGUAAUGAAGGUAAGAUAUACGAUUGCAGUGAACCAUGAAGUAAACACCACCUCUAAAAGUAGGCCCCAAAACAGUGUGGAGACACAGAAGAACAGAAGAAAAUAAGGAGAGCUCGCGAACUAAAUUAGCAUGCAGCCAUAAGAGAACGCAAAGCCGCCACUAGCCACCGAGCCGGAGACUUCCAACUGCAUAUGAAAUCCCACAAUAUAGCACAACUUUUUUUUGUCUGCCACUUGUAUAGGAGGUUGGACAUACAGAGCUCAUUCCGAGCAGAAAUCACGAUUGUUCCAACCCUCUUACAGCUGCGGCAAAAAUCUAGAAAGGCAAGAGAUCAGACUCGUCACAAAACAGCAAUUUUAUCCCACUUCUAGUGAUCAACAGUCUAGCCUAUUUACAAUAAGCGCUAUGUCGUAGAACAUAUCUAAAAUGGAGAAUCCUUUCAAAGAAAUUAGAAUAUCCUGUCAUGCUGAUAUGAACUGGGAGAUGAAGACGUGCAUCCGGUGCUUAUUUAUGGCAGUAAAGCACAACCAGGCAUGGGAUCUCAGCCAGAAUUGAACUUGUAUUUGGAUCAAAGACAUCAGAUACUGAUAUCAGACUUGGAACUGCCAAGAUUUUCUUAGUAUAUUAAAUUGCAAUAAGAGCAUGAGCUUGUCCAGGCAUAUCCCUCUCAUACGUGGUUGAAUCUGGAAAAUUACUAAAGCAGGCAACAACAGAACAGAAUUAAAAAAAAGAUCACCACUGAUAAGUCGACAAAAACCCUUAGUUGAAGCUCCAGGAAUCUAUUUCAAAUCUUCACCGGUUUGACUGCGACUACUGCUUUCGUAGUACUGAAUGGGAUCGUGUUGCUCUGUGUGGCUCGGAACUGAGGAUUCCUCAUCAGAACGUCCACAUGAGUAGCUCUGUGGUAUUUUAUCUUCUUCCAAUGAUUUGCUGUCAGGUUGACCAUGCUUGUGGAGUUGGAAUAGCAAUUUUCAUGGUAAUAGUUAGAAGGUUUUAUGCAUCAGUGUUUCACUGUGCACUGCACAAUAAAACUCUUAGCUAUCUUCUUUUUAUAUAUAUAUAUUUUUUGUUUUUUAUACCUUUAUGGGUUUUUUUGUUUGUUUUUUCUUUGUGUUUUUUUCUUUUAAUGAAUUUUUUUUGUUUAAUUUAGUUUGUUAUCAGAUUUUCAUGACACGGAUCUUGGGUUAAACACAUUAACUUGGUUUGAUAAGUUAACCCAAAAUAUUUUUUUUUCUUUUCAAUAAAUUUUUUUCGUUUCGUUUAGUUUGUUAAUGUUAAAUUUCUUUUUAUUUAAUUAUCAGACUUUCAUGACACAUAUCUCAAGAUUGACGAGUUAACCUAGUUUAUUCUGGGUUAACCCGUCAACUUUUUUUUCUAUUUAGUUAUCAAACUUUCAUGACGCGAAUCUCAGGUUUGACGAGUGAACCUGGUUUUAAGGGUUAACCCAAUUAAUUUAGAUGUUUUUUCUUCUUCAUUAGUUUUUUUUCUUCAUGUUGGUUUUGUUUUCUUUGUUUUUUUCUUUUUAAUUAAUUUAUUUAAUUAUUACACUUUUAUGACACGACCUUGUAGCCAUAACCACAUCCAAGGCUCUUGGGUCCGGUGUUCUAGUUAGACUCACUAAAACUUGAGUCAUAUAAAUUUAAUAUUAUUAUUAAUAUUACAACUAUUACUCUUCGGUCAAGCUUUAGAGUUAGACCCGAGGCUCUUGGGUAUAUCUUUGCAGAAAAAUCGAACACUCUUAGAUCUUAGCCAUUUUUUAUAUUUUUAUGCAAGAAAAAAAAAUUUAUCUGUGUCGUGUGCCUUUGUUUUUUUUUUCCUUUUCUUUUUAAGCCUUUUAUUAUGGACUACACCGUGCAGUCCACGGUGAAAAAGUUGAUGCCUUUAAUUUUAUUUUUUCUAUAGUUUCUUAAUAUUAAUUUUUUUUUGUUUAAUUAUUAGACUUUCAUGACACAGAUCCCGGGUUUGACGGAUUAACCUGAUUUGACGGAUUAACCUAGUUGAUUCAGAUUCUUUUUCUUUUUCUUCAUUAGGUUUUUUCUUCCUAUAGGUUUUUUUCUCCUUGUUUAUCCUUUUUAAUUAAUCUUUUUUUUUUAAUUUAGUUCAUUAAUAUGAAAUCUUUUUUCUAUUUAGUUAUCACGCUUCCAUGACACGAAUCUCAGGUUUGACGGGUUAACCCAGUUGAUUCAGAUUUUUUUUUUCUUUUUCCUCAUUAGUAAAAGGCUGAUUUCAUUUGUUUUUUUUUCUUUUUAAUUAAUUGUUUUCGUUUAAUUUAGUUUGUUAAUGUUCAAUUUUUUUUAUUUAGUUAUCAAACUUUCAUGACACGGAUCUCAGGUUUGAUGGGUAACCUGGUUUGACGAGUUAGCCCAGUUAAUUACGGGUUAACUUGUCAAUUUUUUUUCUAUUUAGUUAUCAAACUUUCACGACACGAAUCCAAGGUUUGAGGAGUUAACCUUAUUUAAAUGGUUAACCCAGUUAAUUUAGAUUUUUUUUCUUUUCCUUCAUUAGCUUUUUUCUUUCUAUUGGUUUUUUUCUUUUUAAUUAAUUUAUUUAAUUAUCACACUUUUAUGACACGACCUUACAGCCAGACUCGCAUCCAAGGCUAUUGGGUCUGGUAUUGCAGCCAGACCCACUUAAACUUGGGUCAUGCAAGUUUAAUGUUAUAAUUAAUAUUAUAAAUAUUACUCUUGGGUAAAACGUUGCAACCAAAUCCAAAACUCUUGGGUAUAGCUUUGCAGAAAGAACUAACACUUUUAAAUCUUAAUUUUUUUAAAAUAUGUUUUAUGUAAAAAAAAAAAUUAACCCGCAAGAUACGCGGGUCACGUAACUAGUACUAUCUAAAAUGUGUGGUUUCAUGUUUGUAUGACGAUAAUAUAAUAUUUUACAAGAAAUGUGUUGUAACCCAUUUUUGGGUCCCCAGGAAAAAUAAAAUAAAUAGCCAAAAGAGUUUAGAAAAAAUAACAGAAGGCAGAAGCGCUCAGGAAACAGUCAGAAAAUUGGUCAAGGAAUUUAAAAAUACAAGGAUUAAAUUUUUGACAGUAUAUUCUUGAAGGAUGAGAGCCCUAUUGAGAAGGAAAUUUUGAAUUUUGAGGAGAAAAGCCCAAAUUUGGAUGUUUAUGGACUUAAUUGGAUUUUUAUGGACUUAAUUGGAUUUUUAUUUGAAUUUAUAAAGGAUUUGAUUGCAAGAAAAAUUAAUUUUUAAGUCAAUUUGGGCUUUAAUUUGAAGAAAUUUAAGUUCUGGGGCCAAAAUAUAUUUUUUAGGAAUUUAUUGGGUCAAAUCAGGGGCUUAAUUGCAUAAAUAUUGAAGUUUAAGGGCCAAUUAGGGAUUUAAUUAAGAAAAUCCGAAACCAGGGACCAAAUUGGAAGAGGCGUGUAAAUGGAGGGGCUGCAAAUUUUUCGGUUCAGGGGCCUAAUUGAAGAAAUUGAAAGUUUAUUAAUCAAAUUGAGGGCUAAAUUGGAUAAAUCAAAGACCAAGGACCAAAGUGAAAAAGGCGGCCAACAAGAGGGGCGGGGACCGAAUUUGGGGGACUGAUUUGAAGUUUAGCCAUUUAAAUGAAAUGGCGCGUUUUACCCAAAACGACGCCGUUUCAUAUAUAUAUAUAUAAAAAAAAAGGAGGAAGAUCAGAACGGUGUCGUUUUGAACGACACUGUUCAUCUUCCUCCUUCCCCCCGUUUUAACAGAACAGAAGACGAAAAAAUUUCGAAAAUUCUUCCCGCGCCUCUCUCUCCUCGCCCCCACCACCUUUUGGCCGACCAGCCGUUACACCCGAUGGUCCCCCACGGUUCUGCCCCUAUAAAUAGAAGAGAAAACCGAAGAAAAAAAAAAAGGAAAAAAAAACCGAAGGGAGGAGAGAGAGAGGAGACCGAAGAGAGAGAGCGAACCGAACAGCCGCAACGCCGCCGCCCGGAGCCUCCGUGCACGAGCCACACCACCGCCAGCGACCGCCUCCUCCACGCCAGGUACGUUUUCUUCUCCCCCACCUGUUUUCUGCAGAUUUUUUUUGCCUCCUGCAUGCAUUCUGCAUGCAGGAGGCGGGGGGGAGAAAAUUAAUUCUCCCCCCCCGCUGGGCCUGGAGCUGCUGGGCCAGCCCGAUGCUGGCCCAGCCUUGCAAGUCUGGGCCGGUCUUGGCCCAGACCGUAGGAUUUUAUCGGGCCGGGAUCGGCCCACUUGAAGUUUUCGGGCCGAGAUCGGCCCAGAUUUGUUUCUCGGGCCGAGGUCGGCCCAAGGUCAUUCGGGCCGAGAUCGGCCCGUCUCUUUUUUUCCUGGGGCUGAGCCUGGCCCAUUCAUUUGGGCCGGCCCAGCCCUAUAAUAUAUUAUAUAUUAUUUAUAAAUUAUAAUAUAUAUGUGUUUAUAUGUUAUAUAUAUAUAUAAAAUAUUUAUAAAAACUCUGAAAAAUCUAAAAAAAUGUUGUUAUUUUCUUUUCAUAUAUAUAUAUAUUUUUUAAGGGGGUUUGUAUUUUUUUUUUUUUUUUACAUGUAGAGGCAUAAAUUUAGUAUUUAAAAUAUCUGAUUUUCGUCAAGACACCCGAAAUUUUAAAAGAUAAAUUUAUUUUUUGCUUUCAAAAAUUUCAAAAAUUCCUUAAAAAUAUUGUUGAUUUUUUUUUUGUACAUCUUUUUAAAAUGACUUAAUAUUAGUUUGUAUUUUUUAUGUUGUGGAGAUACAAAUUCAGUAUUAAAAUACCCGAUUUCGUAAAAAAAAUUAUAUUGUUUAAAAAAUAUAUAUAUAUUUUUCUUGCGUGUUGCAUACGGCCAAUACUCUAACAUGUUUUCAAAGUUCUUUUUUAUAAAAAACAUAUAUUGGAAGCUUCGAAAGUGUGUUUUCGCAUAGAUUUCUUAAACACAAAUUAUUUUCUUGCAUUUUUGGAUUUUACAACAUGUUUGUAAAACUCCAAAGGGUGUUGGCCAAUAUUCCAAAAACUAUAAAAAUCUUAUUUUUGGAGAGGGAAUUUAUUUAUUAUUCACCGCUAAUGUUUGGAUAAAGAAAUCCUUAAAAGGACGAAUAUCCAAAAUAUUAUUGGGAAUAAUAAAUCCGCACACAUUCUUGAAAGAAGCCUUGAUUAUAAUCGAGGACAUUUCAAAAUUUUAAUUUUUUUUAUUCCACGAUUUAUGAGCCACAAACUUUUGAAAUACUAAGGGAAAAAUGAGCUUUUAAAGCACAUGGAAUCUCCUUAGAUUUCUAUCCAAAAUCAAUUGACGAGCCUAGAAAAUACCUACACCAUAGCAAUUAUAGAGCAAACCAAACACCAAGCAGCUUACCUUAGGUAGGGCGUACUAGGGGUGCUAAUACCUUCCCUUUACGCAACCAGUCCCUUGCCUUAGAAUCUCUGAAAGACCAGUUAGGGUUCCUAGUGACCAAAAUACUAGGUGGCGACUCCCAAAAGAACCAAAUCAGCAAAAUAAAAACAAAACAAAAGUCGUCGGUCGAAUGUCGCAAAACAAAUUUUAAAAUAAACCAACUUUUUUAUUAUGAUUUUUUUUGGGGUGCGACAGGAUGGCGACUCCACUAGGGACCCUUGGACUAAGCUUGAUUUGUUUGUUUGUUUAUGUUAUGUGUUAUUGGUUUUUGUUUUCUUAUGAUGCUUUGUUUAAAAGCUUUAGCAUAUAUCUUUACAUUCUAUCAUACACGGCAUAGUCAUGCAUCACUUUAUUAUUAUUAUUAUGUUUUGGAGGGCACACACAUGUAACUCUAAGUUUAAGUGGGGGACUAGCAGCUUGCCUUAUGACUUGAGUCAAGGUUUAAGUUUGUGUAAACCCCAACUCUUUGCUGAGUGUUUAGACUGAUUGUGAUUGGUACACAUACCAUCCCACUAUCUGCUAGACCUCCAUAUCGCCUUUACGAAGGUUGAUCACUGGAACAGCAAGAGACCCUCUUUUAGAGACCCAAUAGUAAACAUACCUUAUGUCUCACGUAGAGAAAUUAGAACCUAUCCUUAGGGUGUAUGUUCCAACAUAUCUUUUGCAUCAAAACGAGUUUAAACCCCAAUGCAUUUUUAAUUGCAGGAUUUGUGAACGAAAUGGCCAUCAUCACUAAAUCAUCCUCAAUAAAACAUGCAUUUUUCAUGUAUCCAUCACAAUCAUACAUUUUUUUCUCAUACAUCUAUGCAUGCAUCUGCAGAUUAAGAAACAUAGGUCCCUCUUCUAGAAUCCACAACACUCGACAAAGAUCAAGAAUGGAAAACGAAGAAAGAGCUCACUUAGAGUCGCACUACCAUACCGAGUUGGAAUCCGUGAAAAAUGAAGUUUCUCGACUGACCAAUCUGCUUGAACAAUUUUUAAGAGCCAAAAACGGGGAGGGAACGUCUACCCAACCACCUAUAGGAGCACCAUCAGUUCAUGUCCCGGGGUAUCUCAGAACUUGGGGGCAGAUUCAGUGACGGGCAGCAUUUGCACCUACCAUUCCCAUUCAGCCCCCUCAAGCUCACAUCACAGCAGAUGGGCCUUCCGAUAAUAGGUCCACUGGUUUUAUGAACGAUGACAAGAUAUCAGCCUUGGAAGAAAGGUUAAGAGCAGUCGAGGGAAAUGACUGGUUUGACCCCAUGCGAGCGUCUGAAAUAUGCUUGGUACCAAACAUCACGGUACCAAAAAAAUUUAGGAUACCGGAGUUUAUAAAGUACACUGGGUUGGAAUGCCCAAACACUCACCUUCGAUCUUAUUGCAAUAAGAUGGCUGAGGUGAUUCAUGACGAUAAGUUACUGAUCUACUUUUUCCAAGACAGUCUAUCGGGGUCGGCGCUAAGUUGGUACAUGAGGCUGGAUAAUGCCAAGAUCAAGAAAUGGAAGGAUUUAGUUGAGGCUUUCCUUAAGCAAUACAAGUUCAAUUUGGAAAUUGCUCCAGAUCGAACGAGCCUUAUGUCAAUGGAAAAGAGAAGCCAAGAAUCAGUAAGGGCUUAUGCGCAAAGGUGGAGGGACGAGGCCAUGCAUGUGCAACCCCCUUUGAUAGAAACGGAGAUGGUGACUUUGUUCGCCAAUACAUUCAAGGCACCCUACUAUGAGCAUUUAAUGGGUAGCUCAUCUCAACAUUUCUAUGAUGUUGUACGCAUAGCGGAAAGAAUAGAGCAAGGGAUUAAAGCUGGACGCAUAAUUGAGCCAUUGGAGACAAAGGGUUUUUUCGGAAGAAAAUGAAAGGUCCCGUUAACAACUUCGAAGGUGGGUCCAAUGACAAGAUAACAGAUUCAUAUAACCCACAAAUACCUACCUCUCAUGUGGCCCACAUAAACUUUAACAAACCUUUUUCCCCUAAUCGAGCAAAUGGCCAGUCAAACACCCAAAACAACCACCAAAGACCAAACACAAGAUACAUUUCAGAACAACUACCGCCAUUACCCAUGGAUAUAUAUGCCAAACUACUGAGCAUUGGACAAAUAGCUCCUAUCCCUACAUUACCACUACAGCCACCAUUCCCCAUCUGGUAUAAGCCCGAGUUGACUUGCGAGUACCAUGCUGGUAUUCCCGGGCAUUGUCUUGAAACGUGCUACGGUUUCAAGAACAAGUUGUUGAAGCUCAUCAAGAUAGGAUGGGUGUCAUUUGAAGACACCCAAUAUCAUUCAAAUCCAUUGCCUGGUCAUGACAAAAGUGAUAGGGGAUAAAGGUUGGAAAACCUUGGUCAAGAGUCGUCAAUAAUGAAGAAGGCGAGAUCGAAGGAGAAGACAAGGAAACGCAAGUGGGGAAGGAAGAUGAAGCAUUGCCUCGGUUGACUUUCCACACACUAGAAGAAGUUUCAGAACGGGUUGACCCAAGAACUUCUCGUAGUUUUCAAAAUGUAAAACAACUUUAUUUGCCUUAGCAUGUUUUUGUCAUUUGCUUUUGUCUUUGCUUUUAUUUUCUCUAGUGAGCAUUCAGAGCUCAUAUUGUCAGCCAGAUUUUUGUGUUUGUCUUUGAGCCUACCUUUUCUUUAAAUAAAUGAUGAGUUUAUGCAUUUUUUUAACAAGUUUGAGUGGUUACAAAUAAAGUAUCAUAAAAUGGUUUAAUAUGAAAUUUAAGAAAAGCUACCCUAAAUACAACCUACCUCUGAUAGCAUAAUGUUUAAGUGGUCACUUUGUAAUUUCUUUUAAAGAAUAGAGUUUAUCAACCUAACAAUGUGCAUUUUGAAAAAAAAAUCAUUAUCUAUUCACUCACUAAAAAAGUUUUCAGGCUGAAUGAAUUGCUUCUCUAUAUAAAAACCCAGACUAAUAUCGCACCCCUAUACUGGGGGCAAGACGAGAUGUUUUAUGAAAAGUUUUACGAUUUGAAAACCAAGCUAAAGCAUUUGACAAAAGCAUGACAAAGAGGCAAAUACAAGUCAUACAUUUUGAGAAAAGGACUACUUGAAGAAAGUCAAAGACCUUUUCUCCAAGAAUAUGAUAGGCAACACGAGAGAUGAAUCCAGCAUACGACUUCAAAAGCAAGUUCAUGUUAAGAGGGAGUCCCAUGAACUAGAAGAAGAGGAUGGGGCCUAUGUUUCAAAACCAGGUACGAAUGCAUGCAUUGCAUCUAAUCAUAAAUCAUUGCAUAUAUGUUUUUUGGAUCGUUACAGGAGGAGAUCUUAGCGCAUUCCAACAAGAUUAUGGACGAAGAAAAUCAUUGAGUUGAUUCUAGAACAACAAGAAGAGAAGAUAAUGGUUUUCAAACCCUGCCAGCAGGAAGAACGACAUCGAUAGCAUUCGGUAAAAAGGAAUCGCCAGAUGUGAUUCCAAGUUGUUGAGAUCGCCAGAAGGGAUCUCGUAUUUCGAUGGAGGUCGCCAGAAGGGACCUCAUAUUUCAGUUUUGAAUAAAAGGAAUCCAGAUGGGAUUCCAAGUGUUUGAGAUCGCCAGAAGGGGUCUCGUUUUCGAUAUUCACCAAUGAAGGUCGCCAGAAGGGACCUCAAAUUUCAGCUUUGGUAUAAAAGGAAUCGCCAGAUGGGAUUCCAAGUUGUUUGGCUAAAGGAGAUCGCCAGAAGGGAUCUCAUAUUUCGAUAAGGGUCGCCAGAAGGGACCUAAUAUUUCAGCUUUGAAUAAAAGGAAUCGCCAGAUGGGAUUCCAAGUUAUUUGAGAUCGCCAGAAGGGAUCUCGUACUUCGACAUUCAUCAAGGAAGGUCGCCAGAAGGGACCUUAUAUUGAAACCAUUUCUUAGAAAAGCAUGGAGUUUACUAAGAAUUAUUCCCCUGGGUUAGUCACCCAUACAAUGAGACCAUCAUUUUUCUUGGGUAGGUCACCCAUACAAUGAGACCAUUCAUUUUUCUGGGUAGGUCACCCAUACAAUGAGACCAUCAUUUUUCUGGGUAGGUCACCCAUACAAUGAGACCAUCAUUUUUCUGGGUAGGUCACCCAUACAAUGAGACCAUCAUUUUUCUGGGUAGGUCACCCAUACAAUGAGACCAUCAUUUUUCUGGGUAGGUCACCCAUACAAUGAGACCAUCAUUUUUCUGGGUAGGUCACCCAUACAAUGAGACCAUCAUUUUUCUGGGUAGGUCACCCAUACAAUGAGACCAUCAUUUUUCUGGGUAGGUCACCCAUACAAUGAGACCAUCAUUUUUCUGGGUAGGUCACCCAUACAAUGAGACCAUUUCAUUUUUCUGGGUAGGUCACCCAUAAUACAAGGUCAUUUUUCCUGGGUAGGUCCCCAAUGAGACUCUUUCCCUUUUUUCGGGCAGGUCACCCAUCAUAAUGAGACCACCACACACUUUUUUUGUUAUGGGUAAAGGAAUCGCCAGAUGGGAUUCCAGGUUAAAGGAGAUCACCAGAUGGGAUCUCGGAUGGAUUUCCAUGUUGAUCAAACUAAAGUAAGAAUUCAGAGGAUUGCUGGAUAAGGAUCUCGAACUAAGUUUUGAUCAUGGUUUUUGGGCUAAGGAGGAUUGUUGUAAAAACAAAGUUUCAGAUCAUUUAAGCUUUGACCAGAUCAGUUUCGGGAUUGCCGUUUUGGGUUUAUCUUUAUAACACUUACUGCGCAAAAUCCAUGCUCCGUAAGUAUUAUAAAGAGGGGGCAUCUGUUGUAACCCAUUUUUGGGUCCCCAGGAAAAAUAAAAUAAAUAGCCAAAAGAGUUUAGAAAAAAUAACAGAAGGCAGAAGCGCUCAGGAAACAGUCAGAAAAUUGGUCAAGGAAUUUAAAAAUACAAGGAUUAAAUUUUUGACAGUAUAUUCUUGAAGGAUGAAAGCCCUAUUGAGAAGGAAAAUUUGAAUUUUGAGGAGAAAAGCCCAAAUUUGGAUGUUUAUGGACUUAAUUGGAUUUUUAUGGACUUAAUUGGAUUUUUAUUUGAAUUUAUAGAAGGAUUUGAUUGCAAGAAAAAUUGAUUUUUAAGUCAAUUUGGGCUUUAAUUUGAAGAAAUUUAAGUUCUGGGGCCAAAAUAUAUUUUUUAGGAAUUUAUUGGGUCAAAUCAGGGGCUUCAAUUGCAUAAAUAUUGAAGUUUAAGGGCCAAUUAGGGAUUUAAUUUGAAAAUCCGAAACCAGGGACCAAUUGGAAGAGGCGUGUAAAUAGAGGGGCUGGAUUUUGUUUCAGGGGCUAAUUGAAGAAAUUGAAGUUUAUUGAUCAAUAGAGGGCUCAAUUGCAUAAAUCAGAGGCCAAGGACCAAAGUGAAAAAGGCGGCCAACAAGAGGGGCGGGGACCGAAUUUGGGGACUGAUUUGAAGUUUAGCCAUUUAAAUGAAACGGCGCGUUUUACCCAAAACGACGCCGUUUCAUAAAAAAAAAAAAAAAGGAAAUCAGAACGGUGUCGUUUUGAACGACACUGUUCAUCUUCCUCCUUCCCCCGUUUUAACAGAACAGAAGACGAAAAAAUUCGAAAAUUCUUCCCGCGCCUCUCUCUCCUCGCCCCCACCACCUUUUUGGCCGACCAGCCGUUACACCCGAUGGUCCCCCACGGUUCUGCCCCUAUAAAUAGAAGAGACCGAAGAAAAAAAAAGGAAAGAGAGAGAGGAGGAGAGAGAGAGGAGAGAANNNNNNNNNNNNNNNNNNNNNNNNNNNNNNNNNNNNNNNNNNNNNNNNNNNNNNNNNNNNNNNNNNNNNNNNNNNNNNNNNNNNNNNNNNNNNNNNNNNNNNNNNNNNNNNNNNNNNNNNNNNNNNNNNNNNNNNNNNNNNNNNNNNNNNNNNNNNNNNNNNNNNNNNNNNNNNNNNNNNNNNNNNNNNNNNNNNNNNNNNNNNNNNNNNNNNNNNNNNNNNNNNNNNNNNNNNNNNNNNNNNNNNNNNNNNNNNNNNNNNNNNNNNNNNNNNNNNNNNNNNNNNNNNNNNNNNNNNNNNNNNNNNNNNNNNNNNNNNNNNNNNNNNNNNNNNNNNNNNNNNNNNNNNNNNNNNNNNNNNNNNNNNNNNNNNNNNNNNNNNNNNNNNNNNNNNNNNNNNNNNNNNNNNNNNNNNNNNNNNNNNNNNNNNNNNNNNNNNNNNNNNNNNNNNNNNNNNNNNNNNNNNNNNNNNNNNNNNNNNNNNNNNNNNNNNNNNNNNNNNNNNNNNNNNNNNNNNNNNNNNNNNNNNNNNNNNNNNNNNNNNNNNNNNNNNNNNNNNNNNNNNNNNNNNNNNNNNNNNNNNNNNNNNNNNNNNNNNNUGACGAAAAUCGGAUAUUUUAAUACUGAGCUUAUAUCCUUACGGUAUAAAAAUACAACCCAAUAUUAAUCCACUUUGCUAAAAAUAUGCAGAAAAAUCAACAACAUUUUAGGGACUUUUUAGAAAAAAUUUUGAAAGCAAAAACAUUUUUUUUUGAAAAAUCUUUGAUGUUUUGACGAAAACCGGGUAUUUUUAACACUGGUUUUGUAUCUUUACAGUAUAAAAAUACAAACCAACAUUAAACCACGUUGACAAAAAUAUGCAGAAAAAUCACAAUAUUUUUUAAGAUUUUUCAAAAUAUUUUUUUAUAUAAAUAUAUAUUUUAUAUAUAUAACAUAUAUACACACAUAUAAUAAUAAUUAUAAUAUAUUUAUAAUAUAUUUAUAUAUUAAAAGGGGCUGGGCCGGCCCAAACUAAACUGGGCCGGACCCAGCCCCAACAGUCGUUGGGCCGACCUCGGCCCAACGGGUACUGGGCCGACCUCGGCCCAACAAACUAAUUAAACUCGGACCCGGCCCAGACCACCGGAUGGGGCCAGACCACUCUGGCCCGGCCCACAUAGUUCUGGGCCAGACACCAUCUGGCCUAGAGGAAUUAAAAAAACAACGCAAGGGGGGAAUUAUUUUCCCCCCCCGUCCCCUGCAUGCAGAACGCCUCUGCAUGCAGGGACGAAAUAAUAAAAACAAGAAAAAUGCAGGGGGGGAAGAGAGCGUACCUGGCGCGGCGGAGACGGUGGUUUGCUGGCGGGGCUACGGUGGCGUGGCUCGUGGACGGCGGCUCCGGGCGGCGUUGCUGCUGUUUCUAACAGUGGCGAAAAAUUCUUCUUCCUCCCUUCUCCUUCGUUUUUUUUUUUCGUUCUCAGUGGCUGCCUAUUCUCGGUUCGGUUUUGGUUUCUUUUUUUGUUUCGGUUUCCUUCUUCUCGGUUUGUUUCUGUUCUUCUCUCUCUCUUCGGGUAGCUUUCUCUCUCUUUCUCUCUUCGGGUCUCGGUUUUCCUUUUCUCUUCGGUUUUUCUUCUUUAUUUAUAGGGGCAGCACGGUGGGGGGCCAUGGUUAGUGCGCCUUCAAUCACGCAUGGCUGGUCGGCUCUUUCGGUGGUGGUGGGGGCGAGGAGAGAGACGCGGGAGAAUUUUUUUUUCGUCUUCUGUUCUGUUAAAACGGGGGGAAGGAGGAAGAUGAACAGUGUCGUUCAAAACGACACCGUUCUGAUCUUCCUCUUUUUUUUUUUUUUUUAUAUAUAUAUAUGAAACGGCGUCGUUUUGGGUAAAACGCGCCGUUUCAUUUAAAUGGCUAAACUUCAAAUCAGUCCUCCAAAUUCGGUCCCCGCCCUCUUGUUGGCCGCCUUUUUCACUUUGGUCCUUGGCCUCUGAUUUAUGCAAUUGAGCCCCUAAUUGAUCAAUAAACUUCCAAUUUCUUCAAUUAAGCCCCUGAAACAAUUCCAAACAGCCCCUCUAUCUUUGCGCCUUCUCCAAAUUGGUCCCUGGUUUCGGAUUUUCACAAUUAAGUCCCUAAUUGGCCCUUAAACUUCAAUAUUUAUGCAAUUGAGCCCCUGAUUUGACCCAAUAAAUUCCUAAAAAAUAUAUUUUGGCCCCAGAACUUAAAUUUCUCCAAAUUAAAGCCCAAAUUGACUUAAAAAUCAAUUUUUCUUGCAAUCAAAUCUUCUAUAAAUUCAAAUAAAAAUCCAAUUAAGUCCAUAAAAAUCCAAUUAAGUCCAUAAAAAUCCAAUUAAGUCCAUAAAAAUCCAAAUUUGGGCUUUUCUCCUCAAAAUUCAAAUUUUCCUUCUCAAUAGGGCUUUCAUCCUUCAAGAAUAUACUGUCAAAAAUUCAAUCCUUGUAUUUUUAAAUUCCUUGACCAAUUUUCUGACUGUUUUCCGAGCGCUUCUGCCUCCUGUUAUUUUUCUAACCUCUUUUGGCUAUUUAUUUUAUUUUUCAUUGGGACCCAAAACUGGGUUACAACAAAUUGCAUGAUCACAAUGGUAUCCCUGACCUAUCUCGUGGUGGAUAAUUUGUUGCAAUGUCCUGAUCUCCAUCAAAAUCCUUUUUGUUUUGAAAAGGAUUACACACACACACUCAAAGAUCACUUAAUAUCAUUAUAUUAGUUUUCAAGUUUUGAGAUAUAAGUUCAUAACUCUUAAAGACAAGAAAUAUACCACAAGAUUUAAAACUAUUUCAUAUUUCAUUAAAAUAAAUAAAUAAAUUACUUAUGUGGUUACAAUAUUUUUUUCUUAAGAAAAUAAAUUGAUUUCUUGAGUUAAUAACAUUUAAGGAUUUCUUCAAUCAAAUAAUCAAAUUUAUUUUUAAUAAACCUAUUGUUGAAUUAUGAAAUUGAAAAAAAAAAUCAAUCUAAAAGAAAACACAAAAAAUGACCUUACGAAACAAAAUUAUGAAUUUAAAUAAAAUUAUGAAAAUUUCAUCGGCAAUCUCACAAAGUCUUUCUAAACUCUAUUGUUUAAAAAUUUUAACUUGCGAUAUAAAUAUAUUUUAGGAGAUUUCUCAUAAAGUUUUAGUCUAAUCCAACAGUUGAAUUGAGAGAUAUAAUUAAUACCGUAAAACUAGACUAUAUAUAUAUAUAUAUAUUUUUUUUUUUUUUUAUAAAAGCAAAAGAAAACAUUAUUUGAUCAUAAUCGAAUGGCUGGAAUAGAACCAAAAUAUUCUGACCAGGUUUAGGUGAAAUUCAUGAAAUGAGAUAAGAUUAUAAAUGAGAUGAAAUAUCUUCCAAUUUAUUCAAUUGUUUAAAUUGAAAUAAAAUAUACCUGCCAUUCUAGAUGUGACAUAAUGAAAUUAAAAACCAUGGUUUUUUAGAGCCCCAAGCGUACGGCCCCAUCUCGUGGGAAAAAUUGCAUGAUGACAAUCGUAUCACUGACCCAUCUCGUGGUGGAUAAUUUGUUGCAAUGUCUUGAUCGUCAUCAAAAUCCUUUGUGUUUUGAAAAGGAUCACACACACACACACACUUAAUGAUCACUUAAUAUCUUUAUAUUAGUUUUCAUGUUUUGAGAUAUAAGUUCAUAGCUCUUAAUAUCUUUAAUCCUUAGUGGUUGCAUUUUAACACUUGAGAUUAAAUUUUUAUGCAUAAGCAUUUUUUUUUUUUGCAAACUAAAUUGAAAUUAAAGCAUAUUAAUUAUCAACUCCCAAGCUUACUGGGCAAUGGUCUCAUGGACCCAUCUCGUAGAAAAAACGCUUGAUAGCAAUGGUCUCAUGGACCAUCCCUUCGGCCUAUAUCAUGGAAAAAAUGCAAAUGACAAUACAUAGUCUCACAGACCCAUUUCGUACUGCAAAUUCCUAUCCAUCUUACUUGUUGAUUGUGUUACAUAAAAAUAGAUUGAUAAGUACUUUAGAAAGAAAAAGAAGAAGACUUGUUGUCACGAAAAUGACAAGAAGUAUUUUAAAAAUAAUAUCAUUUGUGGUUUAUUUUAUCAAUGAUGCUCUUUGAUUUUGUCAUCAUUGUCGCACGUUAGAAAAUCUGCGCGGCAUCGGCUGAUGAUUUUUCUCGUUUAUGUGGUUGCUUUGAUUGGUUCGUUGGAGUCGCCACCUAGUAAUUUAUUAAAGGCUACUAGGAAACCGGAUAUACUGGUCUUAUCAGAGAUUCCCGGGUAAGGGACUGGUUGUUGUUAGGGAAGGUAUUAGCACCCCUAACGCACCCUACCUAAGGCAAGCUGCUUCGCGGAUUUGAUGUGUUAAAGAAGUUUUAAUAAUUGUCUUUUCAUCGGAUAUUAGAAAUAUAACUUACGUAUAAGUUAAUAAUUCUUGACCGUGAUCCAAUCAAAAUAUUAAAUUCUUCUUUAAUCCUUGCAAUUUUAUCAUAAGAAAAUAUAUAUAAAAAUAAAACAAAUACAAACUCACACAUUCACUUUUACUAUAUUUUUUCUUUUCUUUUCUUUUCCUUUUUUUUGUUACAUCCACAUUUACAGCAUACAAAUAAAAAUUCAAUACUAAACAAAAACAAAUACAACAAGCAAUUUAAAAUUACAAAACAGCCCCUAAAACAUCCUAGGGCUUCUAGAACAGUGCACGGGAACAGUGGUGCACGUCUGCCCACACGCCCUAUCACUGGCGGGGCGUGGAUUCACUCGCCGCCGAAAAAAAAUAGGCAGCAGGGUGGGUCUGGCUCAGUUUCAUCUCCUCUUCCCUUCCCUGUCGGCGGUGAGGGUCUUCAUCACCUGCAAAAGAGUAAUACACCCAAACCAGUUGAUUUUAAUCUUUGUUUAGAUCUGUUUCGCUUCUGUUCUCUUUUCCCUUUUUUAGAUCUAUUGUUUUUUGUCUUCUUUCUUCUUCGUGGCGUCCGUUCUUUCCUUCUUCAAUCGGUGGCAGGUCUGGCGGUUGGGCGGUGACGACGCUGGAGGAAGACGGCUAACAGAUCUAGGUCUGUUAGCGUCGUAUGUCUCAGCUUCUUCUUUGCUAGUUGCAGAUCGGGCGGCGCUGCUGGCUAAUGGUGGAUCUGUGACCGGGUGUGGACGAUGUUGCUGGCUAACGGUAUGGACGACGCUGUUUAGCCGAAGAAGGAGACCGUGGGUCUGAGGCGAUGGGGGAACGGCCUUGCCCAUUCUCUGGUCGGUGAGAUGAGGUUGUUCUGCUGUAUGGCUUGGUGGAGACCGGCGUUGAUGGAGAUCGAAGGGGGAAGAAGAUGCCGCUGAGGGGAAGUCUUUGGUGGUGACAGGGGGGGUUUCUUUCAGUUUGUGAAAUGAGGAGAUGAAGAGGCGGGGAAGAGGUGGGUUGGUGUUUUGUUUUGGCUUUGGCCAGGGAAGAGAGGCGGAUGUUUGGAAGGGGGAAGGCUUCUGCGGGGAAGGCAGGCUAUCGGUCAGCUGAGAAGGUCUGUGUGUGGGAGAAAAAAAAUUCAGCGUGGGGGGCCGGCGGCUCUCUUGUUAGAGAUAGGUUUAGGGUUAGGUUUCCCCUCUUUUGCAAGUGUUGGAAGCUACUAUUUAUAGACAAAUAUGUUGCUAGGUCUCCCAACUUGGUCCCUCAACUUCUUUUUUUUGUAAAUUUUGAUUUUUCUUAUUUUUUUGUAUUUUUUGAAAACGAGCAAUAUCAACGUCGACUGAAUGAGGAAAAUCAAUGAUUUUAAAAAUAAUGCGUGAAAAGUUACACGCGUUCGAAAGACCUUUGGAAAUUUAAAUGUUUUUAGAUGACGCUGAAAAUGCUAAAAACGACGCAAAUAUAUUUAAAAAGUAUUUUUUUUGGAUUUUUUAUGUUUUUCUCAAUGUUUUGAUUUUUCUAAAAAAUUAUCAAAACAUGGGUCAAAAAUUGGGUAGCAACAAUAACCAUCAAAAUUAAGGCAUCUUUUUUGAAGAUUUUAGGUGAAGAUGAUGAUUUUGAGUUAUGGUUUGUUUAAAUAAUGAAUUUGAGUUAGAAAUCUUGAUAUAUUAGUAGGUGAUUUGUGUGUAUGUUAAUUAAAGUGCAUAAAUUUAAUAUUGAAAUUUAAUUAAAGUCUCUCUUACAAUCCAAAAUUUAUUUUUAAUUAGAGUGCAUAAAAUAAACGCAGCAAAAGUUCUCCCUGUCUCUGUGUAUGUUAGACGGAGUUUGCAUUAGAUAAUCAAUAAUAUUGUAUAUAUGUUUUUUGGAGAAAGUAACUCAUUAAUUUCCACUUUGUUUUUAGAACAAGAAAAAUUUUACUGAGUCUUAUUUAAAUAUGUAUUUGAUAUUAUAGUAGUUUAUAUGAUUGUAAUUUGAAAAAAUAAAUUUAAAAAAGCUAUAAGUUGUAGCUUUUUCUUAACUAAUAUUUCAAGAUAGAGUUUGUUGUAGGACCCAUACAAAGUCAUGAUAUACGUUAAUCAACCAAAAAUUUAACAUGUAUGAUUAGAACAAAAUGCAUAAGACAUCAUACUAUAGAAACUAAUAAAGAAUGAUCUAGAUCUAACAAAAUAAUUUUUUAUAAGUAUUUUAAAAAAUUAAAUCUACUCGAGUGAGAUACCAAGUGGUUUCCAAACCAAUGCAAUUUUAUAACCAUGGUAAAAACCUGAAAAGAAGUGAAAGAAAAUAAAGAAAAAAUUUCAUCAAGCAUUUGAGUUUUUUACUUUGGUUUUAUGUUUUAGAAAAUGAAGCUUUUUAGCCAAUGAAAAUUUUUAAUUUGAACAAAAUAAUUAAAAUACCUUCCUAAUAUGUCAAAAACUCACAAACAACAGAUCGCACGAGUUCUCUUUUCCCUUCUUUCCAUUCCCUCCUCUCUCUUCAUCCUUUUUUUGUUUCAACCCUAUAUCAAUUCAAUUGAAGCUUAUGAAGAACUCCUAAAUUGUUAGUGAGUUAUUCUAUUCACCCCCCAAUUGUUAGUGAAGUAUCUUUUUUUUGUUUCUUGUGAAUGUCUUCGUCGUGGUCCAGCAAUUUUAAUAGAAGAAUUACUGACGCCUUUUAUAAGCAUCCAUUUUCCUUCUUGUAGUUUUCUAUUCAUUUUCACACCCCAGUUGCCACCCUGCUUUUCUUUCCAUUCACGCACACAGAUAGUGCAAAAAAGCACUGCGACAAUAGUUGACUCCCAGUCAAUACGGUCAAGAUAAGGUAAUUGGCUGUUGUGUGAUUUUUAUAUGGUUUGUGUGUUUUAGAUGGGUGUGGAGAAUUUUAAUUUUAGCAUUUUUUUAGAUAAGAUAAUUGGUUGUGUUUAAAAAUUAAAAUGCCACACACCAGAAAAGUCAAUUAGUUAUGAUUUGUGGAAGAUAUGAUACAAGAGAUAAGAAAAUGAUGGUGAUGAAGUUUUUGUAUAUAAUAAUGAAGCCCACAAUCCACAUGGAUAAGAUUUAUAAUUAUUCUUUGUUUAUUAUUAUUGAUAAUUUAUGUAUUUAAUUAUAUAUGUUAUAGUGAUGACACCAUACAAGUAGGGUCCUAAAUAAUUCUCAAUUAUGACUAGAGAAGUCUAAUUAUUAAAUCCAAAAGAUCUUACGCGGAAUCACACACAUGAAUAUCGAUAACAAUGUUGAAGUAUUGCAACAAUUUUUUUAUUUUAAUUUUUUAUAAAUUGGAUAAUUAGUAACCAAAAUAUAAUUAAAUGGAAAUAGACUAAGUGCUAAACAAUAAAAUAAAAUAAUAUUCAAAUCCAAGAAUAUUCCAAAAAAAAUGAAAUAAUAUUCAAAUCUCUAACAUAGAACUUGCAUAAGAUAUGCAGAUAAAAUCAUGGAAAUGGCCAAAAUUGUAGUAUAAAUAGGAUCUCUAUGGUUACAUAACAAACAACAAUAUUCUACGUAGAUGAUGAUGAAAAGAAUAGGGGCUUGUAUAGUGUUGACUCAACCAAGUGAGAGCUGACUCAAUAAAACCUAAUCAACUUGAUAAAUUAACUCACAAUUUAGUUAAUUUAAUCAAAAACUAAAUUUAUUUUAUUUUAACUACGUGAUUUUGAUUUUUUCUAAAUAAAACUCUUAAAAUGAUACAAUUUUUUUAUUAAUAUCAUUCAAUAAGUUAACUUGUUUGAUCUAUAACCCAAGUCUUGAUCCGAGUAUUAAGUCAAUCUAUGACCUAAACCCUCGAAUUAAAUCUAACCAUGUUUAAUAACUUUGGUUUCUUAAGAAAAAUAUCAAAUAUAAUUAAACAUCUAAUUACAUCCAAAUUGAACAUUCACAAAUUGAUAUAAUAGUUAUUAAUAUUUAUUUUUAAUAUAUAUAAAAUGAAAGAUUUUAAUAAUUGAUUAAUAUUUUAAACCACAUAUGUUUUUAUAGUUUUUUUUUUAAUUUUAUUUUUUAAUACUGAGUUUGUUUAUCUCGAUCUCAUGAUUCAGGUCGUAGACUUGACGAGUUAACUUAAGUUUUUUUUUUAAUAUAUAUAUAUAUAUAUAUAUAUAUAUAUAUAUAUAUAUAUAUAUAUAACAUGUCCUAUAUAUACCUCUGUUUUUCUUUUAUGCUAGAUAAUCUCUAAUUUUAGCUGUAGCACCUUUCUAUAAUAAUACUUGAUUAUUAUAAAAAAGAAGAAGAAGCAUAAGCAAAAACAACUUAGUGGAUUGACUAUUAUGGGUAAUGAGUUAUUUAUUUGAUUUUUAAUGAUUUUAGGUAAAGAUUAUGAUUUUAAGUUAUGAUUUGUUUAAAUGAUGAAUUUGAGUUAGAAAUCUUGAUAUAUCAGUAGGUGAUCCGUGAAAAAUCUGGGUUUGAGGAUGAAGAUGAUAAAAUUUUAGUUUGAUCCCUCAAUUUGUGAAAAUUUAAGUUAAUCCCCAAACUUUAGAAACAUUAUAGAUUGGUCCUUGUAACAUAAUCCUAGAUUCUGAACUGAGCUAAAGAUGAAUUAUGAGCAACAUUCCAAUAUAGUUAUGAAUUUAUGAUAUUUUUAUUUUGGUCCUUUAAUUUGAUAAAAUUUCAAUUUGACCUUUAAAAUUCUGCUAAAAUUUUAGAUUGAUCCCUGGAUCAUAAUCCGAGAUUCUGGACAGAAUUAAAGAAGAAUUAUGGGCAAAAUUUCAGUAUAGUUAUGAAUAUAACAUUUUCAUUUUGGUCCUUCGUUAAUUUAAUGGCAUUGCAAAGGCUUGAGAAUUCACAUAUCUCCUGAUGGAAGAGGUCCUUGCUGCUAAGACAUUGUCUUUUAACUCUAAACAUUAUUUUUCUGGUGUUGGAAUUUGCUUCGCAUAACGGAUCGUUUGUAGAAAAAAGAACAACAUUCACAAUCUAUGAAGAUAAGUAUCGUAUCAUCCUCGGAUUUCAUAAGCUGACUAGCAUUUCUAUCCUGCGUGGCAUGUGUCCGGCGUUGUACCAACAUCUUUGAUUUCAGGAAACCGGACCUCAUCUGGGACAGAAUCUGCAAUUAAAUUAGCACUUUAAGAUCAAACCAAGAUAAAGGUUUCUUGAAAAGAUCAUAUCCAUUAGAUAAUAUAAAUGGAGAAGUUAGUGACGUACCACUGAUACAGUGAAUGCAGUGCACAGCUUUCCUGAUUCUCCUUGUGAGUUACCAUUAAUGGAAGCUCACACACACUAUACCAGUCCCAUGCUUGACAAUAAAUGCCAUAGCUUCUGGUGUUGCCUUUGACGCUGCCAUUAUAAGGCCCCCUCAUUUUCUCUUAAUUUCUUCAUCAUCAACAACAAUUACUAACUGCAGAGAAUCAUCACACAUUCGUAACAUAAAGCCUUUGAAGUAAUGAUGUAAGGCCUAAGCAUACUAGCUAGACCCAGAAAAUUAAAUAAUAAAUCAAGAGGGUGAGCCUUUCCUUGACGAAUAUCCUCAAUGGCCUCUGGGAUCGAAGCAAAUCCUGUGGCCACAAUUUAUUGUUAGCACGUGUUUGCAAUUUGCAACAUAUAUUUUGAUGAGCUACUUGUAGAGUAAGGCGCUGUUUUUGUUUCUAGCUUUAGGUGAUUGCACCAAACAUAGACUGAACAAAAGGGACAUACAGUGGUGGAAAAAUGCAUGAUGGUUGGAAGAGGACGUCUCAUGGCCUCUCCUCGAGGAAAAAUGCAUGAUGACAACGGUCUCAAGGAUAAAUGUGCAGGUGGAAAUGGUAUCACGAACUCAUAAAUGCAUGAUGAAAAUGGUCUCGAGGAAAAGCAACAUUAUUGGGGACCAAAGUGCAGAUGACAAUGGUCUCAUGGACUCAUAAAUGCAUUAUGGUGAUUGUCUGUAGAACCCAUCUUGAGGAAAAAAAAUGCAUGAUGGCAAUAUACCACAAGCUUUAAAACUAUAUUAUAUUUCACUAAAAUGAAUAAAUAAAUUACAUAUAUAUGGUUACAAUAUUUUUUUCUAGCUUUAGGUGAUUGCACCAAACAUAGACUGAACAAAAGGGACAUACAGUGGUGGAUAAAUUGGUUCCAGUUCCUUUUGAUACAUUUAACCAGUUUUGUAUUCUUGCUCACUUUUCAAUUUGAAUUUACUAAUUAUUUUUUUCCUCCAACUUCCCAUAUCUUUUUGUUGGAAGCGUCAUUUGUAUAGCAUCCUUUUUAGACAAGUAACUCAUUAGAUAAUCAAUAAAAUUUAUUUUUAAUUCAUUUACUACUAGUUUACACUUCAAUCAAAAACUAAAUUUACUUUUACAACUAUUUUAAUUUUUUAAAAAUAUUUUUAUAUUGUUUAAUGCAUUAAUUUCAAGAAAUAAAUUCCUUUUAUCUUAAAAUCUGGAAUUGAAAAACCAGAUGUAUUUUAUAAUUCAGGAGAAAACUAGAAAAAAUGAUUAGUCUUCUCAUUCUAAUAAUAUAAAUGAUAUAUCUUUAACUCGAUUGAAAAAAUAUAUAUUUAAUAUUGAAAUGUAAUAAAAACAAGUCAAGAAUACCUUUCCUAACAUAAAAAUAAAAGAGUGUGUGUUUGUAUGUUAUGUAUUUGAAGUUUUUGUAUAUAAUACUAUAGCUACACAAUCCACAGGGAUAAGAUUUAUAAUUAUUCCGUAUUUAUUAUUAUUGAUAAUUUAUGUAUUUAAUUAUAUAUAUGAUAGUGAGAUGACACCAUGCAAGUAGGCUCCUAAAUGAUUCUAAAUUAUGACGAGAGAAGUAUAAUUAUAAAGUUAAAAAAUCUUAAUGUAACAUUGUUGAAGUAUUACAGAGAUUUUUUUUUUAUUUUAUUUAUAUAAAUUGGAUAAUUAAUAACCAAAAUAUAAUUUAAUGUAACUAGACUAAGUGCUAAACAAUAAAUUAAAAUAAUAUUCAAAUCCUAGAAUAUUCCAAAAAGAAAUAAAAUGAUAUUCAAAUCUCAAAACAUGAAACCCUAAAUUAUGAUGAGAGAAGUACAAUUAUAAAGUGAAAAAGAUCUUACGCGGAAUCACACAUGAAUGUCGAUAACAAAGCUGAAGCACUACAAUAAAAUUAUUUUAUUUUAUUUUAUUUAUAUAAAUUGGAUAAUUAAUAACCAAAAUAUAAUUUAAUGUAAAUAGACUAAGUGCUAAACAAUAAAUUAAAAUAAUAUUCAAAUCCUAGAAUAUUCCAAAAAAAAAAUAUUCAAAUCUCAAAACAUGUAACCCUAAAUUAUUACGAGAGAAGUAUAAUUAUAAAGUCAUGAAAACAAUCUUACGAAUGUCUACAAUAUAUAUAUAUAUCGGAUAAUUAGUAACCAAAAUAUAAUUGAAUACAAAUAAACUAAGGCGGAACUGAACAAUAAAAUAAAGGCCGAGCUGUACAAGAUAAUAUUCAAAUCUAUAUUAUUGACAAACACACCAUAAAGGCCGAAGUGUCAGACUUUGGCACUUCUAGGUUAAUUCCGUUGGAUCAUGUUGAAUUGUCAACAAUGGUGCGAGGUACUCUAGGAUACUUAGACCUGAGUACUUGCACACAAGCCAACUGACGGACAAAAGUGAUGUUUACAGUUUUGGAGUGGUUCUUGUGGAACUACUAACUGGGAUGAAGGCUAUUUCCUUCGAUAAGCUCGAGGGCCUUUAAGUGCUAAACAAUAAAAUAAAAUAAUAUUCAAAUCCAAGAAUAUUCCAAAAAAAAUAUAUUCAAAUCCAAGAAUAUUAAAAAAAAAUAAUAAUAAUAUUCAAAUCUUCAAACAUGGAACCUGCACAAGAUAUGCAGAUAAAGUCAAGGAAAUUAAAUGGCCAAAGUGUAGUAUAAAUAGGACCUCUAUGGUUGCCCAAAGGCACAUAAUAAACAACAAUAUUCUAUGUAGUAGUAAUUCAUAGAAUUAUCUAAGAUGAUGAUGAAAAGAAUUGGGGCUUGGAUGUUUUCUUUCACUCAUAUAACUAUCUAAUUUAAUUCAUCAAUUCAAAUGAAUUAAAAAAUAAAGAUAUAUAUUCAAUUAAUUUCACCUUCUUCCUAAUAAAGAAAAAGGGAAUAGGGAAAAAAUUAUGUUUCAACGCAUCGCACCUAGAGAUAUGGAUAAUACACAGAGAGUUUAUGGUAUUUUAUAACUAAUCAAUUGAGCGGCAGCUCGUAAACCACCUAAAAAGGAAUAUUUAUUAUUUGUUUAUACAUAGGAAAAACUUGUUCUCUCUGGUUUUUAAUAUCAUAAACGGUGCAUUAAUCCAGUUUUUAUAGAAAUAGCUAUGAUGAAAAUAGUAAAGAAUAUGUGGACUAUCUGUCAAUAAUGCCCAGGGAUGAUUUCGGGAAUUAUUAUAAAUUAUAUAAAAGGAAUUGUUAUCUGGAUUAUAUAUAUAUAUAUAUAUAUGAAUGAAAAGGUAAUUAAGACUAGUUUAACUGUUGGAGGGAUUUUAAUGGGUUCUAUGCUUGCGAAAAGGUUUUUGAGCUAAGAUUUCAGGCCUCCGAUGUUUAAGUAAAGAAAGUAAGUAAAUAUUCAAACACCCUAUUAUUUUUAAAUAGAAUAGAUAUUUUUCUAAAUUGUGCAUUUUUCAUCUACUAAAUGUAUUACAUUAUAUAUAUAUAUAUAUAUAUAUAUAUAUAUAUAUAUAUAUAUAGAUAAAGAUCAAGCAAUGGCUAUGUUUAGAUUGAUUUGCUUAUAUGCGAUAUUUGUGAACGCAUGAUAUAGAAUUUUUGUAAGAAUGUUUUAUAAACUGAUUUAUGAAAAAAACGAAAGAUGCGUCUUUAAUGUCUCCAUUCUGCACAUGUAAAUCGUUACGUUUCAUUCUUAAUGACGAGCAAGAACCCUGAGCUCACAAACCACACCGAUAUCAGAAAUGCGAGGAAUCAUUAGCAAAAGUAAAAACAAAUAAUUAUUGACAUAAGCAGCAAGUGUCGGUCAAGUAAUAUACAUAGACAUCUGUUUUUACUUCCUCCAGAGGUACAGAGUAUAGGAGUUUACUUGGCCACCCUUCUGUCUAAAAAUUCUAGCUAAGGGCUUCAUGGUUAAUUUUCUUGAACUUGAAGAACCCUUCACUUAUGGCUAUGCUCCAAGAUAUAUAAGUGAAUUAGUUGCAAAACAGGGGAGUACCUGUGUAAACAUUACAAUAGCAUUUACUCUGAGUAAGAACACCUCUAUGCAUGUGCUGUAAUUGACAAUAUUCAUGUUUGAAAACAUUUGAACGGGAAUAAAGAAAAUAAUUCAUCAAACAGUAUGCUUAAGGAAAUCAGCAGGAAAUUACUGCAUGGUUGUGUUUAAAAAUCAAAAUGGUACACAGCAAGUCAAGCAUGCGCGUUAUAUAUAUAUAUAUAUAUAUAUAUUUGGCCAGUAGUGCUACAAAGAAGAGAGAGUGGUACAUCCACUUUCUCAUCAAUUACUUGAGAUUUGUGGAAGAUAAGAAAAUGAUUGCUAUUAUCGACAAUUUCUCUGUUUAUAUAUAUAUAUAUAUUUGGUGGAGUUUCAUCAAUCCUUUCCAUUAGAUAUUCAAUAAUUUAUAUAUUCUUUUUGGAGAAGUAACUCAUUUUCACACCCCAGUUUCAUGAAAACGAAGACCACUCAUCAUGGUGUGGAACUAACUAAUUUACUGUUCGCGUUAUGGGGUCACUCAUUACUAUCAGAAGAAAUUAAACCAUUUUGGUGUCCAUUGUUUUGAUGCACUGAAUACCAUCUGGACCUGUUAACUGCCAAGAACAUCUAUUUUCCUGGCAAUCAAUUUGAAGAUGAAAACUCGAAUGCACAACUGUAACUGAGACUAGUUUUUCAAGAGACCUGCAAUUGAUUUAAAAUUCUUUCUUUCAAGGGCUCACAAGAUUCUGCAUGCAAAUGGAAUGGACUAGUUCCGAGUUGUUGAAGUUGUUUUCUUGACCUUGAUUGUGAAUUGUUCUCCGGCAGCUUGAUCCUUCUCUCUAUCCAAGGCAAUUUCUAUAACGUCGCCGGCCUUGAGGUCCUUUGAACGAACAAAUAAAAACCAAUCCCCAUAAAGGGCUGGUGAACCACCUACUGGUGGGGCUCUACAACGAAAUGUCCACACUUGACCAUCCUCGUCUUUAAACUUCAAAUAUGCUUCAUGGCCUCUCGGGAAAUCGUUUAUACAAUUUUCUGAUAGCAGUAGCCUUCUCUGAACAUCAAUAUUGUUGAGUUUCUUCGUGAAAUUUUUUUCCAUUGCUUAUUUCGGAGAAGUAGAAGAGCAAUUGAUGAGGCAACUUGCCUUUUUCAAUCUUCAACUCAUCUGACAGCUCUUCCGUGGUGACAUUGGAUCUCACAUACAACAACUUCAUGGGCUCAAUUUCAAAUUGUAUUGGCAAUCGAUCUUUGAGACUGAGUGUUCUUUAGAAACCUAAUCAUUUUGAUGGUGAGUUUCCUACUCAGAUAUGCUUGUUAGAAGAUUUAAGCAUUUUGGAUGUUUCAUAAAAUAAACUCUCUGGUCAUCUACCAUCCUGUCUAUCCUGUCUAGGAAAUUAUUCUCUCUCAAGGGAGAUUCAGAGAGCGUAGUAGGUGCUCAUGAAUCAAUCAUUCCAUACAAGUCCAUGGAGAAGCUGUACUCUGAAACAAUGGGACGACCACUAGCUAGAAGAGCAAUAGAAUUUACAUCUAAAAGAAUGUCUUAUCACUACCAGAAUUUCUGUGUUUAAAAAUCAAAAUGGCACGCAGCAAGUCAAGCAUCCGCGUUCACGACCUUUCUUGGCCAGUAGUGCUAUAAAGAAGAGAGAGUGGUAUAUCCACUUUCUCAUCAAUUACUUGAGAUUUGUGGAAGAUAUGAUACAAGAGAUAAGAAAAUGAUUGCUAUCAUCGACAAUUUCUCUGUUAUAUAUAUAUAUAUUAGGCGUAGUUUCAUGAAUCAUUUCCAUUAGAUAAUCAAUAAUAUUGUAUAUAUUCCUUUUGGAGAAGUAACUCAUUUUCACACCCUUGUUGUAGUUUUCCAUUCAUUUUCACACCCCAGUUGCCACCCUGCUUUUCUUUCCGUUCACGCACAAAGAUAGUGCAUAAAAGCACUACGACAAUAGCUGACGCAAAUUGUUUGUUGAGGUUGCAUUCCAACAAAACUAAUUUGAAUAUUUUUCCCAACCUGGCAAAUAGACUAAGUUCUCAACAAUAAAAUAAAAUAAUAUUCAAAUCCCAAAACAUGGAACUUGCACAAGUAUAAAUAGGACCUCUAUGGUUGCCCAAAGGCACAUAACAUGUAAAUCGAAUGAGAAGAGAUUGAAUCUGUAAAGUUAUAUUUUAUUGAACCUUGGAGAGAAAUAUAUACAGAUGAUUACAUGCUUAUCUCUUCCUAUAAUAAAGCUAUUCAAUGCUACAAUAAUGCAGAAUUCUAAGGGAUUUGAUUUACAUUCAAUGAAUCAUAAAAGGAAACAAAUACAUGAACAAUAACUGUUAAACAUAUUGCAGCAGAUUAACCUUCCAACACUCCCCCUCAAGUUGGAGAGUGGAUGUCUUGCAAUCCCAACUUGCGGACCAUAGGAAUGAAGAAUUCCUUUCCCAAUGGCUUAGUCAAAAUGUCGGCUAGCUGAUUUUCAGAACUCACAAAUCUUGUUUCUACAGAACCAUCUUGAAUCUUAUCCCUUAUAAAAUGACAAUCCAUUUCUAUAUGUCUCGUCCGUUCAUGAAAAAUAGGAUUCGCUGCAAUGUGUAUCGCGGCCUUAUUAUCACAAUACAAUAAUGCUGAUUGUUGAUGCAACACACCCAAAUCUUUAAGUAAGCAACGAAGCCACGUUAAUUCGCAACAAGCUCCUGUCAUAGCACGAUAUUCUGCUUCAGCCGAAGAUAGAGACACUGUCUUUUGUCGUUUUGAUCGCCAUGAAAUCAGUGAGGGACCUAGGAAUACGCAGUAUCCUGUGGUCGAUCUUCUCGUAAGUGGGCAUCCUGCCCAAUCAGAAUCAGAGUAAGCUCGCAGUCUGAGAUCACUGGUUGCGGAGAAGAAGAGGCCUUGACCAGGCGCAGAUUUCAGAUAUCUCACCACCCGUAAAGCUGCUUCCCAAUGAUCCUUUCGGGGUUGGUGCAUAAACCUGCUUAAUAUGUGAACAGAAUAUGUAAUAUCUGGCCUUGAAACCGUGAGGUAUAUCAACCUCCCAACCAAUCGCCUAUAUCGCUCUGGAUUUUUGAGUAACUCACUUUUGUCAGACAAUUUUAGGCUGCGUUCCAUAGGAGUAUUGAUGGGAGCUGCUCCCAGCAAACCUGCAUCCUUAAUAAUUUCCAAUGCGUAUUUUCGUUGAGAGAUAAAAGUACCAGCUUUGGAUGUGGAAAUCUCAAUACCAAGGAAAUAUCUCAGUUUACCAAGAUCUUUAAGAUGAAAUUUUCUAUGCAGGAAUUUCUUGAUAUCAGCUAUGCUCACGGGAUCAUUACCAGUAAUUAAGAUAUCGUCUACAUAUAUCAAAAGAACAGUAAAUGACUUGCCUUGCUUUCUGAUGAAGAGAGAAUAAUCGGCUUUUGACUGUUCAUAACCAGCUGAUUGUAUGGCCUCGGAGAAUUUGGCAAACCAUUGCCGUGAUGCCUGCUUCAACCCAUACAAUGAUUUGUGUAGACGGCAGAAUAAGUGUUCCUCCCCCUGUCUCCGAAGCCCAGGCGGUGGAGACAUGUAAAUUUCUUCGUGAAGAUCACCGUGGAGGAAUGCAUUAUUGACGUCAAGUUGAUGAAGAUUCCAUCCACGGGCAGCAGCCAGAGCUAAUAGACACCGAACUGAGAUGAUCUUGGCUGUUGGGGAGAAAGUAUCCUGAUAAUCAAUGCCAGCCAAUUGUGUGAAACCCUUCGCCACAAGCCGUGCCUUGAACCGUUCAAUUGACCCGUCUGAGUUAUGCUUGACCUUGAAAACCCAACGGCAACCAAUCGGGGUCUUACCAACUGGGAGAGGGGUGAGUGACCAAGUGCCAUUGGCUUGAAGGGCUUGUAGUUCGGUCUGCAUGGCUUGUUGCCAUUCGGGAUGAACAGCGGCCUCAGAGUAUGAUUUUGGUUCCGUGACAGUUUCAAUUUUAGCCACAAAAGAGUGAUAAGCAGGGUUAUAUCUGUGGUAUGAAACGAAAUUGGACAGUGGGUAUCGUGUACCUUUGAUCGGAGCUGGAACGAGGGAGGUCGAUUGAUCGGAGUAAGCAGCGGAGCAGAAGUAAUCGGCGAGUUUAAUUGGAGGAACAAUUUGGCGGCUGGAGCGACGUGGGGCUGCUGGAGGUGAAGUUGUAGGUACUGGAGAGGUGUGGGUUGGGUCAGGUUCAGGCGAGAUGAGGGAUCGGAGGGUAUUGGUUCAAGCGGUGGAGACGAAGAUUGUGGAAUUGGAUUUGGGGAAGUUUGUGUGGAUGACAGGUCGUUGGCUGGAGAGGGCGUGGACUCGGUUUGGAUAAGUGGAGAGGGGCUGGGCUGAAGGUGAUGAUGUAAUGGAUCGGGAGGUGAGGCUGAGUUGAGGGGAACUGGGCUGGGCCGAAGGUGAUUUUGUAAGGGAUCGGGAGUUUGAGCUGAGGUGAGGGUUUCUGGGCUGGGCCGAAAUUGAGGCUCAAAGGGAUCAUGGGCGGGGCUGGAAGCGGGAGGGGUCCAGAUUUGUGGGUUGAUGAGUUUUGGGCAGAAUAAUGGGGCACAUGGGAAGGGUUGACCGUGGCAUAUGGAAAAAUAUUUUCAUGAAAUUUUACAUCCCGGCUAGUAAAGACCUUUUUUGUUGAUAAAUCAAAUAACUUGUAUGCCUUUUGACCGAUUGGAUAUCCAAUGAAAAUAGAAGGAAUGGCGCGUCGGUCAAAUUUAUGAGAAGUGUGAACAUUAGUGGCAUAAGUGAGACAACCAAAAACGCGAAGAUGAGAGUAUGAGGGUGGUUUGGAAUAGAGAAGUUCAAAAGGUGUUUUGAAAGAGAUAACCGGUGAAGGUAGCCGAUUAAUUAUAUGGACAGCCGUGAGGGCACAUUCUCCCCAAAAUUGUGAAGGGAGUUGAGCAUGGAAUUUUAAAGCACGGGCAACUUGUAAGAUGUGUCGGUGUUUGCGUUCCACUACCCAUUUUGUUGAGGAGUGUAAACACAAGAAGUUUGAAAAAUGACACCUUUAUCUUGAAAAAAAGAUCGAAGUGAGAUAAAUUCUCCACCAUUGUCACUUCGAAAAAUUUUAAUGCGAGAUUCAAAUUGAGUGAAAAUAUAACUGAAGAAAUGUUGUAAAAUUGAUUGUGCUUCAGUUUUGUGACGCAUUAAAAAUAUCCACGUAAAACGUGUAUAAUCAUCAACAAUGGUGAGAAAAUAAUUAGCGCCAGAAAUAGAUGAAUGUCGAUAACGACCCCAAAUGUCACAAUGUAUAAUAUCAAAAGGCUUGGUAGAUGAAAUAGUACUAGUACCAAAAGAUAGACGACUUUGCUUAGCCAAAGGACAUAUGUGGCAAGCAUUUUUUGACUCAACGGAAAAAUUCAAAAAAAAUUUAGCGAGAAAACUUAAACGGGAAGGUGAGACAUGUCCUAGACGAUUAUGCCACAGGUCGGUAGAGGAGAGGGUAAGGUAGCAUGCAGGAUGAUUUGUGGUUGAGGAAGGUUUGGUGAGGUUUUUUUCUGUCGCUAGUGCCACCAAAUAGUAUAGUUCGUUAUGUUGUUUACCCAAACCAAUCGUCCUCCUCGUAGCCAGAUCCUGCAAAAUACACCAAUAAGGGAGAAAAGUCACUGAACAGUUCAAACUCCUUGUCAAACGACUGACUGACAUCAAGUCGACUUUGAAUGUAGGCACAGAUAAAACAUCAUGCAGAUAAUAGACUGAAUUUAAGGGUAAAGACCCUUUCGCAAUAAUAUCUGCCUUGUCUCCACUAGGUAACAGUACAGGUGGUAGUGAGCAAUCCUUAUUUUCAUUCAACAAUUCAGAUGAAGAUGUGAUAUGGUCAGUAGCCCCACUGUCAAUAAUCCAGUUAUGGUUAUCAAGUUCAGACAAACCUGGCUUUGUUACUGCAUUGGCUUUUGAGCUAGAACUGUCCUCAUGAUUAUUUAGGAGUGACAAAAGUUGCUUGAGUUGAGUUUCUGACAACGAAACCGUGGGCCUUACCUCAUCUUUGUGGGACAUUUCAGAUACCUGGUUAGCUAAGGGAAAACCAUUGUGCUGAUUUCCAAUUGAGUGCUGAUUUCCAAUCGGGCUUUGAUUUCCAAUCGGGUACCCAUUCAUCCUCGCUUUAGGGUGUCUCGGUGGAUACCCAUUUAACUGGAAACACUUUUGCACCCAAUGCCCCAUUUCUCCACAAUGGGUGCACUGGGGUCGUCCCCUUCCUGACCCAAAACGGCGCCGAUCCUGGUCAAAACGGCGUUCUCCUUGCGGUCGAGUAUCACGAGGCUGAGAGAGGCGAUUCACGGAGUGUUGUGGGCGAUCUGUCUCUGAGACAAAAUUUCUUUUUCCUUGAUUAUUAUAACGUACUGCCAUGGCAGCACUCCCACCCAUCUCCGUUUGUGCAACGCUGAGAAAUCGUUGCUUUUCUUCUUGACAUACCGAAGAAUAAGCUUGGCGAAUGGAUGGCAGAGGAUUCAUCAGCAAGAUUUGGCCUCGAAUUGCAGAGUAAGUGUCAUUUAAACCCAUUAAGAACUGCAUUAAUCUUUGUUGGUCUGCCUGCGUUCCAUGUGUUGUGUCUGUGUAUGAAGCCAAUUCAUCCCACAAACCUUUCAAUUUCGUGUAAUAUGAGGAGAUGGAGAGCUGCUCCUGUCGAAGAUAUGCAAUGUCCCUCUGAAUUUCAAAUAUGCAAGGCGCAUUGCUCUGUGAAAAACGUUCCUGUAAAUCUUCCCAGACUUCAUGUGCGGUGGGAUAAUAGAUUACACUAUCUGCAAUUUCCGGGUUCAAUGUAUUGAUGAUCCAGGAAUGGACCAUAUCAUUACAUCGUGACCAGGUAGCAUAGCCUUCAGGAUCAGUCUGUUCUGAAGGAAUUUCAAUUGAGCGAUUGAUAAAACCGAGUUUGUUCUUGGAGUUUAGGGCGAGAGUCAUAGCCCUUUUCCACCCAGAAUAAUUAUCUCCAUUCAGUGAUUUGGAGACAAGGAUGAGGCCUGGAUGAUCCGAGUGAUGGGUGAAAUAUGGGUUUGAGAAGUCAGAUUUGCAGAAGUUUGAUGCAAGGUCUGAUUUGGACGAAUCAGAUGGAGCAGCGAUGGUGCUGGGACUUGAUAGAUUGAUUUCUUCAUUGGCCAUGACAGUGAAGGCAAAAUUUCGUGAGAAUGUUUAUGAAGGAUUUUGAAUGCAGAAUUUUGAUUUUAGAAUUUCAAUUUACGUGUGCUCUGAUACCAUGUAAAUCGAAUGAGAAGAGAUUGAAUCUGUAAAGUUAUAUUUUAUUGAACCUUUGGAGAGAAAUAUAUACAGAUGAUUACAUGCUUAUCUCUUCCUAUAAUAAAGCUAUUCAAUGCUACAAUAAUGCAGAAUUCUAAGGGAUUUGAUUUACGUUCAAUGAAUCAUAAAAGGAAACAAAUACAUGAACAAUAACUGUUAAACAUAUUGCAGCAGAUUAACCUUCCAACAUAACAAACAACAAUAUUCUACGUAGUAGUUCAUAGAAUUAUCUAAGAUGAUGAUGAAAGGAAUGGGGGCUUGGAUGUUGCUAGCAUUGUUGACUUUGGUUGGCGAAUGGCAUGGUCGUUGUUAUGGAUGUUUGGAGGAAGAGAGGAUUGGUCUCUUGGAGAUCCAAUCUUUGAUCGACCCAAAUCACCUUUCCUUGGGAGAUUGGGUGGACAACAAUAGUAAUUGUUGUGAGUGGGAUGGGAUCGAGUGUGAUAACACUACAAGGCGAGUGAUCCAACUCUCUCUUAGAGAAGCAAGGGAUUUCAGCUUGGGCAAUUGGGUUCUCAACGCAUCUUUGUUUCUGCCUUUCAAAGAAUUGCAAAGUCUUGAUUUGGAAAGUAAUGGAUUGGUUGGUUGCAUGGAGAAUGAAGGUUAGUUCAAUGUUUCUGCACUUAAAUAUAAUCAUAAAAUAAAUGAAGGUUGGUUGGUGUUUAAUGUCAAUUAUCUUGCUUUGAUGAUUCUCUUCCAGGCUUGGAAGUCCUAUCAUCAAAACUGAGGGAACUUGACCUAUGGAAUAACCGAUUUAAUAAUGAUAAAAGCAUUUUGUCAUGUUUCAAUGGUAACCUUUCCACUCUCAAGUCUUUGGAUCUAUCAUUUAAUGAGUUGACAGCUGGAUCAGGUAGCUUCUAUGAUAACCUUUUAAUUAUUUAGCUUCGAAACCUUUUCUUUUCUCCUUCUCAUAUCAUUUUUUUUCCAUGCGUUUAUUUCCUUCCAAUAUGCUUUGAGAAACAUCAUGCAGGUUUCAAAGUCUUGUCAUCAAGGUUGAAAAAGCUGGAGAACCUUCAUCUAAGUGGAAUCAAUGCAACGAUAGCAUUUUUCCAUCUCUAACUGGAUUUUCAUCCCUCAAGUCUUUGGAUCUGUCAAACAAUCAGCUGACAGGAUCUGCUAGUAUCAUUAGUAAGUUAUAUAUAAUUUCUACCUAACUGCUUUACGUGACGUUCUUUUAUAUUUAUUUAAUAAUCAACGAUAGCAUUUCAUCAUGUUUGAUUGCGGUAGCUUUCAUCUUAUCCAUAAAUUGUUUUUCUAUUAAGACAGGAAGAGAUUAAAGUCAUGAGCUAGCUAGAUCAAAACUAGAUGAUUAAAAAUUACAAGUAUAGCAAUGGAUACUUGCAAUCGAUCUAUCUUCUUCCUUAAUCUAUGCACUGUAUAUUUUUUUAUGUAUAUCUUGUGUAGGUUUUCAACUCCAACCGAUGAGGCUGGGAAAGUUAGAGAACCUUGACCUGAGUGGCAAUCGAUUGAACAACAGCAUCUUAUCAAUUCUGAGUGGGCUUUCCACUCUCAAGUCUUUGGAUCUAUCAUUUAAUGAGUUUACAGCUGGAUUAGGAGGUAGCUUCUAUGGUAACCUUUUCAUUAUUUAGCUUCGAAACCUUUUCUUUUCUCCUUCUCAUAUCAUUUCUAUGCUUUUGAGAAACAUCAUGCAGGUUUCAAAGACUUGUCAUCAAGGUUGAAAAAGCUGGAGAACCUUGACAUGGGUUGGAAUCAAUGCAACGAUAGCAUUUUAUCACAUCUGCGUGGGUUUUCAUCUCUCAAGUCUUUAGGUCUUUCACACAAUCAGUUGACAGGAUCUACUAGUAUCAUUAGUAAGUUAUAUAUAAUUUCUACCUAACUGCUUUAUGUGACAUUCUUUUAUACGGUUUCUUAAUCAAGAAAAUUGAGGACUUUAUAUUUAUUUAAUAAUUAAUCAACGAUGGCAUUUCAUCAUGUUUGAUUGCGCUAGCUUUCAUCUAUGAAGAUUUAUAUCUAUGGAGCUUUGAUCUUAUCCAUAAAUUGUUUUUCUAACAAGACAGGAAGAGAUUGAAGUGAGCUAGCUGGAUCAAAACUAGGAUGAUAAAAAAUUACAUGUAUAGAUCAAUGGAUACUUGCAAUCUAUCUUCUUCCUUAAUCUAUGCACAGUAGCAUCUUAUCAUUUCUGAGUGGGCUUUCAUCCCUCAGGUCUUUGGAUCUAUCGUAAAAUAUGUUGACAGGAGCAGGUAGUUUCUACCUAAAUGCUUCACAUGACAUUCUCUUAAUUAUAUUGUUUCUUUAUCAAGAAAAAUAAGGACUUUAUAUCCAUGUAAAGAUCAAUUUUUUCACAACUUGAUUUCUAGGUCCAUAAUCGGCGCAAUGUAGGAGUGGUGUUUAAAUGACACUUUAUAUAUAUGUGAAGCUCCAUGACAAACAUAUUAAAAGAACAAUUAUUUAAAAAUACAAACAUUUAUAAUUUUAAAAAAUAUUAUAUUAUUAAAAUUAAUAAAUCCAAAUGAUUGUUCAAAACUUCUCAUUGAUAAUUAAAACAAGAACAAUAAUGAAUAACACUCAUAUUAUCAUGAAAAAUGAGGACUUUAUAUCUAUGUGAUGAUCAAUUUAAUGAUAGCAUUGUAUCAUGUUUGACCAUCUUUAACAACUUUAUAUCCUUAAAUUGUUUUUUUUUUCCAAUAAGAUCAAAAUUAGAAUGAUUAAAAAUAUUUCUUAAUCUUUGAAGUGUACACAACCUAUUAUUAUUUAAAUGCGUUCGUGAGCUCAUUAUAAUUAAAUAUAGCAUUUUAUCAUUCUUUUAUGUGUAAUUCGAGAAUCAUAUAUCAAUUGAACAACAACAUCUCAUCAAUUCUAAUUAUUUUUAGUUUCUAUCUAUUAUGCAUAUCGUGAUUAUGACUUACUCUUAGAAAGAACUCUCUUGCAGGUUUUGAGAUCAUAUCAUCACAUUUGUGGAAACUCGAGUCAUUAGAUUUGUCACAUAAUCAGCUGACAGGAUCUAUCACUAGUAAGUUACAUUCUCUUUAUCAAGAAAAUUGAGGAAUUUAUAUCUAUAUGCUUUCAUGUAUCAUUUUAAUAUCUAAGAUACUUUCAUCACUGUUUUGACUAUUUCGAGAUAAAUUGUAUAGGUUGGUGUGAAUUGAAGAAUCUAAAGCAGUUAGAUCUCUCUGGAAAUAAUUUUGAAGGUUUACUCCCAUAUUGUUUGGGAAACUUGUCAUCUCUACAACUAUUAGAUGUUUCUGAAAACCAGUUUACAGGAAAUAUUGCCUCUGGUCCUCUUACCAACCUCAUAUCCCUUAAAUUCCUCUCACUAUCAAAUAACCUCUUUGAAGUUUCCACUUCAAUGAAGCCUUUUAUGAAUCACUCAAGCCUCAAGUUCUUCUCCAGUGAGAACAAUAGACUUGUAACAGAACAUGCUGCCUUUGAUAAUUUGAUUCCAAAGUUCCAACUAUUUUUUUUAGCUUGUCGAAAACAUCGGAAGCACUCAACGUAGAAAUUCCCGACUUCCUCUAUUACCAAUACGACUUAAGAGUCCUUGAUCUCUCCCACAACAACAUCACCGGAAUGUUUCCAUGUGGUUGCUUAAGAACAAUACACAUUGGAGCAAACUAUCUGAGCAGAACUCCUUUGUUGGUGCUUUACAUUGCAAGAUCAUCCAUAUCCAAAUAUGACCGAAUUAGAUAUAUCCAACAACAACAUGAACGGUCAAAUCCCAAAAGAUAUUUGUUUGAUCUUUCCAAAUCUGUAGAUUCACAGGUUGUAUUUCUUCUUGUUUGGGAAAUAUUAGCUCUUUGGGAGUUUUAGAUUUAUCCAACAAUCAGUUGUCCAUAGUAAAACUAGAACAACUAACAACAAUAAUGCUUCUCAAGCUGUCAAACAACAAUUUCGGUGGGCAAAUACCAACCUCGGUGUUCAAUUCUUCUACCUUAAAAUAUCUCUAUCUAGGUGGUAACAACUUUUGGGGUCAGAUAUCAGAUUUUCCAUUGUAUAGGAGGAAAAGGUGGACUAUAUUGGAUUUGAGUAACAAUCAUUUUUUAGGCAUGCUUCCAAGGUGGUUAGUCAAUUCUACGCGCCUUAUCGCAGUUGAUUUGUCCAAAAACCAUUUUAAGGGUUCGAUCCCAAGAGACUUUUGUAAGCUUGACUGCCUUGAAUAUUUGGACCUUUCUGAGAACAACUUGUCUGGAUAUAUACCGUCUUGUUUCAGUCCACCACAAAUAACCCAUUUGCAUCUAUCCGAAAAUAGAUUGAGCAGUCCAUUAACAUAUGGAUUUUAUAACAGCUCUUCCCUGGUUACGAUGGAUCUUCGAGAUAAUAGCUUCAUCAGCUCCAUUCCAAAUUGGAUUGGCAAUCUUUCAUCAUUGAGUGUUCUUCUUCUGAGGGCUAAUCACUUUGAUGGUGAGCUCCAUGUUCAGUUAUGCUUGUUAGAACAAUUAAGCAUUUUGGAUGUUUCACAAAACCAGCUCUUUGGUCCAUUGCCCUCCUGUUUGGGCAAUCUUACUUUCGAGGAAAGUUCCCUGAAAGCAUUCGCGUAUAACACUUCUUUUUAUAGACCAUGGUCCAUUGAAAAUGCUUAUAAUGAAACAAUGGGUCCACUACUAGUGGAUAGUAUGUUCAGCCUAGUAAGGAAUUAUAUGCUUAACUUUACAGAAGAAGUGAUAAAAUUUACAACUAAAAAUAUGUAUUAUGGGUACAAGGGGAAAGUUCUCAGCUACAUGCUUGGUAUUGAUCUCUCCAAUAACAACUUUGUAGGAGCAAUCCCACCAGAAUUUGGGAACUUAAGUGAGAUACUGUCUUUAAACUUAUCACACAACAAUCUCACUGGAUCUAUCCCUGCAACAUUCUCAAACCUAAAGCAGAUUGAGAGUUUGGAUAUUUCUUACAACAACUUGAAUGGUGUUAUCCCUCAACUUACUGAAAUUACCACACUGAAAGUUUUUAGUGUGGCGCACAAUAACUUGUCAGGUAAGACACCCGAGAGAAAAUUUCAGUUUAGGACCUUCGAUGAAAGCUGUUACGAAGGAAAUCCUUUCUUGUGUGGACCUCCAUUGCGAAACAAUUGUAGCGAGGAAUCAGUGCCAUCGCAGCCAGUGCCUGAUGAUGAACAAGGAGAUGAUGGUUUCAUAGACAUGGAGUUUUUCUACAUCAGUUUCGGUGUAUGUUACACAGUUGUGGUGAUGACGAUUGCAGCAGUUCUCUACAUCAAUCCAUAUUGGCUACGCAGGUGGUUGUACUUCAUCGAAGACUGCAUAGAUACUUGCUACUAUUUUGUGGUGGCUAGUUUUCGCAAGUUCUCCUACUUCAGAAGGUGAAUUUGUUACUGGAGAGACGGUCGUUCCUAGUUUGUGAAGCUUGUUUGUCUAGCUAUUGGGUGCUUAAUUUGUAGUGUAAUAAAUAUGUAAAGGGAACUGAUUUGGAUUGGUCAUUGACUUGGGUGUGAUUACUCUUUCAACUCUCAAGACUUUGUUGGGACUGCAAUUGAGGAGCUGGAGGGUGGGGAAGUUGUCCCAAUUUCUCCUUGAAACUAGGUGUGAUGUUGUUUUCAGAGACCUGUAAGAAUGUUAUCAAGCGCUCCAACAUGGCCUUGAAUACCUCCAGCUUUUCAAGCUGUUCUGACUUCGGUUGUUGAGGAUGAGAGUCAAGCUGGAAAGCAAAGUUAACAUACACGAGAAUUAAAAAUUUGCGUUGAUUCUUUGUAGCAAAAUAUUAGUGAAAAAAAAAGUUUCGAUGCAUGAUUAGUGCAGAUGAUACAGUGACAGGCAAUGCUGAUGAGGAAAACAAAUGAAUACAGAAGCUCAACGUGGGGAAAUUGCAGAUAAUCAUGCAUGGGCAGAUAAUCCGGAAGAAAUUGCAGAGACAAUGUACCUGCUGUAACUUGGCAGCAAUUCUCUGAUACAUUUCAUUUAUUUCAGGGAAAUAAGUCUCCUUCAUAACUUUGAUCUAGGAAGUACAAAUAACCAGCAAAACAUUGUCGGUCACAUGCUUGAUUUCUUCAGGUGCCAGUCAGAAAGAAAGUAACACAAACAAACUUAAGGGAAUUGAUAAAAAUAAAAUAACAAAAAAAGGGCAGAGUGGAAUUAAUGCUGGAAACUCAAGAAGAUGUCGAUAUAGAUGGAAUGGAAAGAUGCAAAGGGCUGUGUAAGUACAACUUUAGACAAGAUUCAGGGGUUGGUUAAGUUCAGUUACUUUGUCUCCCUGCAAACUACUCAUCAUUGUUUUCUGUUGUCAUAGCUCAAGACAAUGGAUGUCGCAACUUUAGCAACGCUUCUUAUCAAAUAUGCAGUUAUGACAUGAGACAUUCAGAAUUUGAACCUCAUUUUCUAUAAAAUUCAAAUAUGGUAAUGAUUCAAUGGAAUAAGUCCCACUUAUUUUCUUUUCCUUCCAUUGUCACAUGUUUCAGAACAAGUUGAUUGCAAUCGUGCAAAUAACUCUUCACUUAACCAAAGAUAAACUUUAAGUCACUCAGAAAUAGUGCACUCUUAUUUCUAAUUCUGUCUAAUGCAGUAAGAAGUACGGACAAUAGGACUCGUUGGAAAUAAAUAAUAAUUCACCACACAACAAAUAUAGGGGGGGAAAUCGAAAGGGAGAGGUUUGCAAUAAAAAAACUGCCGUGCCAGAACCAAGAAAGCAAUCCUCUUGACCUACAAAUCUGCAUAUUUUUACCUUCAUUCAUCUUAUCAAUGAUUAAUCAUUUCUUAGUUGCUGCAAUCAUGGAACUUACAAUGCUUCCUAACUAAUCCCAACCAUAGCUGAAUAAAAUUCCUUGGACCAAUCCCAGGAGACCUUUUUCCAUUGAAAUCUUGCAAGACUACAGCAUACAUGAACUCCAUCUAAUGAACAGUAAAUCACAGAAAUUACCUGCUGAUAGAUCUCCUCUUGCCAAUCAGCGCCUUUUGCAUGUCCAGUCUGUGCUGUAGAAUCUAGGGAUGCUGCAAAAAUUUCAAUGCGGGCAACAAAAGAUUAGAAUUCAUGUAUUACUGUGUGUUUUCCAUAUACAAGGGUAUUUCUAUAGUUUUCACACUUUCUGAAAAUUAUGGAAUAUUGCAAGUCUCAGUUUUAUUUUCCAUUUAGUAUUUUAUUAUCCCAAAGUACAGCGAGCUUCAUUAGAUUUUUCCUAUUCUAGAUAAAACUAUUAGUAUUUUCCUACAGAGGAAUACAAGUCCUUUUCGGACUAGGAGUACUAGGAAUUCCAUCUAAACGUUAUUAAACUAAUAGUUAAAAAAAUGGGUACAUAUACUCUUAUUCUUGGUUUAAAAUAAUAUAUAUUUUUUUAUUUUUAAAAAAUUAUUUUUGAUACCAUCGUAUCAAAAUGAUAUAAAAAUAAAUAAAAAUAUUAAUUUAAAAUAAAUAAAAUUUUAAAAUAUAAAAUUUUAAAAAAAAUAUUUUUGAAAUAUAAAAACAAACAAGAACCGAAUCCUCAGUUUGCCGGACCAAAAAUUAUUAAGAAAAAAAUCACAUUUUCCAUUAAAAAUGUGAUCCCAUUUCAACCACUCAUCAUAUUCGUACAUAUACUGGACCGUCCCAGAUUGUGAAUUCGGAUGUCCAAAAAUGGCAUGUGUCUCCAUGAAGCUCUGAUUUCUUGUUGGGGUUUGGUUUAAUUAUAACAAAAAUUUAGAGUGACCAAGUUCACGUACUGGGAACUCCAUCUAUACAAGGCUGGUGGGUUUCUUAUAUAGUUAAAAAAAUAAUUUUUAAAAAAAGUUAUGUUAUUAAACUUUAUAAAUUUUAUGGAUAUAUUUGGCUAAUUGACUUAGUUCAUGGAUCUGGCAAGAUUAACUUUUUUAAAUGAGUUUUUUUUUUCAUCCUUGGAUACUGAAUUAAUUGUGAAUUUAGUUUCAUAAUUAAUUUUGUUUCACAUUUUAUGAGGUUAUCAUGAUCUAAAAACAUUUUAAUAUUAAGUUGGUAUUUGAUUUUGUAAUUAUCUAUUUUUAUUAUCAUAUAGUUAAAUAAAAAAAUAGCUUUCAAAAACAAAUUAUAAUUUUAGUGGAGUCAAUGACCCAAUUUACAGGUUUAUCAUAUUAGCUCGAUUUACCAAAUUCACAAGUUUGACGAGUUUACCCACCAUUAUAAUAUGUUUUUUUUUGUCUUUUAAUUAUUUUUAAUAUUUUGAUUUUAUUAUUUAAUAUUGAAUUGGUUAGGAAAUGAACUGCAUUAUUGUUUUUUGUUUGCUUUCGAGGGAUAAUUGUCUCAAAUAAGUGUUUAUUUUUAGGUUGAUGCUCAAUUUUGUGGGCAUUUGUUUGAUGGGCUGAUGUCAAAAUAAUUUUUUAAAAAUAAAAAAUAUUAUUUUGAUAUAUUUUUAAGUACAAAUCACUUUGAAAAACUACCACUACCAUACUUCCAAACACAUCCUUAGCCCUGCAGUUGAACCAGUUUUUUAUAGAAAAAAAAACUUAAUUAAUUUUUUAGUAUUUUUAGACCGUUUUAAUAUACUGAUGUUAAAAAUAAUUAAAAAAAAAUUAUCAUAAUAUAUUUUAAACCAGAAAAUAUUUUAAAAAAUAAUUAUGCUACACUUACAAACAGGUUCUUAUUGUCUAGAGACCAUUUUAAUGUUCGAACUUUACGUAGGCCAUGUGAAAACUUGGCUGCAACAUGUAAUUGUUUUUUUUUUCUUUUUAGUUUUUAUAACGAGAUUCUUAUAUAUAUCCAUGAGUGAAUAAAAUAACCAAAUAAGUUUAAAAAAUCAACAUAAAAUUAAUUGAAAGAACCAACCAAUAUAAAAUAAAAAAAAAACGAUUAGAAAGUUUUAAAAUAUCUUCAAUUGGCUUUAGAUUUAAGAGAUUAAAAACAAUUAAAAUGAAACCAAACAAUUGCUUUUUUAAAAUAAAAAACUAAAAAAACCUCAAAAACAACCAUGCCUAUUACAUCAGAGUCUAUCUAAGGCCCCGUUUAUUUGUUGGAAAGUAGUUUUUUUUUGGAAAGUGAAUUUCAUAAAAGUGAAUUAUGGGAAAGUGAAUUAUUUUCUGAUGUUUGGUAGUAUAAUGAAAAAUAAGUUGGAAAACACUUUCUAGUGUUUGGUUAUGUCAUGAAAAAUGAGUUGUAAAAUAACUUAUUAAUGUUUUAUUUUUCUUAAGUUUAUUAAAAUAAUCAGGAACAAAUCUUACAAAUUAAAAAGUUGAAUGAGAAUGAAAUUGAAAAAAAUAUAUAAUUUAAUAAAUUAUCUCAAAUAAAAUAAAUAAUAAUCAAAAUAAUAGAGAUCAAAUCUAAAAAAUAAAUAAAAAUGAAAGAUGAAGAAAUUAAAAUAAUAAUUAACAUUUCAUAAAUUAUUUCAAAUAAAAUAAGUAACAAUCAAAAGAAUGAGGGCCAAAUUUGAUAGAUAAAAAAUUUCAAUAAAAAAAUGAUAAGGGAAAAGAAAAUAAUAAUUAUAAAAAUUAAAUUUUAAGAGAUGAAAUUGAAAAAUAAAUAUUCAAAAGAAAAUAUAUAUAGCAAUCAAAAGUUUGAGGACCAAAUUUGAUAAAAUCAGCAAAUAAUAUGACAUUUCUAAAUUUUUCACAACUUCUAGAAAGUGUUUUCCGCCUAAAUUUUCUAGGAAAACACUUUCUUGGAAAUUAAACCAAAUUUUUCUUUGACUGGAAAGUGUUUUCCGUUGACUAACUUUUCUAAUAACAAAUAAAUAUAAAAAAGUUUGGAAAGUGGUUUCUCGUAAACCACUUUCUAGAAAACAAACAUAGCCUAAAUAACUAAUUGAUCCUUGAAUCACAUUUUACCGUUAAGUUAGCGGCACAAACUAAGGAAAUAUUGCUGAAAGCUCAACAUUUUACUAACGAAAAAUUAAUGAAGGGAUCGCAUUGUAAACAUAUUUAAAAGUAUAGGGAUUAGUUAGAACAGCUAGUUAUCACUGCCUCUGAGAAUUAAUAUACCGCUCAGCAUUUUGUUGAAGGGACGGGCAAAGGUACAUUUAUUUCCGUUAACUUUCUAAUAUUGAUCUUGCUUCAGUACAAUUUAUUAAAUUUAUUUUAAUAUAUUAAAUAAUAUAAAGCACAAAACAGACCAUAAUAAAAUACAAUAAAAACAAGUUGUGAUAUAUUUGUUGCACAUGGCAAUCUAUAAAUGAAGUGUUUGGCCCUCAAUUUUCAUUUUUUAUUUUUAUUUUUAGAUUACUUUGAUGCUUUGAUAUUAAAAAUAAAUUUUCAAAAUAAAAAAAUUAUUUUGAUGCAUUUCAAAGUUAAAAAUAUUUUAAAAAACAAUUACAAUCAUACUCUCAAAUACUCUCAAAUUAUUUGAUAUACACUUUCGACAUGACAAGGAUUGAUCAUUGUCUUGUCUAAAGUUUUCCUUAGAAAAAUUAUUUUUUCUUAAUUUUUAUAUUAUCUAUUUAUCGCUUAUUUAUCUUUUAAUUUGAAAAACUAAAAUUUGAUCAAUUUUAUUAAAAUAGAUAUGUGCAUGAAAGAUUUUAAUUGCAAAAACUUUUGAUUUAAGAACUAGAUUGUUCUAGAUGACAAAACAAUUCUAGUAAAGACUAAAAUAUCAUAAAAAUAAAAAUACAAAGACUAAAACAAAUAAUUAAAAAAAUAUCAAUAAUAAUAAAAAAAUUAUUUGAACUUGUCUCGUAUGCAUCAAACAUAGAAUAAGAGCAUAUAUUAUAUAGUUCAAUUCAAUCCAAUAUUAAAUAUUGUUUAGUAUUUAUAUUGUCAUUUUCAAACCAUAAUACCUACCACAUUUUUAGUUUCAAUUUACAUACAAACUCAUCUAAUGAUAUUUUUAUUGUUAAAAAAAAUAUCAUAAUUUGGAAUUCCAAAAAAAUAUUCUAUUGGAAAAAUGUUGUACUAAAAUUAAAAACAAAAGUGGAAAUAUACUUGUAUAUUAUAAAUUAAUGGAAAUACAUCAAAUUACUGAUAAUGUCAAAAUGUUGCAUGGCACUUUAAUCACAUGUCUCCUCCUCCUCCUCCUCAAAAAAAAAAAAAAGUGGAAAUAUACUUGUAUAUUAUAAAUUAAUGGAAAUACAUCAAAUUACUGGUAAUGUCAAAAUGUUGCAUGGCACUUUAAUCACAUGUCUCCUCCUCCUCCAAUGAGGCCGACUCUAAUAUUAAAUGUCACAGCCCGAUCAUACCAAAAAGUUUGUAUGCUAGUGCUAUGCUGUGGAGAUCAAAAAACCUUUAAAUGUAAAACAAAAUAUCCAAGUCUAAGGGAACUCCUUAGCAUUAUUAUUAAACUAGAAAAUUCAGUCGUUUUGAAAUUUUCUCCAUCAAGAUAAUUUUUCUUAUUAAUAUAUUUCUUGUUUAUCUAUCUUGGUGAAUGCAAGCUUUUUUUCUUUACUAGAAUCAUUGUUUCUAUUAAAAGAAUAUUCUAUAAUUGUCACAACAAAUUAAAAAAAAAUCAAAAUAGUAUGUUUAUAUUUUUAUGUGAUUGAAAGUUAAAAAAAUAAUAAAUAUAAUAAAAUCAUACUCAAAAUAUAUUAAAAAAUUCUAUGAUUAAAAUAGUGAUUUAAAUUGAACUUUCAUUAACAAAUUUGUAUGUCAUAUAUAUAAUAAUUGAAAACAAUUAGUGUAGAUUAGUUGAGUCUGUUGCAGUGAAUACUUUUUUAACUGCUACUGCUACUGCCGCUUUGAACAAGAUUUUGAGGAAAUGCAGAAGUGCAUUAGGUAACUUGGUGCCCAUAGAUGAUGAUGAUGAGAUGUGGUCCGAAUAAACACUUCCAUUACUAGUUGUUGGUGUUUCACUAUGAAUGGAAGCUGCAGCUGCAAAUUGUUUCACAGGCAUUGUUGAAACAGAGGAGUCUGUUAAACAGAGGAGAACACAAUUGACUGCCCAACAGUUAAUGGGGUCUGUCCUCCAACCAUAUCGGCCUUCCUCUCUCCUUCCAUAUUUGAAGUGUCAUUUCCUCCAUUUUUCCCUUCUUCAGGCACACCGUAAUUCGUCUGCUGUGUUGCUUGGGCCGCAGUGAUGAAGUGAUAGCCAUGACUUGAUGCCUCUGGAGGGGCUUUGGAGAAGAGCAUGAUUCUGUACCAGCAAUCAAACAUCAAGACCUGAGAAAGUUGUGGGAUUCAAAUCUGGUAAGCACCAUUCUGUACCAACAUGUUCAGGGAUUGGAAUCUCGUACGCACCAUUCUGCAAAAUUGCCAGGGAAGUUUGGGGUAGUUGAAGCUCAUUGUUGUAGCACCAGUUACUGCCGAUGUCGUGGCAUUUAUUGAAGCAGAACUUUAGCUACUUGAAGAAGCUACAUUGCUAGCAAAAGGGGAAGGCCUCACACUGGCUGGUUGGAUAGAAGCUUUUACUGCUGCAGUAGCUAUAGAGGAGACUUGAUCUUCAGGUAGACUAUAAAGUGUAGGAAAUUGAACUGCAAGACAAGAAUCUAUCAGCCAGACAUCAUUCCAUAAGCUAAUAUCUCUACCAUUGCCAACCAAACCACAAACUUCUUUCUUUGCAAAAUAUUUUGAAGUCCCUCGUCCUUAUAAAAAAGUAAUGACAUUCCUGGACCAUGUACUGCCCUUUAAAUUAACACAAACUAAAGGCAUGUUCAAAUAUGCUUUUUGGUUGUGGAUGUUGUAGAUAACAUCUUUUCAUAGUCUUGUAUGAGACCUCCCAAACCUCCAUAGCCAUUUGAAAAAUUAACAAGGCUUUAUUUUUAUCAAUAAUGUAUUCUAUACCCACCUUUUUUGUUUUUGUUUUUUUUUGGAGGAACCACUAAUGCCCAUUUAACAUUGCAUAGUUUCUCAAUUUUGGUAGCAACAGUGGAUGCGAUAGGAAAUAAAGAAAGAUUAUUUAUAAUUGAGUUAAUCAAGCAAUAGUUUUCCAAACGGAUGUAUGAGAUGAAGAUGCAUGAAUAGGCAGACCCAAAUACUUAAAUGGCAUCCCCUCCAUCCUACAUAUUAGAUUGCUAGCAGUUGAAGAAAUAACAACAUCAUCAAUUCUAGUUCUAGUGAUUGAGUGGAAAUUAACCUUCAGCUUAGAAAUCAACUCAAAACAUCACAUAGUUCUUUUGAUGUUUGAAGAGAUGGAAAAUCAUAUGAACUGAAGAUGAGAGUAUCAUCUACAAACUGAAAGUGAGUAGUUUUCAGUUGAUCAUGACCAAAACAAAUACCUUUUAUAAGUCCCAAAUCACAUCUCUUUUUAGCAUUCUACUAAGACCCUCAGUCGCUAUAUUGAAAAGAGAUGGUGAUAAUUUCUUCAUAGAAGGCCAGUAGGAAUCAUUGGUAGACUUGAUGAGCUCUUCCCUUAAUUACCCUGCAGAUCCUAUAACAACUCUCCCCUUAUACUUAACCACACCAUCAGCAUAUGUAAAGCUGGGAGAUUGUGCAGCAUCUACCAGUUUACUUCUCAUUGUAUCCUGCAACAUGACAUCAUCUUUAUAAGAGGCAUGAAUCUUGUCAUACCAGGAGGGAGUUAUUUGUCUUUUGGCGGUGAACCUUCCCCCUUCCAUUUGAUUCCCUUGACAACCUUCUUGCCCCUGCAUAUUCCUCUUAUAUAAGGCAUCUGCAACCUUAUUCUCCUUCCCUUUUCUGUACCUGAUCCGAUGGUUCAACCCCAACAACUUAGUUAGCCCCUUCUUUUGAAUAGGAGUAUGAAUCUUCUAAUCAAGUAGAUACGUCAGACUUUCAUGAUUAGUUUGAAUGACAAACUGAUCUUGUUCCAAAUAAUGCCUCCACUUGUCGACUGCCAUUAGAAUAGCAAGGUAUUCCUUCUCGUAAAUGGAUAACCCCAAAUGUUUGACUCCCAAGGCCUUGCUCAAAAAUGCUAAUGGUCUUCCUUCCUGGCUGAGUACUGCUCCAAUUCUAGUAUCACAAGCGUGUGUUUCCAGCACAAACGGUUUGGUAAAGUCAGGCAGGGCCAGAAUUGAAGCCUCACACAAUGCUUGUUUCAGGUUGCGGAAAGCCUUCAGUGCUCCUUCAUGCCAAAGGAAGUUAUUCUUCUUGAGCAUCUCUGUCAAAGGCUAGCUGAUAAUACCAAAUUUCCUAAUGAAUUUUUUAUAAUAACCAGCUAGGCCAAGGAAUCCCCAUAGCUACUUAAUGGAUUUUGGAACUAGCCACUCCUGUACUGCUUGUGUCUUCUUAGGAUCAGUGGCUACCCGGCCCCUUCAGUUGAAAUUAUAUGCCCCAAAUACUCCACCUGUGGCUCUACAAAUGUGCACUUGGAUCUCUUCACAUAUAGUUGGUUAGUUUUAAGCAUUUCCAAGACUUGCUUCAAAUGAUUAAAAAAAUACUAAGACAAAUUUUCUCAAAAAUAGCUCUAGGAUAUCAUUCAUCAAGGCUUGGAAGGUUGCAGGAGCAUUCAUGAGAUCAAAAGGCAUUACCUAGAAUUCAUAGUGCCCUUGAUGAGUGCAAAAUGCUAUCUUCUCUAUAUCUCCCCUUCACGCAUAUGAACUUGAUGGUAUCCUGACCUUAGAUCCAGUUUUGAAAAGAUGAUGGAUCCUUGUAUCUCAUCUAAUAAGUCGUCAAUCAGAAGAAUGAGAAAACUUGUUCUUAAUAGUGACUUCAUUUAGCUGUCAAAAGUUUACAUAAAAACACCAUGUGUUGUCCUUCUUCUUCACCAAAAAAACAAUAAAGGCAAAGGGACUAACACUUGGUUGUAUUAUGUUGUUGUGUAGCAUCUCCUUGACCAUCCUUUCGAUCUCCUCCUUUUAAAAGAAAGAGCUCUUAUAUAGUCUACACUUGACUUGACUUGACUUGGAAAUAAUAAUAAUAAUAAUAAAAUAAAUAAAUAAAUAAUAUAUGUUGUAGUGAGAAAAGCUAUCAGACCGCCCAAAAUGGCCAAAAAUUGGUCGAGGAGGUUAAAAAAUGCAAAGAUUGAAAUUUGAUAGUAUAUCGUUGACUGACGAGAGUCUGUUAACAAAGAAAAUUUAAUUUUUAAAAAAUAUAUCAAAAUCAGAUGUUUAUGGACUCAAUUAAAUUUUAUUGAGGGUUUAAUUGAAUUUAUGGAGGGUUUGAUUGAAAUAAAAACUGAAUUUUAUGUCGAUUUAGGCUUUUAUUGGAAGAAAUUAAAGUUAAAGGGUCCAAUUAUAAUUUUGAAGAGUUGAUUUGGUCAAAUCAGGGGUUUAAUUGCAUAAUUAUUAAAUUUUUAUGGGCAAUUAGGGACUUGAUUGAAAAAAUACAAAACCAAGGACCAAACCGGAAAAUGAGCGUAAAUAGAGAGGUUGCAAUUAACCAAGUCAGGGGCUAAAUUGAAAAAAUUAAAAUUUUAUUGAUCAAUUGAGGGUCAAAUCGCAUGAAUCCAUAACCAAAGAGGCUAAAAUCCAGGGAUCCAAUUACAAUUUAUUCGGGGGCUUGAUUACAAAAUUGCAAAACAUCUGAUGACCAAAUCGGAAAUAUUCAUUUUGAAUUUUAAAAUGGUACCGUUUCCUUGACAAUUGUUCAUUACCUUACUUCAUCAACAACGGUUUCUACAGUAAAAGGCAGUGAAGACGUUAGCGGUGGAGCUGCUUCAAUCAGGGGAGCACGUCUCACGGCUGAUAUCCCUCUCCACCAUGAUGCACUUCGGCCGUUACAACCUUCCUGCAAUAAAUCCCGAAAAGCAUGCAUCCUUUGGCUAUAAAAAGCCAGAGGAGAGACGGACAUAAAAAAAAAAAAAAGAGGAGGAGACAGGGAGGGGGAGCGAGCAGGACAAGAGAGAAAGUGGGGAGCAACACGAGAGGGAGAUAGAAACGAGUAGAAGGAAAGAAUGUAUGCAGAGGAAAACGUUGAGACCAGAACCAGCGUUGCCAUUGUCUUCGUCAUUUCAAAAACCAGAGACAAAGAAGAAGAAGAGUGCAAAUAAGAAUUAAAUGAAAGGAGAAUCAGAAACGAAACUAGUAGCAGAAGAAAAGAAAGAAACGUUGCUCGAUUAGAGCACUGAUCACCCUCAACUGCAUCUUCAUCUGCAGGCAGCAGCUCCAGGGGACGUUUGAGAGGACUAGAGAGGGAGAAAAAGAAUAAAACAGGGAACAAGAGGAAGAACAGAGCAGAAGAGAAAAAAAGCAGAAGGGAAACGCAGAGAAAGAAAGAAGAACCACCAGCCAGUUAGCACCACGAUCCGCAACCGCAACACCGUCCACCGCCACCGGCAGCACUGCUAGGCCGCAGGUCUGCUUCUUCCUCCUAUUCUUCUUCAUCUUCUCCAGGCCGCUCCACUGUUCACAUUGCAUGGGAACAGUGGAGUCUCUCCGCUGUUUGUUUUAGUUUUCUGGGUUGGACAGCAUUAGCCAAGCCCAAAAUAAUUGGUCGGGUCCGGCCCAAUAAAAAAAAACAAUUCUUUAAAAAAAAUCAUAGCUUUUUAUAGCCCCAAGCGUACGUCCUCAUCUCGUGGGAAAAAUUGCAUGAUGACAAUGGUAUCAUUAACCCAUCUCUGAUGGAUAAUUUGUUGCAAUGUCCAUCUCCAUCAAAAUCCUUUUUGUUUUGAAAAGGAUUAUAUAUACAUACACACACUCAAUGAUCACUUAAUAUUUUAUAUUAUUUUUCAAGUUUUGAGAUAUAAGUUCAUAGCUUUUAAAGACAAAAAAUAUACCACAAGAUUUUAAACGAUUUCAUAUUUCAUUAAAAUAAAUAAAUAAAUUACUUAAAUGGUUACAAUAUUUUUUUUUUAAGAAAAUAAAUUGAUUUAUUGUGUUAAUAACAUUUAAGGAUUUCUUCCAAAUAAAUAAUCAAAUUUAUUUUAAUUAAAAAGUUUCUAAUCAAUAACAACAUUCUAUAUUAAACCAAAGUAUUUCCACGAACGCAUCUCUUGAAAAAAAUGCAUGAUAGCAACGGUCUCAGGACCAAUAUGUAGAUGAAAUUGGUCUCAUGAGCUCAUAAAUGCUUACGGGGCAAUGGUCUUAGAAACCAUCUCACUAGAGUGGAAAAAAUGCAGAAGACAAAAGUUUCAUAGACCCAUCUCACACUAUAAAUUCUCAUUCAUUUUACUUGUUGGUUGUGUUAUAAAAAUUAAACUCUCUAGAAAGAAAAAGAAGAAGACUUUUUGUAAUGACAAUGACAAGUAUUUUAGAAAUAAUUCAAUAUAUAAAAAGACACUGACAUUUGGUAUCAAAUUAUGAAAAUAUCAUUGGUAAUUUCGCAAAGUUUUUAUAACUUUGAUUGCCUUAGAAUUUUAAUUUGUGAUAUAAAUAGAUGUUAUAAGAGUUCUCAUAAAAUUGAGAAAUAUAAUUGAUAAUAUAAAAUUAAAAAUAAAAUAUUAUUUGAUGAUAAUAAAAUGACUGGAAUACUAGUGAGAAUUUAGGUGAAAUUCAUAAAACAAAUAUAAGAUUUCGAAGAUGAAAUAUCUUCUAAUUUAUUCUAUUUUUUAAAUUGAAAUAAAAUGUACCUGUCAUACGCCCCAUCUCGUGGAAAAAAACAAUAGCUUUUACAGCCCAAAGCAUACGGCUCCAUCUCGUGGAAAAAAUUGAAUGAUGACAAUGGUAUCACGUGGAUAAUUUGUUGCAAUGUCCUCUCCAUCAAAAUCCUUUGAAAAGUUAUAUAUAUAUAUAUAUAUAUUAUAUCAUGACCGUGUUCGAAAAAUCACAUGAGAAUCGCACAGUUUCGUUGAUUAAUCAAACAAUUAAUUAAUAAAUAAAUAAUAAAAUGGUAAGACCAAGACUUGUGACUAUGACUGGCAAUGACAGGUUUGGCCCUGCACAUGACAGGAUAAAUUAAAUUAAUAAAAAGCUUGUUGACCAGUAAUCACUCUUUGACAAAACUCGAAAUUAACAAAUCAAAUGCGAACACACCACUCAAAAUGGCAAUGACAUUUGCCCUUUUCUAUGCGCACUACCAUUUACAUGUCUUAUUUUUUUAUUAAUAUUUAUUUUAUUUAAAAGAAUUAGUUUUAAAAAUCUUAGUGUAUUAUACAAGUGCAUUUAUUUUGAUGUUUCUCACACGUAUAUUAUAUAUUCAAUUGUUUAAUAGUUAAAAAAUACAAAGAGUUAGUGACACUUGCACAAAGUAUUUGUAUCUUGUUUUUUCUAAUUAAAAACUUGUAUUGAUUUAUUUAUUUUUUGUAAUACCUGCUCUUAUGAAUUUUUAUCAAUCAAGUCUUUAUAUUAGUUUUGUUGCCAGAAUGCAAAUAACACGAUUAAUAGUAUUUUAUUUUUGAUUUUUUUCAAGGCCUAAAUUUUUCACAUGUAAUUUCUAUAAAAAAAAGUAGCAAGUUUUCUAUAUCUAUCAUCCUUAUGUGCCUAACAUUAACCUUUUCAUCAUGUAUUUUUCCAAAUUAUAAAUAAAUAAAAAUAAACUUGAAUUGGGGUCAACAUUUUAAGAAGGAAUAUAAGUUUCGGUUAAUUACUUAAUUUUAUGCAAUUCAUUUUUUUUAAUAUAAUAAGUUUUAAUAUAUAUUUUGAAUUUAAUAUUAAUAGUUAUAAAGUUUAAUUAGUUAAUAAAAAAUGUUCCACUUUUGUUCUCUCUUUAUCACCUUUUCUUUUAAAGGGGUUACGUACAGCCUUGCAUAUUAUUUUAAAGUUUAUUUAUUUUGAAUUUAAUAUAUAAAAAUCUUUUGUAUAGAUGAAUUUUAUUUUUGAAAAUAAAAAAAAUUAUUUUCAAAUAAUAUUUCUAAUAUGUGCAGCCUUACAUAUUAUUUUAAAGUUUAUUUAUUUUGAAUUUAAUAUAUAAAAAUCUUUUGUAUAGAUGAAUUUUAUUUUUGAAAAUAAAAAAAAUUAUUUUCAAAUAAUAUUUCUAAUAUGUGCAGCCUUAUAUAUUAUUAUUUUUCUCUUUUUAUUUUAUUCAAUCAAUUUAUAAUUUGUAUAUGUUUUUAUUAUCGUUUGAUCGAAUAAAAAAAUUAUUUUAUUUGAAUUUUUAAAAAAUACAAUUAUGUAAAUAUCAUGUCUUGUAAAAUUUAACUUGCGAUGAAGUUGUGAUCAAAUAUUUAAGUCUGUGUGCUAAAAUGAGUGGUACUCAAGAUUCACAUACCUUAUCUUCCAAGCAAGAAGAGACAAGAAAAGCAGUAAAUGAUGUUCUUUUCUCCAGCUGUAAAUAAAUAAAAAGAUUAAUACCAAAAACAUAGACAAAAAUUAAUGUGGAUCCACACCACUUUGAUUAUUCUUCACUUUCUUUGCUUUUCCUGUAUUUCACUACUUGAUGAUUCAAAAGUUAUCUAUUUAAAAAAAUUAUUUUUUAAAAAUAUUUUUAAAAUAAAAAAAUAAACAAAUAUUAUUAUGUCAUGCAACUAAAUUUAUUUUGACAUUAUUCACACGAGAAUUAUAUAUUCAAUUUGUUAAGUGUUAGCAAUGCAAAAGAGACAAUGACAAGUACAAAUUAUAUUUAUUUUAUAAAUUUUUAAUUUAAAAGCUUGUAUCAAUGUCUUUUUUUUAAAAAAUUGAAUACUUGUAUUCAUGAAAUUUAAAUAACAAAAUAUCUUUAUUAGUUUUAUUAUUAGAAGAUGAUGUCAUAGUUAAUUUCUUUUAGAUUACUCUGGAUUGAUUUUAUUUUAUUUUUAAUUCAUAAACAAUAAAGAUAUGUAAAAUGCUUAUAAUUUAUAUAUAUAUUUUUUAUUUAAGUACUCUAAUUGAUUUUAUUUUUCUAUUUAAUUACUUGAUAAACUAGUGUCUGUAUAUAAAUAUGUUUAAAUUAAUUUCUCUAAUAAAAGUAUAUAAAACAAAUUCAAUAAAACUAUAUUUUUAUUAAUAGAUUUGAACUUAAAACAACCAUAUAUUUUCAAGUAACCAAGAGACGGACAUCCUUUCAAGAAAAUCAUUAUUACUAACACCAUUAACAUUUGAAUUAAUAGCCCCAUCUUAAUAUAAAUGUUGAUUAAUCAUUACUUAAUUGCUACUAGUAUAAGUAACUAUCCCUUGCAAUGGCAGCGAAGACUUUCAGGCUUCUACCAUGCAAAGUUUUCAAUUCCGUUUUAAUUGAUGUUUUAUUUUUUUUAAUUGUAACAAUAUGUUUUGAUUUUUGAGUAUUUUGAUAUGUCAUUUUGGGUUGUUCUAUAUAUAUAUAAUUCAAAAUAUUAAUUUAACAAAUAUAAUUUCAAUUUAAAUUUAAAGAUAAACUAACUUGAAAUUAUGUAAUUGAAAUUUCAAAUAUAAGCAAAAGAAUAAGUGCUUAAUUGAUAUGACUUGAUCAAUUUGAUGAAUCCAAAAGUAGUUUAGAUGACUGGUAAAAAUAUAAUUUUACUUAAAAAAAAUUCAAGAUGAUAUAUUUUUUUAAAAAAUUAUUGAGACAACAACAUAUUGGGAUCGACCCGGGUCAAUUUGAGUUAACCUUUUAAAUCCAUGACCCAGGUUAUGAGACCAUAAUAACCCCAAAUAAAAUAAAUCAAAACAAAUUAUGAAUCUUAAUUUUCAAUGAACGUAUUGUUGAAUUAUGAAAUUGAAAAAAAAUCAAUCUAAAAAAAGAUAUAAAAAAUGACAUUUCGAAACAAAAUUAUAAAUUUGAAUAAAAUUAUGAAAAUAUCAUCGGCAAUCUUGCAAAGUCUUUCUAAACUGUGAUUGCCUUAAAAGUUUAACUUGCGAUAUAAAUAUAUGUUAGGAGUUUCCUCAUAAAAUUUUAGUCUAAUUCAACAGUCGUAUUGAGAGAUAUAAUUGAUACUGUAAAAAUAGAUUAUAUUUUUUUUUAUAAAAGCAAAACAAAAUAUUAUUUGAUCAUAAUAAAAUGGUUAGAAUAUAACUAAAAUAUUUUUGUCAGAAUUUUGGUGAAAUUCAUAAAACAAAAUAAGAUUUUGAGCAUGAAAUAUCUUUUAAUUUAUUAUAUUUUUUAAAUUAAAACUAUAGCUUUUAGAGCCCCAAGCAUUCGGCCCCAUCUCUUGGAAAAAAUUGAAUGAUGACAAUGGUAUCACGUGGAUAAUUUGUUGCAAUGUCCUCUCCAUCAAAAUCCUUUUUGUGUUGAAAAGUUGUAUAUAUAUAUCAUUCAUGGCCGUCUUCAAGAAAUCACAUGAGAAACGCACAGUUUCGUUGAUUAAUCAAACAAUUAAUUAAUAAAUAAAUAGUAAAAUGGUAAGACCAAGACUUGUGACUAUGACUGGCAAUGACAGGUUUGGCCCUUCGCAUGACAGGAUAAAUUAAAUUAAUAAAAAGCUUGUUGACCAGUAAUCAUUUUUCACAAAACUCGAAAUUAACAAAUCAAAUGCGAACACACCACUCAAACUGGCAAUGACAUUUUCCCUUUUCUAUGUGCACUGCCAAACAGUCCCUUUACAUGUCAUUUUCACCAUCCCUCUCUUUUCCACGUGCUUUUCAGGAUUCAAAAUACGUGUUUAGGAAUAUUGAUGAAAAAUUAAAUAUAACCAGAAAACAAAUACAGGAAAGCAUUCCCAAUUAAACCAAGUAUUUCCACGAACCCAUCUCGUGGUGGGAAAAGGAUGUCUCACAGCCUCUCCUCGAGAAAAAAAUGCAUAAUGGCAAAGGUCUCGACGACCAAUGUACAGAUGGAAAUGUUCUCAUGGACCCAUCCUGUAGAAAAAAUGCUUGAUAGGACCAUCCCAUUGCCUUUAUCAUGGAAAAAAUGCAUGAUGGCAAAGGUCUCUCAGGACCCAUGUGCAGAUGGAAAUGUUUUCAUGGACCCAUCUAGUAGAAAAAUUGCUUGAUAGGACCACCCCACUAAAAAAUGUAGAUAGGAAUAUAUAAUCUUACAUACUCAUCUCACACUGUAAAUUUAUAUCUAUCUUACUUGUUGAUUGUGUAAUAAAAAAUAAAGUCUUUAGAAAAAAAAAAAAAGAGAAGACUUAUUGUCUUGACAAUGACAAGAAGUCUUUUAAAAAUAAUAUUAUUUGUAUUUUAUUUUAUUAAUGAUAGUGGUUUGAUUUUGCCAUCGCUAUCGAAAUUAAGGCAUGAUUUUUCACACGUUAUUUUCAUAAAGAAAGUAGCAAGUCUUCUAUGACCGGCAUUGUCAUGCAAAGUGAGCUGUCUAUCGUUAACCUUUGAUUUAUAUAUUUUUUUAAAAAAAUUGACAUGGGUUCAACUUUAUAAGAAGGAAUACAAGUUUUUGGUUAAUUACUUUUAUGUAAUUCAAUUUUUUUUUUUCUACAAUGUGGUUUUAAUUAGUGUUGUUAAAUUUAAUUCAAGCCUAACAUUUUAAUUUGGAAUCUAACCUGAUUUAGGUUUAGAAAAAACUAAGUGAGAGUUCACCAAAUAAAGCCUAAUCGACUAGAUAAAUCAACUCACAACCUAGUCAACUCAGUCAAAAACUAAUUUUAUUUUUUUUAACUACUCGAUUUUGAUUUUUCUAAAAAAAAUCUUAAAAUGAUACAAUAUUUUAUUAACAUCAGUCAAUAAGCUAACUUGUUCGAUUUAUAACUCAAAUCUUGAUCCAAGUAUUAAGCCAAUUUAUGACCUAAACCCUCAUCUAGGUAUUAAAUCUAACCAUGUUUAAUAACUUUGGUUUCUUAAGAAAAAUAUCAUGUAUAAAACAACUUUUAAAGAUUUUAGGUAAAAAUAAUGAUUUUAAGUUAUGAUUUGUUUAAAUGAUGAAUUUGAGUUAUAAAUCUUGAUAUAUCAAUAGGUGAUCUAUGAAAAAUUAGGGUUUUGAAAUUGAAAAUGAUAAAAUUCAGUUUGGUCUUUUAAUUUAUAAAAAUUUAAGUUAAUUCCAAAACUUUGAAAAAAUUUCAGAUUGUUCCCAUGCUUGACAAUAAAUGCCAUAGCUUCUGGUGUUGCCUUUGACGCUGCCAUUAUAAGGCCUUAGCAUAUCAGCUAGACCCAGAAUAUUAAAUAACAAAUCAAGAGGGUGAGCCUUUCCUUGACGAAUAUCCUCAAUGGCCUUUGGGAUCGAAGCAAAUCCUGUGGCCACAAUUUAUUGUUAGUACGUGUUUGCAAUUUGCAACAUAUAUUUUGAGUAAUGCGCUGUUUUUGUUUCUAGCUUUAGGUGAUUGCACCAAAGAUAGACUGAACAAAAGGGACAUACAUAAAGAUUUAUAAUUAUUCCGUGUUUAUUAUUAUUGAUAAUAUAUAUAUAUAUAUAUAUAUAUAUAUAUAUAUAUAUAUAUAUAUAUAUAUAUAUGAUAGUGAGAUGAGUAAAUGAUUCUAAAUUAUGACAGAAGUACAAUUAUAAAGUUAAAAAAAUCUUAAUGUAACAAUGCUAAAGUAUUACAACAAUUAUUUUAUUUUAUUUUAUUUAUAUAAAUUGGAUAAUUAAUAACCAAAAUAUAAUUUAAUGUAAAUAAACUAAGUGCUAAACAAUAAAUUAAAAUAAUAUUCAAAUCCUAAAAUAUUUCAAAAAGAAAUAAAAUAAUGUUCAAAUCUCAAAACAUGAAAUCCUAAAUUAUGAUGAGAGAAGUAUAAUUAUAAAGUCAAAAAGAUCUUACGCGGAAUCACACACGAAUAUCGAUAACAAUGAUGAAGUACUACAACAAUUUAUUUUAUUUUAUUUUAUUUAUAUAAAUUGGAUAAUUAAUAGCCAAAAUAUAAUUUAAUGUAAAUAGACUAAGUGCUAAACAAUAAAUUAAAAUAAUAUUCAAAUCCUAAAAUAUUGCAAAAAAAAUAAAAUAAUAUUCAAAUCUCAAAACAUAGAACCCUAAAUUAUUACGAGAAAAGUAUAAUUAUAAAGUCAUGAAAACAAUCUUACCAAUAUCUACAAUAUUUUUAUUUAUUUUAUUUUUUUAUAAAUUGAAUAAUUAGUAACCAAAAUAUAAUUAAAUACAAAUAGACUAAAGGCGGAACUGAACAAUAAAAUAAAGGCCGAACUGCACAAGAUAAUAUUCAAAUCUAUAUUAUCGACAAACACACCAUAAAGGCCGAAGUGUCAGACUUUGGCACUUCUAGGUUAAUUCCGUUGGAUCAUGUUUAAUUGUCAACAAUGGUGCGAGGUACUCUAGGAUACUUAGACCUGAGUACUUGCACACAAGCCAACUGACGGACAAAAGUGAUGUUUACAGUUUUGGAGUGGUUCUUGUUCAACCACUAACUGGGAUGAAGGCAAUUUCCUUCGAUAAGCCUGAGGGCCUUUAAGUGCAAAAUAAUAAAAUAAAAUAAUAUUCAAAUCCAAGAAUAUUCCAAAAAAAUAAAAAUAUUCAAAUCUCCAAACAUGUAACCUGCACCCAAGAUAUGCAGAAAAAGUCAAGGAAAUUAAAUGGCCAAAGUGUAGUAUAAAUAGGACCUCUAUGGUUGCCCAAAUGCACAUAACAAACAACAAUAUUCUACGUAGUAGUUCAUAGAAUUAUCUAAGAUGAUGAUGAAAGGAAUUGGGCCUUGGAUGUUGCUAGCGUUAUUGGCUGUGGUUGGCCAGUAAUGCUAUAAAGAAGAGAGUGGUAUAUCCACUUUCUCAUCAAUUACUUGAGAUUUAUGGAAGAUAUGAUACAAGAGAUAAGAAAAUGACUGCUAUCAUCGACAAUUUCUCUGUUAUAUAUAUAUAUAUAUUUAUAUAUAUAUAUUACGCGUAGUUUCAUGAAUCCUUUCCAUUAGAUAAUCAAUAAUAUUGUAUAUAUUCUUUUUGGAGAAGUAACUCAUUUUCACACCCUUGUUGUAGUUUUCCAUUCAUUUUCACCCUGCUUUUCUUUCCAUUCACGCACACAGAUAGUGCAUAAAAGCACUACGACAAUAGCUGACUCCCAGUCAAUACGGCGGACGCAAAUUGUUUGGUGAGGUUGCAUUCCAACAAAACUAAUUUGAAUAUUUUUCCCAACCUGGCACUUCUAGGUUAAUUCCGUUGGAUCAUGUUUAAUUGUCAACAAUGGUGCGAGGUACUCUAGGAUACUUAGACCUGAGUACUUGCACACAAGCCAACUGACGGACAAAAGUGAUGUUUACAGUUUGGGAGUGGUUCUUGUGGAACUACUAACUGGGAUGAAGGCUAUUUCCUUCGAUAAGCCUGAGGGCUUUAAGUGCUAAAUAAUAAAAUAAAUAAUAUUCAAAUCCAAGAAUAUUCCAAAAAAAAUAAAAUUCAAAUCCAAGAAUAUUCUAAAAAGAAAUAAAAUAAUAUUCAAAUCUCCAAACAUGUAACCUGCACAAGAUAUGCAGAUAAAGUCAAGGAAAUUAAAUGGCCAAAGUGUAGUAUAAAUAGGACCUCUAUGGUUGCCCAGAGGCACAUAACAAACAACAAUAUUCUACGUAGUAGUUCAUAGAAUUUUCUAAGAUGAUGAUGAAAAGAAUGGGGCUUUAAUGUUGCUAGCAUUAUUGACUCUGGUUGGCGAAUGGUAUGGUCGUUGUUAUGGAUGUUUGGAGGAAGAGAGGAUUGGUCUCUUGGAGAUCCAAUCUUUGAUCGACCCAUAUGGCCUUUACUUGAGAGAUUGGGUGGACAACAAUAGUAAUUGUUGUGAGUGGCAGGAGAUCGAGUGUGAUCCGACUACGAGUGUGUUUGGCAGUGUGGUGGCGGUUGCUUUUCAAAUAACUUUUCAUGUCGAAAUGCAUACCAAUGAUAUUUUUUUAUUUUUUAAAAAUUAUUUUUGAUAUCAACAUAUCAAAACGAUCUAAAAAGUACAAAUCACAUUAAAUUUUAAUAAAAAAAAAUUUCAAAUUUGGUGGGAACGCGGUUUGCACCGCGUUCCCAAACACUUCAGGCGAGUGAUCCAACUCUCUCUUGCAAGGGAUAAGAGCUUGGGCGAUUGGGUUCUCAACGCAUCUUUGUUUCAGCCUUUUAAAGAAUUGCAAAGUCUUUAUUUGAAUUGGGCUGGAUUGGUUGGUUGCAUUGAGAAUGAAGGUUAGUUCAAUUAUAAUCAUAAAAUAAAUGAAGGUUGGUUGGUGUUUAAUGUCAAUUAUCUUGCUUUGAUGAUUCUCUUCCCAGACUUUGAAGUCCUCCUAUCAUCAAAACUGAGGAAUCUUGACCUAAGUGAAAACCAAUUUAAUAAUGACAAAAGCAUUUUGUCAUGUUUCAAUGGUAACCUUUCCACUCUCGAGUCUUUGGAUCUAUCAGCCAAUGGGUUGAUAGCUAGAUCAGGAGGUAGCUUCUAUGGUAGCCUUUUAAUUAUUUAGCUUCGAAACCUUUUCAUUUUUUUUCUAUGCGUUUAAUUAUUUCCUUCCAAUAUGCUCUUGAGGAACAUCAUGCAGGUCUCAAAGUCUUGUCAUCAAGGUUGAAAAAGCUGGAGAACCUUCAUCUAAGUUAUAAUCAAUACAACGAUAGCAUUUUCCAUCUCUAACUGGAUUUUCAUCCCUCAAGUCUUUGGAUCGGGAUUCAUAUUUAUGUUUAUAUAUAAAACACAAUGUUGUUUUGACACACACACACAUAAAUUUAAGGUUAAUCCAAAUUGAUCUGGACAUGAUAAAAAUCAUGAUACAAAUCUUAUCCCAGGUUAGCCCUCGAGCCGGGCUAACGAGGAUUGGUUGGAAAAAGAUUAUGGAAGACCACUACUAUGCAUAAGGAAAUCACCAGGAAAUUACUCAUCUUGGCCAAUAGUGCUAUAAAGAAGAGAGAGUCGUAUAUCCACUUUCUCAUCAAUUACGACAAUAAUUGACUCCCAGUCAAUACGGUCCACGCAAAUUGUUUGGUGAGGUUACAUGCCAACAAAACUAAUUUGAAUAUUUUUAAUGUGGGUAAAACUUUUAAAUGUUAUAGUGAGGUAAUGUUAUGUUUUCUUUAUUUUGAGAUAAAAAAAACAUUAUAUUUAGAAAGGUUUCGAAUUAAUUAAAUAGGUUAUGAAAAUAUAAUUGCUUAGUGGUAUAGAUAAUAAAAAUAUGAUUGAUUAGUGGUUGUUUAAUGGUAUAGAAGUAUCAAGUUAAAAAUUAGAAAAAUAAAGUUAGAAGUUGUUAGUUUAUGUAUUUUACAGGUGCUGCUGUUUGAUCCAAAAAAUGAUUUGAAUAGAUACAGUUUUUUACCCAAAUUUUAUACAUAGGAAAAGCUUGUUCUCUCUGGUUUUUAAUACCAUAAACGGUGCAUUAAUCCAGUUUUUAUAGAAUAGCUAUGAUGAAAAUAAUAAAGAAUACGUGGACUAUCGAAUGAUUUCGGGGAUUAUUAUAAAUUAUAUAAAAGGAAUUGCUAUCUGAAUUAUAUAUAUGAAUGAAAAGGUAAUGAGACUAGUUUACAACCCAAAAAGCAUAAUAGAAUUCUGAAUGUUCUAGGAGCUAUGAUUAGUUUAUUAGGUAGCAUGUAGUUAACAAAUUAUUGUAGUUAAGUGUUGAAGGGAUUUUAACAGGUUAUAUGCUUGUGAAUAGGUUUUUUGAGCUAAGAUUUCAGACCAGGCAAAGUAUAGAGAAGUUAGUAGCAGUGAGCAAGAACCCUGAACUUACAAACCACACCAAUAUAAAAAAUGUGAGGAAUCAUUAGCAAAAAAUAAAAACAAAUAAUGACAUAAGCAAGUGUCGGGCAAGUAAUAUACAACAUCAAGAUACAUAGACAUCAAAUAGUAAUUUUCUUGAACCGGAAGAACCCUUCAUUUAUGGGUAUGUUCCAAGAUAGAUAAGUGAAUUAGUUGCAAAACAGGGGAGUCUCUGUGAAAACAUUACAAUAGCAUUUACUCUGAGCAAGAACGCUUCUAUGCAUGUGUUGUAAUUGACAAAGAAAAGGAGAAAUCCUUUCAAUUUAUGAAAAUGCAAUGAGUUAACCUUAUCUCACACUGCAAUAUAUACUCUACAGUAUUCAUGUAUGAAAACAUUUGAACGGGAAUAAAUAAAAUAAUUCAUCAAACAAUAUGAGAGUUGUUUGGAAAAAGAUUCUGGAAGAGCACCAAUAUGCACAAGGAAAUCACCAGGAAAUUACUGCAUGGUUGUUUUAAAAAUCAAAAGGGCACAUAGCAAGUCUAGCAUCCGCGUUCACAACCUUUUAAUGCUUUAACUCAUCUUCGCCAGUAGUGCUAUAAAGAAGAGAAAGUGAUAUAUCCACCUCUUUCUUUCUUUCUUUUUUCUUUUAUAAAAAAAAUCCCUUUUAUGCUUAAAAUCCACCCACUAAGAGCUUGUUUGAUAGUGUGGUUCAGGUUGCUUUUCAAAUAAUUUUUCGUGCUAAAAUACAUGUCAAUGAUAUUUUUUUAUUUUUUUAAAAUUAUUUUUGACAUCAGCACAUCAAAAUGAUUUGAAAACACUAAAAACAUAUUAAUUUGAAGUUAAUAAAAAAAUAAAAUAAAUUUAAAUUUUUUUAAAAACGCUUUUGAAACGCAGAAACAAACAGUCCCUAAGAGUUAUAUGUAUUGGAUUUUUAACAGUGCUAAGUUAAAAUAUCAAACUUAUGACCUUCAAGAUUAAAACGCGUUUGAAAAUGCGAUUAAAAAAUCUCCUAAGUUAAUAUCAAAUUUUUUAAAAAACGCUUUUAAAAUACAAAAACAAACAGUCCCUAAGGGUUAUAUGUAUUGGAUUUUUAAAAACGCUUUUGAAACGCAGAAACAAACACUCCCUGAGGGAUUUUAACAGGUUAUAUGCUUGCGAAAUGGUUUUUUGAACUAAGAUUUCAGACCAGGCAAAGUAUAGAGAAGUUAGUAGCAGCGAGCAGGAACCCUGAACUUACAAACCACGCCAGUAUAAAAAAUGUUAGUAUCAGAAAUGUGAGGAAUCAUUAGCAAAAGGUAAAAACAACUAAUGACAUAAGCAAGUGUCGGUCAAGUAAUAUACAGCAUCAAAAUACAUAGACAUCAAAUAGUAAUUUUCUUGGACUGGAAGAACCCUUCAUUUAUGGCUAUGCUCCAAGAUAUACAAGUGAAUUAGUUGCAAAACAGGGGAGUCUCUGUGAACACAUUACAAUAGCAUUUACUCUUAGUAAGAACACCUCCAUGCAUGUGCUGUAAUUGACAAACAAAAACAGAGAAAUCCUUUCAAUUUAUGAAAAUGCAAUGAGUUAACCUUAUCUCACACUGCAAUAUAUACUCUACAAUAUAUAUAUAUAUAUAUUAGGCGUAGUUUCAUGAAUCCUUUCCAUUAGAUAUUUAAUAAUUUAUAUAUUCUUUUUGGAGAAGUAACUCAUUUUCACACCCUUGUUGUAGUUUUCUAUUUAUUUUCACACCCCAGUUGCCACCUGCUUUUCUUUCCAAUCACGCACACAGAUAGUGCAGAAAAGCACUACGACAAUAGUUGACUCCCAGUCAAUACGGUCUACGCAAAUUGUUUAGUGAAGUCUUAAGUUGUUUGGUGAGGUUACAUGCCAACAAAACUAAUUUGAAUAUUUUUCCCAACCUGGCGAAUUGACCAAGUGCUAAACAAUAAAAUAAAAUAAUAUUCAAAUCAUCUGUAACAUUUACAGACUCUUAUGUAGAUAUCUUAUUGGUUGGGAUUUACAAUUUACACUUUCUAAUUUAUAAAACCAGGAGCAAAUCACAUAUAAUACAGUUCGUCAAAGGUUUCCCUGUCAAAAUGGAGUUCCUGGUGCGUUCUUGGACACAUGCAAGCACAUUGCAAAGGCUCCAGAAUUCACAAUUUCCUGAUGGAAUUUUAGUUUGUAGCAAUCGCCUUCUAUAGUUCGUAAAUAAAAUGACAAAAUUUGAGAGAAUUAGUUUUUCUAGAAAUUUAUAGGAUAUAAUUAAUAACUUGACUUUAAUUUAAAAGGAUUAAUGGAAAUCAUAAAAUUUCAACUAAUAUAUAUAUAUAUAGGAACUGCAUGGCCACAAAAAAAAAAAAAAAAAAAGAGUAAGCAUUUUCAAUAUUUUAGCUAACCAAUGCCGACUUGGAUCAUUGAUGAGUUGUUUAUAUUGGAUGUAAAUAUAUUUCAAACACUUAUCCACAUCCAAAUUAAGUUAAGGGUAUGUUUAUAAAAAUUAAAUUUUUUACGACCCCUCCUUAAUUUUCAAUUGAAAUCUUGAAGGAUAACACAAGAAUUAUAUUAUUAUAAGGUAAAACUAUAGAGAAAGUGAGGAAAAUAUUAGAGCAAAAGACGAUUUUCCAACCCACUAAUCAAUUCCUUGAAAGAGGAAGAUUCUCUAUUUCUUGAAAGGCUAAUUUUGCACUAUUGUUUUCUUGCGGAAUGCAUUCACACUACAUUUAAAAUUUAGGAAACCUAAAUCUAUGAUUUUUUUAAUAAAUUGAUUUUAUAGUUAUUUUUUUAUCAUCCCAUAUAUACCUUAAGUAAACCUUACUUUUAAUUAUUUCGAUAAAUAAAACAUUUAUUUUUAAUUUUAUUAUUAGUUUUUUUCUUGUUUUUUUAUGAUAAUUGAGGAAUAUAUAAUUAAUACCCAAAAAACACCCAAGUUUAAAUCACCAGCCAUUAAAAUUAAUCAAUCGGUGGUUGCAUUCUAACACACUAUAUUAAGAUUUAUUUUUUAUACAAGUUGAAAUUAAAGCACAUAUAUAUAUAUAUAUAUAUAUAUAUAUAUAUAUAUAUAUAUAUAUAUAUAUAUCAUCCCUUCUCAAGCUUGAGGGGAAAUGGUCUAACGGACCCAACUCGUAGGAAAAACGCUUGACAACAAUGGUCUAGUCAACCUUUUAUUCAUGUUUUUUCAUUGAAGACUUUGACUUGGAUCAACUUGUCGGUUAAUUACAUUUAUACAAUUUUUUUUUUACAAUGUUAGUAAAAUCACUUUAAUUAUUGUUUCAAUCUUCCGGUGUGAUUCAUUGCUUGGUGAUUCUAAAGUCGUCUAUUUAAACUUUAGCACAUUAUACAACUAAAUUUAUUCUUUCACUCGGUAUUUAUUAUAUAUUCAAUUUGUUAAUAAUUAGAAAUACAAAAGAGAAAAAGACAACUACAAAUAUAUUUAUAACCAGAAAAGUUAGUGAUUAAUAAAUUAUCUUUGCUAGUUUUGUUAUAAAUUUAAAAUAAAUAUCUUUUUACAAUAUUUUUUAAGUAAAAUUUGUACUUUUAAAAUAAAAAAUAUAUAAAAACAUGUUUUUUAUAUUCCCACUAUUUUGUAUUUUAUAUCAUGGUAAUUAAAUGUUGCCUGAUUAACAUAACACUAAAUCAUAAAAUAAAAAAAAAUUAAUUGUGGAAUGGUAUGGUAGUUGGAUCUAUUGUUAUUUUUUUUAUGUGUGUGAUUAAAUUAAUUAUUUCGAUAAAUGACAAAUGUAUUCGGGGACAAAUAUUGCUAGAGAGGCAUUGGAGCCUUUAAUAUUUUCCAAAGGCAUGGAACACGAUGCCAAGGGAAUGUAAGAUAUUCUCAUCAUUUCGAAGAAAAUUCUAUAUCAUGGAAAUUAAUGCAGAUGGCAGUAUAUAGUCCUAGGGACCAUCUCACAUAGCAAUUUUCUAUUCAUCUUAUUUAUUGAUUGUGUUAUAAAAAGUAGACUUUUUAAAAAGAAAAAGAAGAAGACUUAUUGUCAUGACAAUGACAAGAAGUAUUUUAGAAAUAAUAUCUCAUAUACAGUUUCCUAAAGGUCUGAGGAAUCGAACAAAGAGGGCGAUGAUUGGGCAUCAGUCUUGAAACCACAAUGAUCCAAUGGACGCGAGCCGCUAGUGGAGAAUGAUUCAUGCAUCUCUGGUUUUGUGUGUUUCUCAUGCUCUUUUUCACUGUACAACAGAACUUUUGACUUUUCAGUUUUUCCUCUUACGCUCUUCAAUAAAUGGGAAAGAGGAAACAACACGGAAAGAAAUUCAAUGCUCACACUUUGAAUUUUAAUUUGCAUGUUUCGGGUCAUUGACAGCUAUGCAUUAAAAUUACAGAGUAAAAUCUCAUUUAUCAAGAUGGUCUUAAUCACAGACAUAUCUAGAGAAAACUUGAUGGAUAGAUUAAUGUUAAAUAUGAAUUCUUUAUGGAGCUCAGUCACAGACAUAUCUAGAGAAGAUACAGAGUUAAGGAUAUGUUUAUAAAAAUUAAUUUUUUUAUGACCCUCCUUUUCAAUUGAAAUCUUGAAGGAUAUAACACAAGAAGUAUAUAUCAUUUUCUGACAAUAUUAGUGUAAGGUAAAACUAUAGACAAAGUGAAGAAAAUAUUAGAGCAAAAGACGACAUUUUUCCAGCCCACUAAUUAAUUCCUUCAAAGAGGAAGAUUCUCUAUUUCUUGAAAGGCUAAUUUUGCACUAUUUUUUUUCUUGCGGAACGCAUUCACACUGCAUUUAAAAUUUAGGAAAACUAAAUCUAUGAUUUUUUUUAAUAAAUUGAUCUUAUUGUUAUUUUUUUAUCGUCCCAUAUAUACCUUAAGUAAACCUUACUUUUAAUUAUUUCGAUGAAUAAAACAUUUAUUUUUAAUCUUAUUAUUAGUUUUUUCUUAAUUUUUUAUGAUAAUUGAGGAAUAUAUAUAUUUAUACCGAAAAAACACCCAAGUUUAAAUGACCAGCCAUUAAAAUUAUUUAAUCGGUGGUUGAAUUAUUCUAACACACUACGUUAAGAUUUAUUUUUUAUACAAGUUAAAAUUAAAGCGCAUAUAUAUAUAUAUAUCAUCCCUUCUCAAGCUUGAGGGGAAAUUGUGGAACGGACCCAUCUCUUAGAAAAAACACAGAUAGCAAUAAUAAUGUUUGAUUUUGCCAACACCAUUAAAGUUAAAGCAUGAUUUUCUAAACGUGAUUUCCAUAAAGAUAGAAGGGAGGGCUCUGUAUCCAUCAUCUUGAUGGAAAGUGAGCUGGCCAGCGCUAACCUUUUAUUCAUGUUUUUCCACAAAGACUUUGACUUGGGGUCAACUUUUCGGUUAAUAUUUUUUAUAAUGUUAGAAAAAUCACUUUAAUUAUUCUUUCAAUCUUCCCGUGUGAUUCACUGCUUGGUGAUUCUAAAGUCGCCUAUUCAAACUUUAGCACAUUAUACAACUAAAUUUAUUCUUUCAAUCGGCAUUUAUUAUAUAUUCAAUUCGUUAAUCGUUAGAAAACUUAGUGAUUAAUAAAUUAUCUUUGUCAGAGUUAACUGUUUUUAGAUGAGUCUGGAUCAUUAUUUCUGUUUUAUUUUUAAUUUUUGAACUAUAAAAAUAUAGAUAAAUUUAAAAUAAAUAUCUUUUUACAAUAGUUUUUGAGUGAAAUUGGAGUAAAAUUUAUACUUUUAAAUAAAAAAUAUAUAAAAACAUGUUUUCUAUGUUCCCAUUAUUUUUGUAUUUUAUAUCAUGGUAAUUAAAUGUUGUCUGGUUAACAUAACACUAAAUCAUAAUUAAAAAAAAUAAUUGUGAAAUGGCAUGGUAGUUGGAUCUAUUUUUGUUUUGUGAUUAAAUUAAGUUUUUCGAUAAAUGACACAUGUUCGGGGACAAAUAAAAAAAAUAAUCUUAUUGCUAGAGAGGCAUUGGAGCCUUUAAUAUUUUGCAAAGGCAUGGAACACGAUGCCAAGGGAAUGUAAGAUAGUUGUUGACAGCUGGCGUCAACCAGAAAAUUCUAAAAUAUUCUCAUCAUUUCAAAGAAAAUUCUAUCAAGGAAGUGGUAACUCAUAAUUUCCAAGAAAAUUCUUUAUGUAUUUGGGAGGCCAGCAAAGUCAAAAGGGAGUGGUAACUCAUAAUUUCCAAGAAAAUUCUAUCAAGAAACGAAGAUACUAUCAGAGAAUAACAGGAAAUAAAUUUGUCUCCAUUUAUUUGGUAUCGAACCAUCUUAAUGGUUGUGAGAAAAUCAAGGCACAGUCACAGACAUAUCUAGAGAAGAUACAAAGUUAAGUUGAAACUUGUUAAUUCACCUUAAAAAGAUACUGAGCACACAAGUUUAUUUUCAAUUUAGGUUUUGCUAUAAAUUUAAAAGAAAAGGGAGUGUUUGACGUGCUAAGAAAUUCAAUGCUCACACUUUGAAUUUUAAUUUGCUUGUUUCGGGUCAUUGACAGCUAUAUAUAUAUAUAUAUUUGAAGUUUUUGUAUAUAAUACUGUAGCCACACAAUCCGUAGGGUUAAGAUUUAUAAUUAUUCCGAGUUUAUUAUUAUUGAUAAUUUAUGCAUUUAAUUAUAUAUGUGAUAGUGAUGACACCAUGCAAAUACUCCUAAAUGAUUUUAAAUUGUGACGAGAGAACUACAAUUAUUAAAGUAAAAAAGAUCAUACGCAGAAUCACAUGGAGUACUGUAACAAUAUUAAAUUUUUUUUUUUUUAUAAAUUGGAUAAUUAGUAACCCUAAAUAAUAUUCAAAUCUAGAAUAUUCUAAAAAAACAUUAAAUAAUAUUCAAAUCUCAAAACAUGAAACUCUAAGUUAUGACGGGAGAAGUACAAUUAUAAAGUAAAAAAGAUUUUACACGGAAUCACACACGAAUGUCGGUAACAAUGCUGAAGUACUACUACAAUUUUUUUUUAUUAUAUUUUAUUUAUAUAAAUUGGAUAAUUAGUAACCAAAAUAUGAUUUAAUGUAAAUAGACUAAGUGCUAAACAAUAAAUUAAAAUAAUAUUCAAAUCCUAGAAUAUUCCAAAAAAAAAAAUAUAUUCAAAUAUCAAAACAUGAAACCCUAAAUUAUGACGAGAGAAGUACAACUAUAAAGUAAAAAAAAAUUAACACGGAAUCACACAUGAAUGUCGAUAACAAUGCUGAAGUACUACCACAAUUAUUUUAUUUUAUUUUAUUUAUAUAAAUUGGAUAAUUAAUAACCAAAAUAUAAUUUAAUGCAAAUAGACUAAGUGAUAAACAAUAGAUUAAUAUUCCAAAAAAAAUAAAAUAAUAUUCAAAUCUCCAAACAUGUAACCUGCACAAGAUAUGCAGAUAAAGUCAAGGAAAUUAAAUGGCCAAAGAGUAGUAUAAAUAGGACCUCUAUGGUUGCCCAAAGGCACAUAACAAACAACAAUAUUCUACAAUUCAUAGAAUUAUCUAAGAUGAUGAUGAAAAGAAUUGGGGCUUGGAUGUUGCUAGCGUUUUUGGCUUUGGUUGGCGAAUGGCAUGGUCGUUGUUAUGGGUGUGUGGAGGAAGAGAGGGUUGGUCUCUUGGAGAUCAAAGCUUUGAUCGACCCACAUGGCUAUGACUUUUCCUUGAGAGAUUGGGUGGACAGUAGUAAUUGUUGUGAGUGGGAUGGGAUCGAGUGUGAUCCGACUACAAGACGAGUGAUCCAACUCUCUCUUAGUGGAGAAAGAGAUUACAACUUGGGCAAUUGGGUUCUCAACGCAUCUUUGUUU